Molecule: long non-coding RNA, 274724 nt
Filed under: Ananas comosus (pineapple)
Lineage: Eukaryota; Viridiplantae; Streptophyta; Magnoliopsida; Poales; Bromeliaceae
Description: long non-coding RNA (ACOM_LNC016668)
Source: RNAcentral
CCGCAGGAACUCGGUGCUCAGCCUUCACCUGUUGGCAGGUUAAACAUCUAGCAACGAACUCACCAACAUCCUUUUUCAUCCCGGGCCACCAAUAAAAUAACUUCAAGUCCUUAUACAUCUUGGUGCCUCCCGGAUGUACAGCAUACGGUGCUCGGUGUGCUUCUUGAAGGAUGUCCUCUUUAAUGCCAAAGUCCGCCGGUACACAAAGUCGUCCGCGGAAACGCAUCAAUCCAUCACCGUCUAAAGUGAAGUCACCGGUGCAACCAUCAACCAUCUUACCUCGCAUCUUUUGCAACUCCGAGUCGGAAGCUUGCUUUUCUUUAAUCCUUUCCAAAAGUGUAGGUUGCACCACUAAAGUCAUCAGUCUCAAAGGUGUAUCAGGAGCCACCACCUCCAACUCCAACCGCUUCAUCUGCUCGAUCAACGGCGGUUGAGUAACCACAAGCAUCGCUAAGUUCUCCGUCGAUUUCCGACUUAGCGCAUCCGCCACCACGUUAGCCUUGCCCGGGUGGUAAAGUAUCGUCAAAUCAUAAUCCUUGAGUAGCUCCAACCAUCUGCGCUGCCUCAAGUUCAACUCCUUCUGAGUGAAAAGAUACUUUAAGCUCUUGUGAUCCGUAUAUACUUCGCAUCGCUCGCCAUAGAGGUAAUGGCGCCAUAGCUUCAAUGCAAAGACUACGGCCGCCAACUCCAAGUCGUGAGUGGGGUAAUUCCUUUCAUAAUCCUUCAAUUGGCGAGAUGCAUACGCGAUCACUUUCCCGUCCUGCAUCAAAACACAGCCCAAUCCAUUAAAGGAAGCAUCACUAUAAAUCACAUACCCUGCUCCAGCAGUCGGCAAGGUAAGGAUCGGGGCAGUCGUCAAUCGCUGCUUCAACUCUUGGAAGCUCCUUUCACACGCAUCAUUCCAAAUAAACUUGGUGCCCUUAUGCGUGAGUCUCGUGAGGGGAGUAGAUAACUUCGCAAAUCCCUCGACAAACCGUCGGUAGUAGCCGGCCAAACCAAUGAAGCUCCGUAUCUCGGUCACGCUCGUCGGCCUCGGCCAAUCCUUGAUAGCUUCAAUUUUCCUCGGGUCCACGGCUAUGCCUGAUCCUGAAAUCACAUGGCCCAAAAACGCCACCUCUCUAAGCCAAAAUUCACACUUUUUCAACUUGGCGUAGAGCUUCUUUUCCCGAAGCACUUGAAGUACAAGUCUCAAGUGUUCCUCGUGAUCCGCGUCACUCCGGGAAUACACUAAGAUGUCGUCGAUAAACACCACAACGAACCUGUCUAAAUAAGGCUUGAAAACACGGUUCAUCAGAUCCAUAAAAGCUGCCGGGGCAUUAGUAAGCCCAAACGGCAUAACAGUAAACUCAUAAUGUCCAUACCGUGUUCUAAAAGCCGUCUUCGACACAUCCUCAGGUCUGAUCCUCAACUGGUGAUAUCCCGACUGCAAGUCAAUCUUGGAAUAUACACAAGAUCCCUGGAGCUGAUCAAAUAGAUCAUCAAUCCUCGGUAAUGGAUACUUGUUCUUAAUCGUGACUUUGUUAAGUUCACGAUAGUCCACGCACAAGCGAAGUGAUCCAUCCUUCUUCUUCACAAACAAGACCGGUGCUCCCCAAGGUGACACACUCGGUCGCACAAAACCCUUAUCCAGAAGAUCCUGCAACUGUGCCUUCAGUUCCUUCAACUCUGCCGGUGCCAUCCUAUAGGGUGCCUUUGAGAUCGGGGUAGUCCCGGGGACGAGAUCUACCACAAACUCAAUCUCCCUAUCAGGGGGCAUGCCUGGAAGCUCCGCUGGAAACACAUCUCCAAACUCCCGCACUACGGGGAUAUCCUCAAUCCUAGGGGCGUCAUCCACACCCCGCAACACAACAGUAGCCAAGUAGGCUACGCAGCCUCUACUAAUCAACUGCCUAGCUCGAGAGGAGCUAAUUGUCAUCGCAAACAGCGAACUCUGGCAUCCUCGGUACACAACCUCCGCCUGCCCCGGCUCUCUAAAUGUCACCGUUCGAUUCUUACAAUCCAUGGUGGCAAAGUACUUGGUCAGCCAAUCCAUGCCCAACACAACGUCAAACUCCCCGAGUUUAUGCAAAGCUAGCAAGUCCACGGGCAUGAUCCAAUCUCCAAUCCUAACAAGGCAACUGGGGCAAAACUCCCGAAUGUCUAAAAAGUGAUCGGGUACAACAACUCGUCCAGGAUGUAACAAGGAUACAAGUGGGAUGCCAUGCAACUCGGCAAACAGCCGGUCUAUGAAUGAAUGCGAUGCACCGGUAUCAAACAAAGCUCUAACUCGAAUACCAUGAAGUAAAAUGAUACCUGCGACCACAUUCUCGGCUGCCGCCACCUCCUCAGUUUGGGCCGCGUACAUGCGCCCGCUCGGGGCCUGUCGUGACCCCUCCGUCUGCCGCUGGACAGGUGGCCGACCGGCCUGGUGAUGCGCAGAAGAUGUCCCAUGGCUGGUACCUGGCGAAGCUGGUGCAGAUGCCGAAGAUGGCGCUGGCAAUGGACUCCUCGGGCAGUCCGACUGGAAGUGGCCCUCCUGGCCACACAAGAAGCACCUGCCCCGGCUGCGUGAACACUGCCGCGGGUAAUGAGGAUUGCCACAGAUCACGCAGCGGGGGGCUAGGCGACGAUCGGGUCCUCCUCGCUGGGUAGACUGGCCGCGUCCUCGGGACUGGCUCCUGCUCCUGGGAUGCCUCGGCGGCCUCCGUGAGUGCGUCUGACUCGCACCCUCAGCCGCGAGCCUCUUCCCCUUCCCUUUCUCCAAGCUCUCGCGACGCUCCUGCAGAUCCGCCGCUCCUGCUUCCACUAUCAGAGCUCGAUCUACCACCUCCCGAUAAGUCUGGAGGUUGGAAGACUGCACCAAUCGGAAGAUAGAAGGCCGCAAACCGCGCUCAAAGAUGCGGGCCUUGUCCUCGUCGUCCCUCACAACAAACGGUACAUAGUGUAGUAUCCGGGAGAAUUCCCUCUCGUACUCAGCCACUGACCGCUCAUCCUGACGCAAGCUGUGCAAAUCCUGCUCCAUCUUCCUCUUGACGCUGGUAGGAAAGUGGUGCGCCAGAAGAAGCUCCUUGAAUCUAGUCCAUGUAAUCGCUGCCAAGUCGGUGUUGGGGUUGUCCUGGAUAUCCAUCCACCAACGAUAGGCCUCGCCGUCCAGAAAGUGAGUGGCGAGCCAAACUCUGUCCCUCUCCUCGACGAAGGUAUCUCGAAACAGCUUCUCCAUAUGCAUCAACCACUUCUCGACAAUCCAGUGGUCGACGUUCUCGCCAUCAAACGUCCUCGGGCUGCACCUCCUAAACUCACUGAGGCGAUCCAUGAGCCGAUCCCGCUCGGCUCCCUCGGCCAUCACGGGGAAAGCUGCUCCCGUGGCCGGUCUCUAAACUAGUAAUACUGCAGCCACCUCCUCCCGAGGUGCGGUCGCCGGUGCCGCACGUGAAGAACUGGGCGCGGGGGACUGCGCCCUCGGUGCGACGUCCACCACGGGUGCUGGCGGUGUAGGGCCCUGGGUCUCCCUCGAAGCUGCCGCCUGUUGCAGUAGGAGGUCCUCAAGAUGCUUCAUCCGCGCCUCCUGCCGCUGAGCCACCUCGGCCUGUCGCUGCGCCGCUGCCGUCUGCUGCGCCAACAGAUCAGUGAGGAUCGCAAGCUGGGCCCUCAGGUCACGGACCUCACUGGAUCCGGAAGUAGCGGAGGUCUCGACCUCCUCGGGGUGUGCCGCAUCAUCCGCCCCGGCAGACUGGUAGCGUUAAUCGCAUCGUCCACUACAAAACAUAAAAGCGCAACGUUAAUAACCACGCUAUCGCAUCGCCGCUCAAAACGAUAAAACCCAAAUCAUGCGAAAGUAGGGAAUUUUCCUUCACCUACUAACUCCUAGUUACGUUGUCGGCGCCCACGUGAACCCUCUGCGAAUAAUAGGAGCCAUACAUUCCGAUCAAACUCUAACUUUUUAGAGAUUAUCAAGACACCCAAUCAAGAUACUUUCGCUCACAAGUCAAAUAGACCUCGUCUCUCACGAGCCUAUUUCAUACAGUCCAACCGGCCUAGGUUUGCUUAAGUCCACUAAGACUCACCCUAGGCUCUGAUACUAAUUAAUCUGUCACGCCGCGGGACCCCGCGGAGGCCUCCCGGUAGCGUGCCCAGACCCGCCAUAUGUUACACAUAUAAGCGUCUAGAAUAAAAGCGGAAGUAAAAGCAAUAGUAGGACAAAUAGAAGAAGUGAAAUAACUAGCAACUAAUGAUAUCAGAGCGAGUAUAGUUCUAACAUCUACACCAAAAUAAGAAGUAAAGCUAAACAAUAAAAGGAGUCAUAAGUAGCACCAGAUCUGUCUCAAAAGCUACAAAAAUGAUAGUUUCUAGUACACUGGUACAGCUCUCAACCUCUCCAAAAAGAAAUAUAUCGAGAGGUAGACCACCUUAAACUCGUCUCUCGCUGAAGGGCUAACUCGAAGCGACGCCCUUACCACGGUCCCUAGCCUCUCCUGGCGUGCGAAGGCUCGCAAAGAAAAUAUAACAGAGGGCGUGAGAACUAUAAUUAUAGUUACCAGUGGCAAUUACUGACCUCAGCUCAUUGCCACACUAGGCCCAAAAGAAAAGGGGUAUGUCAAAAGCGAUAGCAAUAACGAGUAAUUUGCAUCUAUGAAAGUAUAAUGAAAAAGGUAAAAUAUUACUUGCAAUAACAUAGCAUUCAUGUCAUGCACAAAGAUAUGUCUCUACUUAGCCAUAAAAUGAUAUCAUGGUUUCGCUUAAAUGAAAUUAUGAGGAUUAUCCCUUAUCUAGUGCAACAUUGUUAUAUGAAUGCAAUUAAACACUGCCUCCUAGUCAUACUACAUAUAUGUUGUUAACCCAAAGUCCAAACCUAUGCUAGAAGCAAGUCCGAGUAAUCCAACUACCACUCUCUAUUUAGUAUGAUUUAUAACAAACUCAUCCCGUGUCGAUUUCCAUUUCCAAUUAGGACCUACCAAGAGUAGUCCGGCUUGCGUCGCCUAAGUGCCGUGGUAGCCCAACAUCCCUCUCUUGGAAUGUGUCUGUCCCACUCGACCCCGUAGGCUUCUCAAUACGCACGAGCGAACAUAAGUCGCAUAGGCUAACUCCGGAGUGCCGGCUUGUAGAGGAGCGACCCUCACAAGCAUGUGCGAAUUGAGCACAAAUGGCAAACAAGCGAAGGUCACUGUCUCAAAAACUCUAUCCACAUGUCUCACACUGGCGAGGUCAAUAGCAUCCCAAGGAUCUAGCCCAAUGUUCUCUAAAUGAUGUCCCAACACUCACUUGCUUAGUGCCUCCUUAUGACACUUAAGCAUCACAACAGAUCGAGCCCAAAUCUUAUUCUAUAUUUCAAUUAAACAUAAUUACCAAUGAUUACCAUGAACCCGGGCCCAAUGCCUCUUUAUGACAUUGUCCCAAUUCUCAAAUAGUCCAAGUUCUCAAGCCCUCUCUAGGCUUCUAACAUUCCUAAUGUCACAAUUGGCAUAUAGGUCAAAUGCAUGAAAGCAAGAUUCAUUCCAUAUAGGAAUCAUGGUUCCCAAUCAUAACUAGAAUGCCUAAGUUUACAUGCAUGCACUCUACCACAUAGGGGUCUAAAAUUUCACUAUAAAUAUAUGCAUGUUAAGCUUCUAAAAUUCAUAUUAAUACAUUUAACAUGAAAUGCAUGAAUUUCUAUUUUACGAAACAUAUUUUGCUAAAUAUAGGAUUUCUCAUAUCAUAGGCUAGGUCAAACCUACCGAACCGUCGCGUGCUCCUUCGAUUCACCGAACGGAGUUGUCCCGAGUCUCAAAAUACCCUAAAAGUAUAGAGCGACAAGAUACACGGGUAUUACGAUCAACUAUAGAUCAAACUUUAACAAACUUGGCAAAAGGCUAAAACUCACCUAAUGUUGAGGAAAAUCUCUCUCAAGCUCCAAAGAGAGCUAAACCCCUCAAUCAAGUCAAGAAGGUUCAAAUCCAAUCAAUCUAGCCUCAAAGCCCUAAAUCAAAAAAGCCCCAAAAUCAACCCUAAAUCUCAUUUCUAGGUUCCAAGAGCAAAAUCUAUCAAAACAAGAAUCAAAGGGUAGAAUCAAAGUACUAACCUCUUUAGAUGCCUCAAAACAAGGCUCUAAAUCUUCUAGGGUUGAGAUUGGUCCACCACCAAGCCUUACAAGCAAGCUCCAAGCCUUGCAAAGGUGGGAAAGAGAGAAAGGGUUGAGCUCCAAGCUCCCUCAAGCUAGCUCCUCUCUUUCUUCUCCUCCUUCUUCUUCUUCUGCUCUCUCUAGAAAGUGUAGGGAGAGGGUGAAAUGAGAAAAUGAGAGAGGGAAGAGAAGGAAAUGGCUAAUAAGCCAUCUAGUGUAACAAAUCCGGAGGAGCCCUCAAAAAUUCAAAUAUUACAUCAGCCCGAACUGCGGCCAGUUUUUCGCCCAGAGGGACCGGUCUCUCCCCAGCAGGGACCGGUCUCUCGCUGCGAACCCGAAAAAUCAUCGUUCGGGAACCGGUCUCUCCCUGCGUGGGACCGGUCUCUCUCUGCGAAGGCGCGCUCGGGGACCGGUCUCGCCCGCCAGGGACCGGUUGCCUCAGGGCUGCCGCAACACUGUUCACUGGGGGACUGGUCUCUCCUUCCAGGGACCGGUCCCCGAGAGUCAAAACUCUCAGGACUUGUCCAGAAUUCCAGUUUUCGAACUUUUUAGGUCGGAAAACAUUCUACAACCCUCCACAAAGUGUGGAAAAGCUCGAAGUACAUUCAAACACUCGAACCUCGCAAUUUGCAAAGGUCCAGUGUGUUACAUCAACCCUGUACCGGUACACAGCCCUGCUGAGGUUACCCGAGAGCUGACCAAAAACCCGACUUUUCGGACUUUGGUGUUAGGUUUUAAAUCUCCAAUCUCGGGGCUCGAACUAGGGGGCGGAACAUAGUCAACGACCCUCCACGAAGUGUGGAAAAGCUCAGAAUACAAACAAACACUCGAACCUUGCAAUUUGCAAAGGUGCAGUGCGUCACACAUAUAUAUAUGUAUAUCGCACUCAUAUGUAUACGUAUACGUAUACAUAUACAUAUACAUAUACAUAUACAUAUACAUAUACAUAUACAUAUACAUAUAUAUAUAUAUAUAUAUAUGUAUACAUAUACAUAUGUAUAUGUAUACAUAUAUAUAUAUUGUCACGCCCCGAGGUCCCUUUUUGGAUUUAAAAGCCAAUGCGGAAGUGCCCUAGUUUGUUUUUUGAAAACCUUGACCCGAGAGGAUGUAAGAUCCGCCACAAAUACAGGGCAUCCACCGUUCACACGGGCAGAGUGUCACGCCCCGAGACUGCUACCAAUUUGGUCCGGUUCGGACGUAUCGAACAGACGCCGAACGAACAGCACCUCCCAUGUCCGCCCAAGGCUAAGCAACGAGAUCAUGUACAAGAAUUUGCCCAGGAAAAGAAAUUCAUUACAUACACAAUCAACAAGAGCACCACAAGUGCUAACAAGUAAGAGCAAGAACCACAAGUGUACAACAAGUGAAUAAAGAGAAAUAUUCUAGCUAUUACAACCAUUCAACAUUAAUUCUUUUAAUUACAUUUCCAUCUCCAAAAAUGUAAUACAAGUUUACCUCCAAAAUAUAUAAGUAGGUCUGUAACAUAUUACUUCCCCGUAAGUCGUGCCGAGUUCCGUCGAAAUGUGUGGAACGCGGAGUGGAACGAGUUGGUAUAGGUUCAAAGUGCAUUGGAACCUAUAUAGACAUUAAAGGGACCCGAGAGAGUGAAAUUGCAAAAUCUGGCUAAGUUCUAGAUUUUGGACUCUCGGGGACCGGUCCCUAAUGGAAGAGACCGGUCCCCGUAUGCGUAGCCUGCCCAGAAAGCUGAAAAAUCGGCUAAGUCUUGGGAUGCCAGGCUACGGGAACCGGUCCCUGUGGGGAGAGGCCGGUCCCCGUAGGUGAAAAAGUUGGGGAAUGGCUUAGUUGGGAAAUGUUGCUCUCGGGAACCGGUCCCUGAGAUGAGAGACCGGUCCCCGUGCGCGUGGCCAGCCCAAAAAGAUGAAAAUUUAGCUAAGUCCUGAGAGGUGUACUCUCGGGGACCGGUCCCUGCGGGGAGAGACUGGUCCCUGCGGGGAGAGACCGGUCCCCGUAUGCGAAAAUUGCCCAGGUUGGGCUAUUGCAAAAAUAGAAAGUUGAGGGGUUUAAGUGCAAAAGUGGCAUGUGUUGGGUAUAUGGGUGUGAGGGAUGAGUGUUAGGGCUCAUUCUCUCCCACACCAACAAAACACUUCCCUCUCUCUCUCUAAAAACUCUUCUCCUCUCUCUCCUUCUCUCUCUAGGGCUUGGACCAAGGAAGGAUUUAGAGGACUUGGGUGGAGAAGAAGAUCAAGUUGAUGGUGUAGCUUGCAAGAGUGCAAGUGAUCAAGGAAAAGCUUGAACCAAAGGUGAGAGUUUUUGGUUUUAAGUUAGGGUUUUGGUUUGUUUCCUUCUAGCAUGCUUCUAGGAGAUGAUUAGAGGAUUUCCCCCAUGUUUCUCAUGUGUAAGGACUAGAAAUGGGGAAGAUGGUAUUGUACGAGGACCUAAUUUUAGGGUUUUUGGAUUUUGAGGUCGAAGCUUGGGUUUGAUCUCAUUUUAACCUAAUUGGUAGGUUAACGAACACGUUGGUGCGCUCGGUUUGGCGAUACGACGAGCGUGCGCGAAGAAAUUGAGGAAACAGGCUAAAUUGGUACAGAUUGCCGCAGCUCGCGGCGAAAGCGUUUAAAAUUGUGGAAAAUUGCAUUCCGGCAUCCUUGUAACACUAAAAGGUGGGGGGUACUAUCCGGAAACACCGGAUCUCUUUCUAUGUCUAUGUCACUUUAUUUGAGCAUCUUGUAUCAUUGCAUUCUUGCAUAUAGGGCAGCUUAUUUAUGUGUGCUUAAUUGAAUUGCAUUUAGAUGCUAAAAGAACAUGUGAAUGAUGAAACACCAUGAGGACUUGUAUGUGAGAACCCUAUGUGCAUGUGAAUGCGAGAAAAGACUUGGAUAAUAGUAAACAAGGGUGACAUUGGCAUUAGUGACCAUAUUGGCACCGAAAAUGUAAAGGACUAAACAAGGUUUAACUUAUUGUAGUAUCAGGACCAUUGCGGCUUUGUGCAUUGAGACAGGUUUGGCAAGAUUUCCUCAAAUUGAGGAUUGGAUCGUACUCACACUAGCUUUGGCUUGAGGAAGGUAGCUCCUCCUCAAGCGGUGUACUCCGGAGUGUAGACACCACGGGGAGCGGCCCCGUCAUUGUUCCCUCGGGCAGUAGUGCUAGUAGCCUCCCCCGGUAGACGGGAAUUGUGGUUUGUGAGAUUCGGGGUGAACCAUGUGUACCUCGGGAUGAUUGGGUAAAGGCCAAAAGAAAAGAAAAUGAAUGAGCAAGGACAUACAUGCAUAAUUAUCAUGUACUGCUAUAUCUAUCUAUCUGUGGAUUGUUUUCUUGCAGGCAUUGUAAUAGAUUUGCAGUAGUUGGUUUGCAAUCUAUCGUUUCUUGAAUUACAUAUGCAUGAGAUAGACCUAGUGGGCGAGUCGGCGCGGUCGGCGGCCGAACCCACUGGGAACUUCGUUCUAGUUCUCAUUACCACUAACCCUGCAGAUCCGUGCGCGAGCGGGGUGGCGGAGGAUCGAGGCAAGGGUAUCGCGCCAUAGACAGUGGCCCUCGGAGUUUUAGGCAUACCCUAUAUAUUUUGGUAUAUUCAACUUUUGUAUGUUGAACUAGUAAUAUAAAUGAUGUAAACCUUAUAUUUUGGUUAAAGGCCAAUGUGAUGUAAAUGAAUGGAUAAAUAAAUGUAAAUGUAAUAGUUUACUUGUGUUUGAUUCAAAGGUAAUCAAAUGACUUGUAUGUUGAAUGAUUAGUUACUUUCGAUGCUUUCACCUGUUGGUUGUUGUUUGCCCUCGUGCAAACCUUGUAUAUCUUGCAAUUUCCUUGUUGACUUGCUUGUAAUAUACAUGUUGUUGGAGCCUUGGGCGGACAGGGGAGGUGCUAUCCGUUCGGCGUCUGUUCGCGUGCCCGAACUGACCAAAUUGGUGGCUCCGGAGCGUGACAAGCUCUCUAACAUCUAUCCAAAAUAUACAUCAUCAUCGUCUAGUACACGAGGGUACUCUAAAUGCAUAUAGGAAGCUACUAACUACUUAGGGCGCUAUGCCCUUGCCGCGGUCCUCGCCCGGCGAACACGUAUUCGGCCCUGCAACAAAGUGGGGUGAGAACUAUAUAAAUAUAGUUCCCAGUGGGUUUGGCCGCCGACUCCGCCGAUCUUCCCACUAGGUCGAAGCAGGCACAGAUAGAUAGAUAGUUAGAUAGGUAGAAAUAAAUUGCAACUAUAUUCUACCAUGCCUUCAAUGAUAAGCAAUGCAUGCAAUGUCCAUUUUGCAAUAAUUUUACUAUCAUGCUAGUAUAAUGUCAUGAGCAUAUAUGCAACAUAGUUAUGCAAUCUACCAACAUACACUAUGUCUAGUCAAGUAUGAAUGCAAAUCUGCUAUGCCAUUCAUGUACUUUACCCAAUCUUCUUGGCUAACCCGAAGGUUACGCCCUCGACUCACUCUCAAAUCUCAUAGGUGAGGAGAAUCUGCACUCGCACACCGAGACCAUCUGCGGGACAACUACGUCUGCCCCUAUCGUGAAGUACUCCGGAGACCACUACUUGAGUGGAGCGACCAUACCAAGUGUAAACAGACUAGUGAGUAUGAUCCAAUCCUCACAAGAGGAUACCCUAUCUACAAGGGUCAUAGUUUCUCUGCUGCACAGUUCGUAAUACACAAUUCAUUACUCGGGAACUCUACUAUCCCUAGAAUCAUGUCGUGUUUACUACUCUAGAUUCGAUGCCACUCGUUCAAUCAUUGUAGUAAAUGUUUUUUACUAAUUGACAUGCCACUCGUUUAUGUUUAGUGUUUCCACUACACUAAUCCAAAUGCCACUCUUCUAGGCUAUCACAUGUCCAAGUUCAUCUCUUUAUGCCACUAUAGGAUUCUAUGUCACAAGACCCAAUCCUCAUGCAUCCCUAGUCCAUGUGUUAAGCCUACAAUGCUACACUACUAAGAAAGCAAGCAAGGAAUUAGAAUUGCAACUAUCUACUAAUCCUAUAAUGCUUAAUGUUAAUAUAUGAAUAUUGUCAACAUAUAGAACUUAGACAUAAAAGAAAAUCCGGAUGCUUCGGGAUGGACACCCCCUACCUUCUUAUGCUACCAAGGGGCUAGGAUUCUGAUUUCGUGAUUUUUAGAUGCUUCCUCAGCGUUCCAGGCGAAAACGAAGCCCAAAAACGCCUUUUUCCUCAAUAUCUCUUGCGUAGCCUCGACAAACCGUCGAACCGAGCGCACGAAUGCGUUCAUGAACCUAACAAUUAGGUUAGAGAGAGGUCAAUUGAGAUCAAAACUCUGCACAAGCAAAAGCCCUCUUUUGGAUGCCCUAGAUCUCCAUUAUUGCAAAAUGCCACCUACAAGCAUUUACUCUUGCAAUCAAUGAGAUCAACUACAUCUAGGGGUCCACUAGAGUCCAAUUAAUUGAGUUCCAAAGGAUCUAAGCAAGCCCUAACACAUCUACCAUGAGAGGGCUUGGUGCUUACCUCUACAAGCAAGCUCCAAUGGUGAGGAAGAAGAUGAAGUGGAUGAAAAUCCCACUCCUAGCCUUUUUCUCUUUCUUUUCCUUCUUCUCCUUGUUCUUCUUCUCCUUCUUCUUCUUCUCCUUCUAGAGAGUGAAAGGGAGAGAGUGUGAAUGUGUGUUAAGGGGAAUGAGAGAAAGAGAGAGGGAAAAUGCCUACUUAACCCCUCUCAUUGCCUAAUUGCAAAAAACCCCUCCACUUUGCUUCCUGUGCACUGCCCAGACUGGGCAGAAUUCGGGUGCAGGGACCGGUCCCUAUACGGGAGGACCGGUCCCCGAGAGCAACCUCACAUGCAGAGCCCUCAGGCCAGCCCUUCACACGUAUGGGGACCGGUCUCUCCACCAGGGAUCGGUCCCCGAGAGUGAUUUUUGCGCAGAGGCCUUUUGCCUCUUUUCCACGCAUACGGGGACCGGUCUCUCCCGUCAGGGACCAGUCCCCGAGAGCAAACUUCUGGCAGACCUCUUUCUGCCACUUUCCACAUGUACGGGGACCGGUCUCUCCCUCUAACACACUGGACCUUUACAAAUUGCGAGUUCGAGUGUUCGAUCUGUGUUCUGAGCCUUUCCAUAGUUUUUGGAGGGUCGUAGAUAGUAUUCCGACCCAUGGCUCGCAUCCCGAGAAUUGGAGUUUUAAACUUGGCACCAAAAUCCAAAAAUUUGGAUUAAGUGGUCUGCUCUCGGGUUGCCGCUUUAGGAUUGUGUACCGGUUCAACCUUGAUGGUUGUACCGGAACACAAUUUGUACCAGUACAGCCUUGAUGUCAUACCGGUACAGAUGCGUUUUCUAGCCAACUCGAGACUCGGGUUUGCUGUCUCGCAGCAUUUGUACCGGUACACUUUCCCGUGUACCGGUAUAUUUUGGCAGACUGCAAAAGUUGCAGCUUUGAGGGGUGUUUUUGCUAUUGUAGCAACUCUAUAACAGCCCCCACGCCCCCUAGAGCCUUUUUUGUGCUGAGAUCACAGGAGCUUGAGGUAGGGGACCUCCUCUCUUCCCCUCUUUGGAUUUGAUCCCCUUUUUACAUGGUUUUUGGUGGUUUGAUCUUCUCUUUUCCUCCUUGGUGCUAUUUCCUCCAUGUUGAAGGCUUGGAGCAUGGACUUGGAGCUUGAUAGAGGGAAGAUCAUCACUUCUAAUGGACUUUGAGCUUUGAUUGAAGCUUCUAAGAGGUAAGUAACAAGUUUCUUUCCUCUAGAUUUCUUGUUUUAAGGGUUAUUUUGAGAUGAAACCCUAGAAUGGAAACUUAGGGUUGAUUUUGGGCAUUUUGGAUUUAGGACUUUCGGAGCUUGAUCUCUUGGAUUAGAACCUUCCUCUAGGUUGGAUUGGAAGGGUUCUAGCUUCCUUUUGAGGAUCAAUAGAGAUUAUCACCAUUUUAGGGGAGUUUUCGCCCCUUUGCUAGUAUUGGUUAAUGUUCGAGCCUACUGCUUUUCGUAACGUAUGUGUAUCUCUUCUCUUGUGACCUUUAGGAUAUUAGAAAAAUUAUGGACAACUCCGUUCGGCGAAACGAAGGAGUUUUAGCGAAGCUUCGGUGGGUUUGACCUCGCCAAAAAUGAGAAAAUCUCAUUUUUGAUGAAUUGAAUAUCGUAAAAUGAAAAUUCAUGUAUUUUCAUGUUAGAUGUAUUAUUUAUGAAUUUUAGAAUACGUAAAAUGCUUAUGUUGUAUACAAUGCAUUUUUGGACCUCUAUGUAGUAGAGAGCUUGUAUGUGAGAUAUAUGCUUGAUGUUUAGCAUUCGCAUUUGGGACUUGGAAUCAUAUUUCAUAUAGUAAAAAUGACUAAUGUAUUAUACCCUUGGACAUAAAUCUCAAUUGGAGAUAGGAAAAGAUAUUAGGCCAUAAAGUGACUUUGGACUUGAAUAUUAUGUGUAUUAGUGAGCUAAUGUCAUAAAGCGACAUUGAGCUCGGGUUAUAUAUGAACCUUGUAUAUAAUGCCAUAAAGAGGCAUGGGAAUUGGAACAUGCUUGGACAUAGCAAUGUUAUAGUGUCAUAAAGAGGCACUAGACUUAGUGAAUGUUGGAACUUCACCUUGUGACAUAGAACUAGACUGAUGGUUACUAGUGACUAUUACCAUGUUAGAGACAUGAUGAUUGGGUACUUGAGACGGUGAUUAUGCUUUCUUGCCAUUUGGGCUUAUUCGCACAUGCUUGUGAGGGUCGCUCUCUACAAGCCUGCACUCCGGAGUUGGCCUAUGCGACUUAUGAUUGCUCGUGCGGUAUCGAGAAACCUGCAGGGUCGGGAGGGAUAGACUCAUUCCUAGAGUGGGAAUGUUGGAGCUACCACCGGCACUUAGGUGGCACAAGCUGGACUACACUUGUGUAGGUCCUAAAACAAGAUUGGACAAUGACAUCAAUAUAUAAUGAUAAUCACUACUAGAUAGGGUGUAGUAGUUGGAUUACCUUGGCAUUCUUAAUGCAUAUAGGUGGACAUUUGAGACAUGUAGUAAACUUAGUAAUAUCGCUCAUUGCAUUAAAGUAUACUUGCUUGCCAUGUGGAAUCAUACCUGUUUUGUAUUAGACAUGCUCAACCAUAGUAGAAUGAAUAUACAACAAAUUGUCAUCAUAUUAUUUGUGGCAUAAUAGUUUAGAAUUUGUACAUGCUUUCAUAUCUGCAGUUUAUUUUUCGUUGCUUUUCAUAUCUACCUUAUUCUUUUGGGCCUAGUGGUGCAUUAUGCUGAGGUCAAUAAUUGCCCACUGGAAACUAUAAAUUAUAGUUCUCACACCCCCUGUUUCUUGUUUCCUUUCAGAGCCUUCCACACCGGGUGAGGCUAGGGACCGCGAAAACGAGCUAGCUCUUUGGCGAGGGACGUAUCAAUAGGUGGUCUACCUCUCAUUGGUUUUAUUUUGGAGAGGUUGAGAGUUGUACCAUGUAUAGGACCAUGCACUGUGUAUUUUGAGACAGAUGAUGUAUUUACUUUAUGUUUUAUAUUAGUGUAUUAGUUUCCUUUCUCUCUACUUGUUGUUAGUAUUUAGCUGUUGGUUGCUCUAAUAUCUCUAGUUGUCUUACUUCUUCUUGCUUCAUAUCUCUAUUGUUGUAGAUGCCUUAUAUGUGCAGGCAUAUGGCUGGUCUGGGCAUGUACUGGGCCGACCUAUGCCGAGUCCUGGGGCGUGACAGAUUAAUUUGGUAUCAGAGCCUAGGGUUGAGUCUUAGUGGACCUAGCAAAUCUUAGGCCGGUUGGACCGUAGGAAAUAGGCUCGUGAGAGACGAGGUCUAUUUGAUUUGUAAGCGAAAGUAUCAUGAUUGGGUUUUAUUAUAACUCUAAAAAGUUGGAGUUGAAUCGAAGUGUAUAGCUUCUAACUUCGCGAAGGGUUACGUUGGCCGCCGACAACGUAACAUCGGGAGUUAGUAGUAAAGAACACUUCCUUAAUUUCGCAUGAUUUGGGUAUUUAUUUGUUGAGCGGGGCUGCGAUAGCGUGGGUUUUACGAACAUGCGCUUUUAUGUUGUUGUAGUGGUAAUGCCGAUUACACGCUCUAAGUCGGUUGGAGCGGACAAUACGGCUAAUCUUGAGGAAGUGGAGACCUCCGUUACCUCCGGAUCCGGCGAGGUCCGUGAGUUGAGAAGCCAGCUUGCGGUCCUCACUGACUUGGUCGCGCAGCAGGCGGCGGCGGCUCAGCAGCAGGCGGAUGCGGCGCGCCGGCAGGAGGCGCGGAUGAAGCGUAUGGAGGAUCUUUUGUUGCAGCAGGCGGCAGCCAGGGAGGCUCUGGUCCUGCACCACCCGCGCCGGUAGAGGUGGUUGCGCCCAGGGUGUCAUCCCCUGCACUCGACACUUCCCGGACGGCCCCUGUGGUGGCACCUCGGGAGGAGGACGUUGCGGUACCACCAGCUCGGUGCCUUUAGCGGAGACAGCUUUUUCCGUGAUGGUUGAGGGAACCGAGCGGGAUCGACUCAUGGAUGGCCUCAACGAGUUCAGGAGGUGCAAUCCGCGGAUUUUCGACGGAGAGAAGGUGGAUCACUGGAUAGUGGAGAAGUGGCUCAUGCAUAUAGAGAAGUUAUUCCACGACACCUUCGUGGAGGAGAGGGACAGAGUUUGGCUCGCCACACAUCAUCUUGACGGCGAGGCCUACCGUUGGUGGCUGGAUAUUCGGGACAACCCGAACACGGACUUGUCGGCGAUCUCGUGGAAGAGAUUUAAGGAGCUUCUGAUGGCUAAGUAUUUUCCAGAGAGCGUCAAGAGAAAGAUAGAGCAAGACUUGCGCGGCUUGCGCUAGGAGGAUCGGACGGUGGCCGAGUACGAGAGGGAGUUCUCUCGGCUUUUGCAUUGCGUGCCUUUUAUCGUGUGGGACGACGAGGACAAGGCUCGCAUUUUCGAGCGUGGAUUACGACCCUCGAUCUUUUGACUUGUGAAAUCCUCCAACCUUCAGACCUAUCGAGAUGUAGUGAACCGCGCGCUCAUCAUGGAAAGCGGAGCGGUGGAGUUGCAGGAGCGCCGCGAGGGCAUGGAUAAGGGGAAGGGUAAAAGGCCCGCGGCGGAGGGUGCGAGUCAGACGCACUCACGGAGGCUGCCGAGGCACCCCAGGAGCUGGAGCCAGUCGCAAGGAUGUGGCUCGUCUACUCAGCGAGGAGGACCUGAUCGUUGCCAGGCUCUGCGCUGCAUGAUUUGCGGUGGUCCUCAUUUCCCACGGCAGUGUUCACGCAGUCGUGGUAGGUGCUACCUGUGCGGCCAGGAGGGCCACUUCCAGUCAGAUUGCCCGAGGGGCCCAGUGCCAACGCCAUCAUCGGCAUCAGCACCAGCUUCACCGGGUUCCAGCUAGGGGACGCCUUCUCCUCACUACCAGGCCGGGCGGCCACCAGUUCAGAGGCAGAUGGAAGGGUCACGAUAGGCCCCGAGCGGGCGCAUGUACGCGGCCCAGACCGAGGAGGCAGCAGCAGCUGAGAAUGUGGUGGAAGGUAUCAUUUUAUUAAAUGGCAUUUGAGUUCGUGCAUUAUUUGAUACCGGUGCAUCGCAUUCAUUCAUAGAUCGGCUAUUUGCCGAGUUGCAUGGCAUCCCCUUUGUUUUCUUGUUGUAUCCGGGACGUGUUGUUGUUCCCGACCACUCCUUGGAUAUUAGAGAGUUCUGCCCCAGUUGCCCUGUUCGGGUAAGAGAUUAGAUCAUGCCCGUGGAUUUACUAGUUUUGCAUAAGCUUGGAGAAUUUGAUGUUGUUUUGGGCAUGGAUUCGUUGACCAAGUACUUCGCCACUAUUGAUUGCAAGAAUCGAACGGUGACGUUUAGAGAGCCAGGGCAGGCGGAGGUUGUGUACCGUGGAUGCCAGAGUUCGCUGUUUGCGAUGACGAUUAGCUCCUCUUGAGCUAGACAGUUGAUUAGCAGAGGCUGCGUAGCCUAUUUGGCUACUGUUGUGUUGAGGAGUGACGUCGACACUCCUAGGAUUGAGGAUAUUCCUAUAGUGCAGGAGUUUGGAGAUGUGUUUCCAGCGGAGCUACCAGGCAUGCCACCUGAUAGGGAGAUUGAGUUUGUGGUAGAUCUCGUUCCCGGGACUACUCCAAUCUCAAAGGCACCCUAUAGGAUGGCACCAGCGAAACUGAAAGAGCUGAAGGCACAGUUGCAAGAUCUUCUGGAUAAGGGUUUUGUGCGACCGAGUGUGUCACCUUGGGGAGCACCGGUCCUAUUUGUCAAGAAGAAGGACGGAUCACUUCGCUUGUGCGUGGACUAUUGUGAACUUAAUAAAGUCACGAUUAAGAACAAGUAUCCGUUGCCGAGGAUCGAUGAUCUAUUUGAUCAGCUUCAGGGAUCUAGUAUGUACUCCAAGAUUGACUUGCAGUCGGGAUAUCACCAGCUAAAGAUUGCACCCGAGGAUGUAUCAAAGACGGCUUUUAGAAUACGGUACAGACAUUAUAAGUUUACAGUUAUGUCGUUUGGGCUUACUAAUGCCCCGGCAGCUUUUAUGGAUUUAAUAAACAGUGUUUUCAAGCCUUACUUAGACAUGUUCGUCGUGGUGUUCAUCGACGAUAUUUUGAUCUAUUCCCGAAGUAAUGCGGAUCACGAGGAACAUUUGAGGCUAGUACUUCAAGUGCUUCGGGAGAGGAAACUCUAUGCCAAAUUAAAAAAGUGUGAGUUUUGGCUUAGAGAGGUGGCAUUUUUGGGCAAUGGGUCCUUGUUCUUUAUCGUUACCUUGUUCAACUCGCGAUAAUCUACGCAGAGUCGAAGUGUGCCAUCCUUUUUCUUCACAAAUAGCACCGGAGCUCCCCACGGUGACACACUCGGCCUCACGAAGCCCUUAUCGAGCAAGUCUUGUAGUUGACCUUUUAGCUCCUUUAGCUCCACCGGUGCCAUUCUAUACGGCGCCCUUGAAACUGGUUCUGCCCCGGGAAUUAAGUCAAUGACAAACUCAACUUCCCGGUCCGGUGGCAGUCCCGGUAAUUCCGCCGGAAACACAUCCGGAAACUCGCACGCUACUCGAAUAUCUCCCAACUCUGGGUACUCCUUUCGAGCAUCCACCAUGGUUGCCAAAUAGGCCUUACACCCUCCUUUGAUCAUUUUCUUCGCCCUUACAGACGAUAUAGUCGCCGCGAAGCGCCUACUUUUGCACGCUUGGUAGACUAACUCUUCUUGAUUAGGCUCACGAAAAGUGAUCACCUUGCUUUCACAAUCUAUCACCGCAUAGUACUUGGAGAGCCAGUUGGUCCCCAAGAUAACAUCGAAUCCCCACAUCUGAUCUAGCACUAGCAGAUCAAUCGGCAUAAUCCAAUCGCCUAUUUGCACUGGACACGCCAAACACUCAUUAUGGACACUGAAUGAAUGCUCUGGAGCGUUCACCCACCAGUAAUCCUCAUUGUAUACCAUCUCUAUGCCAUGUGUUUUAGCAAAUGAAGUGCUAAUGAAUGAAUGAGAUGCGCCUGUGUCAAACACUGCUCUAGCUCUAGUGCCUUUAAUCACAAUUAUACCUGCCACGACGUCGUCGGGUGCUGCAGGUUGUUGCUCCUCCACCUGAGCGGCAAAGACUCGGCCGCUAGGCGCUCUCGAUCCCUCCGGCUGACGCGGUGAUGACGCGCGCCCAGCCGACAUCGCCGGUGGUAACCCCGCAAGCUGUCUCGGGGUAGACGGUGUCGAAGCCGCCGUCGGCGCAGAUGACGUCCACGACGGGCACUCCCGGAUAAGAUGUCCCGGUUGGCCACAUUUGAAACAUUUGCCGUCUCGCUGCGGGCAAGUCGACACCCUGUGCUCACCACCACAAAUGACGCAUCGAGGUGGUCUCCAAUUCCUCGACUGCUGUCGGGGAUACCGAGGGGGUUUCUUAGCAUUUGGCCGGCCCCCGGCACCGCCCGCCGCUCUUUUCUUGCCCUUGUCCUUCGACUCGGCAAUAGCUUCCCUUUCUUCACGUACAUGGGCGCUACCGUGCUCCGCCCACAAGGCUCUAUCGAAGACCUCCGCAAAGGUCGACAGCUUCAAAAUUUGCACUUUCUCAUAAAUUCGGGGUUGGAGUCCUCGCAAGAACCAAUCCGCCCAGUCCCGAUCGUCACGAACAACAUCGGGAACGCAAUCAAUAAGGUGGGAGAACUCUUGCUCGUACUCCCCCACCGAUCGAUCGCCCUGUCUCAACUUGCGAAACUUGUCCUGUAGCUUCCGCUUCACCGUGUCGGGGAAGUAGUUCGCGAACACCGCUCUCUUGAACUCUUCCCACAUCAUAGGCGGGAGGUCGAUAAGUCGAUCCCGCCUAACUCGCUUCCACCACACCUUCGCCGCUUUCUCAAAACAGUGUGUGGCAAGGUACACCCUGUCCUUCUCCGAGGUAUUGAGAUCCUCGAAGAGCGUCUCCAUCGAGUCGAUCCAUGACUCCACGAUCGCCGGCUCCACCAAACCGCCCUCGAAGGUAGGUGGGUCGAACUUCUUGAAUUGUAUAAGCGCCGCUAACGUGCGCUCUCGCUCCCCUUCUACCGCCGCGCUAUCGGGAUUUGAGGUUCCCGAUCCGGCCGGUAUUACCGUAACUGGAACAGCCGCUGCUGCCGCUGCUCCCUCAUCCACGCUCGGCACUACCACAGGGGGCGCGACACGCUCGUCGCCCGCCUGGGCCGCCGUCGCCUGUUGUCGCUCCAAGGCCUCCUGGAGCCUUUGAAUCUGCUCCCCUUGGCGUUGAACAGACUCCGCUUGUUGCCGCACUACUCCGAUAAGCGCGGCCAUUUGCUCCCUAAGCUCUCCAUCGCCACUUGCUCCGGAUUGCUCGGGCACCGCAUUCGUUUUCUCCGGCAUCGACCUUGCCUGCGAUCGACGUCGAGGUGCCAUUGCUUCCUGAAAAGAAGCAACUCGCAUUAGUCACUUGACCAACAUUACUUGACCAUACCCAAUUAGGCGAAAGCAACAUACACAUUCAUCCUUGCCUCAAGCGUCAUGUCGUCGGCCGCCCGACACAACACUAGAAGUAGAGGAUAAACGAAAAUUAAACUUAGCCUCUAAUCACAUUAGAGACGUCCCUACAUAACCCAAUCACAUGCUUUCGCUAACUUGAUCCCACGUCACUCACGUUUUCUAGAUCCUUAAGGCCUUCUAAUCCUAAGGGUCUCUAGGUCCAUUCCUAUUCUUUCACUCUUGGCUUUGAUACCACGAUAUCUGUCACGCCCCGAGACCGAUACCAAUUUGGCCCGACCCGAGCACGUCAAACAGACGCCGAGCGGACAGAGUUUCCCCUAUCCGCCCAAGGCUCCUCACAUGUACAUUUUCAUCAAUAGAGAAAAGCACUAGCGGAAACAUACACAAACGGCUUACACGAGGGUAAGCAAUAGACAUUAGUGAAAGAAAAAGAAAACUAAACAUUCACUUGUACUAUGAUUCAUUUUUUGAUCAUAUACAUUGCAUUCAUCUUGUUCAUUUUUGAAUUCCUUAUAUUUCAUUUCAUCAUUUCUUUCUUACAUCACAUUUUCCUCAACAUACACAUUACAUUCUUUUUUUUACAUCAUUUACCAUCAUGUACAAAAGAUGAUCAAAGGGUGUCUACUAACAAAAUGUAACCCAACUUUGGUGGCCUCUGACUAAGGCGCGAUACCUUUACCUCGGUCGCUCGCCGGCUCGCUCGGUCCCGGCUCUGUGGAAAUAGUGGGGUGAGAACUACAACAAAGUUCCCAGUGGGUUCGGCCCCAACAUCACCGACUUUCCAACUAGGACUAACUCAGGCAUAAUAGAAAGAAUAAGCUGCAUAUAGUAACCAAUCUACACAUGAUGCUAAUAUGCCUGAACAAUAAAGCAAGGAAUAUGCUCAACAUUAACAUAUGCAGAUUAUGCAAGUUCUCUCGUUCUUUACCUUUACACUUUGUUCUUUGUUCUUUAUUCUUUGCUCUUUGUUCUUUAAUCUCAAGGCUAACUCGGGGGUAUCGCCACCUUAACUUGCUUCACAUUAAGUCCAUCAUCGCAGGAACUCACCCGCUAGGACCGUCCUUCGGGUUUACUCCAACCCGUGAUGCAUAACUCCGGAGCGCAUUGCCCGAGGAGGAGCGACCGCCCUCGAGCACGGAACUCAUAGCAAGUAUGAUCAUAUCCUUAACUCAAAGGAUUUAAAAGUUCAAUCUUGACUUUACACUAGCUCUAGUGUUCAUUAUAUCACUUUAUGUUGCUAACUCUAGCAAUCAUGGUUCUCUACAUUUCCUUACUUUUGCUAACUUUAGCAUUCUUGUUCUUUACAUUUCUUAUUCUUAUUGCUCCACUUUACUUUAACUUUACACAUUAUCAUUAUCAUCAUUCUUUACAUCACUUUGGUUCCUUGACUCACACUAACUCUAGUGUCACUUUACUUUACGUUUUUCAAUGCCACUCGAUCUAUGUCAUAGUGUCACUCUGUUCUUUUGCUCACUUUGAGUGCUCACUUUUCUCUCAUGCAUACACAUAGGGUUUUUACAUUCAUAAGGUUCUCAACCAUCACAUUAGGCAAGUUGUACUCACAAUCAUGCAACAUCACAUUCUCAUCAUUUCUUUACCCUAAAAUGCAUGCAACAAAUAUGUAACAUAUGCUCAAUUGAAUGACACAUUAGGCAUAGAGAGAAGUUCAACGAGUUUGGAAAGCACCACCCACCUCGUAGGUCUCUUUAGGUGCUCCGACGAUUUUCUUGGGAUUUUUAGACUCCUCGUUCUUCACCUGCGGCGAAACGAAGCCAACUUAGGCCAUUUUGCCCAUAUCUUUCUACACACUUUUCGUAAUGCUAUUCCGAGCGCACCAACGGGUCGGAAAUACCCCCAAUUAGAUUUUUAGAGGGUCAAUUUCAUUUAGGAACCCCCAUGAGCAAAAGCCCUAAUUUGGGUGCCCUAGCUCCAUAGCAUACAUCAAACCUAGGGUUUGAUCUCAAAGAGAAGCAAAAGUAGCUUCAUUCUACUCUAAAAAGUCCAUUAGAACCAUUUUUAGACAAAUCAAAACCCUACUUAGGGUUUCACCAUGAGAGGUGAUGAAGCUCACCUCAAGCCUCACCAUUUUCAUGGUCUUGAUCUCUAAAGAAGCAAAAGAAAAGCUUCAAAUACUCAAAUGGUUCCAUAAAACUCAAUUUAAGCUUAAUCCAAACCCUAGAUUAGGUUCUACCAUGAUUAGGGUUCAAAGCUUACCUUGUAAGCUCUCCUUUUCCACGCUAGAGGGGAAGAAGAUGAAGUUGCUUCACCUCUUGAUCUUCUUCUUCACCUUAUUUUCCUUAUUUUCCUUCCUUCCUUUCUUUCUUCUUCUUCUCCUUUGCCUUCUAGAGAGAGAGGGAGAGAAGAGAGUGUGUGAGAGGGUGAGAAUGAGAGAAAAUCUCAUUAGCCCUCAUAACAUAGCUAUUGGGUUGCAUAAUUGCUAAUAAACCCCUCAACUUUCACUUUAAUGCACUGCCCGAACUGGGCUGAUCGCGCAGGCAGGGACCGGUCUCUCCUUCAGGGACCGGUCUCUCCUUCAGGGACCGGUUCCCGAAGGUCGUCCGAGCGCAGCUAGAACUGCUGCGCGCAGUGCAACCGGUCUCUCCUUGGGGGAUCGGUCUCUCGGGGACCGGUCUCUCAGGUAGGGACCGGUUCCCGAGAGCUAGCUUCUCAGGACUUAGCCGAUUUUUCGGCUGUCUCAAUUCACACGUGUUCGGGGACCGGUCUCUCCCACCAGGGACCGGUCUCCGAGAGCUCAAAACUGCAGAAUGCAGAUUUUGAUUCUAUAGCUCUCGAAAACCUUCCGUAACUCACUUUUAAUCAUUUUAACACCUUCGGACUUUCCGAAGUGUACCGUCCUCGCACUUUGGUUAACUUGACUAAAGUUCGACAUUUAUUUCCCGAAUUUUCGGUAUAUUACAUCUAACGUGCCAACAGGUAAAAACUGAGCAUCGAGUCCCCACGAAAAAAUUGCAGAGCUUAUCGAUUCUAGUGUGAAAGUGGGAGAAGAUCACCAUGGACUUCGUGAUGGGAUUGCCCCGCUCACAGGCCGGGCAUGAUGCUAUUUGGGUGAUCGUGGAUAGGUUGACGAAAUCAGCUUAUUUCAUAUCUAUUAUACUACUUGGACUGGUGAGAGACUCGCAUAGGUAUAUCUUGAUGAGAUUGUGCGAUUGCACGGGGUACCUACUUCUAUAGUUUCGGAUCGAGAUCCCCAUUUUGUAUUCCAUUUUUGGAGUAGCUUACAGGAUGCUUUGGGCACGCGCUUUGAUUUCAGUACCGCUUUCCACCCUCAGAGUGACGGGCAGUCAGAGCGCACUAUACAGACUCUUGAGGAUAUGCUUCGAGCCUGUUUUAUCGACUUCCGGGGAGGAUGGUCGCAGUAUCUACCGAUGGAAGAGUUUGCUUAUAAUAAUAGUUAUCAAGCAAGUAUCAAGAUGGCACCAUUCGAGGCACUUUCGCGACUUCAUUGGAGUGAAGUUGGCGAGAGAUUGACUUUAGGCCCCGAUGUGCUCCAGGAAGCAGAGGACAAGGUUCGUAUUGCUUGGGAGCGACUGCUGACAGCCCAGAAUAGGCAAAAAAGUUAUGCUGACAAGCGUCGAUGAGACUUGGAGUUUCAGACUGGAGAUCAUGUCUUUUUGAAAGUCUCGCCGACCAAGGAAAUUAGAAGAUUUGGUAUCCGGGGUAAGUUGAGCCCCUGAUACAUUAGACCGUAUGAGAUUUUGGAGCAUGUAGGUCCGGUAGCGUAUCGACUUGCUCUACUGCCGAAUCUAUCGAGUGUACACAAUGUAUUUCAUGUAUCGGUCCUUCGAAAAUACAUCCAUGAUCCGGCUCAUGUGUUGGAUGCUAUACUAGUGGAGCUGAGGGAUGACUUAAGCUUUGAAGAGCAGCCUUUGAGGAUUUUGACUCGCGAGGUGAAGAGGCUGCAGAACCGUGAGAUUCCCUAUGUGAAGGUGCUUUGGAGCAACCACGAUGAACGCGAGGCCACUUGGGAGUUGGAGAGCGUGCUGUAGGAGCGCUAUCCCCAUCUUUUUAAGAUAGAGGCUUGAGGUACUUUGCUUUUCGAGUUUCGCGGACGAAACUCUUUUUUAGGAGGGGUGAAUGUAACACACUGGACCUUUGUAAAUUGCGAGGUUCGAGUGUUCGAUCUGUGUUCUGAGUCUUUUCACAGUUUUUGGAGGGUCGUAGAUAGUGUUCCGACCCAUGGCUCGCAUCCCGAGAAUUGGAGUUUUAAACUUGGCACCAAAAUCCGGAAAUUUGGAUUAAGUGGUCUGCUCUCGGGUUGCCUCUGCAGGAUUGUGUACCGAUACAACCUUGAUGGUUUUACCGGAACACAAUUUGUACCGGUACAGCCUUGAUGUCAUACCGGUACAGAUGCGUUUUCUAGCCAACCCGAGGCUCAGGUUUGCUGUCUCGCAGGAUUUGUACCGGUACACUUUCCCGUGUUCCGGUAUACUUUGGCAGACUGCAAAAACUGUAGCUUUGAGGGGUGUUUUUGCUAUUGUAGCAACUCUAUAAUAGCCCCCACGCCCCCUAGAGCCUUUUUUGUGCUGAGAUCACAUGAGCUUGAGGUAGGGGACCUCCUCUCUUCCCCUCUUUGGAUUUGAUCCCUUUUUCGCAUGGUUUUGGGUGGUUUGAUCUCUCUUUUGCUCCUUGGUGCUACUUCCUCCAUGUUGAAGGCUUGGAGCUUGGACUUGGUGCUUGAUAGAGGGAAGAUCAUCACUUCUAGUGGACUUUGAGCUUUGAUUGAAGCUUCUAAGAGGUAAGUAAUAAGUUUCUUUCCUCUAGAUUUCUUGUUUUAAAGGUUGUUUUGAGAUGAAACCCUAGAAUGGAAACUUAGGGUUGAUUUUGGGCAUUUUGGGUUUAGGACUUUUGGAGCUUGAUCUCUUGGAUUAAAACCUUCCUCUAAGUUGGAUUUGAAGGGUUCUAGCUUCCUUUUAAGGAUCAAUAGAGAUUAUCACCAUUUUAGGUGAGUUUUUGCCCCUUUGCUAGUAUUGGUUAAUGUUCGAGCCUAGGGCUUUUCGUAACGUAUGUGUAUCUCUUCUCUUGUGACCUUUAGGGUACUAGAAAAAUAUUGGACAACUCCGUUCGGCGAAACGAAGGAGUUUUAGCGAAGCUUCGGUGGGUUUGAUGUCACGCCCCGAGCCCGCCUCUUUGGUCGGAUUCGGGCACGCCAACAGACCGCCGAACGGACAGGGUUUCCCCUGCACGCGGACAGAGUCUCCCCUGUACGUUCAAGGCGUCGCAAUCAAUACAAUUACAAGAGGUUCCAAACAGGAACAAUUGUCAACAACGAUUGCAUAAGGAAGGUAUCAAACAACAUAACACAUCCUAUAUUAUUACAAUAAUUCAUCUCAUCAUUUUACAUCGCAUUUUUUCAUUACAUUGAUUCUCAACUUCCAAAUAUACAAUCGAUUUCUAAACAUAAUAUUACAACAUCGAUUCUUUUCUUUUCUUUUCUUAUACCCCUAAGAAGCCGACUCAGGGUGCUGCUAUCUGGUCUCUGUGGUAGGGCGCUAACUACGGAGCUACGCCCUUUCCUCGCGCCGCCGCGCCGCUCGCGUGUGAACCUGUACCCCCAAAAACAACAACACGGGGGUGAGACUAUUGUCCAUAGUCGUCAGUGGGUACAGCCACCCAAGGGAAAAGCUCAACCCACCAGGUCCAAAGGAGGCACUGCAACAUGUUAGUCCAACAGAUAUAUACAUAUAACAUCAUGCAAUACAUGUUCAUGCCUCACAAAUAUGCAAAUUAUGCAACUCUUAGUCAUUCUUUACCAUUAGCCUUUCUUUACUCUUUAUUCUUUAUUCUUUAUUCUUUAUUCUUUAUUCUUUAUUCUUUAUUCUUUAUUCUUUAUUCUUUAUUCUUUAUUCUUUAUUCUUUAUUCUUUAUUCUUUAUUCUUUAUUCUUUAUUCUUUAUUCUUUAUUCUUUAUUCUUUAUUCUUUAUUCUUUAUUCUUUAUUCUUUAUUCUUUAUUCUUUAUUCUUUAUUCUUUAUUCUUUAUUCUUUAUUCUUUAUUCUUUAUUCUUUAUUCUUUAUUCUUUAUUCUUUAUUCUUUAUUCUUUAUUCUUUAUUCUUUAUUCUUUAUUCUUUAUUCUUUAUUCUUUAUUCUUUAUUCUUUAUUCUUUAUUCUUUAUUCUUUAUUCUUUAUUCUUUAUUCUUUAUUCUUUAUUCUUUAUUCUUUAUUCUUUAUUCUUUAUUCUUUAUUCUUUAUUCUUUAUUCUUUAUUCUUUAUUCUUUAUUCUUUAUUCUUUAUUCUUUAUUCUUUAUUCUUUAUUCUUUAUUCUUUAUUCUUUAUUCUUUAUUCUUUAUUCUUUAUUCUUUAUUCUUUAUUCUUUAUUCUUUAUUCUUUGCUAAGGGCACUCGCACCUUAGGCGCAUUAUACACAUUUGCCAUUCUUUAUAACAUUAACAAACGUUUCUCAAUUGUCAUUCUUUCUCAAUUGUCAUUCUUUCACAGGGUUACCUUUACCCUAGCCAACUAUGCCACUCGACUCGGUCUUGAGUCAAUUCAUAAUGAAUACAAGAUCCACUUUCCAAUCCAUGAUUCCUUUUUGUUCUUUGUUCUUUAAUCUCACGGCUAACCCGGGGGUUUCGCCACAUUAACUUGCUUCACAUUAAGUCCAUCAUCGCAGGAACUCACCAGCUAGGACCGUCCUUACGGGUCUACUCCAACCCGGAUGCCAAACUCCGGAGCGCAUCGCCCGAGGGGGAGCGACCGCCCUCGAGCACGGAACUCAUAGCAAGUAUGAUCAAUCCUUAACUCUAAGGAUAUGUAGUUGGAUCAUGGUUUUACACUAACUCUAGUGUUCUUUACAUCACUUUAUGUUGCCACUCUAGCAAUCAUUGUUCUUUACAUCUCUUUUACUUUUGCUAACUCUAGCAAUCACGUUUUUCACAUUCCUUUACUUUAAGCUAUCUUUAGCUUUCACAUUCUUUAACUUUACACGUUCUUUAUGCCACAUUACAUUACAUUGUCUUUAGCCAUUAUCAUUAUUCUUUACAUCACAUUGCUUUGCCUUGUCUCAAGCCAUUAUCAUUAGGUUCUCACAUUACAUCUCAUGCAUACACAUAGAUUAUUUAGAUUCUUAAUCAUUCUAAUAAGCACGUGUACUCACAUCAUGCAACAUUACAUUAUUAUCAUCACAUUGUUUUACAUUAUCUUUAGCCAUUAUCAUUGUUCUUUACAUCACAUUUAUUCUUUGAUGUCCCACACUAACUCUAGUGUCCACUUUACCAUUUCGAAUGCCACUCGAUCUAUGUUCAACAUGCAUAUAUUUUGUCAUCCAUUGGUAGUCAUUACUUAGCAUUUUAUGCAUUCGUUAACAUUUACUACAUGCAUUCUCGGUUAGUACAAAUCUCAUACUUUCAUUUGACAUCUAUUUAGCAUUUCUAUAAUAUGCACAUAUAAAUUAACAUCAACUCAUGCAUUCAUUUGGCAUCUAUCUUUAUCAUGCAUUCUUAAUUAGCAUACUUUAUCAUGCAUUCUCAAAUAGCAUACUUUAAUCUUUAUCAUGCAUUCUUAAAUAGCAUACUUUAUCAUGCGUCAAUAGUAAACAUACUACACUUUAGCAUGGAAAGCGACCUAAUCGCUUCGGUGAGCACAACCCACCUCAUUUCGCAUUCCGAUUGCUUGUCGACACUUGCAAUCGGCGUCCCGCGGCACCCGUAACCCGGUUUGGCCCGAUCUCUCACGCGACCACCCGAACGGCCUCCAAUUCACGAUCCGAAAAUUAAAGGUCUUCGGUUAUGUGCCACGAAGCUUCAAAUCCAUUUUCAUGAAUUUACGAUAUCGCCUCGGCCCUCCCGGCGGACCUGAAGCCUAAACGUCCGUUUCUUUAAUAACUUCGCAACGGCUCGUCGGAUUGCCGAACCGUCUUCGCCAACGCAUUCGUUUACCUAGCAAUUAGGUUUAUAUAGGGUCAAUUUAGAUCAAACCCUUACAUUUUACAAAACCCCAUUCGGAGCCCUAAUAUGCUAUUAACCUCAAAAUAAUCCAAAAUCAAAUGGAUCAACAUGCUAACAAAGCUCAUUAGAGGCUAUUAGAAUACUUAAAGCUAAGGAUUAAGCCAAAUCCUAAAAGCUUACCUCAAUGUGAACGCCGCGACGACAACACACCGCUCCAACGGGCGCACGAAAGCUCAAUCCGUCGCCUCCAACGCGUUCGCAAGCAUAUUCUCCACCAACCCCGCGAAUUUGAGCGAGAGAUAUAGAGAAAUGAGAGAGAUCUCUAGAGAGAGAAAGAAGGGUUUCUCUCUCCCUUCUCCAUGCGCGCGUGGGUGGCCAUGGUGGUCGGCUGAAGGAGAAAGAAGCAAANNNNNNNNNNNNNNNNNNNNNNNNNNNNNNNNNNNNNNNNNNNNNNNNNNNNNNNNNNNNNNNNNNNNNNNNNNNNNNNNNNNNNNNNNNNNNNNNNNNNNNNNNNNNNNNNNNNNNNNNNNNNNNNNNNNNNNNNNNNNNNNNNNNNNNNNNNNNNNNNNNNNNNNNNNNNNNNNNNNNNNNCAGAAAAGAAGUAGGCACAAAGAAGGAAGAAGAAGUGAAGGAGGUCAAGGAGACAAAGAGGCUUACUUUUCUCCGUCGAUAGGUGCAAGAUAAGGAGAGCUUACAGGUAUAGCUAUUGAACCCUAAUGUAGAUAAAACCUAGAAGAUGAGUUUGGGAUGACUAGAAAUGGAUUUUAAUUGAGAGUUUAAAGAUUCUGAAGCUUUUUUUGCUUUUUAGAGAUUCAACCUUGGUUUGCUAUAGAGUGUCACUUUGGACACCUCUCAUGGUGAAAUCAAGCAUAGGGUUAUUGGAAAAGCCUAAGAAUGGUUCUAUGGGACUAUUAUAGAGUAUACGUGAAGAUCUUUUGCUGUCCCAAAGAGAUCAACCUAGGUUUUGAUAUACAUUGGAGCUAGGCACCAAAUUGGGGCUUUUGCUCAUGAGGUUUCUAACGAAUUGACUCAAACAAACCAUAAUUGGGCGGUAUUUUCGAUGCGUUGGUGCGCAUGGCAUUACGUUAGAAAAGUCAAAGUAAGUUUAUGAGCAAAAUGGCUAUAAUGGGUUCUUUUAUGGCCCGCAGGUAAAGAACGAGCAUCUAAAAAUCCAAAGAAAAUCAUCGAGCAGCCUUUGUAAGCCUACGAGUGAGAGUGGUGCUUCUCAACCAUUGAAUUCUCUCUAUGACCUAAUGUGUCAUUCAUUUUGGUCAUGUAUGUAUAAUAUGUGUUGAUUUAUAGGGAGUAAAGAAAUGAUGAAAUGUAAUGAUGCAUGAUUGUGAUUUUGACAACUUGCAUAAUAUGUAUGAAUCGAGAACCUGUGUAAAUUCGAAAACCCUAUGUGUAUGCAUGAAGAGAAAAGUGAGAUCAAGUGAGCAAAAGACAGAAGUACACUAUACAUAGAUCGCAGUGGGCCAUUUGAAAAUGUAACAGUAAGAGACACUAAGAGCUUAGUUGAUGCAAGAAACCAAUGUAAUGUAAGAAUGAGGAGAUAACAAUGUUAAACGUUAAAGUAUGUGGGUGUGUAAGAAUUAUAAUGUAGAGUUAGCAAAAGUAAAAGAAAUGUAAAGAAUGUGAUUGCAUGAGUUUGCAACAUAAAGUGAUGUAAAGAACACUAGAGCUAGUGUAAAGUCAAGAUUGAACUUAUAAAAUCCUUUGAGUUAAGGAUAUGAUCAUACUUGCUAUGAGUUCCGUGCUCGAGGGCGGUCGCUCCCCCUCGGGCGAUGCGCUCCGGAGUCUGGCAUCCGGGUUGGAGUAAACCCGUAAGGACGGUCCUAGCUGGUGAGUUCCUGCGAUGAUGGACUUAAUGUGAAGCAAGUUAAUGUGGCGAAACUUCCGGGUAAGCCUUGAGAUUAAAGAACAAAGAACAAGGAGCAAAGAAUAAAGAACCAAGUACAAAGUAAAGUCAAAGAACAAAUGAGUUUGCAUAAUCUGCAUAUAUUUAAUGUUGAGCAUACUUCUUGCUAUUCGUUCAGGCAUAUUAGCAUCAUGUUAUAGAUUGGUUACUAUAUCCUGCUUAUCCUUUCUAUUAUGCCUGAGUUAGUCCUAGUGGGAAAGUCGGUGAUGUUGAGGCCGAACCCACUGGGAACUUUGUUGUAGUUCUCACCCCACUAUUUCCACAGAGCCGGGACCGAGCGAGCCGGUGAGCGACCGAGGUAAAGGUAUCGCGCCUUAGUCAGAGGCCACCAAAGUUGGGGUACAUUUUGUUAGUAGACACCCUUUUAUCAUCUUUUGUACUUGAUGAUUAGUGAUGUAAAGAAAGGAUAUAAAUGUAAAGCUCAUUUUGAGGUAAAUGUGAUGUAAGGAAGAAAUGAUGAAAUUAUGUAAUGAAAUGCAAAGAAUCCUAAAUGUAAGAAAUGGAUGCAAUGUAUGUGAUCUAAAAUGAAUCAUAUUACUGGUGUAGAUGUUUAGUUUUCCUUUCUUUCACUAAUGGCUAUUGCUUACCCUCAUGUAAGCCGUUUGUGUAUGUUUCCGCUAGUGCUUUUCUCUAUUGAUGAAAAUGUGCAUGUGAUGAGCCUUGGGCGGAUAGGGGAAACUCUGUCCGUUCGGCGUCUGUUUGACGUGCUCGGGUCGGGCCAAAUUGGCAUCGGCUCCGGGGCGUGACACCCCUAUUUCUAUGUUUCCUUUUCAGAGCCUUCGGCACCGGCGAAGGCACGGGAUCGCGGCAAGGGAGUCGCAUAGCUAGAUAGCGGAGCUUGCUGUUGCUCCUAGGUGGUCACUCUCUUCUUUUUGGUUUUGUGAGAGAGAGAGUUUUGUUACCAUGUAUAGAGACCACCCAUAUUUUUAUGUUUAGCAUUUGUAUUUGGGAUUCUUCUUGUACUACUUCAUGCUUUUAUCUAGUGGACUUUCAGCUUUAUGUUCAUUUCUUUUAUUGUAGCUCAUAGAUACACUUUGCUCUGAUACAGCUAGAUGUUCUCUCUCUUCUUGUCUUAUUUAUCGUUUUGUUUUAGACGCCUUAUAUGUUUUAGACAUAUGGUGGGUCUGGACACGCGCUGGGCGGACUUCCGCUGGGUCCCGGGGCGUGACAGAUUAGUUUGGUAUCAGAGCCUAGGAUUGAGUCUUAGUAGACCUAGCAAACCUUAGGCCGGUUGGAUUAUAGAAAAUAAGCUCGUGAGAGACGAGGUCUAUUUGACUUGUGAGCGAAAGUAUUAUGAUUGGAUACCUUGAUAACUCUAAAAAGUUACAGUUGAAUCGAAGUGUAUAGCUUCUAAUUUCGCGGAGGGUUACGUUGACGGCCGACAACGUAACAUCGGGAAUUAGUAGUGAAGCACACUUCCUUACUUUCUCAUGAUUUGGGGCAUUACCUUCUUGAGUGGGGAUUCGAUAGCGUGAGUUUACUAACUUACGCUUCUAUGAUGUUGUAGUGACGAUGCCGAUUACACGCUCCCAAUCUGCCGGAGCGGAUAACACGGCUAACUUGGAGGAGGUCGAGACCUCCGCUAUCUCCGGAUUCGGCGAGGUCCGAGAGUUGAGGAGCCAGCUUGCGGCUCUCACCGACUUGGUGACGCAGCAGGCGGAGACGGCCCGACAGCAGACUGAGGCAGCGCGCCGAUAGGAGGCGUUGAUGAAGCGCCUGGAGGAACUUCUUCUACAGCAGGCGACAGCUUCCAGGGAGACUCAGGCCCCUACACCGCCAGCACCAGUUGUGGACGUCGCGCCGAGAGCGCCAUCCCCUGCCCCCAGUUCUUCACGAGCAGCGCCCGCGGCUGCGGCCGCGCCUCAGGAGGAGGCCAUCGCGGUACCACCUGUGCAGAGGCCCUCGGUUGGAGCAGCUUUCCCUACCUUGGUCGAGGGAGCGGAGCGGGACUGACUUAUGGUGCGCCACAAUGAGUUCAGGAGGUGCAGUCCUCGGAUCUUUGAUGGCGAGAAGGUCGACCACUGGAUCGUAGAGAAGUGGUUGAUGCAUAUGGAGAAGCUCUUCCGCGACACCUUCGUGGAGGAGAGAGAUCGAGUUUUGCUCGCCACACACCACUUGGACGGCGAGGCCUACCGCUGGUGGUUGGAUCUCCAAGAGAACCCCAGCAUUGACUUGGCGGCUAUAUCUUGUAAGAGGUUCAAGGAGCUUCUAUUGGCGCAUUACUUCCUGACCAGUGUCAAGAGGAAGAUGGAGCAGGAUUUGCGCAACUUGCGCCAAGGAGAUCGGACUGUAGCCGAGUACGAGCGGGAGUUUUCUCGGCUUCUUUACUGCGUGCCUUUCGUCGUGCGGGAUGACGAGGACAAGGCCCGCAUCUUCGAGCGAGGGUUGCGACCGUCGAUCUUCCGGUUCGUGCAAUCCUCUAACCUCCAAACCUACCGGGAGGUGGUGGAUCGCGCGCUCAUUGUGGAGAGCGGUGCGGCUGAUGUCCAGGAGCGGCGAGAGGCUAUGGACAAGGGUAAGGCCAAGAGGCCUACGGCUGAGGGUGCGAGCUAGACGCACUCUAGGAGGCUGCCGAAGCACCCUAGGAGCCAGCAGCGUGGGUGCGGCUCGGCAGCACCGCGAGGAGGACCUGAUCAACGCCGACCUCCCCAGUGUGUGAUCUGCGGUGGUCCUCACAUUCCACCGUAGUGCCCACAGUGGGGAGGCAGGUGCUUCCAGUGUGGCCAGAAAGGCCACUUUCGGACUGAGUGCCUGAGGGGUUCGUCACCGGCACCGUCGACUGCAUCGGCACCGGCUCUACCAGCCGUCAGCCAGGGGACUCUAUCGGCACAGUACCAGCCUGGGCGGCCACCCGUCCAGCGCUAGAGCGAGGGAUCUCGACAGGCCCCGAGUGGGCGUUUGUAUGCUGCUCAGACCGAGGAGGCGGCGGCAGCCGAGGAUGUGGUUGCAGGUAUCAUUUUACUUGCUGGUAUUAGAGUUCAUGCUUUAUUUGAUACCGGUGCAUCGCAUUCAUUUAUAGAUCGGCUGUUUGCUGAGUUGCAUGGCAUCCCUUUGGUUUCUUUGUUGCAUCCAGGACAUGUUGUAGUACCUGACCACACUCUGGAUAUUAGAGAGUUUUGCCCCAGUUGCCCUAUUCGGAUAGGAGAUUGGAUCAUGCCUGUAGAUUUGCUAGCUUUGCGCAAGCUUUGGGAUUUCGAUGUGGUCUUGGGUAUGGAUUGGCUAACCAAGUAUUAUGCCACGAUUGAUUGCAAGAAUCGCACGGUUACUUUUAGAGAAUCGAGGCAGACUGAGGUUGUAUUUAGAAAAUGCCGGAGUUCGCUUUUUGCGAUGUUGAUCAGCUCAUCUCGAGCUAGGCAGCUGAUCAGCCGAGAAUGUGUAGCCUACUUGGCUAGUGUUGUGUUGAGGGGCGAGGAUGACACCCCAAGGAUUGAGGAUAUCCCGAUAGUACGGGAGUUUCAAGACGUGUUUCCAACUGAGCUACCGGGUAUGCUACCCGAUAGGGAGAUCGAGUGGGUGGUAGAUCUCGUCCCUGGGACUACUCCAAUCUCGAAGGCACCCUAUAGGAUGGCACCGGCGGAGCUAAAGGAGCUGAGGGCACACUUACAGGAUCUGUUGGACAAGGGCUUCAUUCGACCGAGCGUCUUACCGUGGGGAGCGCCAGUUCUGUUCGUCAAGAAAAAGGACGGAUCACUUUGCCUAUGUGUGGACUAUCGUGAACUCAAUAAAGUCACGAUCAAGAAUAAGUAUCCGUUACCGAGGAUUGACGACUUGUUUGAUCAGCUUCAAGGAUCGUGUGUGUUUUCCAAGAUCGACUUGCAGUCGGCAUAUCACCAGUUGAAGAUCAAAUCCGAGAAUGUAUCGAAGACGGCUUUUAGAAUACGGUAUGGACACUAUGAGUUCACAAUUAUGCCGUUCGGACUUACAAAUGCCCCGACAGCUUUUAUGGAUCUGAUGAACCGUGUUUUCAAGCCUUACUUGGACAGGAUCGUCGUGAUGUUUAUCGACGACAUUUUGGUUUAUUCCCGAAGUGAUACAGAUCACGAGGAGCAUUUGAGGCUUGUACUUCAAAUACUUUGGGAAAAGGAGCUUUAUGCCAAGCUGAGAAAGUGUGAAUUUUGGCUUCGAGAGGUAGCCUUCCUUGGACAUUUAAUAUCGGGAUCGGGUAUAGCCGUGGAUCCUAAGAAAAUUGAGGCUAUCAAGGAUUGGCCGAGACCGAUGAGCGUUACGGAGAUUCGGAGUUUCCUUGGACUGGCCGGUUACUACCGGAGAUUUGUCGAGGGGUUUGCUAAGCUAUCUACUCCCCUCACGAGGCUCACGCAUAAAGGUGUCAAGUUCAUCUGGAAUAAUGCGUGCGAGAGAAGCUUCCAAGAGUUGAAGCAGAAACUGACGAUCGCCGCUAUCAUAACACUGCAAGUUGCUGUAGCAGGAUAUGUAGUUUACAGUGAUGCAUCUCUUAAUGGAUUGGGCUGUGUUUUGAUGCGGGAUGGCAAGGUGAUCGCGUAUGCUUCUCGCCAAUUGAAGGAUUAUGAAAAGAAUUAUCCUCCGCACGAUUUGGAGUUAGCGGCCGUAGUCUUCGCAUUGAAGUUAUGGCGCCACUACCUGUAUGACUGUGACGCACUGGACCUUUGCAAAUUGCGAGGUUCGAGUGUUUGAUCUGUGUGACGAGCCAUCUCAGACUUUCUGAAGGGUCGUAGACAGUGUUCCGACCCAUGGUUCGAGUCCUGAGAAUUGAGGUUUGAAACGGUGUACCAAAAUCCAAAAAGUUGGAUUUUUGGUUAGCUCUCGGGUUGCCUUCAGCAGGCUGCGUACCGGUACGGGUUCGCUUGCUGUACCGGUACGUGAUCGAUUGCUGUACCGGUACGCGGUUGUGUACCGGUACACAGACCAAUUCCCAGCAAACCCGAGGCUCGGGUUUGGCUUUUCGUGGGUGGUGUACCGGUACACAAACCCGUGUACCGGUACACAGUGCAGAGCGGGCUGUUUUCGUGGAGGGGUGUUUUUGCAAUUGUUGCAACACCUAUAUAUGACACCCCAGCCCCUUUGUGAGCUCCUUUGAGCCCUAGACCAGUGGAGAAAAGGUGAGAACUCCUCCCCUAUGGUUUCUUCUCCAUUUUUGUCAGGUUUUUGCUAGUUUUGAUCUCUUUUCUCUUCUCCUUCUUGCUUUUUGUGGGUAUUUCACCAUUGGAGAAGUGUGAGAUCUUGGUUGAAGCUUGUUUGAGGAUCAACCUUCAACCCUAGAGGACUUUGGAGCUUGGUUUGAAGCUUCUAAGAGGUUAGUAACUAGAUCCCUUCCUCUAGAUCUAGCUUUUGUUGGAUUUUACUAGAUCAAACCCUAGAUUUUGAAUUUUAGGGUUAAAUUUGGGGAUUUUCGUUUUGAGGGCUUUUGUACCAAAUUGAUGGGUUUAGAACCUUUGUUUAGGUUAGAUUGGAAGGACUUUAGCUCCCAUUUGGAGAUUGUGAGAGCUUCCUUCGCAAUCGGUGAGUUUUUGUCAACCCUAGCCCUAUAUGCUUAAUGAUUGAGCUUAGCGUCGUUUGUUUCGACUAGAUGACACUUGUUCUUGUACCUCUAAGGUACUAGGAGACUAGAGGACACCCUCGUUGGAGCGCACGAGGAGUUUCGUUGUCAUCGGUGGGUUUGGCUUCCUUGAAAUUGGAGGAAAUUCCUCCUAAGUGGUUAAAUACUUUCAUUCUCUUCAAAUUCAUGCAUAUUCAUGUUUAGUAGCAUCUAUGGGAAUUUUGAAUGCUUGGAACUCAUAUGUUAUGCAUCAAGAAGGUUACUCUAUAUAGUAGAGAGACAAAUGUGCUUUGUUAAUAUGCAUGCGACGAAUAUCCUAUGAGAUGAAAGGAAAUAAAGUUUCAUGCUUCGAUUUUGACUAGAAAUUAUAAGUUCUUGAACUUAGUAUCCAUGUUGGGACAAAAUGAGCCAUAGUGUCAUAAAGAGGCACUUGGACUAGAAAAUUAUUAAACUGCAACAUAGAGACUUGAUAAUAGGCCACAUUGACAACAACUAUAUUCCAUAUUUGAGAUAUGAUGAAAUAGCGACUUGGCCACGAGGACAUUUGCUAUAUACCAUGCUACUGAACAUGAGGAUUUGGUACUUGCGACUGAUCGUUUGAUUACUUGCCAUUGUGCUCAUUCGCACAUGCUUGUGAGGGUCGCUCCCUACAAGCCGGCACUCCGGAGAUGGCCAUCGCGAUACAUAUUCGCCGUGCGGGAUUGGGCGCCGAAGUGGAUUGCCGUGGGCCAGGCACACUCCUAGGGUGGGGGUGUUGACUACCACGGGGCCAUUAGGCUCGGCACCGGCCAGACAGCCUACGGGUGGGUCUCAGGGCCAUAGACAGCCUUCGGGUGGGUCUUUUCAGAUUUAACUUGAGUAUUCAUCAUGACAUGGGGACUGAUGAUUACUUAGAGUAUAUUUGGACAUUGACAUAGAAUAGUAAACAACGGGAACUUUACUAUUUGCAUUGUAACAUCUGUAUGUUUUAGUUGGAGACAUCUUACUUCAUCAUAGUUGCUUCAUACUUUCUAUUUAGCUAAGUAGAGAUAUCAUGUUUAGUAAGUUACAUUUUUUACAUUCCCUUUCACAUUUUCUAACUUAUAUCACUGAGCAUCUAUUGUAGCCUUGGCUUGUGUGCAUUCACUGAGUCUAGAAUUGCCCACUGGAAUUCAUAUUCUAAUAGUUACUCAUGCCCGACUGUUUUAUUGUUCCUUUCAGAGGCCUUCGUAGAUAAUACCGGCCGGAGGCGCGGGAUCGGCGGCAAGUGGUGUGCGUACUAGUAGCCAGGAAGGUUUAUUUUGCGCUAGGUGGUUGCUUCUUCUCCCUUUAUAUUUUGAAGAAGGUGUGAGGCUUUUGUAUGCCAUGUAUAGAGAGGCCACCUGUUACCCACUUAUAGCAGACUCUGUAUUUGGGAUCCCUAUUUACUUACUUUAUGUCUCUAUUUAGUGGAUUUUUCAGUUUUAUCCUUAUUUCUUGAUGUAGCAUUUAGACAUUUUAUUAUGCUCUGAUACUCCCUAGAUGCCUUUUAUUAUUGCCUUUUAUUAUGUUGUUUGUGUUAGACGCCUUAUAUGUUGUAGACAUAUGGCGGUCUGGACACUGCCCGGGCGGAGCCUCCGCUGGCUCCCGGAGCGUGAACAAAUGACGAGGCGGUGUGAUUAUAUCACGAUCACAAUGAUGCCUUAAAUACUGUCACCUUCAAAGGAGUAUAAACUAGGUAGUGCAGAUGAAUUUGGAGCUACUUCAAGAAUUAUUGAUCUGACGAUCCUAUAUCACCCGGCAAGGUAACGUGGUGGCGGAUCGCGGAAGUAGGAAAUCAACAGAGACUAGCCGAUGCCAUGUUGUUACUCAACCGCAGUUGAUCGAAGCAGAUGAAGCGGUUGAGUUGAUGUGUGACUCUGACACGCCCCUGAAGUGGUUGAUGACUUGGUGUUGCAACCUACAACUUUUGGAUCGAAUUAAAGAAAGCAAGCUUCCGAUGUGGAGUUGCAAAGGAAUCAAAGGAUAAAAUCUGGUUGAGGUUUGCAUACAGGCAAUUUCCUUGUGGAUGACCAAGAUUUGAUGCGUUUCGUAGACGCAUUGUGGUUAGCGGCGGUAUUCGACAAAUUAAAAGGAUAAUUCCUUCCAAGAAGCGCACCGAGCGCCCUAUGCUAUACAUCCGGGAGGCACCAAGAUGUACAAGGAUUUAAAAUUGCUCUAUUGGUGGCCCGGGAUGAAAAAGGACGUUGGCGAGUUUGUAACUCGUUGUCUAACUUGCCAACAAGUAAAAGCUGAGCAUCGAUUACCCGCAGGAAAACUUUAGAGUUUGUCUAUUCCCGUAUGGAAGUGGGAGAAAAUCACCAAGGAUUUUGUGACUGGAUUGCCUCACUCUCAGGCUGAGCAUGAUGCUAUAUGAGUGAUUGUGGAUAGGUUGACGAAGUCGGCGCAUUUCAUACCUAUUCAUACUACUUGGACAGGAGAGAAGCUCGCACAAGUGUACCUUGAUGAGAUUGUACGACUUCAUGGAGUACCUACAUCGAUCGUAUUGGAUCGAGACACUCGAUUUGUGUCUCAUUUUUGGAGGAGUCUACAGGACGCCCUAGACACCCGAUUGGACUUCAGCACUGCUUUCCACCCUCAAAGUGAUGGGCAGUCGUAGCUCACCAUCCAGACUUUUGAGGAUAUGCUCCGAGCAUGUGUGAUAGACUUCCAGGAAGGAUGGUCGCAGCAUCUACUGAUGGCGGAGUUUGCUUAUAACAAUAGUUAUCAAGCAAGCAUCAAGAUGGCGCCCUUCGAAGCACUUUAUGGACGGAAGUGUAGAUCGCCACUUUAUUGGAGUGAAGUCGGCGAGAGAUUGGCAUUAGGCCCUUAUGUGCUCUAGGAAGCUGAGGACAAGGUUUGAACAGCUCGGGAGCGACUUUUGACGGCACAAAGUAGACAGAGGAGCUACGUCGAUCGACGACGGUGAGACUUGGAGUUCCAAGUUGGAGACCAUAUUUUCUUGAAGGUCUCGCCGACUAGAGGGAUCAAGAGAUUUGGGAUUCGGGGUAAGUUGAGCCCCCGUUUCAUUGGACUGUAUGAGAUUUUGGAGCGUGUAGGUCCGGUAGCGUAUCGACUUGCUCUACCACCGAACCUAUCGGGCGUGCACAACGUCUUUCAUGUAUCGGUCAUUCGAAAGUACAUUUUCAACCCGACUCAUGUGUUGGAUGCUACACCUGUGGAGUUGCGAGACGACUUGAGCUUCGAGGAGCAACCAGUGAGGAUUUUGGCUCGCGAGGUGCGGAAAUUGCAGAAUCGGGAUAUUCUGUACGUGAAGGUUCUUUAGAGCAACCACGGGGAGCGGGAGUCCACGUGGGAGCUAGAGAGCACGCUGCGGGAGCGCUAUCCCCAUCUUUUUCAGAUGGAGCUUUGAGGUAUGUGUUUGCUUUUGAGUUUCGCGGACGAAACUUCUUUUAGGAGGGGUGAAUGUAACACACUGGACCUGUGCAAAUUGCGAGGUUUGAGUGUUUGAUAUGGAUUCCAAACUUUUUCACACUUGGUGGAAGGUCGUAGAUGGUAUUCCGACCUAAAAGUUCGAUUUCUGGAAUUUUGGCUAAGUCCUAAGAGUUUUCACUCUCGGGGACUGGUCCCUGGUAGGAGAGACCGGUCCGUCCGGAACAUUAUUGCGGCAGGACUUAAGGCAACCGAUCCCCUGGCCUGAGAGACCGGUUCCCGAACGUUUGUUUUGCGGGGCAGGCUAAGAGACCGGUCCCAGGUGUCGGGGAGACCGGUCCCUCAGUACGAAAACUGCCCAUAUCGAGCAGUGCACAGAUUGCACAGUUGAGGGACCUUAGUAGAUUUUGUUACCAUAGGAGGCUUAUAUGGUCUUUUCUCUUCCUCUCACUCUCAUUUCUCCCCUUCACACUUACUCUAAAAAGAGAAAGAGAAGGAGAAGAAGAGGAAGAAGAAGGAGAAGGAGAGGAGCUUACUUGGAGGCUUUGGAGCAUCAUCCCCUUCCUCUCAUCUCAACAUUGGUGGCUUGGAGCUCGUGGUUGAAGCUUCGUAGAGGAUCAAACUUCAACCCUACUUGGUUUAGAGCUUGGGUUGGAGCUUCUCUUGAGGUUGGUAGCUUGUAUUCUCCAUUUAAUACAAGUUUUCUAGAUUUUACUAGAUGAAACCCUAGAUUGUGGAAUUAGGAUUUAUUUUUGGGGGUUUUGGACUUGUGGCUUUUAGAGCUCUAUUGAUGGGAUUAGAACCUUAGAUUAGGUUGCUUUGGAAAGGAUUUGGCGCCGAUUUGAGCUUUGUUUGAGGAUUUCUUCACCUAUGGUGCUAGGAGAGGGCCGUACCGGUACCAGACUGGCCACCCGAGAAGCCAGCCCUCGGGUUUGGCCUCUGUCAAGCUGUUUAACCGUUGACUAAAUCAGGUAGUACCGGUACCAAGUAGCAAACCGAGAAACAGUAGCUCUCGGGUUUGAGCAGAUUACCAGGGGCGUACCGGUGAUGCAAUCUCGCGUACCGGUAUGCAGUGCUGCGAAUAGCAGGCGGGUCUGCUGCAAAUAAAAAGAGUUGGAGGGCUUAAAUGCUAUUGUAGCAGCUUAUAAAAAUACCCCAUCUUCUCCUCUCUCAUUCACAGCCAAAAACACACCCUCCUCUCUCAUUGUUCUCCCUCUCUCUCUAGGAACUCUCUUAGAGGUGGAUCAAGAGGAGAUUUGAAGAUAAAUUUGAAGGAGAUUUGGAGCUUUGGAAGAUCUAGAGCUCUCCUACAAGGUGAAGCUUGUGGAGUUCAUAGGCUAAGGUGAGGUUUCUUGUAAGAUUGAUGUUAGGGUUUGGUUUUAUACCCUAGAACACUUGGAUUUGAUCUUCUUACAUAAAAGGAAACCUAGUAGAGACCAUGGAACUCAUGAAAAUCUAUGUUUGUCCAUGAGCUCUCAUGGUAGAUUUCUAGGGUUUGCUUUAAAUGCCCUAAGAAUGGUUCAAAUGAUCUAGAAAUAGUUUGAGGAAUUUCUAGAUGAUAAUAAGCUUACUUUUGCUUAUCUUAGAGAUCAAUAUGGUGCAUUGGGUUAUAUGGCAUUGUUAGGGCACCAAAAUUGGAGCUUUUGCGCAAGGUUUGUUUAAAGAUAAAUUGACCUUAAAGAAACCAAAUUGGAGAUAUUUUCAACUCGUUGGUGGACUCGGUUCGCCGAUCCGACAAGCCUACGAAAAGAUAUUGAGAAAAAACCUAAUUUGGCUUUGUUUUGCCGCAGGUGAGAGAAUAGGCGCCCAAAAAUUCCGAAACUUGAACCGUUGCACCUUUACAACCAUACGAGGUGGGUGGUGCUUUCCGAAAUUCUCGAAUUUCCUUCUAUGUCUAAAGUGUCAUUUUUGAGCAUAUGUAUGUAUAGUAUCUUCAUGCAUUGUAGGGUUGAUUUGUAAUAUAUUAUUUGCAUACUUGUAUUAUAAAGAUGCAAUUGAGAUGUUGAAUGAAAAUGUAAACCCUAUGCGUGCAUGAACGAUAACAAGAACCUAGAUGUGACAAGAAUCUAGUGACAUUAGAGACAUAAUGACAUUAUGACAUGAAUGGUUGUGUGGCAUUAAUGAGUGUUGAAUGCUAAAGACAAACACAUAGUGUGUGUGGCAUUAACGAGUCAAGAAUGCAUGAGAACAAGUAUAAAGAACAUUUAGUGUGUGGCACUAAUGAAUGAGUAUAAAGAAUGCAAGACAAUGGCAUAUGUGACAUAGCAUCCUCAAAGUUGAGGCAUCCUUAUAGUUAAGGAAUAGAUUGAACUUGACAUCCUUAAAGUUAAAGAUUUGAUCAUACUCACCUAUAAGUCUUGGCUUGAGGGUGGUAGCUCCUCCUCGAGCGAUAAGCUCUGGAGUAGUCAUCACUGGGUUGUAGCGAGUAUCUCCCCAUAGGACGGUCCCGUCAGGUUGUAGCGAGUAUCUCCCCGAUAUUAGAGAUUUGAGUUGGUGAGUCUAUUGAGGGCUAAACCUACGAGUUAGCCAAGAGAUUGAGCUAUGGAAUGGUGAUCUUGCAUGCAUCAUGAGCAUUCUAUUUGAGUAUAUCAUUGAUUAUAUCUUGUUCAGGCAUAUUAGCUACAUUUGUAUAGUUUGGUUACUAUCUAUCUGUUCAUUCUUCUAUUAUGCCUGAUCUAGACCUAGUGGGAAAGUCGGCGAGGUCGGCGGCCGAACCCACUGGAAACUUUGUUGUAGUUCUCACCCCACUAUUUUCCACAGAGCCGGGACCGAGUGAGCCGGCCCACAAUUGUGGUAAAGGUAUCGCGCCAUAAACAAAGACCACCCGAGUUGGUUUUCAUAUUUUGUAUAGUUGUAUACCCCUUUAUAUCAUCUUUGGUACUUUGAUGAUUAUGGAUGUAUGAAUGAUGCAAAUGUAUUAAUGAAAGAAUGUAAAGAGUUCUAUUUUGGAGUUCACGUGAUGUAAAAGAAAUGAUGAAAAGAAUGUGAAUGUUGAAUGCAUUUAUGUGAUUAAAAGUUGAUCAUAUUACUUGUAUAUUGUUUAGUUUAGUACUUUCACUUUUGGCUAUUGCUCGCCCUCGUGCAAGCCAUAUAUAUCGUUGUUCCACUGCAGAAUUUAUAUAUACAUGAUUUAUACUUGUGUUGAGCCUUAGGCGGACAGGAGAGGUGCUGUCCGUUCGGCGUCUGUUCGACGUGCCCGAACCGACCAAAUAAGUCGGACUCAGGGCGUGACAGAUAUAAUGGUAUCAGAGACUAAAAGUGAAAGUAUAGGAUGGAUCUAGAGACCCUUAGGAAUGAAAAAUCUUAAGGAUCUAGGAAACGUGAGUGACGUAGAAUCAAAGUAUAGCGAAAGCUUCAUGAUUGGGUUGAUGUUAGUAAGUCUCUAAUAUUGUUAGGGGCUAAUCCAAGUUGAUAUUUGUUCUCUAUUUCACGUGUUGUGUUAGGCGGCCGACAACAUAAGUCUUUGGAAUGAGAAUGAAUACACUUGUUUGCUUUCGCCGGAUUGGGUUUGUUUGAGUAUGUUGGUCGUGUAGCUAACAUGAAUUGCUACAUUUCAAGAAGCGAUGCCUCGUGGUAGACCCUGAACAAGGUCGAGGCUUGAGGAGCCGAAUGCGGCCCCCGAGCAAUCCGGAGCAAGUGACGACGGGGAGCUUUGGGAGUAAGUGUCCGCAUUUAUUGGAGUAAUGCGACAACAAGCGGAGUCUAUGCAACGCCAAGGGGAGCAAAUUCAAAGGCUUCAAGAGGCCUUAAAGCGACAGCAGGCGGUGGCCCAAGUAGGGGCCGAGCACCCUGAGCCCCCUAUAGUGGUGCCGACUAUGGUAGAGGGAGUGGCGGCGGCGGCUGUGCCAGUCACAGCGAUGCCGGCUGGUUCGGGAACCUCAAAUCCCGAUAGUGCGGUUAUGGAGGCGGAGCAGGAGCGUGCACUUGCAGCUCUCGUUAUGUUCAAGAAAUUCAGCCCGCCUACAUUCGACGAGAAGAAAGUAGAGUCGGCGAUGGUGGAGUUGUGGAUUGACGGGAUGGAGACGCUCUUCGAGGAUAUUUAUACCUUGGAGAAGGACAAGGUGCACCUCGCCACUCAUUGUUUUGAGAAGGCGGCGAAGGUGUAGUGGAAAUGGGUGAAGCGUGAUCGAUCUUCCGACCUCCCGCCUAUGCUUUGGGAGGAGUUUCGGAGGUUGAUGUUCCAGAAUUAUUUCCCCGACACGGUGUUAUGUAUUUUGAGUUGGCAAGUUUCGUGAAUUGAGUCGAAGUCUUGAAGAGUUCGGUGCAUAUUGUCGAAGAUCAAAGAAUCCAAGGCUUCGAGAACUCAGAAAUAUCUCAUGAUAUGAAUCACGAUGCUCAGAUAAGUUUUUGAUUUAUGAUAUGGUGAUUCAUACUUAGUUAUAGAUGUUAGAAUCAUGAAAAUCAAAGAUUAGUGGAUCAGAAAGUGCUUUGGAACUUUUGAAACCCGAGGUUGUGAAAUUCUGAAAACUGCAUGUCACGCCCCGAGACCGAUGCCAAUUUGGCCCGACCCGAGCACGUCAAACAGACUCCGAACGGACAGAGUUUCCCCUAUCCGCCCAAGGCUCAUCACAUGUACAAUUUCAAUAAGAAGUGCACUAGCGGAAACAUACACAAACGGCUUACACGAGGGUAAGCAAUAGCCAUCAGUGAAUUUCUGAAGAUUUGACUUAAUCUUCGAACUCUAGUCAGUAACCGUGUGAAACCUUCACACCCUUAUCUAUGUUCACCUUUGCUUCACUAUUUUCUUAAGGUUAACGGUUCCAUUGAGCUUACGACUUAAAACAUCAACUAAACCAGCUUUACUUGGUAUACUACAGUUUUACUUUUCCUUAACGAAGGUUUAAUUUAACUAUCGAACCCUUCCAGGGAACCACAUAAAACCUUCACAAACCCACUUUAGCCUCGCUUUUGCCUUUUAAAUCUUAAAAGACAUUCCUUGCCCUGACUCUUUUAAUCGUCUUUUACGUGUCACAGUCUUUUAAUACUUUUAACCGUCUCUACAGUCCUUGUAAUAAUACUCCGAUCUAAACUUCAAAGUCUAAAAAGACUGUGGACAUCUCUCUCUUUAUCGUAGACCUUCAAUAGCCUAUUUCUAAUGUCAAGCCCUGUCAAGCGUCACUGGUUUGCCCCAGCUUUGACUUUACAAUUUUAAAGUCACCUGAACAAUUCAUUUUUGCUUGUAAGGACGGUUUAAACUCGAGUUAGCCUGACAGCCUUCCCGAAUGCCUUCCAUAAACUAGGCUCAACGCGUUGCCUGAAAUCAGCUCCCCGUAAUACCAUUAAAGGCGUACGAAUCACCUAAAGGUGAUUCAAGGGACGGUCCCUUGAAGCUAGGAAUAAGGGGGGAGAAGUACGACGUAUGCAUCUCUCUCUCUUUCUCGUCUCUUCUCUUUUCUUUUCUUCCCUUUUCUCUUCUUCUUCUUCUUCUUUUUUCUCUUCUUCUUCUUCUUCUUUUCUCCAUUCUAAAAUUGGAGAGGGAGAACGGAGAGAGAGGGACGUAGAACAGAGGGAGAGGGACGACGGGUCGUAGUCAUCGUCGUCGUUUGACGACGACCUCGUCGUCGGUCGUCGUGGUCGUCGACGACCUCAUCGAGUGUCGUCGUCGUCGUCGUUUGUCGUAGUCGUCGUCGACGUCGUUAGUCGUCGUCGUCGUCGUCGGAAUCGUCGUCGUCGUCGGAGUCGUCGACGUCGGUCGUAGUCGUCGACGUCGUCGUCACGUUCGUCGUUCGUCGUCGUCGUCAACGUGGUCGUCGUCGUCGUCGACGUAACCGACGUCGUCGUCGUCACCGUGGUCGUAGUCGUCGUCGAGUCGUCCUCGACGUCGUCGUCGUCGUCGUCGUCGAACCUCGUCGACGACAGUCGUCGUCGUCGACGACGGGACGUCCCCGUCGUUCGUUCCUUUCUUUUCUUUUCUUUCUUUCCUUCUUUUCUUUCUUUCUUUCUUUUCUUUCUUUUCUUUCCUUUCUUUUCUUUUCUUUUCUUUUCUUGUUUCCUCUCUGCUUUAGUAUGCGCAUUGAGAGGGGGAAGUAAGGAUCGAUAGUUCCCUGGCAGGAACUUAGUGGGAAUCACAGCUGCGAAAUACAUAAUGCCCUGGACUAAGUUUCGUUUGCGCAACUCGGAUCAAUACUCGUAAGCCUUACGGACAGUCGAUUGGCUCAAUUUCGCAGGAUAUGUUCUUUUUAUUAACAGUACUGAUUGUUAAUUUCAGUUUUCGACCCGUUUUGGUCGCAAUGUCUCGAAUGUAAUUUUAUCGGAUUACUUCAGAUGCUAUUUUCUUAUUUAGUGUUAGAAAAUCUAACUUCAAAUCUAGCCUGAUAAUAAUGUUCCUGAAUUUGCAUUUUCAUAAUUUUCUGACACUGUGCAUUUUCUCUAUUUUUCUCAGUCCGUUUUUCAGAGAUUCAAUUUUCGUUUUCGCUCCCGAUUCACACACUUCAAAAUACACAAGGCACUCUCUCACAUAUCAAUUUAAUUUGAGAAUUCCUUGCAUUUGAAUUAUGCGUUCAUUGUCGACCAUAAUCAAUACAAAAUCCAGAUUCGAGUUACUUUGGCAUUGGCAUUUUUUAUCAAUUGUUUUCCCUUGUAUGCUUCACAUUCAAAGUGUUGCCAAUGAUGUAUAGCUUUAUAGGAUUCGGUUUAUGAAGUCGUUUAGUUAUGUUUAGGCUAUUGUGCCCACUUUGAUCCAAUUAUGUAAUUGUUUGAGUUCUGAUUCGAGUCUUAGGUCUACUCAAACGGUAAUGAUACUCGGGAGCCAGUAGCCCGAGGGAGGCCGACGCCUGGGGAGACCGGACUUAAAUAGUGCAAGUAUGAUCUUUACUUAUAAAGGUUUGUUCAAUCUUGAUAUACACUAGUUAGUGUUUUUUAUAUUAUGUUGCACUCAUGCAUACAUUCUUACAUUUUCAUUUCUUUGCUAUUAGCAAUCAUUUCUUUGCCAUUAUUUCUUUUAUUUACCUUGUCAUGUUAUGCUGUGUAAUCAUUUAGUUCUUACAUUACAUAAUUGUGUUUCCACAUUAAGCUUUAUCGAAUGCCACUCGAUCUAUGUCAUUGUGUCACUCUGUUCUUUUGCUCACUUUGGGUGCUCACAUUAACUCUCAUGCAUACAUCUAGGGUUUUUACAUUAUUAGGUUCUCAACCAUCUCAUUAUGCAAGUUGUGCUCACAAUCAUGCAAUCAUCACAUUUCAUCAUUACUUUACCCUAAAAUGCAUGCAACAAUAUAUAGAACAUAUGCUCAGAGAAUGACACAUUAGGCAUAGAGAGAAUUUCAAUGAGUUUGAAAAGCACCACCCACCUUGUAGGUCUCUUUAGGUGCUCCGAUGAUUUUCUUAGGAUUUUUAGAUGCCUCGUUCUUUACCUGCGGCAAAACGAACCCUUAUUAGGCCAUUUUGCCCAUAACUUUUCAUACACUUUUCGAAAUGCUAUUCCGAGCGCACCAACGCGUCGGAAAUACCCCCAAUUAGGUUUUUAGAGGGUCAAUUGCACUUAGAAACCUUCAUGAGCAAAAGCCCCAAUUUGGGUGCCCUAGCUCCAAUACACAUAUCAAACCUAGGGUUUGAUCUCAUUGGGAAGCAAAAGUAGCUUCACUACACUCUAAUUAGUCCACUAGAACCAUUCUUAGGCUUUCCAAAACUCUAGUUUGGAUUUCACCAUUAGAGGUGGGUUGAAGCUCACCUUGGGCUCAACCAUGGAUUUGAUCUCUAAAGAAGCAAAAAGAAAGCUUCAAAUACUCUAAAAGCUCCAUAAAAACCAAUUCUAGGUUUACCCAAACCCUAGUUUGGGAGUAAUCAUGAAAAGGGGAAAAGCCUACCUCAAAGCUUGCCCUAACUUGCACUAGAGAGGAAGAAGAUGAAGCUCCUUUAGCUCCUUAAUCUUCUUCUUCACUUUCUUCUCCUUCUUCUCUUCCUUUCUUCUUCUUCUCCUUCUUUGUCUUCUAGAGAGAGAAAGAGAGGAGAGAGUGUGAGAGGGAGUGGAAUGAGAGGAAAAACCCCUCAGCCCCCUAACAUAGCUCAAUGGGUUGCAAAAAUGCUAAUAAACCCCUCAACUUCCACUUUAUUACACUGCCCGAGCUGGGCAGUUUUCGCAGGCAGAGACCGGUCUCCCCGAGCAGGGACCGGUUCCCGAACGUCCACCCUGCGCAGCCAGAGCCGCUGCGCGCAGAGCAACCGGUCUCUCCUUAUGGGACCGGUCUCUGGGGGACCGGUCUCUCAGGCAGAGACCGGUUCCCGAGAGCUAUCCUUCUAGGACUUAGCCGAUUUUUCGGCAGUCCCAUUUCAUACGCGUUCGGGGACCGAUCUCUCCCACCAGGGACCGGUCCCCGAGAGCUGAAAAUCUGCAGUUUUACAGAAUUUGAUUCUUUAGCUCUCGAAAACCUUCCACAACUCACUUUUGAUCAUUUUAACACCUUCGGACUUUCCGAAGUGCACCAUCUUCGCACUUUGGUCAAUUUGACUAAAGUUCGAUAUUUAUUUUUCGAAUUUUCGGUAUAUUACACUGCAGCUGUUAACCGAUAAUGCAUUGGACUAUUAACCAGUUAUGCAGUAUAUGGAAUUUUCUGUGUCAUCUUUUGGUACCGGUACCAACAUGAUGCAGUACCGGUACGUAGUGUAAAACCCGAAAACUUUCUAAUCCGACUCUAAUUGAUUCUAAGGUCUAUAAAUAAGCUUUAAGGGUUCUCUAACUUAUUGAAGAUCAUGAGAAUACAUGUUUGAGAAAUCCUAGAGGCUAGGAUUUCGUUCUAAACCUAUUUUCUACAAAUUAGCCUCUUUUAGGUCAAUUCGAGGUAUUGAAAAUUGAUAUCUAUAUGUCGAAUUGAUCUACUCUUCGCUUAGAGAUUCUUCUCUGGUUUUUAUCGAUACUCUAAGCGAAGGAUCACCAUAAUCAUGAUGUUCUUCAUGAACGGCGUCGUGGAUUCGAUGUGAUCGAAGGCGGUUCGAGGAUUCGGAUCGUGUGCUCGUAGAUUCGAGUGGCGUUCGUGGAUUCAGACGUGUGCGAGGCGUUCGUGGAUUCGAACGUGAGGGCGUGGACAACCCGGAGAAUUGUGCGAGAUUCAUAGGAGGUUAAGAGAGGUCGAGUCCGUGGAGUCAGUAAUCACCUUGUAAUCUUUUCUCUUAGUGAAUUAUUUUUUUGCGUGUUGGUCCCGUAGAUUUUUUACUCCAAGUUGGAGUUUUUCCACGUAAAUCUCGGUGUGGUUUUUAUUUUUCGCAUUUAUAUUUUAUCGCAUUGAGAUUUCUGAUUUUUGGCCGUUACACCUAUUCACCUCCUCUAGGUGUUUGAUGCAAUCUAGAUAGAUCAUAGGGCUCCUCGUAACUUACACACGGUGAAGCAAAAGCUACAAGAUAAAUUCCGCAAGGUAGGGCAGAGUGAUCGAUCGGUGGGGGAAUAUGAGCAAGAGUUCUCUCACAUUAUCGAUUGCAUCGCGGAUGUGGUUAGGGAUGAUCAGGAUCGGGCCAAUUGGUUCUUGCAAGGACUUCGGCCGGAGAUUUAUAAGGCCGUGCAGUUGUUCAAGCUCACGACCUUUGCGGAGGUCUUCGAUCGAGCGUUGUGGGCGGAGCACGGCAAUGCCUACGCGCGAGAAGAGAGCGGGUCUAUGGACAAGGAAUGAGAUAAGGGCAAGAAGCGGACUGCGGGUUGUGCUGAGGGUCAAUCGAAUGCAAAGAAGCCCCCUCGGUAUCUCCGGCAGCAGUCGAGGAGUUGGAGGCCUGCUCGUUGUGCUAUUUGUGGUGGUGAUCAUCGACCGCCGGCAUGCCCGCAGCGCGAUGGAAAGUGUUACAAGUGCGGCCAAGCGGGGCAUAUUGCUCGGGAUUGCCCGAGUUGGACGUCGUCUGCACCGACGGCGACAUCAGUUCCUUCUACCCUGAGAUAGCUUGCGGGGUUGCCUCCUACUAUGUCGGCGGGACGCGCAUCAGCAUCGCAUCAGCCGGAGGGAUCUCGAGCACCUAGUGGGCGGAUUUUUGCCACUCAGGUAGAGGAGCCUACUGUACCAGAUGAUAUCGUGGCAGGUAUUAUUUUAAUUAAAGACACUAGAGUUAGAGCUUUAUUUUACACGAGUGCAUUUCAUUCAUUCAUUGGUGCAUCAUUCGCUAAGACUCAUAGCAUUGAAGUGUUGUAUAGCCUGAAUUAUUGGUGGGUUGAGGCACCAGAGCAUUCUUUUAGUGUUCACGAGGAGUGCGUGGCUUGUCCAGUACAGAUGGGUGAUUGGAUCAUGCCGGCAGAUUUGCUAGUGCUAAACCAAAUGUGGGGUUUCGAUGUAAUCUUGGGGAUCGAUUGGCUCUCCAAGUACUACGCAGUUAUUGAUUGUGAGAGCAAGGUGAUCACUUUUCAUGAGCCUAAUCAAGAGAAGUUAGUGUAUCGGGCAUGUAAAAGCUCGCGCUUCGCGGAGACCGUAUCGGCGGCGAGGGCGAGGUAAAUGAUUAAAGCUGGAUGUGUAGCCUAUUUAGCGACAAUAGUAGAGACUCAAAGGGAGCACCCGGAACUUGGGAGUAUCCGAGUAGCAUGCGAGUUUUCGGAUGUAUUUCCGGCGGAGUUACCGGGAUUGCCACCAGACCGGGAGAUUGAGUUCGUCAUUUACUUGGUUACCGGGGCGGCGCUAAUUUCGAAGGCUCCGUAUAGAAUGGCACCGUUGGAGCUAGUAGAGUUGAAAGCUCAGUUGCAAGACUUGCUCGAUAAAGGCUUUAUAAGGCCGAGCGUGUCACCGUGGGGAGCUCCGAUGCUAUUUGUGAAGAAAAAUGAUGGCACACUUCGACUCUGUGUGGAUUAUCGCGAGUUGAACAAAAUGACAAUCAAGAACAAGUACUCGUUGCCGAGAAUCGAUGAUCUAUUCGACCAGUUGCAAGGGUCGCGGGUAUAUUCGAAGAUUGAUCUUCAGUCGGGGUAUCAACAGUUGAAGAUCAUGCCGAAAGAUGUGCACAAAACGGCGUAUCGUACGCGGUAUGGCCACUACGAGUUCACGGUAAUAUCGUUUGGCUUACUAAUGCCCCGGCAGCAUUUAUGGACUUGAUGAAUCGAGUCUUUCGACCGUUGUUAGACCGGUGCGUUGUGGUAUUCAUUGACAACGUAUUGGUUUAUUCACGGAGCGAGGAGGAACACGAGAAACAUUUGAGAACCGUGUUGCAAAUACUCCGAAAAGAGAAGCUCUAUGCCAAGUUGAAGAAAUGUGACUUGACUUUCAGAGGUCACUUUCUUAGGCCAUGUGAUAUCCGGGAGCGGAGUCUCGGUGGAUCCAAAGAAAGUCGAGGCGGUUAAAGAUUGGCCUCGCCCGACAAGUAUAGCGGAAGUCCGUAGUUUUCUUGGACUUGCGGGAUACUACCAGCGGUUCGUGGAGGGGUUUGCCAAAAUAACUACUCCACUAACGCACUUUACGCACAAAGGAGUGAAGUACGUGUGGACCGACGAUUGCGAUCGGAGCUUCGAGGAAUUAAAGGAAAGGUUGACAUCGACCCCGAUGCUUGCUCUGCCGACGCCUGGGGAGAGCUUUGUAGUGUACAAUGAUGCCUCGUAUAUUGGUCUCGGGUGUGUUUUGAUGCAAAAUGGACGAGUGAUUGCCUAUGCUUCUCGUCAAUUGAAGAGUUAUGAAAAGAACUACCCGAUUCACGACCUUGAGCAAGCUGCAGUGAUAUUCGCGCUAAAAUUGUGAAGACAUUACUUAUACCGUGAGCAUUGUGAGAUUUACACGGAUCAUAAGAGUCUCAAAUACUUGUUCACACAAAAAGAAUUGAAUAUGCGACAACGGCGGUGGUUAGAGUUGCUAAAAGAUUAUGAUGUUACUAUUCUAUACCGCCAGGGAAAAGCUAAUGUCGUAGCCGAUACACUAAGUAGGAAAUCGGUGAAAAAUUUGGCUUCGGCAAUUACACCCCAACCGUUGUUGCAAAAAGAGAUGCAACGGUUUGGACUUGAAGUAGUAGCUCUAGGAGUGCCAGCCACUCUUGCCGCAUUGGUAGUGCAACCGACCUUGCUGGAGAAGAUUAAAGAGUUACAAGCUUCCGAUCCAUAUCUCCAAAAGGUGCGUAGGGAAGUUGAGAGCGGUAGUGCCAAUGAUUUUGGCAUUGGGACCGAUGGCGCACUACGAUUUCGAUAUCAUUGGUGUGUGCCUAAAAAUGAGAACAUUCUAAAGGCGAUCAUGCAAGAAGCGCAUCAAUCUCCCUAUAGCAUACACCCGGGUGGCACUAAGAUGUACCAAGACUUGAAAGUACAUUAUUGGUGGCCGGGCAUGAAGAAAGAUAUUGGGGAGUUCAUGGCGCAAUGUCUUACGUGCCAACAAGUAAAAGAGGAGUGCCAGUUUUCGGCGGGAAAGCUUCAAAGUUUAUCUAUACCCAUUUGGAAAUAUAAAGAUACCGCCAUGGAUUUUGUGACCGGCUUGCCUCGAUCUCAAGCCGGACAUGAUGCAAUUUGGGUAAUAGUGGACCGGUUGACGAAGUCGGCUCAUUUCUUGCUGAUUCAUACCAUGUGGUCCGGAGACAAAUUGGCUCAAGUAUAUCUCGACACGAUUGUGAGACUACAUGGGGUUCCGGUGUCUAUAGUGUAGGCUCGAGACCCUAGGUUCACAUCACAUUUUUGGAAGAGCCUACAAGACGCUUUGGGCACACGGCUCGACUUUAGCACGGCAUUUCAUCCUCAAAGUGAUGGUCAAUCGGAGAGUGUUACGUCCUAUGUGUUGGCAAAUUUCGUGGGUCGAGUUGGAGUCUUGAAGAAGUCCGGAGCGGAGUAUUGAAGAUCGAAGAAUCGAAGACUUCGAAGAAUCGGAAAGGACGCAAAACACGCAAAACAUGAAUCACGAUGCUUAGGUAAGCUUUAAAUCUUGUUUAUGGUGAUUCAUACUUAAUUAUAGAUUUUAGAAUCAUGUUUUCAAGUUGUAAUUGAUUAGAAAGUUUCUAAGAGCUUGUAAAACUCGAAACAAUGCAUUUUCAGCGAAAAUUGCAUUGUUGUACCGGUACAAGGAUUUUUUGUUCCGGUACAAACAUCAGCUUUUGCUGCAGAAAAGUUUGAUGGUUGUUCCGAUACAACCAUCAUUGCUGUACCGGUACAAGCCCUGUUCCGGUACAAGCUGCAGCCUAUCCAGGGUACAGAAGCUUCGCAGAAAAAUCUUCCGUCAUGGUGUAUCCUGGACAGCUUUCCUUGUUCCGAUACAAGGUGCUGAUUUUGGAAAGAAACUUUUUAAUCCUACUCUGUUUUGAUUCUAAAGUCUAUAAAUAAGCUAUUGGGGUUCUCUAACUUAUUAAGCAUCAUAAGAAUACAUGUUUGAGAAACCCUAGAGGCUCGGAUUUCAUACUAAACCUAUUUUCUACAAAUUAACCUCUUUAGAUCAAAUCGAGAUAUCGUUUCGCAUUCUUUAUAUGUCGAUUUGAUCUCCGCUUCGCUUGGAGUUCUAUUCCCUGGUUUUCUACGAUACUCCUAAGCGAAGGAUCACCAUAAUCAUAAUGCUCUUCAUGAAUGGCGUCAUGGAUUCGGCGUGAACAAAGGCGGUUCGUGGAUUCGGAUCGUUGGCUCGUGGAUUCGAGUGGCUCGUGGAUUCGAGUAAAGCGGUUUGGAGUCCGUAGGAAGUUAAGUCCCCGGUAUGUCGGACCGUUUGAGAUAUUAGAGCUGGUUGGUGCGGUGGAAUACAAGCUUGCAUUACCACCGAAGCUUGCGGGAGUUCACAAUGUAUUUCAUGUAUCAAAUCUCCGCAAGUAUAUCCGCAAUUCGACACAUGUGCUAGAGUAUUAACCGGUGGAAUUGAGCGAGGACAUGACCUAUGAGGAGUACACGGUGUGUAUCCUCGAUAGAGAAGAAAGGAAGUUGCGGAGUCGCACAAUUCCCUACGUUAAAGUCCAGUAGAGUAAUCAUGUGGUGCGUGAAGCCACUUGGGAGCUUGAGGAAAUAAUGCGAAAGAUGUACCCUCACCUAUUCGAGUCGACGAGUUAAGGUAUGUGUUUAGUUUGGCGGACGAAACUAAUUUUAAGGGGUGGAGAAUGUAAUAUACUGAAACCUCAGUAGGUUAUAUCGAACUUUAGUCAAAUUGACCAAAGUGUGCAAGAGAAAUAGUUGAACAAAUUCUAUUUGACAUUCCAAAAAUUUUGGAAGGGUUAGAGUUGAGUUUCAAGUGAGUUAGAAGGGUUUUAGCAUUGCUCGGCGCGAAAUAGAGUCAAGUACUGCCAAACUCAAGUCUGGAGCAUUGUUAACCGAUGAAGCAUCAAGGCCGUACCGGUACCAGACUGGCCACCCGAGAAGCCAGCUCUCAGGUUUGGCCUCUCGGGUUUGAGCGGAUUACCAGGGGCGUAACGGUGAAGCAAUCCCGCAUUUAACCGGUGAUUAAAUCGGGUAGUACCGGUACCAGACUGGCCACCCGAGCAUUGUUAACCGUUCAAGCUAUUUAACCGGUGACUAAAUCAGGUAGUACCGGUACCAGGUAGCAAACCGAGAAAUAGCAGCUCUCGGGUUUGAGCAGAUUACCAGGGGCGUACCGGUGAUGCAAUCCCGCGUACCGAUACGCAGUGCUACGAACAGCAGGCUCGGUCUGCUGCUAAUAAAAGAGUUGGAGGGCUUAAAUGCUAUUGUAGCAGCUUAUAAAAAUACCCCACCUUCUCCUCUCUCAUUCACAGCCAAAAACACUCCCUCCUCUCUCAUUUUUCUCUCCCUCUCUCUAGGAACUCUCUUAGAGGUGGAUCAAGAGAAGAUUUGAAGGUGGAUUUGGAGAAGAUUUGGAGCUUUGGAAGAUCUAGAGCUCUCGUACAAGGUGGAGCUUGUGGAGUUCAUAGGCUAAGGUGAUAUUUCUUGUAAAAUUGAUGUUAGGGUUUGGUUUUAUACCUUAGAACACUUGGAUUUGAUCUUCUUACAUGAAAGAAAAUCUAGUAGAGACUAUGGAACUCAUGAAAAUUCAUGUUUGUCCAUGAGCUCUCAUGGUAGAUUUCUAGGGUUUGCUUUAAAUGCCCUAAGAAUGGUUCAAAUGACCUAGAAAAAAUUUUAGAGGAAUUUCUAGAUGAUAAUAAGCUUGCUUUUGCUUAUCUUAGAUAUCAAUACGGUGCAUUGGGUUAUAUGGCAUUGUUAGGGCACCAAAAUUAAGGCUUUUGCCCUAGGUUGGUUUAAAGAUAAAUUGACCUUGUAGAAACCAAAUUGGGGAUAUUUCCAACUCGUUGGUGGACUCGGUUUGCCGAUCCGACGAGCCUACGAAAAGAUAUUGAGAGAAAGCCUAAUUUGGCUUCGUUUUGUUGCAGACGAGAGAAUAGGCGCCCAAAAAUCACGAAACUUGAACCGUUGCACCUUUACAACCAUACGAGGUGGGUGGUGCUUCCCGAAAUUCUUGAAUUUUCUUUUAUAUCUAAAGUGUCAUUUUUUAGCAUAUGUAAGUAUAGUAUCUUCAUGCAUUGUAGGGUUGAUUUAAGAUAUGUUAUUUGUAUACUUGUAGUAUAAAGAUGCAAUUGAGAUGUUGAAUGAAAGUGUAAACCCUAUGCGUACAUGAAUGAUGACAAGAACCUAGAUGUGACAAGAAUCUAGUGACAUUAGAGACAUAAUGACAUUAUGACAUGAAUGGUUGUGUGGUAUUAAUGAGUAUUGAAUGCUAGAGACAAAUACAUAGUGUGUAUGGCAUUAACGAGUCAAGAAUCCAUGAGAAAGAGUACAAAGAUCAUUUAGUGUGUGGCACUAAUGAAUGAGUAUAAAGAAUGCAAGACAAUGGCAUAUGUGACAUGGCAUCCUCAAAGUUGAGGCAUCCUUAUAGUUAAGGAAUGGAUUGAACUUGACAUCCUUAAAGUUAAGGAUUUGAAUCAUACCCACAUAUAAGUCUUGACUUGAGGGUGACAGCUCCUCCUCGAGCGAUGAGCUCCGGAGUAGUCAUCACUGGGUUGUAACGAGUACCUCCCCAGAGGACGGUCCCGUCGGGUUGUAGCGAGUAUCUCCCCGAUAUUAGGGAUUUGAGUUGGUGAGUCUAUUAAGGGCAAAACCUACGGGUUAGCCAAGAGAUUGAGCAAUGGAAUGGUGAUCUUGCAUGCAUCAUGAGCAUUCUAUUUGAAUAUUUCAUUGAUUUUAUCUUGUUCAGGCAUAUUAGCUGCAUUUGUAUAGUUUGGUUACUAUCUAUCUGUUCAUUCUUCUAUUAUGCCUGAUUUAGACCUAGUGGGAAAGUUGGCGAGAUCGGCGGCCGAACCCACUGGAAACUUUGUUGUAGUUCUCACCCCAUUAUUUUUCACAGAGCCGGAACCGAGUGAGCCGAUCGUGGUAAAGGCAUCGCGCCAUAGACAGAGACCACCCGAGUUGGUUUCCAUAUUUUGUAUAGUUGCAUACCCCUUUAUAUCAUCUUUUGUACUUUGAUGAUUAUAGAUGUAUGAAUGAUGCAAAUGUAUUAAUGAAAGAAAGUAAAGAGUCCUAUUUUGGAGUUCACGUGAUGUAAAAGAAAUGAUUAAAAGAAUGUAAAUGUUGAAUGUAUGUAUGUGAUUAAAAGUUGAUCAUAUUACUUGUAUAUUGUUUAGUUUAGUACUUUCACUGUUGGCUAUUGCUUGCCCUCGUGCAAGCCAUGUAUACUUUAUUCUGCUGUGUAGAAUUUAUAUAUACAUGAUUUUUACUUGUGUUGAGCCUUGGGCGGAUAGGAGAGGUGUUGUCUGUUCGGCGCCUGUUCGACGUGCCCGAACCGACCAAAUAGGCCGGGCUCGGGGCGUGACAUCGGCACUUCCCUGUUCAUUUCUUGGGUGGCCCGUUUCUUUUCGGCCUCUCGCUUCUUCUCAAGACGGGCCUCUCGGCGGAUUUGUCUAUCAAUCUUCGUCCCCAAAGAUGAAGCGAAACGGCCACUUGAAGUAUCUUCAGGAGGUGACUGUUUCAUUGGGAAAAAAUGAUAAAUGAAUCAAAACAAAAGAAAGAUUAAGUUUAGCCAAUCGAAUUGAUUACCUCAAUCGUGAUUGGCUUAUUAGGAACAGAGACUUCCUUUGGAACAUCAACCGAAGGCGUAUCUUCGGCUCUUUUUUCUGGAACACCAGCCGAAGGUGUGCCUUCGGCUAUUUUCUUCAAUACUUCAACCGAAGGAGUGCCUUCGGCUCUCUUAGAAUGUGGUUUCUUAGCAGCCGACUUGCACCGCAUUGGAGGCGGCGGAAGAGUAGACUGUUCAGACUCUAUCGAUUUUUUCUCUAAAGCUGGGACCAAUAAAGAAGCCAGAAUUGGCUGUAUAUAGAGAUAAAGUAAGUACUAAAUCGUACAAGAAAAAAAAAAUCAAAACAAAAAGAGUAGAGCUUACUACAGAAGAAGAAGGUGCGGUAUCAGAAUUAUGAUCGAAAUUCUCUUUCGAUUCUUCCCUUAGUGCGGAUGGAGCAACGGUAUCAACCGAACUGCUCGAAAAGGAUAUCGUUGUAUAUAAAAAAAAUAAGUAGAAAUUAUUUUAAAGAAAAAUAAUUAUAGUAAUUAGCAAGGGAUUUACCAAGUAGAUGAAUGGUCUUGCGAUGUGCCCGAUGCGUGGAUAAAUCGAAGACCCGAUCAGUAAAAUGAUCCUAAGUUACGGUAUAACGGAAACCCACCACUCCUGUGAAAUUCGGCCUAAAGGUUACUAAUUUAAAGAACCGCCGAAGACGAUUCCCCAUAGCUAAAAUUCGAUCAACUUCGGCUGUGCUUUUGGUAGGGGCCGAUGGACACGAUCAGCAAAUGGAGACCAGGCAAUGAGGAAAUGAGGACGCGAUUCAUAAAAAGUUUUGAAAUAAGUGAUAAAAUCAAGAGGGUGCCCCGAUGACAAUAGCUGGGGACAGCUGAGAGCUAACCGAUAAGAAUCAAAAUGAGCAACCGAAUUUAGAUCUAAAGGAUUUCGGCAUAAAUCAGAAAAAUAAAUUUGCAAAAAUAUUUGUAAAAGCUAGAAAACACCACAACCAGAGCCGAUGGUUACACCAUCUCCAAAAGGUAGUGGUUUGAUAGAAUCAAAAAUUUUUCUAUAAACAAAAGCAAGAAAAUAGGGUCCUAAAGCUAAUCUAUCGCCGUUAGCUAAACCUACGACGAUUGGGACAAAAUCCCGAUUAAUUUUCUAUAAACGGGUACUGUUGUUUUUCCGAAUUUCCUGAUGCUUUGACCCUCCUCGGGAAGUGUGUCGAAGUGGAAAUCGGCUGCUGAUCGUGACCCUCGAAGUUUGCGCCCGCGACGGGUCAAGCGAUUCGACCGAUGAGGGAUCAAAUCGGCCGGGUCCGAAAAUCUCCUUAGUAAAUUUGCUUCGGCAAGACGAGCCGAAUGAACAGGUGGGGCCUAUAUUCAGGCUGAGAGAUGAACCGAAUAGUCAGGACAAAACGAGAUCUGGUCGGCCUGAGGAGCCGAAAACGAUUUUCUAUUAAUAAGAAGGGAGUGAUGCCCGGAGGGCAGACAGACUCCGAAGUGUACAAGGGAGUGAUGCCCGGAAGGCAGACAGACUCAAAGGCGUUUACAACGAAGUGAUGCCCGGAGGGCAGACAGACUUCAAAGAGGCUAAGUUACAAGCACUACUCCUAAGAACAAAGCGAGGAAAAAUGAAAGUGGUCUCUUGUGCGCAGGGGCGAAGACCCCUUUUCAGGGUACUACAGGCCUAUUUAUAUAUUUUCCCCUUGUGUUCAGUUAUUGCACGAUCGGCAUCAUUCUCUGGUGGAGGACACGUCGGCCCGAUUGGAAUGCAUUGGAACUGCCAAACUGCUUACGGUUAUCACAUUUUUCAAUAUCACAGCUCAUAUCUCCUGGGCGUUUUCUGUGCUCCCGCGCCAGCGUAUAUAAACUCAGUGUGCCAACUGUCUGCGACGGAUUGGUUCAACAAUUGCCCCCUCGCGCUUUCGAAGCGCAGCGCUUCGUAGCUGCGCGAUCUUCACCCUUUAUUGCCGAAAGCAAGCUUGAUCGAGGCGUUUUUCUCGGGUCCAAUCAAAUUCAAAUUUUCUGACGAGACUCCAGGCGAAUCGUGACACAAUCUUUCGUACGGUUUUAGCCUUGGCCGUUGACUCUGGCGCAUACCUCCGAGCGUCGACUCCAAUUAAAAGAUACAACUGAGAUCUAAGAAGGAGAGAAGGGAUAAAGCUUAAAGAAGAACUUUCCCAACUUUAUAAAGUGCAUCCCCUGAUGAAGCGCCGAAGGAAAGCUGCCGAAGCUGCCCAAGCAAAUCUUAUAGCCGAAUGGAAUCAACUUAGAGAUUUAUUACCUUGAUUCGGUUUGUAAUAUUUAAUCCUGAUUUUGAUUAUUUUUCCACAUGGAUGGGUAAUAUUUCUUUAAAUACUUACCGUUGAUUGGUUUCUCAUUUUCUGACCCAUCUCUGUUUUGCAAAUAAUACGCAUUUCCUCUUGUAACUCGACUAACCUGAAAUGGUCCUUCCCAAAUUGGAGACCAUUUCCCAUACACUCGGUCUUUUUGACCGAUCGGAAAAAUCAACCGAAGUACCAAAUCACCCACGGCAAAUGUCUUUGAUCGGACUUUCCUAUUAUACGCGUUACACACUUGGCUCUGGUAAGCUUGCAUAUUAUCUAAAGCUAUCAACCGAGUGUCUGUCAAUUCUUCUGUUUUGUCUUUCAUUAACUGACUGUAUUCAUCGGCCGAAAGAAAUUUUUGUUUUUCUAUCCUUAAAGAAGGAACUAUUAUUUCGGCUGGAAUUACGGCCUCAUGGCCGUAGACUAAUUGGAAUGGUGUCAUCCCUGUUGCCGUUUUUACUAAAGUUCGGCAUGACCAUAAUACUUCGGAAAGCUUUUCGUUCCAUUUUCUUGGAUGCUUCCCGAUAUGUCGUUUCAUUAGGUUGACGACUAUCUUAUUUGCUGCUUCCACUUGCCCAUUCGCUUGGGCAUAAUAAGGAGACGAAUGGAGCAACCUUAUCUUUCGAGAUUCAAUGAACCGAACGAACUGUCCUCCUGUGAACAUUGUCCCUUGAUCGGUUGUAACGGUCUCAGGAAUCCCAAAGCGAUGAAUUAUGUGAUCUUCAAUGAAAUCAAUAAUUUCCUUUUGUGUAACCAAUCGAGUGGGUUUGGCUUCCACCCACUUAGUAAAAUAAUCGAUGGCUACUAUUAGAAAUUUGUGACCAGCCGAUGAAUUCGGCUGAAUUUCUCCAAUUAAAUCAAUGGCGCAUCCUCGAAAAGGCCAUGGUUUAAUUAUUGCAUACAUCUCAGAGGCAGGAACCCCCUGAAUCGGGCCAUGAAAUUGACAUUCUUGGCAACCCUUGGCAUAUUCUAUGCAAUCUUGAUGCAUAGUUGGCCAAUAAUAUUCUAGGUGCCGAAUGGUCCAUCUUAACUUUUUUCCUGCCAUAUGGGUUCCACAUAUUCCUUCAUGUGUUUCCCCUAUUACCAAUAAAGCUUCUUCCGGCCCUAAACAUUUCAAUAAAACCUCUUCGGCUGUUCUUUUGUAUAGCUGACCGUCUAAUAUGCAGUAGCCGAGAGCCCUUCUUCGAAUAUUAUAAUCAACCCUUGUAUUGGGAUCCUCCAAAUAUUUAAUUAAUGGUUUCCUCCAGUCAUCUUUUACUUCUACAGGAGCUAUGAUCGGCUCUCGUAUAUGAACCGAAGGUAGCAGUCUCUUGUGUAUUAUUAUUGACUCUGAUUUCGGUUCUCUGUAUCCUGAAGCCGACUGGGCCAAUUCAUUUGCCCCUUCAUUUUCUUGUCUGUUCAAAUGUUCAAGUUCGGCUUCUCCAAAAUUGCAUAAUAAUUCUAAUGUCUUUCUUAGGUAAUUUUGCAAAUUUGGAUUUUCACAUCGGUACUCUCCUUUAACCUGCUUGAUCACUAACUGUGAGUCACCGAUGACUUUGAUUGAUUUAACUCUCAAUUCUUGCAAUAUCUCAAGGCCGAUUAUCAAGGCCUCAUAUUCGGCCUGGUUGUUGGAACAGCCGAAAUCUAAUUUAAAUGCAAAUUGACAAACAUAACCCUCAGGUGAUUGUAUUACUAUCCCUACUCCUGCAGAUUCAGUUGUUUUUGAACCGUCAAAAUACAAUACCCAAGGUUGACAACCGAUCACAUUCUGUAUCGGCUCCUCUAUUUCUACACAUGGGUGAUCAGCCAAAAAAUCAGCUAUAGCCUGGCCUUUAAUAGCUUUAGCAGGAACGUACUUAAGAGAGAACUCAGAUAAAGCCAAUAUCCAUUUCCCAAUACGUCCUCGCAGCACUGGCUUGGAUAACAUAUAUUUUAUCAAAUCGGUCUUGCAUAUCACCGAUACUUCAGUUGACAAAAUAUAAUAUCUCAAUUUUGUGCAUGCAUAAUAUAAAGCUAAACAUAAUUUUUCUAUAGCCGAGUACCGUUUCUCUGUAUCUAGCAAAUGUCGGCUUAAAUAAUAAAUAGCUUGCUCUUCUUUCUCUUCAUUUUCUUGAGCCAACAAAAAUCCUAAAUUUUCAUCUGCAGCCGAUAUAUAUAGCUUCAUCGGCUGAUUCGGUUUUGGAGGUACCAAUACCGGAGGGUUUGAUAAAUAUCUUUUUAUACUUUCAAAUGCCUCCUGCUGUUCCUCUACCCAAAUGAAUUCUUCCUUAUCUUUCAGCCGAAGUAAUGGAGUAAACGCCCUGAUUCUUCCAGCUAAAUUGGAUAUAAACCUUCGAAGAUAGUUUAUCUUUCCCAACAAACUCUGCAAUUCCUUUUUGCAUUUGGGUGGUGGUAACUCUACUAUUGCUUUUGCUUUAUUUUUAUCAAUUUCAAUUCCUUUCUUAUGCACCAAAAAUCCUAAGAAAUUUCCUGCCGAAACCCCAAAUGCGCAUUUCAAAGGAUUCAUUUUUAGAUUAUAUUUUCUCAUUCUCUCAAAAGCGAGUUUUAAAUCGAUCCAAUGUUCGGCUUGCGACUUGGACUUGAUAACUAUAUCAUCAAUAUAGACUUCCAACAUCUUGCCGAUUAAAUCGUGGAAAAUAAAAUUCAUGGCUCUUUGGUAAGUAACUCCAGUAUUUUUUAAGCCGAACGGCAUAACAACCCAUUCAAAGGUUCCAAUUGAACCGGGGCAUCUAAAGGCCGUUUUAGCCACGUCUUCCUCAGCAAUAUAAAUUUGAUUAUAGCCAGCAUGUCCAUCCAUAAAGGACAUAAUUUCAUUACCAGCAGCCGAAUCUACUAACAUAUCGGCUAUAGGCAUUGAAUUUUCAUCUUUAGGUGUAGCUAAAUUUAAGUUCCUAAAGUCGAUACAAACUCUGAGUUUACCAUUCUUUUUACGUACUGGAGCUAUAUUAGACACCCAAUCAACAUAACGGGCCGCUCUUAUAAAUCCGGCCUUUAAAAGAUUUUCAAUUUCAUUUUUAAUCUGAAGUACAAUACUCGGCUCGAACCUACGAGCCGGUUGUUUAAAAGGCUUAAACCCUUCUUUGAUAGGGAGCCGAUGCUCUACAAUUUCUCGGCUUAACCCUGGCAUUUCUUGAUAGCUCCAAGCGAAACAAUCUUUGUAUUCUUCCAAUAGUUUCUUCAAUUCUUCUUGUUGCCGAACCGACAGCUUGGAACUUAUGAACGUUGGCUUGUUGUCUUCAUGAGACCCUAGGUCUACCUCUAUCAACAAGUCCUGGGUCUCCAGCUUUUUCUCGUCGGCUUUAAUGGGCGAUUCUUCUAGUUCUCUUUCCGCUGGUUGCCAAUUCACCUCAUAUGAUUCUUCAGUCUUUUUGGCCGAUUCCGCUUGACCUUCCUUCCCGGUUUUUUGAACCGAGUCUUUUAUGAUCUUCUCGGCCUUACUGGCCGACUUCCCGUGUGCCAACACAUCGGCUUUGAAAGCCGAGUUAUCCUCAUAGCCGAUCUUGUUGAUCGGCUCAUCUUGUUGAGGCUUAUGCCAAGCCUCUAUCCCUGAUUUUUCGGAUUCCAUUUUAACCAUCUUGGUGGCUUUUCAACAGCCACCAUAGUAUUGAUAUCUUUAGAAAGAACUAAUUGAAUUCCCUCCUCUGUUACUCUCACAAAAGAAAUCUGAUCUGGAUCAGCAUCGGCCCAAUUGUGGUGGCCGAUGUCCUCCAUGUCGACAUCUAUCAUUUGAGGCCGUCCUUCGGCCCGGACUUCUUCUACCUUGUCUCCUAUCCACUGGAAUAACUUCCCGUGGAGUGUAGAGGGCACGCACUCAUUCGCAUGGAUCCAGUCACGCCCGAGUAGUAAGUUGUAGUGGCUAUCUGCAUCCACCACAAAAAAUGCAGUUUUUAAAGUUUUCGAACCUACCGUAAGUUCGGUGGUGAGCACUCCUCGGGCUUGUUGACCGUUUCCUGUGAAAUCGGUCAUGAUCGAAUCGGUAGGCUUCAACUCGUCCUCGUCUUUGCCUAACUUCUUAAAGAAAGAAGUAGGCAUUACGUUAACCAUGGCACCGCCGUCCACCAUCACUCGGCCUACCGGCCGACCUUCAAUCAAAGCUUUUAUAAAAAGAGGUCUUAUAAACCUCAUCUGCAUGGCCGAUGGUUUCUCAAAAACCACUGCGUCGGCCGGUCGAACAUCUUCUAAUUGCAACUGGGCUACUCUAAGCCCAUCUUCCUCCUCCUCUCUAUAUUCUUCAUACUCGAUAAACUCUGCCUUAAAGGAUUGAGGCAGAGCAUACACCAUGUUUACCUCAGCCGGUGAUUCUUCGACUGAUUUUCCUUUGGUUCUUUGUUUCUUCUCCUCCGACUCCUUUGUUGUUUCGGCAGAAGAAUCACUUUCCAUCCGGACCUCCCUUUCUUUCGGAGGCCAUCUCUCUCUUUUGAUCAUAGUCUCGAGGGAAGCUAUUUUUUCUUCCAACUCCCUCCUGAUCAUCUUAUCUUCUGACUCGGCCUCGAUUGGCCGCUCUAUUCUUGACUUCAACUGGGGGGCGAGUGAUGAGCCGCCUGCCUCGUGAUCAUUUCUUAUUGGACGAAAAGGGUGUGACUGCUCAUCAGGGCGCCUCCAAACAUUGAGCCUUAUCCCUUUCGCCUCCUCAUAAUGUUGCCUUGCUUCGGCUUGUAUCCUCUGCUGCCGACGUUUCUGAGUUUUUGUUAACAUCGGCCCACGCCAUCUGGCCGAUGGUUUAACUUCAACGUCGUGCCAUUCAUCUACUGGCACAUUCGCCGGUAUCUUCACCGUUCUUAAAUGAUUUUUCAAAAUUUCUCUUCUUUCCCAUGGUCUCGGCCAAGGUUGAAUGCCGAGCUCAUUGACUAACCUUCGACCGAGGAAUUCUAUGUCUCCCUCGGUCAUUCCUUCAAAUUCUGGCUCUGGUCUCGGCCUGGCUUGUUGUUGCCAAUGUGGCCGAUACCCAGGGAAUCUUUGUUUGGAGCCGAAAGGUCUGUCCUGGAAAUCCCAUCGGCCAUGACGUUCUCCACGCCUAUUGUUGUAGUAAUCGUGCAGAAUCUUCUGCAUCAUGAUGUCUUUCUUGCGUUGAACCGAAUCUAUUUCCGGUUCGGUGUCAUUAGAGGCUGCAUCCGAGCCUUCUUCUUCUAGGUCUUCGCCAUCGGGAAUAUCAUCCCAAUCCUCGGGGAAUGCCAUCAGUUCGUUCCAUUCGUUUCCCCUUUUCUUGGCAUUCACGAUAGCUUCCCAGUCUUUUUUCGUCAUUUCGGCCUUGCACCUAAUGCAUAGCCGAAGAUGUUUCUUGGCAUGUGCCACGUUGUCAGCGGUCUCCUUGUCUAAAACUUCCUUUCCUUUGAUAUUCACCAUAUUGACCUGAAAUGGAAAUGAAGUUUUGUUAAUUAUUUGAUUUUUAUUUUCUUGGUCGGCCAAUAUGAGCCGACCCUCUUCUAUUUCUUCUUGAAUCUGCCUUUUUGCAGCCGCUUUCCCUUUUCCUUUCAUAUUCACGGUGUUGACCUGUGAUGGAAAAGGAUUCUUAUCAAUUUCCAUAUCUUUGUUUUCCUGGUCGGCAAAAAUUAGCCGACCCUCAUUUAUCUCUUUUUAAAUUUGCCUCUUAAAGGCAGUGCAUUCAUUAGUUUUAUGGCUCCACGAAUGGUGCCAUUUGCAGUAUCUUCUACGUUUCAAUUCUUCAACAGGAGGUAUGAUUUGACCUUCCUGUAGUUUAAUUCGUCCAUCUUUUAACAACCGAUCAAAAAUAAAAUCAGUUUUAGAUAUAUCAAAAGAAUAACUAAAAGUAGACGCAUGUGCUUUUGCCUCUCUUGACUUUGCAGGUUUUAGCAAAGCACAUUUGUAUGGUUGAUUAUUCUUCACCAUCUCAGCAGCACAUAUUUCGGCUUCGUCAGCCGAAUUUUCUGCCUCUUCAGAUGAAUUCGGCUCCUCAUGAGCCGAGGAUUCUUCAAAGAAAGAAAUAUUUUUCUCUUUCCCUUUGUUCCAAUCUUUAUUUCGGCUCCACCUAGGCCGAUCUUCAUUGUUCCCUUUUCGAAAUUGCUCAUAUUGAGCAACUCGAACUCCCAAAUCAAAAAGAUUUGGAAAAAACUUAUCUUCAAAAUGGUCUUUAAUCUUAAAAUGCAUGCCGUUAAAUGCCAUUCUGGCAAAUUCUGAUUCCGGCAUCCUCACAAAACAUCGGCUUCGAGCCGUCUUGAAUCGGUUUAAAUAUUCAUCAACCGAUUCUCCCAUUUUUUGUCUAAAUUGAGCCAAGUCUGCAACUGACAACUCAGGCUCAGUUCUAUAAAAUUGCUCAUGAAACUUACCUUCUAAUUCGUCCCAGUCUCGAACGGAAUUAGCAGGUAAACUCGUAUACCAAGUGAAAGCUGUCUUGGUCAAUGAAGUAUUAAAUAAUCUUAAUUUCAAAAAAGGAUCUGCCGCAGCUUCGCGGCAUUGGGCUGUAAAUCGGGCGACAUGUUCGACCGUAUUUUCGGUCUCAUCUCCAGAAAAUUUGUCAAACUUCGGCAUCUUCCAAUUUGCCGGAUAUGGGUGUUCCACAUCUAUAUUAACAGGAUAUGGUGAUCUGAAUACAGGCCGCAUUGCCGGCCUUGUGCCUACUCCGAAAGUGUUUAUGAUCGCUUCUUCUAUUUGCGCGUAUAUUUCAUUAUUAAUCCCCGGCACGGGGGCUUGCGCUGGUACUGGGUUCAAUGGUUGUUGAAUCCCAAUAUUUUGCCCUAGGGGAUUACCCCUUGUGCAUUCCGAAGAUGCCCCCUAGCCUCUACAUUUUGAGGCUGGUAGGCUGCAAUUGGAGGGGGUGGUGGCAAACCCCAAGCCAUUUCUGGCUGUUGACCGGCAUUACCGACAGCCGGUCUAUAAAACGCUUGAUACUGUGCCCCCUGAUAUUGAGGCUGGCCACCUACCGGUGUUACCGGAUUCUGUAACACUGGUGUUACCACAGGCGCUUGAAGGCCUGCUAUCGGCUGUUCGUUUCGAGUUAAUAACUGCCCUAUUCGGGCUAUAUUUUCGUUAGAGGCCGUGAUUGCGGCCAAAACGGCGUCCAGCCGUGCGGUACUUGCAUGACUAUUUUUGGUCCAAAGUCUGCAGGACCCUAGUCAUCUGGCCAAGUGCUUGGGUCAAGCUAGGCUCUUGUUGGCCGAAUUGACCGCUAGUUUCACCUUCUGUCGGUAAAACUGCUUGGCGCUCUACAGCGUUCUCCGAAUUACUGGGCUGUUCACUCCCAGAAUUUCUGGGAAUGGCCCUAUUACGGAGAUUCAUAGCGUUGUCGUCAGCCAUAUUCAAAUUUACCUCAAAUAUGUGUCCCACCGGGCGUGCCAAAAAAUUAUUAUUUUUCCGAAUUUCCUGAUGCUUUGACCCUCCUCGGGAAGUGUGUCGAAAUGGAAAUCGGCUGCUGUUCGUGACCCUCGAAGUUUGCGCCCGCGACGGGUCAAGCGAUUCGACCGAUGAGGGAUCAAAUCGGCCGGGUCCGAAAAUCUCCUUAGUAAAUUUGCUUCGGCAAGACGAGCCGAAUGAACAGGUAGGGCCUAUAUUCAGGCUGAGAGAUGAACCGAAUAGUCAGGACAAAACGAGAUCUGGUCGGCCUAAGGAGCCGAAAAUGAUUUUCUAUUAAUAAGAAGGGAGUGAUGCCCGGAGGGCAGACAGACUCCGAAGUGUACAAGGGAGUGAUGCCCGGAAGGCAGACAGACUCCAAGGCGUUUACAACGAAGUGAUGCCCGGAGGGCAGACAGACUUCAAAGAGGCUAAGUUACAAGCACUACUCCUCAGAAAAAACGAGGAAAAAUAAAGGUGGUCUCUUGUGCGCAGGGGCGAAGACCCCUUUUCAGGGUACUACAGGCCUAUUUAUAUAUUUUCCCCUUGUGUUCAGUUAUUGCACGAUCGGCCAUCUUCUCCGGAUUGGAGGACCACGUUCGGCCGAUUAGAACUGCCAUUGGGAACUGCCCAAAACUGCUUACGGUUAUCACAUUUUUCAAAUAAUCACAGCUCAUAUCUCCUGGCGCGUUUUCCGUGCUCCCGAUCCAACGCUAUAUAAACUCAGUGUGCCAACUGUCUGCGCCGGAUUGGUUCAACAGGUACAAAAAAGAUUAUGGCAUAACCAAUACAGAGGGAAAGCUGUAUGCUCCUUCCUAGUAACCGCAGCAAGAGACUCACCUGCAAACUUGCGGAGAAAUUUGGAAUAAGCCAAGUCAUUGAAGUCAAGGUAGGCCUCAAAGUCAGACACGCCAUCAGGGUUGUAAGCCAUGGAGAGAGUAACUCCAUGAGGGCGUAAACCAAUGAUGGCAGCAACAUCAAAAAGAGUGGGAGUGAGGGGUCUUCCUUUGAAAAGAAAAACGUUGGAAGCAGGAGACCAAAAAUAGAGAGCAGCGGCUAAAAGAAUGUUGUCGACUACAGGGGGUUGCCGAGAUAAUUUAAUCGCCUCAUAAAUACCUACUUUUCGCCAGAAAUCACCAUAGACAGCUUCUACCUGGUCUAGUCAAGCAAGGUACGCAUCGAGACACUUGGCCAAGUCCGGAGGCUUUUCCCCGUUGAAGCCGACGGGUACCAAGAAUGGAGAUGAAUGGUUUGGGCCAUCAAUGGAAGACCGUCACUGGAAUACGGGAAAUCGUCAGGGGUUGGUUUGUCAGUGAAUGAAGGACCUAAGAUGAAUCGAGAAGGGUCCGAUGAGACGAACUGUCUAAGCAUGGUGUAAUCCAAAGACGAAGAAGAGGAAAAGACGGAAGCGGCGCCAUUGCUAAAACUAAAGAAAAAAGUGAAGAAAAAACUCUAAGGAUCGAAAAAGGGAAAGAAGUAGACCAGGCUUUAGAUCAGAGAUGGAGAAGAGGUCAGAGAAAAGAAGGAAAAGAAAAGAGAAGGCGAAGAAGACGAUGCUUGAGUUAAAAAGCAAAUGGAGAGGAGGAAGCAUGGCGAAGAAGAAAGAAGCCGUCGAGUCGAAUCGAUUUCUGAGACAGGCUAUAAUGAUGAAGAGACAGCAGCAAUUAAGAUGACAUAAUUAAUGCCGCACAAAAGACAAAAAGAGAUGGUGAGAUCGUGGCCGUAGAAAAGAAAAGGACGGCUAGCAUGGCGAAGAAGAAAGAAGCCGUCGAGUCGAAUCGAUUUCUGAGACCGGCUAUAAUGAUGAAGAGACGGCAGCAAUUAAGAUUACAUAAUUAAUGCCGCACAAAAGACAAAAAGAGAUGGUGAGAUUGUGGCCGUAGAAAAGAAAAGGACGGCUAGGGAGGUACCGUACAAAGAAUUUGAAACUGAUUGUAUCGGGAGACGCCGCUCUGAUUACGCCAGCUACCGGAGCGUCCGUUAGGAAGCUGUCGAGGGGGCAAUUGUUGGGCCAGUAAUGUGCAGCCAGGUGGUGCGUCAGUGCUCCAAUUAACCACAAUCUUUAAAGCAAGGAGUCUAAUGUGCACCGGGAGCAUCGAAACAAAUUUGAGAAACCGCCGCAUGAUUGAAGGGAGUUAUAAUAACCGCAAGUGGUUACAAGCGGUUUCGAUCAGCUGGAAGUGGCCAGGAAAAAUAGGAGUAAUGGCUAAUCAUGGAAAGGGAAUAACUGAUCAAUAGGCAAAUAACGCCUUGAAAACGAGUCUUUUUCCCGAGAAUAGAAGACCACCUUUAUUUCCUCUGCAUUUUCAUCGCAUUUUCUAGGAGUAGUCUACUUGUAAUCCUUUACUUCACCGCACUUACUGUUUUUCUUAGGAGUAGAGUUAAGCUAGAGCAACCGAGUCUGUAUGCCCUCAGGCACACUCGACCUUUGUACUGUUUUCACAAGUUAACUUCAAUAUAUAAAGGCAUUUGGCUUAUUGGCCGACCCAAAUUUCAGUAUUUUUUGUACAUUCGGCUCAUCCAGCCGAACCGAUUCUAUAGUAGAGGUUCUGAACUCGGCUGGUCCGAUCUCUCGUGAGCCGAAUCGCUUGAUCCAGUCGAAGGGCGCAAACUUCGAGUGUAACUAAUCGUAGCCGUUCUACAUCCCGACACGCUUCCCUAGGAGGAUCUUUGAGCGGGUCAAAGAGAAGGGAAUUCGGCUCCUAACAAUAUAUAUGUAUGUAUGUAUGUAUGUGUGUGUGUGUGUAUAUAUAUAUAUAUAUAUAUAUAUAUAUAUAUAUAUAUAUAUAUAUAUAUAUAUAUAUAUAUAUAUAUACACAUACAUAUNUCUAUAUAUAUAUAUAUAUAUAGUCCGGCUACUAUACUUUUAUGAGUACGAUCGCCUUCAUACUCAUAAGUUGUUUUCGAUGAUAGAGCUUCCGAAUCGACGAUCCAUACCGUUAAACAUUAUGUAGAGUAUUUAAAACUUCUAGAAAUCAAAUUUUAUAAUUUUUCGAUAUCAUUUACCUUACGAUCAAAAGCUCACAAAAUUGACAAUUUUAACGACCGGUAUGAGGUAUUUGCUAGUUUAACGGUGAAAAAGAAUCGGAAUAGGUUGAAUUUUUGAUAGAAAAUUCUAUUCACUACCUAACUAAAGAUCAAUAACUCCAAUCUUAAAUUGAAGGAUCUGAUCAUCCGUUUUUAGGAUGUCGUUCAAUUUUAACUGUUAUGCCCGGGACCGAUCCUAUUUGGUCGGUUCGGGCACGUCGAACAGACGCCAAACGGACAGUACCUCCCCUGUCCGCCCAAGGCUCAACACAAGUAUAAAUCAUGUAUAUAUAAAUUCUAUGCAGCGGAACAAAGAUACACGUGGCUUGCACGAGGGCAAGUAAUAGCCAAAGUGAAAGUACUAACUAAACAUUCAUACAAGUGAUAUGAUUAACUUUUAACCACAUACAUGCAUUCAACUUGUAGAUUCUUUUACAUUCUUUGCAUCAUUUUUUUUAUACAUCACAUGAUCUCAAAUGAAUAUAAUAUUUCCUCCAAAAUAUAAGCAUUUUACAUUAAACCAUAAGCUCUUUUACAAUAUUUAUCAUGUUCAUACUACUAACAUUAUCAAAGACAAAAGAUGAUAUAAAGAGGGUAUGCAUCUAACAAAAUAUGAAACCCGCCCGGGUGGUCUCUGACUAUGGCGUGUUACCUUUUCCGCAAUCGUCGGCCGGCUCACUUGGUCCUGGCUCUGUGUAAAUAGUGGGGUGAGAACUACAACAAAGUUUUCAGUCGAUUCGGCCGUCGACCUCGUCGACUUUCCCACUAGGUCUAAAUCAGACAUAAUAGAAGAAUACAGAUAGAUAGUAGCCAAACUAAACAAAUACAGCUAAUAUGGCUGAAUAAGAUAUAAUCAAUGAUUAUGCUCAAAUAAAAUGCUCAUGAUGAAUGCAAGAUUACUUUUCAAUUUCCAAUCCACUUGGCUAACCCGUAGGUUUCGCCCUCAAUAAACUCACUAGCUCAAAUCCCUUUGGUCGGGCCCUCAGCUGUCUCCCGACGGGACCGUCUUCGGGGGAAAACACCUUCCCAGUGAUGACAACUCCGGAGCUCAUGGCUCGAGGAGAAGCGACCACCCUCAAGCCAAGACUUAUAGGUGAGUAUAAUCAAUCCUUAACUUUAAGGAUUCCAAGUUCCCUCCAAUCCUUAACUAUAAGAAUGCAAUACUCAUAUGACCCUUAACUAUAAGGUUGCUAUGUCAUAAUGUCAACUUUCUCAUGUACUUGCAUUCUCUACUUUCAUUAGUGCCACAUACACUAAAUGUACUUUGUACUCAAUUACAUGCAUUCUUGUUUCAUUAAUGCCACACACUAAGUGUUCAACUCUAGCAUUCCUUUUGUUUGCUAAUGCCACACAAUCCAUAUGUCAUAAUGUCAUUUGUUCGUAAUGUCACUAGUUUCUUUACCUUUUCUAGGUUCUUGUCAUCAUUCAUGCAUACAUAGGGUUUUUACAAGUUCUCACUAGUUUACAAUUAUCUCACAUGCAUUUGUACUUACAACAUGCAACAAUAUUUGUCCACAUGCUCUUAUUUCACCCUACAAUGCAUAAUGAUCAUACAUAACUUAUGCUCAAAAAAUGACACUUUAAAUAUAAAAGGAAAUUCAUCAAUUUCGGGAAGCACCACCCACCUCGUAUGGUUGCUAGGGUGCUACAGUUCAAAUCUCGUGAUUUGUGGACGCCUAUUCUCUCGCCUGCAGCAAAACGAAGCCAAAUUAGGCUUUUUCCCUAUAACUUUGCGUAGACUCGUCGAAUUGGCGAACCGAGUCGACCAACGAGUUGGAACCAAUUUGAUUUCUACAAGGUCAAUUUACCUUUAAACCAACCUAGGGCAAAAGCCCUAAUUUUGGUGCCCUAACAAUGUCAUUUGCCUAAUACGCCACUUUGAUCUCUAAGAUAAGCAAAAGCAAGCUUAUUUAUCAUCUAGAAACUUAUCUAGAACCAUUUCUAUGUCAUUUAAACCAUUCUAAGGGCAUAUAAAAUAAACCCUAAGUUUCUACCAUGAGAGCUCAUGAAGAAAUAUGGAUUUUCAUGAGUUCCAUGGUCUCUACUAGGUUUCUUCUCAUGUAAAAAGAUCAAACCUAAGUGUUUUAGGGUAUAAAACCAAAUCCUAGCCUAGUUCUUACAAGAAACCUCAUCUUAGCCUAAAAGCUCACUAAGCUACACCUUUUAGGAGAGCUCUAGAUCCUCCAAAAGCUCUAAAAUCUCCUCUUAAUCUCCUCCAAUCUCAUCCUUUCACCUUGGGGGAGAGCUCCUAGAGAGAGAGGGAGAGAGAAAUGAGAGAGAAGUAGUGGUUCACUGCUGUGAAUGGGAGAGGGGUUGAGGUCUUUUUAUAAGCUGUUACAAUAGCAAAAGACCCUCCAAAUAUUCUUAUUUGCAGCAGACUGCAGCUGCUGUUUCGCAGCCAACGUAGCAGUACGCGAGAGGGCAUCAUCGGUACGCCCAUGUUCAGCUACCCAAAACCGAGAGCUGGCUGUUCUCGGGUUGCAAUAGGGUACCGGUACUACCCAGGACAGUCACCGGUUAACCAACACACCAGAGGCCAAACCCGAGAGCAACCUGUUCUCAGUUUGCAACCUGGUGCCGGUACACCCCUAGUGCUUAACCGGUUAACAAUGCUCCAAACUUGAGUUUUGCAUUGUUUCGACUCCAAUUCGCGCCGAGCAAUGCUAAAACCCCUCUAACUUACUUGAAACUCAACUCUAACCCUUCCAACAUUAUUAGAAUAUCAUUUGGACUUUGUCCAACUAUUUCUCUCGCACACUUCGGUCAAUUUGACUAAAGUUCGAUAUACUCUACCGAAGUUUCGGUAUAUUACAUUAACCGUUCAUUUCAUUUUAAACCCGCUUGAUGGACUUUAUAAUGAUUUCGAAAAAUUAUAAAUUUAUUUUCUAGAAGUUUCAAAUACUCUAGAUCAUGUUUAACGGUAUGAAUCGUUGAUUUGAAAACCCCAACAUCGUAAACAACUUAUGAGUACGAAGAGCUCUAUACUCAUAAGAGUAUAGUAACCCUACUCUAUAUAGAGUUUGGCUACUAUACUCUUAUGAGUACGAUCGCCUUCAUACUCAUAAGUUGUUUUCGAUGAUAGAGCUUUCGAAUCGACGAUAUAUACCAUUAAACAUUAUGUAGAGCAUUUAAAACUUCAAAAAGUCAAAUUUUAUAAUUUUUCAAUAUCAUUUAGCUUACGAUCAAAAGCUCACAAAAUCAAUUAUAUGUAUAUAUAUAUAUAUAUAUAUAUAUAUAUAUAUAUAUAUAUAUAUAUAUAUAUAAUUGAGCUCCUAGCUUUCAAAGUAGUUAAGUCAUUAGUACUGUAGGUUUUCGGCCAUUGGAUUAAGAGAUGUGUGUAGUUAGGAUGAUAAUGGUCCCUUAGGAUUGAGUGGAUAGUUAGUUAAAUUGGUAUGAUCUAACGGGUGAAAAUAAUUAACUUCUCAAAUCAGUCCUUCAUUACAGUUCUAAUUAGCCAUGAAUUAAUCUAGUGUCCAGGUCAUGUAUUCAGCAUUUAAGAAAGACCCAGGUAGAACUAAAAUUUGCAUGGAUUCGAGAACAAAUGUAAGCGCAAUUAAUCCAUACAAGAAUUGAAUGCUAAUAAAAAAUCUUAUAAUUUGAGAGUAUAUCUAUAUGACUCUAAGAGACAGUUUGGUUCAAAUUUAUAAUAUUUUUUAAAUAUUGUAUAUUUUAUAUUUGAAUUGUAAGUUUAUUACUCACUUAUCAAGUCAUUUGGAUUGGAAUGUUGUUAGAAACUAAUAUAUUCUUAUUAAUAGACUACUAAUGAUUCCCAUCAAGCAUUGAAAAUAAAAAUAUCUCAUGCAACAUAAUCAUCUAUAAUAAUAUCUUCUUACUUUACAACAUCUUUUUACACUGGGGCAACUUAAAUUAAAUGGUAAUAAUUUAAAUAUUUUCAAUAAAAGAUAUGAAAGAUGACCAGAUAUUCCAAGACCAAUUUGCAUAAAAAUCCACAAUUUUGAGCUUUUGCAAACUGGGGUCACAUUUUUCAAUUUUGCAGAUUCGGCCGAAAUUUUUGCCAUCGGACGAAAUACCCUUAUUCCUUUUCUUUCUCUCUCUUCUUUUUUCUCUCUUCUUUUUUUUUCCUUCGCUACUUUUUUUUCUUCAGCCACCCGCCGUUGUCCCUUGCUGACCCCCGCGCCCGCACUCACGCUCGCCCUCGCCCGCGCGCCGCAGCGCUCGCGUACGCCUACCUCUACUACCAAACCCGCAUCCUCUCCUUCCUCCUCCUCUCCGUCCAACCCCACCAUUGCUCGGAUUUUGUCACGCCCGCCCCGAAUCCACUACAAUUUGGCACGGUUCGGGCGCGCCAGACGGACGCCGAACGGACAGCACCUCUCCUGUCCGCCAAAGGCCAAGCAACCAGAUCAUGUACAGUUAAGCGCCUAGGGAAUGCUUAAAUAAACAUACAUGAUCAAUAUGAUACACACAAGUGCACUAUAACUAAGAGCAAGAACCAUAAGUGAAUGUACAAGUGUAUAAGAGAGAUAGUCUAACUAUUACAACCAUUCACAUUUACAUAGCUGAUUACAUUACAUUUUCAUCUUGCAAAAUACAAGUAGCUCUCCAAUAACUAUCCAAAACGUCAUCUAGUACACGAGGGUACUCUAAUGCAUAAAGGAAAAGCUACUAACUAGGCUCACUUAGGGCGCUAUGCCCUUGCGCGGUUCUCGCUUGGCUCGCUCGUGUGUCUACCUGUACCCAAAACACACGGGGUGAGAACUAUAUAAAUAUAGUUCCCAGUGGGUUCGGCGCCGACGCCGCUGGUUUUUCCACUAGGUCUAAGCUGGCCAGAUAGAGAGAUAGAUAAAUAUAUAGAAAUGAACGAACUACUCUAUCAUGCCAUCAUGAUAAUAAUGCAUGCCAAAACUACUAUCAUGCUAGUAUUAUGUCAUGAGCAUAUAAAAGUGCAUAGUAAUGUAAACUACAAAACACUAUGUCUACUCAAGGUAAUAAUGCAAGUCUACUAUGCAUUCCAUGUUUAUUACCAAUCUACUUGUUAACCCGUAGGUUAACCUCAAUCACUCUUCAAUCUCAUAGGUGAGGAGAAGCUGCACUCGCACACCGAGAUCGUCUGCGGGACAACCCUGUGAGAUACUCCGGAGACUCGUGCUUCGGUGGAGCGACCACCGACAAGCAAAACAGACUAGUGAGUAUGAUCCAAUCCUCUCAAGAGGAUACCCUGUCUACUAGGGUCUAUGUGCCUCUGCUGCACAAUCAUGAUAUAUAAUCAAUGUUGGGACUUCUACUAUCCCUAGGUUCAUGUCAAGUUUACUACACUAGAUUCAAUGCCACUCGUUUAGUCAUUGUAGUAAAUGUCUCAAUUAUUCUACAUGCCACUCGUUCAUGUCAUAGUGCUUCUACCACACUAGUUCGAUGCCACUCUAUUAGGCUAUGUCCAAGUUCGGCUCUUUAUACCGCUAUAGGAUUCUAUGUCACAAGACCCAAUCCUCAUGCUAUCCUAGUGCACGUGUCAAGCUCACCUCGCUACACUACCAAGAAAGCAUGCAAGGAAAUGGAAAUGUACAACUACUAUUCCUAUAGCGCAAUAUGAUCAACAUAAUUAACUUAGAUAUAAAAAGAAACCCGAUUGCUUCGGGAUGACACCCCCCACCUCUUGAGGGUAUGGAGGCUCUAAAAAUGCCCUCCAACGGAUGUUACGAUGAAGUCUUGGUCUUCUUAGGUCGAAAUGAAGCUUGGUCGGCCUUGUUUUGCUGAUAUCUUUUCUUCCGCUCGACGAAUGCAAAAUCCGACUUCGCCCCCGCGUUUUGGCACCUACCAAUUAGGUUUACAAUGUCUUAAAUGAGAUCAAUCUCAUUCUUCGCCAAAAAUCCCAUUUUGGCGCCCUAGGGUUAGCACCAAGCUAAACCCAUCUCAAAACCCUAGAUUCUAGCUUUAAUCCCACCAUUCAUGGUGCUAGUGAUCCAUUUGAUCCUAUCCAAAUAGCUAAAACCCAAAAACCCUAAGUUCCAUAAGCUAGGGUUAGAAGCUUACCUCUAGGUUAGCUCCAAAGAGAGAAGAGAGGAAGAGGGAGAAGUCCAAAGCCUUUUUUUUCUUGAUCUCCUUCUUCUUCUCCUUUAUUUUUUUCCUUUUUUUUCUUCUCUUUUCUUCUUCUUCUUCUUCUUCUUUUUCUUCUUCUCUUCUAAAGAGAGAGAGAGCAAGAGAGUGUGAGAGAUAGAGAGAGAGAGUGAGGGUGGAAAUAAGAGAAUGAGAGAGUAAUCUCCCAUGUAUACCCCUCUAACUAAGGCCAUUUUGCUUAAAAGCCCCUCACCUUUCAUCUCUGCACACUGCCCUUACUGGGCCUUCUGCGCGCUGAGGGACCGGUCUCCCCGACUUGGGACCGGUCCCCGAGAGUCUCAGCUCGGGUCACGCGUUCGGGUACCGGUCCUUUCCUGAGAGAUCGGUCCCCGGGAGACCGGUCCUUGGCCGAGAGACCGGUUCCCGAGAGCUGGGAUUUCGGGACUUAGUCAAAUUUUGGCUUUCUCGCUGGGGUCACGUUCGGGGACCGGUCUCUCCCUGCCAGGGACCGGUUGCCUCAAAGAUCCCCGCAACCCCAGCCGAUGGGACCGGUCCCUCUCUGCCAGGGACCGGUCCCCAAGAGCAGUUUUGCUCCAGUGCAGAUUUUGCACUAAUUGCUCUCGUGGACUCAUUUCCAAUGCACUUUUGGUGAUUUUGACAUCUUUGGCUUUUCCAGAGCUCACCAAUACGACCUUUGGUCGAUUCUGGAUGAAGUCUAACUCUCGUAUUUCGAGAAUUCACUUUCUUACAUCCUCCCCCCCUAAAAAGGAGUUUCGUCCUCGAAACAAAUUCAACAACUCAUACCUCAUUACAUUUCCGUGAAAAGAUGAGGAUAAUGCACCUUCAUCGAUUCCUCGAGUUCCCACGUAGCCUCACGAUCGCCGUGAUUGGUCCAACGAAUCUUCACGUAGGGAAUCUCACGGUUUCUCAAUUUUCGCACUUCUCGAGCAAUAAUCAUCGCCGGAAACUCUUCAUAACUCAAAUCCUUUUGUAGAUCCGGCGGUUCGUAGUACAUAACAUGCUCGGGAUCGGGAAUAUACUUCCGAAGGUUGGAGACGUGGAACACAUUAUGCACGCCCGCGAGCUUCGGCGGUAAUGCAAGUUGGUAUGCUAUCGCUCCAAUACGUUCCAAUACUUCGAAUGGUCCAAUAUAUCAGGGACUUACCUUUCCCCGCACUCCGAAGCGUUUCACACCUCUCAUUGGCAAAACCUUUAGGAAAACGCGGUCACCUACCGCGAAUUCCAAAUCUCUACGGCAUUUGUCAGAAUAGCUCUUUUGCCUCGACUGUGCCGUAAGUAACCUCUCGCGAGCGAGACGGACCUUCUCUUCCACCUCUCGCAAUAUGUCCGGGCCCAAUGCCGCAGGUUCACCUGCAUCGCUUCAACAUAUAGGGGAUCGGCACUUCCGUCCAUAUAGGACCUCGAACAAUGCCAUCCCAAUGCUAGCUUGAUAACUGUUAUUGUAGGCGAACUCGGCCAUCCUCAAAUGGUUUGCCCAACUACCCUUGUAGUCAAUGACACACGCCCGCAACAUAUCCUCUAGAAUCUGUAUAGUCCUCUCUGGCUGUCCAUUUGUCUAAGGAUGAAACGCGAUGCUGAAAUCGAGCCGUGUGCCAAGUGCUUCUUGCAGGCUUUUCCAAAAGUGCGAAGUAAAACGGAGGUCUCGAUCUGACACGAUCGACUUCGGAACCCCGUGUAACCUCACAACUUCAUCCAAGUAUACCUGCGCCAACUUGUCCCCCGACCAGGUGGUGUGAAUCGGUAGGAAGUGUGCCGACUUGGUCAUACGAUCCACAAUCACCCAGAUCGCAUCGUGGCCACCCGUCGAACGGGGCAAUCCGACCAUGAAGUCCAUAGCGAUAUUCUCCUAUUUCCAGACGGGAAUGGGUAGACCUCGAAGCUUUCCCGCUGGAAAUAGGCGCUCAGCUUUCACUUGCUGGCAUACAAGGCACUGCGCUACAUAGCGCCCAAUGUCUGCUUUCAUGCCCGGCCACCAGUACUGCAUCUUCAGAUCGCGGUACAUCUUGGUGCCACCCGGGUGAAUACUAUAAGGAGUCUGAUAUGCCUCUUGCAAUAUUAACCUCCGGACCUCCUUGUUCUCCGGUACGCACCAUCGGUUUCAAAACCGAAGCGCACCCUCAGCGUCUACACUGAAAUCACCGCCGUGUCCACUCUCGAUGUCUCGCCGCACCUUUUGGAGAUUAGGGUCUGCAGAUUGCAAACUCUUAGACGGGAUUUCCGGAGCUACCACCUCGAGAUCUAAUCGCUCCAUCACUCUCCACAGUGGCUCCUGACGUGUGACCAACAUAGCAAGAUUUUUCACUGACUUCCUGCUAAGCGCGUCGGCCACCACGUUUGCUUUUCCGGGGUGGUAUAGGAUUGUAACAUUGAAAUUCUUUAGCAACUCCAACCACCACCGCUGGCGCAUAUUGAGCUCAUUCUGAUUAAACAGAUAUUUUAGACUCUUGUGGUCUGUGUAUAUCUCGCAACGCGCGCCAUACAAGUAGUGCCUCCACAGCUUGAGAACAAACACUACCGCGGCCAGCUCUAAGUCGUGAACAGGGUAGUUCUUCCCAUAGCUCUUCAGCUGACGGGACGCAUACGCGAUCACCUUCCCGCCCUGCAUCAGAACACACCCUAAACCCGAUUGUGACGCAUCGCUAUACACCACGAAGUCUUCAUCUUGCACCGGUAAGACGAGUACCGGAGUCGAAGUCAAUCUAUUCUUCAACUCUUGAAAACUCCGGUCACACUCACCGCUCCACACGAACUUGGUGCCUUUUUGAGUCAGACGGGUAAGUGGACCCAGGAUCUUCGAAAAUCCCUCCACAAAUCGUCUAUAGUAACCCGCUAAACCCACAAAGCUUCGGACUUCCGUGACGUUAGUCGGGCGAGGCCAAUCCUUGAUCGCCUCCACUUUCCUCGGGUCAACAGAUACUCCUCCCUCGAAAAUGACAUGCCCAAGAAAUGCAACCUCUCAGAGCCAAAAAUCACAUUUCUUAAACUUAGCAUACAGCUUCUCCUCCCGUAGGACUUGAAGCACUAUUCUCAGAUGCUCGGUAUGUUCCUCGUCGCUACGAGAAUAGACCAAGAUGUUGUCUAUGAAAACCACGACAAAUCGGUCCAAGUACUCCUUGAAGACACGGUUCAUUAAAUCCAUGAACGCUGCCGGGGAGUUAGUGAGCCCAAACGGCAUGACCGUGAAUUUAUAGUGUCCAUACCGCGUGCGAAACGCGGUCUUUUGCACAUCUUCCGGCUUAAUCUUGAGUUGAUGAUAACCGGAUUGUUGAUCAAUCUUUGAAUAAACCCGAGACCCUUGCAACUGAUCAAACAUAUCGUCAAUCCUCGGUAACGGGUACUUGUUCUUGAUCGUGACCUUGUUCAACUCGCGGUAAUCUACGCAAAGUCGAAACGAUCCGUCCUUCUUUCGCACGAAUAGAACCGGAUCUCCCCACGGCGAUACACUUGGCCGAAUAAAUUUCUUAUCGAGGAGAUCUAUCAACUGAGCCCGUAACUCCUUCAAUUCUGCUGGUGCCAUCCGAUACGGAGCCUUCGAGAUAGGCGCGGUUCCUGGAACCAAAUCUAUCACGAACUCGAUCUUCCGGUCUGGCGGCAUUUCCGGUAACUCCAUGGAAAACACAUCUGGAAACUCUCGGACCACGGAUAGUUCCUCAAGCGCCAGAGUCGUCUUCUCGACUUCUACAACGAUCGCCAAAUAGGCCGUACAACCGCUGUUAAUCAACUUCCUCGCCCUCGUUGCUGACACCAUAGCAGCGAAGCGCGAGCUUCUACAGGCCCAGUAGGUGAAUUCCUCCUGACCCGGCUCUCGAAACGUUAUCACUUUAUUUCUACAGUGAAUGGUCGCAUAGUACUUUGAGAGCCAAUCCAUUCCUAGAAUGACGUUGAAGUCCUUUAACUUCUUGAACAUCAACAUACGGAUGGGCAUUAUCCAAUCGUCCAACCGCACGGGACAAGACGAACACUCCAUACGGACUAGAAAAUCACGUCCGGGGCCCGAUACUCUCCAAGUGCUUUUACUCUCUUGUAGUUUUAUGUCAUGCAUGCGUGCAAAUGACCUACUGAUGAAUGAAUGUGUAGCACCUGUAUCAAACAUGGCCCUGGAGCGAACUCCGUCAAUUAAAACCAUACCUGCGAGUACAUGGCGAUUCUCCGCCUCAGCAGGUUCCUCGGCUUGAGUUUGGGCGGCGAACACCCGUCCGCUCGGAGCCGAUCUCAUCGCCUCAGGUUGGCGUGGUUCCAUCGCACGUCCAGCCGAUGACGCAGUAGGUGGGACUCCUCCAUAGUGCGCCGAAGUCGCCGGAGUCGACGUGACCGAAGGGGCAGGCGAAGCCCUCACUGGACAGUAGCGGCUGAUAUGGCCCGCCUGUCCACACGUGAAGUACUUCCCUUCCCGUUGAUCACACGUCCUUGGCUCGUGGUUCCCACCACAGAUUGUGCGCCGCUGCGGUUCGCGGCCCUUGGAUUGCGUUCGCGGGUACUUCGGCGGCUUCCUUGACUUCGAUUGAGCUCCCGAACUACUCUGGGCCCACUUCUUGCCGCUGUCCUUCUCGGACGCUUCUCGCUCCUCCCGGAUAUGAGCGUUUCCUUGCUCCGCCCACAACGCUCGAUCGAGUACCUCCGCGAAGGUAGUGAGCUUCAGGAUGUGCACUGCCAGGUAGAUAUCAGCACGGAGCCCUUGCUCGAACCAAUCGGCUCGAUCCCUGUCAUCCCGCACUACGUCAGGGACGCAGUCGAUGAUGUGAGAGAACUCCCGCUCAUAUUCCGCUACCGUGCGGCUACCUUGCUUCAACUUUUAAAAUUGCUCCUGGAGCUUCUUCUUCUCACUAUCGGGGAAGUAGUUGACAGAGAACAAUCCCCGAAACUCCUCCCACGUCAACGGCAGAAGGUCGGAAGCUCGGUUCCUCUUGAUUCGCUUUCACCAAACCUUCGCCGUCUGCUCCAAACAAUGAGUGGCGAGGUAGACCUUGUCCCUCUCCAAGGUGUAGAGGUCCUCGAACAAGGUCUCCAUUGAGUCCACCCAUGACUCAACCAUUCAUGGCUCGACCUUCUCUCCCUCAAAGGUCGGUGGAUUAAACCUUCGGAACUUCUCGAGAGCCGCAAGCGCGCGCUCUCUCUCCGCCUCCAAUGCCGUCGCAUCGGGUGUUGUAGAAUCCGACGCCGUCGGAAGAACGCUCGCCGGCGAAAGACGUGCCGCCACCAGAAUUGCCACAAUGCCCUUACCCUCAGCCGCCGUUGGCGCACGAGCUGGAGGCGGGGGUGGAUCACGGCCCUCAGUCGCAGCUACAGUUGCCGCCGCAAAAUGCCGCUCCAUUAGCCCUUGGAGCUGCUCGAAUCGACUCUCCUAGCGCUGUACAAUGCCGGUCAAGGCCGACACCUGCGCCCGUAGUUCCUAUACCUUACUAGAUCCGGUUUCCUUGGGCACCUCAGAAGACGGUGCCGGAACGGAUCUACAUACAUAGCGUCUUGGGGACAUUGUUCCUGCAACACAACAACCGGGUUAGUCACCUAACCCACUUAACUUCGUCGCAUAUUCUAUAUUACGCGACUCAACUCCGCCCUAAGCGGACGUACACCAUUGUAUUAGUCCUAACUCUUAGCGUCGUGUUGUCGGCAGCCAACACAAACUCCUCGAGCUCAGAACUAACAUCGCUCGAUUCUAUCUCUAGCCACACUAGAGAUCUAUACUCGAUCCGACCUAAUCGGAUUCUUCCUCAACCGAUAUAGGUUUACGUUUCUCUCACGUACUUAUCACCUUAGGGUUGCCAACCUACAUCUCUUAGGUCCAUCCUAGACUCUCUCUUUACUUACUUUUAGGCUCUGAUACGAACAACUCUUGUCACGCCCCGCCCCGAAUCCACUACCAAUUUNGGCCAUUGGAUUAAGAGAUGUGUAGUUAGGAUGAUAAUGGUCCCUUAGGAUUGAGUGGAUAGUUAGUUAAAUGGUAUGAUCUAACGGGUGAAAAUAAUUAACUUCUCAAAUCAGUCCUUCAAUUACAGUUCUAAUUAGCCAUGAAUUAAUCUAGUGUCCAGGUCAUGUAUUCAGCAUUUAAGAAAGACCCAGGUAGAACUAAAAUUUGCAUGAUUCGAGAACAAAUGUAAGCGCAAUUAAUCCAAUACAAGAAUUGAAUGCUAAUAAAAUCUUAUAAUUUGAGAGUAUAAUCUACUGACUCUAAGAGACAGUUUGGUUCAAAUUUAUAAUAUUUUAAAAAUAUUGUAUAUUUUAUAUUUGAAAUUGUAAGUUUAUUACUCACUUAUCAAGUCAUUUGGAUUGGAAUGUUGUUAGAAACUAAUAUAUUCUUAUUAAUAGACUACUAAUGAUUCCCAUCAAGCAUGAAAAUAAAAAUAUCUCAUGCAACAUAAUAAUCUAUAAUAAUAUCUCUACUUUACAACAUCUUUUACAACUGGGCAACUUAAAUUAAAUGGUAAUAAUUUAAAUAUUUUCAAUAAAAGAUAUGAAAGAUGACCAGAGUAUUCCAAAGACCAAUUUGCAUAAAAAAUCCACAAUUUUGAGCUUUUGCAAAACUGGGUCACAUUUUUCAAUUUUGCAGAUUCGGGCCGAAAUUUUUGCCAUCGGACGAAAAUACCCUUAUUCCUUUUCUUUCUCUCUCUUCUUUUUUUCUCUCUCUCUUUUUUUUUCCUUCGCUACUUUUUUUUCUUCAGCCACCCGCCGUUGUGCCCUCUGCUGCACCCCCGCCGCCGCACUCACGCUCGCCCUCGCCGCCGCCGCAGCGCUCGCGUACGCCUACCUCUACUACCAACCCCGCAUCCUCUCCUUCCUCCUCCUCUCCGUCCAACCCCACCAUGCUCGGAUUUUGUCACGCCCCGCCCCGAAUCCACUACCAAUUUGGCACGGUUCGGGCGCGCCAGACGGACCGCCGAACGGACAGCACCUCUCCUGUCCGCCAAAGGCCAAGCAACCAGAUCAUGUACAGUUAAGCGCCUAGGGAAUGCUUAAAUAACAUACAUGAUCAAUAUGAUACACACAAGUGCACUAUAACUAAGAGCAAGAACCAUAAGUGAAUGUACAAGUGUAUAAAGAGAGAUAGUCUAACUAUUACAACCAUUCAACAUUUACAUAAGCUGAUUACAUUACAUUUUCAUCUUGCAAAAUACAAGUAGCUCUCCAAUAACUAUCCAAAACGUCAUCUAGUACACGAGGGUACUCUAAUGCAUAAAGGAAAAGCUACUAACUAGGCUCACUUAGGGCGCUAUGCCCUUGCCGCGGUUCUCGCUUGGCUCGCCUCUGUGUCUACCUGUACCCCAAAACCACACGGGGUGAGAACUAUAUAAAUAUAGUUCCCAGUGGGUUCGGCCGCCGACGCCGCUGGUUUUCCCACUAGGUCUAAGCUGGCACAGAUAGAGAGAUAGAUAGAUAUAUAGAAAUGAACUGCAACUACUCUAUCAUGCCAUCAAUGAUAAUAAUGCAUGCAACAACUACUAUCAUGCUAGUAUUAUGUCAUAAGCAUAUAAAAGUGCAUAGUAAUGUAAACUACAACAUACACUAUGUCUACUCAAGAUAAUAAUGCAAGUCUACUAUGCAUUCCAUGUUUAUUACCCAAUCUACUUAGUUAACCCGUAGGUUAAACCCUCAACUCACUCUCAAUCUCAUAGGUGAGGAGAAGCUACACUCGCACACCGAGACCGUCUGCGGGACAACCCUGUGAGAUACUCCGGAGACUCGUGCUUCGGUGGAGAGACCACCGACAAGCAAAACAGACUAGUGAGUAUGAUCCAAUCCUCUCAAGUACCCUGUCUACUAGGGUCUAUGUGCCUCUGCUGCACAAUCAUGAUAUAUAAUCAAUGUUGGGACUUCUACUAUCCCUAGGCUCAUGUCAAGUUUACUACACUAGACUCAAUGCCACUCGUUUAGUCAUUGUAGUAAAUGUCUCAAUUAUUCUACAGGCCACUCGUUCAUGUCAUAGUGCUUCUACCACACUAGUUCGAUGCCACUCUACUAGGCUAUGUCCAAGUUCGGCUCUUUAUGCCGCUAUAGGAUUCUAUGUCACAAGACCCAAUCCUCAUGCUAUCCUAGUCCACGUGUCAAGCUCACCUCGCUACACUACCAAGAAAGCAUGCAAGGAAAUGAAAAUGUACAACUACUAUUCCUAUAGCGCAAUAUGAUCAACAUAAUUAACUUAGACAUAAAAAGAAACCCGGUUGCUUCGGGAUGACACCCCCCACCUCUUGAGGGUAUGGAGGCUCUAGAAAUGCCCUCUAACGGACGUUACGACGAAGUCUUGAUCUUCUUAGGUCGAAAUGAAGCUUGGUCGGCCUUAUUUUGCGGAUAUCUUUUCUUCCGCUCGACGAAUGCAAAAUCCGACUUCACCCCCGCGUUUUGGCACCUACCAAUUAGGUUUACAAGGUCUUAAAUGAGAUCAAUAUCAUUCUUUACUAAAACCCCAUUUUGGUGCCCUAGGGUUAGCACCAAGCUAAACCCAUCUCAAAACCCUAGAUUCUAUCUCCAAUUCCACCAUUCAUGGUGCUAGGGAUCCAUUUGAUCCCAUCCAAAGAGCUAAAACCCAAAAACCCUAAGUUCCAUAAGCUAGGGUUAGAAGCUUACCUCUAGGUUAGCUCCAAAGAGAGAAGAGAGGAAGAAGGAGAGGUCCAAAGCUUUCUUUUUCUUGAUCUCCUUCUUCUUCUUCUUCCUUUUCUUCCUUCUUUUCCUUCUCUUUUCUUCUUCUUCUUCUUCUUCUUCUCUUCUAGAGAGAGAGAGCAAGAGAGUGUGAGAGAUAGAGAGAGAGAGUGAGGGUGGAAAUGAGAGAGGGAGAGAGUAAUUCCCAUGUAUACCUCUCUAACUAAGGCCAUUUUGUAUAAAAGCCCCUCACCUUUCAUCUCUAUACACUGCCCUUACUGGGCCUUCUGCGCGCUGAGGGAUCGGUCUCCCCGACUUGGGACCGGUCCCCGAGAACCUCAGCUCGGAUCACGCAUUCGGGUACUGGUCCUUCCCUGAGAGAUCGGUCCCCGGGAGACCGGUCCUUGGCCGAGAGACCGGUUCCCGAGAGCUAAGAUUUCGGGACUUAGCCAAAUUUUGGCUUUUCUCGCUAGGGUCACUUUCGGGGACCGGUCUCUCCCUGCCAGGGACCGGUUGCUUCAAAAAUCCCCGCAACCCCAGCCGAUUGGACCGGUCCCUCCCUGCGAGGGACCGAUCCCCGAGAGCAGUUUUGCUCUAAUGCAGGUUUUGCACUAAUUGCUCUUGUGGACUCAUUUCCACUGCACUUUUCGUGAUUUUGACAUCUUUGGCUUUUCCAAAGCUCACCAAUACGACCCUUGGUCGAUUCUGGAUGAAGUCUAACUCUCGUAUUUCGAGAAUUCACUUCCUUACAGAUCUCCCCCCGAUCCUUCCACCCGCGCCGCUGCCGCCACCCUUGCCGCUGCCGCUGCCACAUCCUACCUUCUCCGCUCCGCCGCGCCGCGCUUCGCUGCCGCCGCCGCAAGGGGCCUGCAUCCUACACAAUGCCGCGGCCGCCACCCGCGCCAUUGCCGCCAUCCGCGCCGUUGCUGCUGCAGCAUCCCACCUUCUCCGCUCCGUCGCGCCACGCUCUACUGCCGCUGCCGCCAUGGGCCCGCAUCCCACCUUCUUCGUAGGGCUUCAGGGAGAAGAAGGAGAAAGGAGGAAGAAGAGGAAGAAAAAAAUAGUAUAAAUUGGAGGAAGAAGAAGAAAAAAAAGGAAUGUAAAUUUCACCUAAAUGGUGUAAAAUUGGGCAAAAUGGUGCAAAAUUGGGCAAAAAAUUGGGCCAAUUUUGAUGAGAAUUGCACAAUUUUGCACCAUUUUGCCCAACUUUGCACCAUUUCGUCCAAAAUUGUAUAACUUUUCCUUCUCCUCCUCUUCCCCUUUCUUCAUUUUUACACCAUUACACAACUUUUUACACCUUAAAAAAUUGUAUUUUUUGGACGCUCUUAUCUCCCUCGCCGGAGAGUAGGACUCGGACGGCGAUCUUGAGGUGGGCGAGGGAAACUCUUUCAGCCGGUCACGCUCCCGCGGCUCCUCCAAUUCAAACAGCGCUGCCAACCCGAACAGGAACCUGUGCCCGGCGUGCUCGCGGAGGGAGGCCUGGUCCGCGCCCGACACCGACACCGACAGGAUGCCGUAGGCGAUGCUGAGGUGUGGCCACAGCGGCGCGAGGGACGCGACGGGGGAGUCAUCGUCGAGGAGAAGAGAUUCUAGAGAAGGAGGGUGGCGGCAGCAGGGGAAGGCGGGCGACGGGAGUGGGCAGAAGAGGUUGGCAGACAGCAUGGCGAAGCAGGCAAAGGAUUCCGGGGGGGCGUGGGCGCCGUGCGAAGCGGAUGGGAGAGGAAAAAAAUGGUGAAGUAAAAAAAAAAAAAGAAGAGGGAGAAAAAAGAAGAGAGAGAAAAAAAAUGAAUAAGAGUAUUUUCGUCCGAUAGCAAAAAAUUCGAUCCGAAUCUGUAAAAUUGAAAAAGAUAACCCAGUUUUGCAAAAGCUCAAAAUUUGUGAAUUUUUUAUACAAAUUAGCCUAUUCCAAACCCUGGAACAAACAAUCCCUAAAAUCUAUCCUAAAUAAAAUGAUAUGCUGAGGAAAUUGUACUGAAUUUUCCCAAAAUCAAAUUAAAGACAACGUACCUUAAACAUGAUAUGCCGAGGAAUUUGUACUAAAUUUCCCCAAAAUCACAUUAAAGAAAAUGAACCACCAAGAAAAAUAUGAAGUAUUGAAGAAUUCUCGCGGUAAAUGAAGUUGAAAUUCAAGAAAAGAACAGCGAACAAGGUCGCAACCCUACUUCACAACGGGAUUUGCCGACCUCUUGAAUGUAGUCGACUGCUUGCUCUGUAGACAAUCACCCAAGAAAACCUAAUUUUCAAGCCGAUGGGGUGUGGUCCACUUAGUUAAGACACAGCAAGCACCAUUCAACUGUUAUGUUCCCACCCAAUCGACAGGUCUACACUAUGUAUGCUAAUCUGACUAGAUCAACUGGGUCAAAUCCAUGCAGAAGCUACAUAACAAUACAAACAAGUAUACCAAGAUAAACCUAAAUAAACCUAAAAAGUACACAAACCAUCUCUGAAGUUAAAAAUAAACUUCUUAUGAUAAUAUGAAUCAAAUCUUCCCCGCUAGUAUCCCUAAACAGGAUGUCUUUCUUUAAUAAGCAUGCUACAUAUAAACAUCUGCACACAACCAGGAUGACCUCACAAAAAACUCCUGACCAUAGAGCAUUUAACUAACAAUUAUACAACAACACGAUGAUUAUACUCGAUAUUGCAGUAUCACUAUACAGAGAACACAAGGAAGUAAAAUAGUUCGUAGAAGUUUUGAUAAAUAAGCUUACUCCCCUUAGUCCCAAAAGAGGGGGAUAACAGAAGCACCUUCAUUUGUCAGUGGUAACAAUAAGGCUUGAGGUUGAACCGUUACUGCGUUUUUUACAUACCACCCAAAACUUCAUUCAGCAUCUUGGAGGCGGCAGAAUUUUCCGCGUCCUUCACUCUUGACAUUGGGUAACCAAUGGUUACAAAAGCGUUAUCUGAAGUUUCAACCUGAACAGAGCAUAUGAACUUCUUCUCAUGAUCAGGCCCCUGUUCUUUCUCCACUCUGCAAGUCAAACAUAGUAAAUAAAGUUUGGCCCUUCUUUAGGGAAUAGUGCCGUUCUACGAAAUGUUAUCUAUAAAAGCAGCAUUAGGAGAUGCACUAUGUUAAAAAUCCACCCAACACACUCUCUAGAGAAAAUUCCAAAGCACCGAAUUGAAGCUUUUGCUUUCGGAAAAAAGAAUCUCGUUUCAGCUUCCGACUGUAGUAAAAGUGCCACAUGUUUCUUUUUGCCAAACACUAACUACAUCAGAGACUAUUGUAGCCAAAAGAAGAAGUAGAAGCACCAACAUAAUAGAUAUUUAAGUGUCAAAACAAGGAUAAGAAUACUAAAGACUUCUUCAAGGAUGAAAAAGUAUCAUAAAAAAGAAUAUGUGCUCCAAAUUACUUGUUUCUAAUAGCAUUAGAAGAAAAGAAAAUAGAAAAAUAAAAAUCACCAAAUUUAGGGAGAAAAACAGGGAUAAGUUAAAUAGCAAAUGCAUAUAGUAGCACAAGAAGCUGAUAGAAAUAAAUUCUAGAAUCAAUAAUAAUAACUCUAGCAAACUGCAUUGCAACAUCCAAUAUACAGAAUGAAUGGAGCGCCUUUGUCUCUACAAUAACAAUUACAACCAAACAGACACGGGUUCUAAGACAACGGUGAUACAUAAACUGAUAAUUUUCUCAUCUAAUCAAUGUUAUACUGAAGUAGCGACUCACGAUGGUGUUGCACCACUCUGCACAAUAUGAUGAAGCCAUGAAGAAAAUACAAUCAAAUUAAAUAAAUUUAUACAUUUAAUCUAAAAUCUAAUAAAUCAAAUAUAUUUUAUAUCUAAUUUAAUAUAUUCUACCAAUUCUAAUUUAUUAUAAUUAAGCUAACGGCCCAAAUUUAUUAUGCCUUUAUUCUACGUAAUUAUUCAAGUAGAAAUUCUAUAGUCUGCAAGUUCAUAAAUCUAAUACAUUUAUUUAAAUUAAUCUAUUUCUAAACUAACUCAAUGGUCUUUAAUUUUUUUAUGUUAAGUUAUUUAUUUUAAAAAAUAAUAUAAGUUAGAUAAUCUGACUUAAUCUAACAUACUAUAACAUAUCCAAUGCAAACUUAUCUAACAUACUAUAACAUAUUCAAUGCGGAAUAAACAUAUAUUAUAUCAAGGAUUAAAGUGCCUAUCAGCACGGACCGUAUCCACAAUGUCGUAUCGUGCCAGUAAGAUAUCGGUACAAUACAGUCCCCGUGCCGAUGGCACAACUCAAAAUUCUCUAUUUUUGAAAUUAGUAAGUAAUUUUCUUAAUAAAGUUCAAAAGAUUUGACAAAAAUAUAUAAUAAAUAAUUAGCAUGUUUUGUUGCUAAAGAAAAUAAAUAUUUUAUGCCAUUACGUGUCGGCACACAUAUAUUUUUUAUGAUCGACACGCAUCGGCAUAGCCCGGCAUAUUAUAUAUAAACUAAUGCAUAGAAGGUAGUCUAAAAUAAUAAGGCCUAGCAACAAUAAGAAUUAAAACAACUAGCCCAAGCAGAAGUUGGGUGAAUAUGGUCUAAGUCUUAUGGAAAAUUAUAGCCUUCACCAACUUGUAAUAUUCAAGUAUAUUUUUCAACAGCUGUGCAUUGUUGUGUGACUGAAUAUAUUCAAGUUGGGCAAAUUUUUGUUUAGCCAGAUGGCAGCAUGGCACACGACUUCCAUUUCACAGUUAAACUAUUCCAUCUUCUUCCUUUUCAAUGAUAGCAACUGGCAUAACUAGCUAUUCUAUAGAUUGGAGUCAAUCACCGAUGGAAAAGCGUUGAGCUCUCUUAUAUUCUCAAACCUCAAGGUUUACCCACGUGUUCCUUCGGUAUGAUUUGCGGAGUGAGGUUACUCAAAGCAUAAAACUAUUAGUAUAUGUAGGUAGUAUUAAGGAAAAGAUUGAUCUUGAAGGUUGAUCUACAUAGACAGCAAUGGAACUGAUUUAAAAAUGUUUGAAAUCAGUUCAGAACUCAGCUAGUCAAAUGUAGCAUGGCAGACAGUCAUGAAAAUCUAGUCAGAAUAUUCGGUAGCUAUUCUGUAGCGAAAGCCUAAUGAUGGAAGAUGGAAUAAAAGGUUUUACGUUUUGGAGGGCUCCAAAAUAUGAUUUAUAAUUUUGAAAGCUUUUCAACAUUAUAGAAAUUUUUGAAAUAUUUUUUUUGAAUAUUUUUUUAUUUUUUUCAAAAUUUUCAUAAUUAAAAAAAUGAAAAUUAAAGAAAAUAGAAAAAUUCAAAAAAUAGAAAAAAAAAGAAUAAAUAGAAAAGAUAAUCAGAACUCAUUCUUGAACCGAACUCACUUCGGGACUAGAGUCACUCCAGGGCGACCCAUGUUGGGACUUAGGAUCGUCCUGCAUGUGCUAUCAAUAAAAAACACACGAACAUAGAAAUAGCGAAAAAUAAUAGAAAAGAAAUAUACAGAAAAAGAGAUAACGAUUUACGUGGUUCGGCAAGUUGCCUACGUCCACAUCGAGAGCGAGAGAGAUGUAUCCUUUAUAUAAAAAAAACCAAAAUACAAGCCCAUACCUUUAUGCUUCUCUCAAUCUAAACACAAGAGCCUUAUGGUUAUUACUACCCUUCCCUUGUUACAAGAAAAAAACCCCUACCUUAAUCUCAAAUGAAUUUUUUUCUUAAAAGUAGAGAGAAACUCAACAAGCUACUAAUUAAGUUUUCAGGCCUCACCUCACACCUCACUUAAUUCACUCGUUGCUUGUUGUUUGUGCUUUGUUUCAUUAUCUGUGGAGUUAAAACCCUUUUAUAGGCAUGCAUGCAAAUGCACAAUUGAAGUUGGCAACUUCAAUUGUUAACUUUCUUUAAUUAGCCUAUGUAUAGGCUCUUGACAACAUGACAUGCAUGUGUUACAUAGGCUCUUGACAACAUGACAUGCAUGUGUUUCAUGCAUGCAUGUAUGAAACACAAGCACACUUCACUGUCAUUGUAACGACCUAGCCCACUAGCAACAAUAACUCGUUGGGCCCAACCACCAGCCCAAAAUGCUUAAGCCUAGUUAUUAUUACUAGUGUUGACAGACUACCCCCGUUAAAGCCCUGACGUCCUCGUCAGUCUAAUCACACACACAGCCCAAGAUCACACGGCGAUGUGAGACUCGUCUCGCUAGCAUUGUCAUCCAAACCCUGACAUAGCCGGUCACCUUGUCAUUCAGACUCCGACAUAGCCUAUCACCUUGUCUUUAAGACUCUGACUCAGCCGAGACUAGCCACGCAUUUCCAGCUGGUGAUUGGCUCUGAGACCAAAUGUAACGACCCAGCACACUAGCAACAAUAAUUCGUUGGGCCCAACCACCAGCCCAAAAUGCUUAAGCCCAGUUAUUAUUACUAGUGUUGUCCAACUAUCGUGGAACCAUUGGCGCUAACGGAUUUCAGAUUUGAUGCACGAUUUUCGAGAUAACUGGAGAUACAUAUAUUCUAUGUAUUUGUGUGUAGUUUUGCCUUUUGGAGAGAGAUUGGGUUUUGUCGCAAAUCUGGGAUCGAACCAGGCGAAACAAAAUCGUGAGUUUGGGUCUAUCGUGCUGAUCGCACUGGUGCGAUCCGUUCGCAAAUCUGACGAACGGAUCUCCUGAUAUCGUGCAUUGAUCGAGAAGGGGUCAUUAAUGGCAAAACGGUAAUUUUGCGAAAAGCUCUACAUUUUAUGUACCGUUUUGCAUGAAAUUGGAUUUGGGGGUGUGUUCGCGCGUUUUACUCGCGCUGUGAGGAACUCGGUUUAAAAUAUCCGAGAUUGGGGGGACCUUUGCGCAAAACAAGUCCUUACAUAUAUAGUCACCUAGGGUUUUGCACCAUGCAAACCCUAACCCUAGCCCCCAACUGUCCUAGCCGUCCUACCUCCCCCUCACAUCGUGCGCCGCGCGCCCCCAGCCGCCGCAGACCUAGCCCCGGCCGGCCAGCCGCGGCCACCAUCACCUUCUCCUUCCUCUCCUCCCUCUCCACCUCUAUCUCUCUCUUUCUCUCGGGUUGGAGAGGAAGUCCGAGGCGGCUUUGCCUCCCUGCCCUUUAUCGGCGUCCCCCCAACCCUAUCAAAGCUUCCCCCGCCGGUCGCCACCGCCCCCGCGCGUCGCCGCUGCCGCCCUGGCAGUUUAAAGCCCAGUCGGGUCAGCUCGCGCCGAGGGCAUUGUAGCUCCUGGCCCGCGCGCCGCCACCGCCGCCCGAGGCCACCCUUGUCGCCGUCCCCGGAGCCCCGGCGACCUCCCCCGCCGACUGCCGCCGUCGCCGAGUGCUGCCACCGCCCUGCAGGCUCCCUGGGCAAGCUCAGACCGAGCUGAGCUCGCAACCCCUCCCCCACGCUGCUAUCGCCCGAGACCACAUCGGCGACCUCCCUCGUUACCCUUCGGCACCUCCGCGUCCAGCCGGAGUGGCCGCCGGCGCCGCACGCCCGCCUAGGGCGCCGCCGCGGCGACUCUCAGACCGAGCCGAGCUCAGGCAGCCGUGCCUAAGCUGCCGGCCACCGCCGUCAUCGCCCGCCGCCUCACUUCUCCUCCUCUAACCUCAGGCGACCCCUUGCUGCCGCCCCGAGGUGGCCCGACCGCCACCGAAGCCGGCGUGGAACCCCGAGCCCGAGCUCGGAUUGUGCGGGCUCGGGUUGCUCCACAGCCGCCUUCGCCGCCUCCCCUCGUCUGCCGGUGCGAGCCCCGGCCUCCCCACGUCGGCCGCACCCGCCUACCGCCGACGCGCCCGCAGCCGAGCCGUCGUCGGCCGUGCCCUAGCCCCCACUGCUCCGGUAAGCUUGUUAGGGUCUUUUGGUUGCUGUUUCGGGUUUGCAUUUGUUUUUCCGACGAUCCGAGGCUGUCCCGAUGCCUCCGGAGGUGAGCACGGUGAUCGCUGGUCAGUGCCGAUCAUAGUGCUCACCUCACUUUGGAUCAACGGCUUCCGAAGUUGCGUUGUCAGCGCGGUUUUCCCUGAGUGUGCGUUGUUCGCUGAAUGUUUGGGUCACUCCCGCGCCUCCCACAAUGAGCCGUUGUGCUCUGGAUCGUGAGCACGACCUCCGACACGUCGAGACCUGUUAGUACGUGUCUCGGUGGACCUCGAAAGUCUUCGAUUUUCAUUAACGAGCCACAAAAUCACCUUAUUUACAUAAAACACUAAGAUUUCAUGUAAAUGUAGGGACUUUUAUGCAAUUGUGCAUCUUGUGGCUACUGUGGGCAGUACGUAUGUGUGUGUGGUGACCUCUGGACUGAUUGUCCAAGGUCCGAUAGCUUUCGCCGAAAUUGAAUAGUGAUUUCAGUGCAUUUUUCGGCGAAAUUCGCCGGCAGAACGCGGUUUCGAUUCGGAUUUCAUCCGACGGUGUUUGUUUGCCCUGAGACUUGUCGCUGAGCCUUGUCGGCCGGUCACCAUCAUCAUAUCGUGGGUUCAGAGAUGACGGGCGAGCGACGGUGGGUUCCAGUGUCGAAAUUGACACUUCCGGGAACCCGAAUCCGAACAAUUGUCCGGCGAUAAUUGUUUAGUUGUGUCCUUGUGUUUGCUGCCAAGACAUCCAAAUCGAUGUAUUUUGUGGCAGCGGGUGACUCGUGGCACGGGUGAGUUUCGGGACACUUCGUGGGUCCCGACGGCGUCCAAGUGUGAUUUUCGAGACUUCCGACGAGUUACGGUGAUCGGUUUUAGGAAACCGAUUUUGGGAAUUUGUGUGGGGUUUGUGAGUUGGGUAUUUUGGAUUGGUGGGUUGGUUACUGAUCCGGUGGAUCUUCGUAGGUUCGAUUGACUUGUUGCGCACCCAAGUUCCCAACAUGAUAGUGAUAGGUGGGUGCUUCGAACUAGUAGUCGGUGAGAUCGUUUCACUCUCCUCUGUUCUUCUAUAUCACCAUCGUAGUCUCUACAUGUCAAUUGUUUUAUUUAUCGUUUGUUCAUCUAUAUAUUGUUGAUUGCAUGAUGAUAGUUGUCUAUGAAGCAUGGAUACUUCAAAUUUCAUGCCGUAUCCGUAUCGGAUACGUCUCAAAUACCGAUACGCACCCGAUACGUGUCCGAUACGCGAAUGAAGUAUCCGGCAUUUUUAAAAAAUAAAAAAAUCGGAUACGGCUCGGAUACGUAAGGGAUAUAGGCAGAUACGGGAGGGACACUGCCAGGUUCUUUUUUGGUCUAAAAUGAUCGAAACUAAAAAAUUUUUUAAAAGCUCACGCCCAAACCUAUUGGAAAGAAGGAAAAGAGUAAGAAAAACACCAAUAUCUGUUCAAUUUGACAUUUCAUCUAUCUUUUUGCUCUUAAAUGGUAGAAGGCGCUCCCUCUCGUUCUAUCUUUACACAGUAUUUACUCUCUUUAAUCUAAUUUGUCAACCCAGCAUUAAGCAACAAAGGCUAAAGAAAAUAUGAUUUUUUUCCUUCUCUAUUAAAUUGUUAGCAUAUUUUUUUAUUGCUAUUUUAAUAAUAGAACUAACAAAUCAAACAUAUAUAUUGAAUGGCUAAUUAUCUAGUUUGUGCGACUAUAUAUAUAUAUCUAUUGUUAUCAUUUGAUCAAAUUGAAUGAUAGUUGGCUUGAUAUUUUUUGAAUUAUUAUUUUAUAUGAUUGAUUAUCUUUUUUUAUGAACAUAUUUAGAACAAUUAGACAAGUUAAUGCAUAUUAGAAUAUAUUCCUUAAUAUAGUCGAGAUAUUUUAUUGUUCUCAAUAUAUCAUUACAUAUAAUCAACAUUUAUUUAAAUAUAUUUAAAAUAAUAUUUUAUUUAAGUUUAUCCCGCGUAUCAUAUCCUAGAAGUUUUAGAAAUUGUCAUAUCACCGUAUCUGUAUCGUGUCGAAUCUGUAUCCCUGUAGUAUCCCUAGUGUUUGGUUGCCUGUGAAACUUCAGCACCUGAGGCUUGUCGACACAUCUGGAGUGUCGCGACAAGUCGGAGUCGUUUUGGGCAAAUUGGACGCAAAACGGACUCAGUGCGAUGCGAGAGCAGAGUUUUGAUAUUGAAAUCUGCAAAAUGCAAGAUUUUAGUAUUGAGUACCGGUACUAGGGAGAGGAGUACCGGUACCCCAGUAGAUUUCUAGAACUGAUGCUCUCGGGUUACGCCAAUCUGAUGCCGAGUACCGGUACUGCAUCGGGCGAGUACCGGUACCCUGUGUGCUAGCUUGCGGGUUGAGAAGCCGAGUACCGGUAACCAAAUUGGGUACCGGUACUCCAGCUGGAUUUUUGAGUUGGUGAGGGGCCUUUUGGUCAUUUGAGGUAACGUUCACUAUGUAACCCAACCUCUUUAUAUAUGUUUAGAGAGCCUAAGAGGAGGGUUUUUGGAUUGCUGCUAUCUCUCUCUCUAGUUUUUGGGCGUGCUCGUGGUGGUGGUCGCGGCUCAAGCUCGGGAGGUUGUCGACGUUGAUCCAGAGGGCCAUUUGAGCGCGUGGACGUCACGGUUGCGCCGUUGGAGGCCAGGUGAACGUGUGGUUUCCCUUCGUUCGACUUCUCGCGGUGGUUGGACGAGUUUUUUGAGGUAGGUUGAAGUUUACCGAAAUCGUCGAAUUCCCUCCCAAGCCGAAGUUAUGAUAGCAUGUGUAUCAUGUGUAGAAUCAUGUUUAAUAGCUCAAUUCAUUGAUUUGUAUCGGUUAAUAUAGAAUCUGAAUUUAGAGGUUAGAAUAAUUUUACAUGUUGGACCUGAAAUUGACUUAGGAGAAAACCAUUUAACCUUACACUGUCAUCUUCUGAAAGUUACCAGAUUUAGCUUUAGGAGCUGUGGUUCAUUUGUAUCUGUAAGGACUGAAAUUUUGGCAGUGUAGCUAAACUCUCUGUUGACGAUAUUUUUGUGUGUAAUUUAAUUACGAAAGCACUCGUCAAGUUUCGGGAGAAAACAAGUUAGAAUAGAGAUUUUACGCGAUUUACAGUUUUCACUUAAAGUGAAUAGUAACUCGGUUUUCUGGGGAGGCCAAUGUGUAAAGUUGGCUUCCGGCGCGUAUCGAACUCCGUUCAUAGCAGUCCAAUAGCUCGUUUCGAACGGUUCAGCCAUUCUGGAACCGAUGGCGCUGGCGGAUUUUGGGUUUGACGCACGAAUUUCGAGAAAAUCUGAAAAUACACGUAUUAUAUGUGUUUGUGCGUCAUUUCGCCUGUCGGAGAGAGAACGGGUUUCGCCGCGAAUCCGUGACCGAUCGAGGUGAACCAAAAUCGUAGGUUUGUUGUCUCCGUUGUGCUGAUCGCACUGGUGCGAUCCGUUCGCAAAUCUGACGAACGGAUCUGCGGGUAUCGCGCGUUGUUCGAGGGGUUGGUGAUGGCAAAACGGUAAUUUUGCAAGAGUUGCGACAUUUUAUGUGCCGUUUCGCAUGAAAUCGCACGUAGAGGUGUGUUUGCACGUUUUGCUCACGCUGUGAAAGACUCAAUAUUAAAUAUUGAGUUUGGAUGGGCUUUUCCGCAAAUUUGAGCUUUGUAUAUAUAUAGCUCCCUGCCCUCGCCGCGCGCGCGCCGGCCGGCCAGCAGCAGCCGUAGCCUCCCUCUCCAUCUUUUUCAUCUUCUCCACCACCUUUUUCUUUAUCUUCUUUGGCCGAGGGUAGAGCUGGACUUCCCCCUCCCUCUGGUCCUACUCCGGCACCUCCCCCGAAACCCUAGCAACCCUCCUCGCCUACUGCCGCCGCCCCGAGCCACCCUGAGCGCCGCCGCUGCCGCUCCAGCCGCCUGCAGCCAUCCAGCCCGAGCCCGAGCCGAGGCCUGUGUGCGGCCUCUCCCCUGCGUCGCCGCCACCUUGGACCAUCCCUGCUGCCUUCCUCAGAGCCUCGGCGACCACCCCGGCCUGUCGCCGCCACCCCAGCGGGCUGCCGCCGCCGCCUCGGCCAACCUGUGGCCGCCCAAGGUCUGCUCGGGCCGAGCAUACCUUGCAAGCUCUCCCUCGCCCGAGGCCACCCGUGCCGCCUCCCGCCGACCUCAGGCAACUCCCCGCCGUCGUCCCUGAGCUCCCCGGCCGCCGCCGUGGCCGCCAUUGCCGUGGAACCCGAGCCCUAGCUUGUGCGGGCUCGGUUUGCUCCGCUGCCGCCGCCGGCGCCGCUCCUCGCCGCCAACCUAGGUGAGCACGGUUGAUAAUCAGGACACUCCUAAACCGAACUCACUUCGUAACUGAACUCACUCCAAGGCGACGCAUUCACGAAGGAAAAAAGAUUGCUCAUGCACCAAAGUUCUGAAUCAUCUUUUAUUAAUUUAUUAAUAUUAUCCUCAUACAAUGAAGCUUUACACCUUAUUUAUAAUAUCUUUAGCCUUAGAUACACAUAACUAACUUCGGAUUCGAUCUUAUCUUAAAUAACUAAAUAUAACAACCUUAUCAAGAGAUAAAUCUAAAAUAAAUACAGAUAAAACUAAAUAAGAGGAUAGCUAAAAUUUCUCAUUUAACUAACUAAAAGAUAUGCUCAACUAAUCCAAUCUAAGUUAAAAAAUGAUGAACUAAAUCGGUUUAAUCCGAUCAAUACUAGUUCCGGCCUGUUAUACAUCACCUAAUGCAUUGAUACCUUCCAGACUACUAACUUUUGAUUACUCUUGUCAUUAGUCACAUUCAGAAAAAUAUUGAAUGCAGAAAAACAGUUACAUUGGUGCAAGGGAAUGUGAGAGGUCCAAAUAGAGAAGAUUCAAUAAGCAAUUUUCUUUAGUACCAUAUAAACACAAGAAAAACCAAGUCUCAUUAAACUAGUCAGGAAAAGCAAAAAGAAGUACGAAUACUUUGUCAAUCAGAACAUAUUACGUGUGACUAGUGAUGAGAAGAGAGCUUCUUGUGCCUCUCCAAAUAUCUCAACUUAUAUUCUUUUACUACAAAGAAAACUGAGUAGCCAACAGCGAAUUGGAGCAGUGGACCAGUUUGUUUAUCAAUGCAUCAUAAUAGAUCUAAUUCAAGAACAAUGUUUUAAUUUUUUGUGCAAUACCUAUUCUUACUAUUCAGAGGAUAUAAUAGUGAUGUCUAUAAAAUUUGAGAACUAAAAAACAAGGAAAAGUUUCUGAUGUCAAAGAGAAGAGAAUAAGUGAGCACAAAUUAAGAAGUCUUUAUGGCUUGAAACCUUACAAUCACUCAAAAAUUCAUGAAAUUCAGUAUGUUAUGUGUGUCCCUAGUGAAUUAUAUAAAGAGACAAUCACAUCAGUUCUCAGUUCCAGCUCAGACUCUUAGGGCUGCUCAUAUAGUCACUUGAUCGAAAAAUCCACCCGGUAUAACCAACAUAAAACAGUUACGUGAUGAGUUUUUAUGUUGCAAUAUUUCUAAUGAUAGCUGGAAACCUCUUCUAACGAAGCAAUAUUCCUGAUUUGAAAAAAAUAUUUAAAAAAAAUUAAAAAAAAAAAAAAACAGCAUUAAGUGUCAAAAUUCCCGUGACUUCUUCCAGGCGUUCUACCCCAACCUGAACAUGAUGUCACAUUUAAUUUCUUCCAAUAAUCUCUAUAUUGAUUAGUUAGUAUACUUCCUGUUAUUGUCAAGCAGUUGGAUCUUUACAGCCCACAAUGCUAACUCGCCCUGUAUUAGUACACUGUUAGAUCACAAAUAUGUUAGUAAAUUCAUUUGACACUGAAUGGCUAUAAACCACCAAAUUUCCAUCCUAAGCUGAGAACAGCCAUUUAAAAAAAAAAAAAAAAAAGAUUUAAUGAAUUAAAAGGUUGUCUUUGAACUGCGUGAGCUUUACACCCGUGUGACUAGUAUCUAACAGGUGUUUUAUCAUUCUCCUUCCCCUUUCUUCUUCUAUUCCAACGCUUUUCUUCCUCUGUGCUAUAGAACUCACGACUAUAGUAAUUCAUACUUUUCAUCCGAAUAGCCGCCUAUAUCAAUUAGGCAUAAAUCACCUCCUUUUCUUCUUCUUUUUUUUUUUUGAUGUUAAAUGUUUGCUUACUAUUUGCAUCGAUACAUCAAUCGUCGAGGAAAAUCCUUAACCACCUCAUUACACUGUCUAAACUUAAAAAGAGCCAACAAGGAGACACUCUUCAGUUGUGAUACACAUAAUUAUUGAAAAUUUAGUAAUUUGUGUGGAUAAGCAUUUGAUUAAUCAUUAUUCACAAACGAUAAAAAUUAAAUAAAUAUUAUGCAUUAGAAUUACAAAACGCAACAAUGUGGUAAGAUUGCCUUAUUCAAGGAAAGUUAUCAUACUAGAAAAUGAUGGGCCAACAAGAAGUUUGAGAAAGGAUAUGUUACUUCUUACUAAUUUUGAAUGUAUGUUAAUAAAUUGUUAUAUUAAAAAUAUGGAUAAUGUUUCUAUAUUUAUAUGUAUUAGAUUAACUGUCUAUAUUAUGCCUUCUAAUUGUAGGAAAAUAUAGUGAAGAUGCAAUCACAACCCCCUACUGAUGAGAAUAAAGUUCCUAUGACUAAGCAAGAAAUUUGUGCUAAAAUACUUGAGACUAGAUAUGGAUAUAUACUUGGGCGAGCUCAUGGUCCAAAGCCUAAGUCACGACGUGAAGUUUCAUAAAAUCAAUCCUCAAAAUUGCAAAAGAAUUGACAAGUAUAAAAGACUUUUCGAGAGACCCAAUAAUGCAGGAUGGUUUAGGAUUUUCGAGAAUUACUUAAAAAUACGGAUUGAGCGAUUCUUAGAAAUCAAACUAAAAGAAAUAAAUGACAAAUCUGGAAUUCGCAAACUUAAAUAAGAGAACAAUUAGGAAAGAUCACACCUUGGAGUUUCCGUACGAUCGGAUCCAUCGCACGCACGCGGACGAGUUAGUUUAAUUUCUUUCGAUCGUCGGAUCAUAGCCGCUUCGCUAGAAUUUGAAGAAGACUUAAUCGCAAUCUCGAUCAGAUGGUUAUCGCGGCAACGGCGGAUCGUUCAGAUUGUUGUUGUUGUUGUUUUUUCCUUCGGUCUUUGAUCAAGCCCACCCCGGUUCCUACCCGUACGGAUAGAAGGAAAGAGGGAGGAUGCGCACGGAUAAGGAGCGGAAAUCCCACGUAUGAUUUGUGGAGGGAUCCCGCGGGUGGGUCCCACACGAAUAAGUCGAUCUCAACGGCCCUCUUGAAUUGUAACGGAUCCAACAGCUCUAAAAUAUAGAGGCGGAAAGAGAAGAGAGAGGCAAAAGAGAUAAUUCACAGAACUCGCUCUCAAGUCUCAAGCCGGACUCACUCCAGUCAACGCUUUCGCGAAGGUAGAGAAAAUUCACCAGGAAAUCAAACAACUCAAUUUUCAUUAAUCGAAAGCAUAGCAUACCUUACAAUAGAGACUUGACUCUUAUUUAUAGAGGGUAUAGAUUAAAACGACUACGAAUACGACUAGGGAGUCCGAAAAGGAAAUUAAAUAAAUUCACAUAGUAGAAUUCAAAAUAGAAUUCUAAAAAGGAAUAGAAUUCUAAUUUAAAACUUCCAAAUAAACUAGAAAUCCUAAUCUAAUAAACCAAGAUUAACCCACAGAAUCUUAAUCAAACUCAGACUCAAUUUAGGAUCUGAAUCAGGCUCAGAUUCAAGUUAGGCUUUUAAUACCGGUCCAUCAUCCAACCAAAUAUUUCAAAUAUGGUUGCGACAACGAGUAUAAGUCCGGUAAGGACUCGGUUCUCCAUCACCCAACAAUCUCAAAUUGAGACUCAACAAUCUCAAAUUGAAGCUCAAAGUAAAGAGAUUGAAUAGUUAAAGACUAUGGUGCAACAAAUUAUUCAAAUGUCACCAAGAAAUGAUGAUUUUGAACCAUCUACUAUGUGGUAAAUAAGAUUCUUUUGAGUAUUUUUUCAAAUUUAAUUUUUCCUAUAUCAUUUGUUGUCAAAAUCUUAUAUACUUAUAAAAGUUAACUACAGAUAUUAACUAUAUUGGAAUAAAACAUUAUUAUACUUCAAAAGGACAUAUCCUUUUGCUUACACAAAAUAACUAAGUCAAUUAAUCGUAACUUAUUUAUCCAUCUUGUAUUAUCAUCUUAGUCUUUUGUGAAGUGGUGUAAAUAGAUUGUUUAGACGAAGUAAUAAUUAAUUAGAUAAAUUUUGGUACCUUAUUAAUAAUAAUAGUUUUAUACUUUUUGUGCAAAUAUGUGCAAAUGGACUAUACCGGAGCAAGCCAAGUACAAAAUUUUUUCAAAGAUAGAAUUUUGCAUUUUGGUUGAAAAAAUAUUAGUGAACACAUAUUAGAAUGAUUAAUCAAGAUUUGGAUAUUUUAACUGUUCAAGAAAGAUACAUUUGAUUGGCUAUAUUUUAUUUAUUUCGAUUUGCGCAGAUACUUUGAAUUGGAAAUAUAUUUUGGCUUGUUUAUUAAUUUUUAUGUAUAAUGUUUGAUGAUAAUUUGAAUUGUAAAAUGUGAGAAAUUGUCAUAAAAAUAGCAGAUGCAUAUUGCUAUUUAAUUGAUCGAUGAAACUGCGACCAAACUAUUUGUUACUAAUAUAUAAUUGGAUGUAUAUUUGACAGAUGAACUUGCGACCAUAUUUUUGGUCUCAAAAUAUUAGUUAAAUUAAUUAACCUGUCACUGAAGUUGCAACAAACUAUUCUCGUUGCUAUACUAUCAUAAAAAUAUAAAAUUAUUUAAAAAUAAUGGCUUUUGGCAGCGAAUAGAAUUUGUUGCAAUUAAGUUAUAUUUAGCAACGAAAAUAUACUAUCUAAAUGUAUAUUUAGCAACAAAUUAUCAGGCAAGUAGCGACCAUUUAUUUUGUCUCUAUUAGUAUAUUUAGAGUGGCAAAUCUUUUGUCGUCACUAAAUGUAGCAAACAACAGCGACCAAUUGCUUUACUUCGUCAUUAAAACAUUUUAGCGACGAGGCUGUAGCGAUAAAGAAGCAACGAAGGUUUUUUUGUGCUAAAUAGCAGUAGCGACGAAUUUCUAUCCUACAGCAACAAACAUUGUGGGCUGCAAAGGCCUAAAUUUUUAUAGUGACCAAAGUAACAAACAGACUUUUCUUAGUUUCUCUUAUGAUACAUUGUACAAAGUACAAAUCUAUCACAUUCAAAAUAAACCUUACCGAAGUGUCACUCUAGAAGUACUAAUUAACAUCAUAAUGAAACUCACUUGAUUCUUGAGCAAGAAUCAUGGCUUCGGGCAAAGAUUCUCCCAUUUAAACAAAAGAGCCCAAGAAAAGGUACUUGACUACUUUAAACUUCCACAUGAACUGAAAUACAGGGGGCGACUAUUUAGCAGAUCUAUCAGGGGAUUAUAUAGACAAGGGAACUAGAAACAUCACUAAACUUAGAACAUCAAUCUUAAUACUUUUCUACUUUCAAUUCUAAUCUACCAUGUCAAAGGUACUUCUUUAAAACCUAAAGACCGUCCAAAUAAGAAUUUUGCACCAACAAAAAUCACUUCUAAAGUAGCAAUAACUCAUAGCCAAGGCUAAGAGAUUGUUAUAAAAUAAAUUAAACAUAUUCACCUCCAAUUCAACUAGUACAAAACUACCCCAUUGUGAGUGAAGUUCACGACCAUCUCUAUGUAAUCUCAUACCAAGCACCCCCAGGUGGCCCAGGAUGAAGAAAAACUAACCUAAAAACUUGAUAGCUCCAAGCGGAGGUACAAAUAGGUCUCUAGUGAAUUUUCAACCUUGGAUUACAAAUUAGCCCCCAAGAAUGAAUAUUAUUAGAAUUGAAGUUCCCACAUUUGCUAUUGCAUUUCUUGUCCAAUAAAAAUUCUGAGUGGAUUAGGAUCAUGGAAGAUGAUAUUAGCUACGGCUAUUCAACUACUUAUUUCCCAUAGCACUAUGAAGUUGGGUGCUAGUGCUUGUAGAAGAGAGCUGAUAAGACGAUGGGCACAAGACAACGGGCAUCUUACCACUGCAAGUUGGCUGGCAUGCCCAGUUUGCGUGUUGUAGAGGCCAAUACUACAAGGAUUGCUCUUAGCGAUCAGUCCUACCAAAAGAGUAGACUAACAAGAAAGCACGCACCAACAGAAGAUAUGGUGGCUCCAUACGUUAUAUAACCAAUUAUUGAACUGAUUUCCAUUUGCAUACUUAUUGAAUUGGAACUUCCCUAGCGGGCAAAACUAAUUUACUGAAUAGGGUUAGCCUUCCACUACUAUGUUCACCUACGAAGCCAGGAAAACCAAAUUCAAAAUCCUUAGUAGCAUGCCACUUUGUACUUGGACGUGAUUACCAAAAUUUUGCAGCAUACCAAAACGUCCUGCCUACGACCACUUGGUUCAAACAUCACGGAGGGAAUCGAAACAGCGAUAUAAAAAAAAAAAAAGUUAAUAAUUUCACGAGACUAUUUUUCCCUAACAAUCCACGGUUGACACUAACUUAAAAGCUAAUCGAAGAUAACAUCAACACAUCAUAGUAAACAUAUAUGCUUUGCAAGCAAGGCUGGAAUACAAUUAAUAGCACCAAACUCUUUGUGCUAUAGAGUCAUUUUUGAUGUUUGGUGAUCAUUUACUUGGUGAUCAAGCGACCUCAAAAGUGACAAUUUCAACGGUCUAUAUAGGGUGUUUUCUCGUUUAACAGUGUAGAAUAAUCCAAAUCACUUGAAUUUUUAAUAGAAAAUUCUUUCAACUAUCUAGAAAAUGAUCUACUACUCCCAAUAUAAAUCUAAGAUCUCUAUCACUUAUUUUUAAUGAUUGUUCAAUUUUGACCGUCCAUUUCUUGGCAAGUUGAUGGCCUAGAAUAUAGUUUUCAAAGAUCAUAAAAUUCAGUAGAUAGAAUGCUCAACUAAUUGAUCAUGUUUAAUGGUGUCAAUGGUCAAAUAUCAUCCAAAAAGACUCUAUAGCACAAAGGUGGGGGUGCUAUUAAUAAUAGCACUGUAGCUCAACUCUAUGUACUGCAAAUAUCAAUUUAAGAGUGAGAAAAAGCACCGGAAAGAUCCAUGAUUCCAGAGUCGGCCCACUUAUAUCCAAUCCAAAGGAAUGGAAGCUUACUUGUACUUUGGGUUUCGCCAGCGCUUCUUGCUACAUAACUCAUUAAGCUUCUGCUUAGCUUCUCUAUGCUCCCCUGCUUCACUACCAACUUGUGCUCUUGUCAACAAAUCCGAUUUAGAGUUUGCCAAGUUAUGCAGGGCGUCCCUGGCCGCGUUAAGCUUCGCAAUCAUCUUUUGCUCCGAGGAUCCAAUCCCAACGAGAUCCCCGUCCACAAAGACAUUAACAACAUUUGUAUUAUCCCUCCGCCAGUGCUUGAACAUGGCAUUCUUUUUAUACUUCUGGCAGAGCUCGUGAAGAGUCGUCACCGGCUGCUCGUCCACCGUCUCCGCUGUGAUAAUCGGCUCCAUAAUUCCCCUUAUAACCUAUGUGCGUUCCAAAAACCCCAGUACAACAGAAAAAACCUUCUUUCUUUGGUCUUUAACUAGAAUGGAAACUAAUUGUGAGAAGUAACGGAGAGAGAAGAGCAAGAACCUUCCAAAGCAUCUCGAGAUGGAAAUUGGAAUCAACAUAGACGGCUGCGGCGAUCGCCUCGACGAUGUCAGCUAAGACCUUGGGGGCUUUGACGGUGCUGCCGCCAUAGAGAAGUCCUACGAGGUCGUCCUCCGGCUCCUGCAGCACGGCUUCCGUAAACUGGCUAACCUGAAUAGGAUGAGGAGGGGGGGAGGGAGGUGGGGGAGAACAGCUCCGGAAUUAGAGAUAAAAAGAUGAAAGAAUUGGGAUUUAGUGUAAUGUGGGGGGAGGAGUCGGGUUACGAGCUGGUCGAGGCGUGGGGAGUUGCGGCGGAGGAGAGGGUAGAGGCGGUGGCGAACGGCGACGCGGGCGAGCUUCUCGGUGGAGAUGUUGGCGGCUCGGAGAACGGAGAGAGAGCCGGGACCGACGUCGGGGUUGGUGAGGUAGAGGUAGUUGGAGAAGGCGAGGCCGAGGGCGGCGUCGCCCACGAACUCCAGCCGCUGGUACCAUAGCCCAGGAGCCGCUCCACCCUGGCCACCGCCGCGCUCAUCUCCUCGUCGUCCUCGUCGUCGCCGAGGCCGGGGCCCACGAGCAGAGGAAGGGGAUUCAUUUCCAUGUCUUCAAAUUUUCCUUUUCUUCUCUUUCUUUCUCGAUCUUCUUCUAUGUACUGAUUUAUUCCGAGUAGGAGGAGAUUUAGUAAAGGCUUCGCCACCAGGAGGGGAAUCUAUUUCAAGCAGAAAGGCUUUUCAGUAAGGUCCCUGCUUUAGAAGUAGGGUAUCUGUGUAUGUAUCUAAUUUUGAAUCCAAGUAAUAAAUGCAACUUUCGUGCUCAUUGAUCGCUGUUGACGCCCGUAGCAAGGCGACUUCAACGUCCGCCGCCGAGUGAAUUUUUUUUCUUCGGGUAUUUCUAAAAUUAUAAAUAAAUUUAAGGCCUUUUUGCAUAAAAAAUUCACUUACUUUGGGUUUUUACAAAAUCGGGCCACCUUUCUCGUUUUUGCAGAUUCGGUCCACUUUUUCAGCAAACUGAUCAAAAUAUCCUUAUUACUUUUUCUCUUUCCUCUUUCUCUCUCCUCUUCGUUCUCUCGUUCUUUUUUUUUCCGCGAGAAAAAAAAAGCGAAGGCCAGGCGGAGCAAUUUUUUCUUCUCUUUUUCUUUUUCUUCUUCUUCUUCUUCUUCUUCCUCUUGCUGGAGCACCUUUCUUUUUUCCCUCUUCUUCUUCUUCUUCUUCUUCCUGUAAGAGCACGGGGCGUGCCACGGCGACUUCUGGCCUCGCCAAGCGGCAUCCACCCGGCGGCGUUCUGCAGGGAGGGGUCGGCACCGGCGACCGCGAGCGCCGCGGCGAGGGUAGGGGCGCAGGGAGGCGGGCGGCGAGGUGGAGCGGGGUGUCGCAGCCGGGGACGUCGCGCCGGUCGAGGGCGGCGGUCACGCGCGCUGCCCGGGGCUCCGCUCGGGCGGUGUCGGCCGCCGUCGCGAUCUCCGACGGCUGCUUUUUCUUCUUCGUAAUGGUGUAAUGGUGCACGCGGGCCGGUGCACGCAGCGGCAGCGAGCGGGCACGCGGGCGAGCUGCGGCUGCUUCUUCUUCGUCGUAAUGGUGUAAUGGUGCACCAUUACACCAUUAAUGGUGAAAUUACACCAUUAACGGUGCACACGACCCGCGGAGCGGAGCCGCUUGUGGAGCUCCGCCGGGCACAACCGGCCGAGGGCCUCCUCGAAGCGCGCCAGCAGCGCGGCGUGGCACCGGCGCUGCCGCGCGGAGCGGGCAGCGAAGUCAGCGUACCGACGAGCAGCGGUUCCGCCCCCUCCAUAGAAGCUACAUAAUCUGUACAGUGUACACUACCUAUCAGAAUAUAAAAAAACACCCACCACCAACAACUAUUCCUCCAUCCUAGCCGUCGAAAAGAGAUCAAAUACAUCAAAAUUAUCCGAAUUAAUCGCAAGUAAUAAAAAUAAUAUAAAAGGAGAAUCAUAGAUUAAUCAGAGGGCUGAGCCUGAGAUCGAUCGCGAGCCCUCCUGACCCUGCUCCCCCACGUCUGCUCCCCUCCUCGCUCCGUCGCCGCCCUUCUCCCGAGCCCCUCCACCAGCGCCUCCCAAUCCCCAAACCCUCCGCCGCCGCCGCCGCUGCUGCGCCCGCGCCUCCUGCGGAGGGCGACGCCGCUGCCCACAGCCGCGGCCAGCUUUUAUCCGGGCGCGACACCGGCCGCGUGGAGGGCGACGGUCGUGUGAUUCUCGCAGACGCGAGACAGGGGUCGGAGAGCACUCGUAGGCCGUAGACGCGCGCACAAUGAAGCUCAGCGAAGGGCCACCUUGUCCCGUCGCUUCUGGCAGCCGUCGGGUUGCCAACCACGCACGCCCGCCAGUACGCGCGGCUGCUCCGCCACGGCCAGCGCCGCUCACGCGCGCUGCUGGGCACGCUAUCGAGGGCCUCGGCCGGCUGCGCGGGGAGCUUCCACAGCCGGCUCCGCUCCGCGGGCCGCGCACGUUAAUGAUAGUAACCAUUAGACCAUUAAUGUGGUAUGCCGUGAAAUUACACUUACAUUAAUGGUGUAAUUUCACCAUUGGUGUAAUUACACCAUUAACGGUGCACACGGCCCGCGGAGCGGAGCCGCGGGUGGAGCUCCGCCGGAUGCAGCUAGCCGAGGGCCUUCUCGAAGCGCGCCUGCAGCGCGGCGUGGCGCUGGCGCUGCCGCGCGGAGCGGGAAGCGAAAUCAGCGUGCCGACGAGCGGCGGUUCCGCCCCCUCCAUCCCCUCCUCCUGACGAUCCCUCCCCGCAUCCCGACGAGCGGCGGUUCCGCCGCCACUUUGACGCCGCCGGCGCCGUCUUCUCCGCCUCCGCCGCCAAGCUCGAGCUGUCCGCGCGCCUCCUGCGUGAGCAACGCAUGCUGGGGCUGGCGCUCGCCGCCGCCGGCAGCAACCUCGGCCACGAGUUCGAGCGGCUGCUUCGGCCACAACUUCGCUGCCCGCUCCGUGCGGCAGCGCCAGUGCUACGCCGCGCUGCUGGCGCGCUUCGAGGAGGCCCUCAGCCAGCUGCGCCCGGCGGAGCUCCACCCGCGGCUCCGCUCCGCGGGCCGCGUGCACCGUUAAUGGUGUAAUUACACCAUUACACCAUUAAUGGUGUAAUGGUGCACCAUUACACCAUUACGACGAAGAAGAAGCAGCCGCAGCUCGCCCGCGUGCCCGCCCGCCGCCGCUGCGUGCACCGGCCCGCGUGCACCAUUACACCAUUACGAAGAAUAAGAAGCAGCCGUCGGAGAUCACGACGGCGGCCGACGCCGCCAGAGCGGAGCCUCGAGCGGCGUGCGUGACCGCCGCCCUCGAUCGGCGCGACGUACCCGGCUGCGACACCCCGCUCCACCUCGCCGCCCGCCUCCCGCGCGCCCCCACCCUCGCCGCAGCGCUUGCGGUCGCCGGUGCGACCCCUCCCCGCAGAACGCCGCCGGGUGGACGCCGCUUGGCGAGGCCGGAAGUCGCCGUGCCGCGCCCCGUGCUCUUACAGGAAGAAGAAGAAGAAGAAGAAGAAGAAGAAGAAGAAGAGGGAGAAAAAAAAAGGUGCUCCAGCAGGAGGAAGAAGAAGAAGAAAAAGAAAAAGAGAAGAAAAAAUUGCUCCGCCUGGCUUUCGCUUUUUUUUUCCGAUGGAAAAAAAAAGAACUAGAGAACGAAGAGCAGAGAGAAAGAGGAAAGAGAAAAAGUAAUAAGGGUAUUUUGGUCAGUUUGCUGAAAAAGCGGACCGAAUCUGCAAAAAACGAAAAAGGUGGCCCGAUUUUGCAAAAGCCCAAAAUAAGUGGAUUUUUUUAUGCAAAAAGGCCUACAUUUUAUAACCGGGCGAAUUUGUAUAAAAAAUUUAGGCUAAUUUGCAUAAAAAAUCCACUAGUUUUGAACUUUUGCAAAACCGGGCCACCUUUUUUAUUUUUGCAGAUUCGGUCCGAAUUUUCAGCAAACUAACUAAAAUACUCUUAUUAUUUUUUCUCUCUCCUCUUUUUUUUCUCUCGUCUUUUUUUUUUCUCUCUUAAGAACGCAGCGAUGGCGGAGGCGGAGGCGGAGGCGGAGGCGGAAACGGAAACAGCCCGCCUCGCCUCUCACCCUCAUGCUCUCGCCCUCACCCACGCACCCUGCGCCUUCCUCGCCUCCGACCCCGUCGAGACUGCGCCGCGACUCUUUUUUUUUUUCCCCCUCUCCGCCUCCGACGACGACCCGCCUCCGACGACGAUGCCUCUCUCGCCCUUCCCCGCUUUUUCUCACCCUUUUCCUUUCCCUCCUCCUUCGUUUCCUUCACCACUUCCGACGACGACGCCUCUCUACCGACACUGACGUCACGAAGGUCGCUGCGACGCCGCAGCCUCGUAACGGGAAGUCCUUAGUGACGCCAUCGCCGGUGCAGUGGUCGUUGGCAGAGAGGCAUGACAAAAAAAUUGUAGAAAAAAAUAAUAAAAAAAAUAAAGACAAAAAAAAUAGAAGAUGGAAGAAGAAGAUGAAAUUGCACUGUUUAAAAAAAAUUACACUAUUUUAAAAAAAAUUUCACUGUUUUAAAUGAAAGUUGCACUCUUUGAAAAAAACUUACACUCUUUGAAAUCACAUUACACUAUUUAGAACAAAAGUGCACUAUUUUGACAAAAUUUACACUAUUUCGUUUUCUAUUUUCCACACUAUUUCUCUUCCAUUUUUCUUCUUCUUUCUCCUUCCUCUCAUCCUCAUCCUCAUCCUCAUCCUCAUCCUCAUCCUCCACCUCGAGAGAGAGGAUUGAAGGGGCGGUGGUAGCGCAAGAGCGAGCGCACCUCGUCGGGGAACCUCGCGGCAUGCAUCCGUCACGACCACGACGCCGGUCUCCCCUCCGCUGCAGCCGCCUCCCCCGCGCCCUCCUUCGUCGCCGCCACCUCCCCUGCGCCUCCUUCUCUUUCGCAGCCGCAGCCUCCCCCGCGCCUUCCUUCCCCUUCACAGCCACCGCCUCCUCCGUGCCCUCUCCUUUCCCUUUGCCGCCCCUUCGCCACCUCCGCCUCCCCCGCGCCCUCCUUCUCCUUCGUCGUUGCCGCGAGGUCAACCUCCUCCUCGACCACAGUGACGAUCCACGGCUCCAGGCGCCAGAUCCCGGCUCCGCGCCAGAUCCUCGCUCCUGCGCUACCAUCGCCCCUCCAAUCCUCUUCUCUAGAGGUGGAGGAUGAGGAUGAGGAUGAGGAUGAGAGGAAGGAGAAAGAGGAAGAAGAAUGGAAGAGAAAUAGUGUGAAAAAUAGAAAAUGAAAUAGUGUAAAUUUUGUCAAAAUAGUGCAAUUUUGUUCUAAAUAGUAUAAUAUGAUUUCAAAGAGUGUAAUUUUUUUUUUCAAAGAGUGCAACUUUCAUUUAUAAUAAUGUAAAAAUUUUUAAAACAAUGCAAUUUUUUGCAAUUUCAUCUUCUUCUUUCUUCUUCUAUUUUUUUUGUCUUUAUUUUUUUAUUAUUCUUUUCUACAAUCUUUUUUUGUCAUGCCUCUCCGCCAACGACCACUGCGCCGGCGAUGACAUCGCUAAGAACUUCCCGCUUCGAGGUUGCGGCGUCGCAGCGACCUUCGCGUCGUCAGCGUCGGCAAAGAGGUGUCGUUGUCGGAAGUGGCGAAGGAAACAAAGAAGGAGGGAGAGAGAAAGGGCGAGAAAAAGCGGGGAAGGGCGAGAGAGGCGGCGUCGUCGGAGGCGGGUCGUCGUCGGAGGCGAUGGAGGAGGGUCGGAGAGGGGAAAAAAAAAGAGUCGCGGCACAGUCUCGACGGGGUCGGAUGUAAGGAAGGUGCAGGGUGCGUGGGUGAAGGCGAGAGCAUGAGGGUGAGAGGCGAGGCGGCCUAUUUCUGCCUCUGCCUCCGCCUUCGCCAUCGCUGCAUUCUUCAGAGAGAGAAAAAAAAAAUGAGAGGGAAAAAAUAAUAAGGGUUUUUUGGUCAGUUUGCUAAAAAUUCGGACCGAAUCUGCAAAAACGAAAAAGGUGGUCCGAUUUUGCAAAAACCCAAAACUAGUGAAUUUUUUAUGUAAAUUGGCCAAAAAUUUAUAAAUUUAUAAAUUUUAAAAUUUUAUAAAAAUAGAUCAUUAUUUUAGAUUUUUUAAAACUACGUCCGAAUUUUUAAAAAACUUACUAAAAUACCAGUACUCUUUUUUCUCUCUCCUUUUUUUCUCGUUCUUUUUUUUUCGUAACUAUUGCGGCGGCACAUCCUUCCUCCACCUUCGCCGACUAUCGAAUUUUUGAUCGUUGGAUGAAAGGAUGUACGGUUAGGAUGAUAGUGGCCCCCGGUUAGGAUGAUAGCGAUCUCCUAUGAUUGAAUGGGUGGUUGAUUGAAUAGUAUAAUCUAACCGGUGUAAAUGAUCAAAGGGUAGAUCUAACGGCAGAAAACUCGAUAGUACCAAAAGCUUGGUACUAUUGAUAGUAUUGUAGCCGAACUCUCUCUCUCUCUCUCUCUCUCUCUCUUUAUAUAUAUAGUAACUCUAACCCAAAUCAACUCCUCUCCCUCUCCCCUCUCUUUCUUUCUCUUUAUAUAUAUAGUAACUCUAACUCAAAUCAACUCAUCUCCCUCUCCCUGCAACGCCGCUGGCUCCACUCCGGCAGACUGGAUCAACUUCCCUCUCUCUCUCUCUUGUCAUCCUUUAUGGGUAUUCUUGAGUGUGGCUGCCAUUGCCGCCGCCAUCGCCGGCCUCAAGGAGGUCCGACAACCCUCCUCUCCAGCUACCCGACUGCCGAGCCUUCCCCUGCGCCAUCUCCCAACUUGGAACCCGAGGGCGGGUGUUCUUCAGGCUGCACCACUUGCCCGACCACAUUGCCGCUCCUGGCCUCUGUGAGGUCUGGCAACCCCCCUUCGGUCAACCACCAUACCCCCAAGCCUACCCCAUCGUCGGAUUUUAUUUUUAAACCCAAGAGCAUUUAAGUUGGCUGCUAUAUCCUUGGCGCCGCCACCACCACCCCCACCUUCACCUCUGUUGCCGAUAGCUGCCUCCCCCGGCCCCUCCUCGUUGACCACAGAUCCCUCCGACUGUCGUGAGCUGUAGGGUUUUAUUGGAUUUUUGUGAUUUAAAACUUGUUAGCCAUCUUGGGGAGCUCAACAAUAAUUAAUGGGCUCUGCUUGGGAGCCCAACGAAAGUUUCCAUUUGUAAGAUUUAGUCCCACAUUGGAAACUAAAAGGAUGUUGAUGGUAUUUAUAUAUUCCUUUAUUCUCAAGCUAGUUACUUGGGAGAAAAUGAGAGUUAUGCUCUUGUUUACACACAUGCACGCACGGCACGAGCCGGGCCAGAAGGGUGGUAGCGCGCGCAGUUCAUACACCCGGUUUAUUUUAUUUUUAUUUUUUUCGGUUUUAUCUUUAUCCUAAUCAUAAUCCGUAUAAUCUUAGGAUUAUCUUGUUCUACACGGAUUUGACGUCUUGAAGUAAAAUUCUCGCCUUGGUUAUAUGUAAUACACUGAACUUUCGCAAAUUGUAGAGUUCGAGUGUGUGGAAUGAUAUGUGGAUUUAUCCUACAUGUUCUAUAUGACUUGGACAAGUUUUUGAACAAAUUAGAGAGUGAUUGGAUGGUUAAAAACAAGAAAGUGCAUUGAACUGGCGGAAUUCAGCUUUUUCUGCUUGGUGUACCGGUACAGCCACUAUGGUGUACCGGUACACAUAGGCAGAUACGUGGCAGCAUGGGUAGUUUGGUAAUUUCACAUUCCUAACCUUAUCUCCUUGCCCCAGCACGACUCCUAGAGCAUCUUGGAAGGUAGUAGAGCUCAGAGCAGGGUUCUUGUCCCUCUCCUACUCUCUCUCUCUAGGGUUUUUCUCUCUUUAUAUAGGAAUCAGCGAUUUUGCUCGUUUUCGUCGCCUCGCUCGUUCUUCGCUGUUGCGGGUGUCGCUGAGCCUUCGUGGACGUGUGAAAGAGUGUUUUGGAAGGCUUUUCACAACUCUGAACCAGUAGUUCACUGGUUGGAGGCCCGAGAAGGUAAUCGACUCAAUUUUUCCAUUAAUAAUGUUGAGUUGAGUAUAGAUUUCAGGUUUUUGCUUUCCACUGUUUUAAUCGGGGAUUUCAGCAAUUAAAGAUGGGUUAAUUAGAUGUGAAUUAACCUUCUUAGAUCAGGGAUAAGCUAUUUUGAAGCUUAGUAGGGAUAAUUAGUUCACUAUGAAGUUAUUUCGGAACUAUAUGCGAGUUGUUUGAGCGACCUAAUGUAGUUUGGAACUCAUUCCUUUGCAGCAGGUUUUCGAAUCAUUUUGAGCUAAUUUGUUGACCUUGGGGACUAGUCUAGACGUGUUCUAACCUGAGGUAAGCAGGAAUUUCGGUUAGAAAACUGAAUUCGCAAGAUUCUGAAAGUUUUGAGGAGCCCAAGGAUCUAUCUAGAUUGUAUCUAUCACCUAGAGGGGGGUGAAUAGAUGAACGGCCAAAAACCACAAAUCUUGAUGCAAUAAAAUAAAUGCGAAAAAUAAAAAGCACACCGAGAUUUACGUGGGAAAACUCUAACUUGGAGAAAAACCCACUGGACCAACACGCGAAAAAAUAAUUCACUAAGAGAAAAGAUUACAAGGUGAUUACCGACUCCACGGACUCAACCUCUCUUAACCUCCUAUGAAUCUUCGCGCUACCCUCCGGGUUGUCCACGCCCUCACGUUCGAGUCCACGAACGUCUCCACUUCGAAUCCACGAAGCUUCAAUCACACCGAAUCCACGACGCCACUCGAAUCCACGAGCCAACGAUCCGAAUCCACGAACCGCCUUUGUUCACGCCGAAUCCACGACGCCGUUCAUAAAGAGCAUCAUGAUUAUUGUGAUCCUUCUCUUAGGAGUAUCGUAGAAAACCAGGGAAUAGAACUCCAAGCGAAGCGGAGAUCAAAUCGACAUAUAGAGAAUGCGAAACGAUAUCUCGAUUUGAUCUAAAGAGGCUAAUUUGUAGAAAAUAGGUUUAGAAUGAAAUCCGAGCCUCUAGGGUUUCUCAAACAUGUAUUCUUAUGAUGCUUAAUCAGUUAGAGAACCCCUAUAGCUUAUUUAUAGACUUUAGAAUCAAAACGGAGUAGAAUUAGAAAGUUUCUUUCCAAAAUCAGCACCUUGUACCGGAACAAGGAAUGCUGUCCAGGGUACACCAUGACGGAAGAUUUUUCUGCGAAGCUCCUGUACCCUGGAUAGCUUCAGCUUGUUCCGGAACAGGGCUUGUACCGGUACAGCAUGAAGCUUGUACCGGAACAACCAUCAAACUUUCUGCGCAACGUUGAUGGCUGUACCCUGGACAGAAAACCCUUGUACCGGUACAGCAAUGCAAUUUUCGCUGAAAAUGCAUUGUUUUGGAUUUUACAAACUCUUAGAAACUUUCUAAUCAAUUACAACUUGAAAACAUGAUUCUAAGAUCUAUAAUUAAGUAUGAAUCACCAUAAACAAGAUUUAAAGCUUACCUACGCAUCGUGAUUCAUGUUUUACGUGUUUUGCGUCCUUUCCGAUUCUUCGAAGUCUUGGAUUCUUCGAUCUUCAAUACUCCGCUCCGAACUUCUUCAAGACUCCGACUCGACCCACGAAACUUGCCAACACAUAGGACCUAACAAUCUCCCCCUUUGGCAAUUUCGUGACAAAACACACACAAACUCACAAAUUACAAUUUAAAGAAAAAACGAAGUUCAAUGUCAUCACCAAAACAUCGAACCCCUCGCGUGUAAUCCAAAUACAAUUUGAAACUCAAAAUUACAUCAAAACUCCUAAAACAGACUCUAUGACUUAGACGCAACUAGGAGUCUUGAAGUCUUGAUUUCCUGCAAAACACUUCAUUCAAAAAUGAUUAGCACUAAAUUCUUAUACCUUCUCCCCCUUUGUUCACAUCUCCCCCUUUGUUCUUGAACUCAUCAUCCUCUGCUUCAGUUCAAUGCCUGUUCAUCCAUGCUCUCCCCCUUCAUCUACGCUCUCCCCCUUUUUGUCAAAAAUUGCCAAAAGAAAGCAAAUAGAAAGAGAAAACAUACUAGAAAAACAUGAGAGUAGUCUAGUCAUAGUUACAGGCCUAAAACAAAAGUAAAAACAUACUACAGAAAGAUAAGCAAGCAAAUCUAAAACAUCGUCCUAAACAUCAAAUGCAGUGAAAGAAAGAGACUAAGCUCGACGAAGAAAUCACUCCGUGUCCUCAUCAUCAUCAUCAUCAUCUCCAGCACCAGCUCCAGAACCUCCAGCCUCAGGAGCAUCACCAGACGGUGGAAUGAGAGGAUGUCGUGAAGAUGACCGCUGAUACGAAGUAGAAGAUGGAGUAGGUUCCCAAAUAUCAUCAUGUCUACACCCCAUCUUAUCCAUCAAUCUUUUGAUACUUAACUCAAACUUUUUGAUGCCGGACUCAACUUUCCUUCCAAUGUUGUUCACCUUCUUCUUUAACUUUCGCAAAUCUUUCUUAACUGAUUCCAAUGUCGUCGCUUCCCCCGAACUAGAUGAAGUAUCAUAACUUCCUCGAGAUGUAGGCGGAGGAGCAGAACUAGAAGCUGCUCUCGGUGGAGGUGCUGGACUAGAUGCUUCAGGAGGUGGCCCUUUGGUCUGAUGGAAUGACUUGAGAGUGCUAACCGACUUAGCCCAAGUCACUGAGUCAAUAGGCCCAAGGCCAACAUCAUACUUGUCACAAGAUGUAUCCACUCCAUUUGCUUGAAGAAUCCUCGUAAUCAGAACAGGGAAUGGUAGUAGAUCCCGUCGAGUGGCACCCUGAAUUACGUGAAUCAUCCUUUGCCAGAUCAGAAAUGGAAUGUUGAUGUUCAACCCACGAGCCUGCUCGGGAUGACCAAGUAGAUAUAGCAACACUAAUCUCUCCCAGCGGAUCCUCUUUGUGCCGAUAGUUGGUUGAACAUUGUAGCUCAUAACCAAGGAUAGCAAGUGAUACUCAGGUAAUAAGUCCUUGGAUUCAAUGUAACCAUGAGUCAUGUAAACACCGGCUUUGCAUAUAGCUCCAAGAACGAUAUCCAGGUGAGUUGAUGCUUGGAAUCCUCCUGACGUAUAGAGAAGACCUGAAGUGUCCACAUGCAUCCCCAAGAUCUCUCCAAUAUCAUAGGGGGUAACUGGAAAUCUCCUCUGACGCACAACAGUCUCGAAGAUAAAAGUGCCUGUUUCAUCAUCUUCAGCAAGCACCUUUCCAUUCAUAUAGAACUCCCUAAUGAGUUCUACACAGAAAGGAGCCUUCGCAGGGACCCGUCCAACAGGCUCAAUAGGCGCGCGCUGUAGUAGUCGUCCAAAAUCAGGAACCUCCCGAAUCAGAUCAUGGAAGUUCACAAAGCGUUCAGCUAUGCACGACUUUGAUGCAAACAACCUUCGCCGUGCUGGAGGAACCUCUGCAGCUUGUUUUGAACGUCCCUCACGAGUACGAGAACCACCACCGUGAGAUGAUUCGCCAGCUAAACCUUUGCCUUUGUCAAGUCGCGCAAUAGGUUCUUCAGAUUCUUCAGGGGAGCUCUCCUGAUAAUCCGGAUCAGACCCGGACGCUUCUUCAGUGGUACGUGUCCUUUUAGAAACCCCAUGACGACCUCUACCACUACCACGGCUCCGUCUCCCAGCCAUGAGCACCAAAAGCACCAGUAUGAGCAAAAAUGCCAUUUUCCUAUAUCAAAAAUUGCAUACAUGAACAUAAUUUCUGGAAAAAAUCUGUAAAAAUAGCGAAAAAAUUUCUAAUUACAUUAGAAUGCAUACAAAAGCUAUUUCUAACCAGAUCAUGCAAAAUAUUUCAGCAAAAAUCGAACUUUUUGAAAAAUCCCGAAAUUACAUGCACAUUAGAACAUAAAUUUUAGAUCAGCGAAAAAUAACUUGUUUUGAUGUUGUUCAAGUGUUCUACAAGCAAGGUAAUAGCCUAAGACACUGAUCUAUAGCAAAAAAUUGCAUCAAAAACGGAUUAGAACAGAGAUCAAACCCUUAUCCCGCAAAAACAGUGAAAAUAGCAAAAUCGGGAUAAAACUCACAAAUUUGAUGCUAAAAACUUACAAAUCCACAGGAAAAAUGUGUAGAACGAAUGAAGGAGAGUCUCUGGAGCUCACAGAACCAAAAAUUUUGGAAAACGAUUGAGUUUUGAGAAAGAUCGAAGCGUUAUACCCGGUUAUAUUUCGCUCGGCCGCAGACCUUGUACCGGUACACGGGUUCUUGUUCCGGUACAAGGACCAAAAUGUGAAAAAAAAAUUUUCGAAAAAUAUACUUUAAAAAUCCAUCACAUUUAAAUUAAAUUCAUAUAGUUAAGGCUUUUACUCCAAAAAUCAUUGUAAUGAAAAUAAGAUAUUAUAAAAUUUCAAAACACAUCAAAACAUCAAAAUUUCAAAAUCAAAAAUAAUUUAAUGAUUCAAAAACAUCAAGAUGUAAGUUGAUGAAAAAUGAUUUUUAGAAAUUCAACAAAAUUGACACCAAUUUGUCGCAAUACAUUCAAAAUAGAGAUUUAACUAAUAUGGCACCGGGGGUGGCUCUUUGAGCAUCUUUUUCAAACUAGCACCUUAUUACUCCGAAAAUUCUAAAAUAUUUAUAUUUUUCCAACCUUUUUCGGCUUUUUCAAUUAAAUACCAUGUGGUAGCUUCACACACUUGCCGGACGACCGGGGUGGUAGCUCUUUCCUACAUGUGGUGGUAGUUUUCACACUCCUUUUGGAUGUAACUCUUUCCACAUCUUUUAAACAUAGGAGUUUCUUUUUCUCUUUUUUUUUUAAUUUCAAACUCCCCCUAAAUUAGGCAAUCUCACAAUUGAAAAUAAUUUUGACGAAUUUUAGUCAAUUAGAGAAUACCCAUUUAUCAUAUCCAACACUCACAACCAAGAUGAAUUAAUCACCAAAAAAUCAAAUUUGAUUUCAAAAUUUUGAUGAAUUUAUGCAUUAAGAAAUCAUAUAAUAAAUUAUCGUCAAAAUAAUAAAUAGUGGAGUAAAGACGAUAAUUAAUAUGAAUUUAACUUAAUAUGAUUGUGAAGUUAAACACCAUUUAAACAACUUUGAAAAAUAAUUUCUCUCUCCAAAAACAUGGAUCUCAAUCAUCUCUUUUCUCGAAAAUUUUGAAUUCCUAAACACCUUUUCUCAAAUCAAUUUUAAAAGCAACUUUUACACACGAAAAUCAUCAUGUAAUACAAUGAGUAAAAAUAUGCAACAAGCACCUAUCAAAGCAUUACAUUAAAGAUCAAAAAUGACUAAGACGAUGAGCAAGGAAAGAUAUCACCUUUCCGGAUCAAAACUUGUCGGAUCUUUGGUUUUCUCGGCUUGUCGACGUUAGGUGCCGUUUGUUUAGACUUUUGAUCAACCGUUGGUGGUUUCUUCGGUUGAGGCUUNNNNNNNNNNNNNNNNNNNNNNNNNNNNNNNNNNNNNNNNNNNNNNNNNNNNNNNNNNNNNNNNNNNNNNNNNNNNNNNNNNNNNNNNNNNNNNNNNNNNNNNNNNNNNNNNNNNNNNNNNNNNNNNNNNNNNNNNNNNNNNNNNNNNNNNNNNNNNNNNNNNNNNNNNNNNNNNNNNNNNNNNNNNNNNNNNNNNNNNNNNNNNNNNNNNNNNNNNNNNNNNNNNNNNNNNNNNNNNNNNNNNNNNNNNNNNNNNNNNNNNNNNNNNNNNNNNNNNNNNNNNNNNNNNNNNNNNNNNNNNNNNNNNNNNNNNNNNNNNNNNNNNNNNNNNNNNNNNNNNNNNNNNNNNNNNNNNNNNNNNNNNNNNNNNNNNNNNNNNNNNNNNNNNNNNNNNNNNNNNNNNNNNNNNNNNNNNNNNNNNNNNNNNNNNNNNNNNNNNNNNNNNNNNNNNNNNNNNNNNNNNNNNNNNNNNNNNNNNNNNNNNNNNNNNNNNNNNNNNNNNNNNNNNNNNNNNNNNNNNNNNNNNNNNNNNNNNNNNNNNNNNNNNNNNNNNNNNNNNNNNNNNNNNNNNNNNNNNNNNNNNNNNNNNNNNNNNNNNNNNNNNNNNNNNNNNNNNNNNNNNNNNNNNNNNNNNNNNNNNNNNNNNNNNNNNNNNNNNNNNNNNNNNNNNNNNNNNNNNNNNNNNNNNNNNNNNNNNNNNNNNNNNNNNNNNNNNNNNNNNNNNNNNNNNNNNNNNNNNNNNNNNNNNNNNNNNNNNNNNNNNNNNNNNNNNNNNNNNNNNNNNNNNNNNNNNNNNNNNNNNNNNNNNNNNNNNNNNNNNNNNNNNNNNNNNNNNNNNNNNNNNNNNNNNNNNNNNNNNNNNNNNNNNNNNNNNNNNNNNNNNNNNNNNNNNNNNNNNNNNNNNNNNNNNNNNNNNNNNNNNNNNNNNNNNNNNNNNNNNNNNNNNNNNNNNNNNNNNNNNNNNNNNNNNNNNNNNNNNNNNNNNNNNNNNNNNNNNNNNNNNNNNNNNNNNNNNNNNNNNNNNNNNNNNNNNNNNNNNNNNNNNNNNNNNNNNNNNNNNNNNNNNNNNNNNNNNNNNNNNNNNNNNNNNNNNNNNNNNNNNNNNNNNNNNNNNNNNNNNNNNNNNNNNNNNNNNNNNNNNNNNNNNNNNNNNNNNNNNNNNNNNNNNNNNNNNNNNNNNNNNNNNNNNNNNNNNNNNNNNNNNNNNNNNNNNNNNNNNNNNNNNNNNNNNNNNNNNNNNNNNNNNNNNNNNNNNNNNNNNNNNNNNNNNNNNNNNNNNNNNNNNNNNNNNNNNNNNNNNNNNNNNNNNNNNNNNNNNNNNNNNNNNNNNNNNNNNNNNNNNNNNNNNNNNNNNNNNNNNNNNNNNNNNNNNNNNNNNNNNNNNNNNNNNNNNNNNNNNNNNNNNNNNNNNNNNNNNNNNNNNNNNNNNNNNNNNNNNNNNNNNNNNNNNNNNNNNUGAAAAAAUCUGUAAAAAUAGCGAAAAAAUUUCUAAUAACAUUAGAAUGUAUACAAAUGCUAUUUCUAACUAGAUCAUGCAAAAAAUUUCAGCAAAAAUCGAACUUUUUGAAAAAUCCCAAAAUUACAUGCAUAUUAGAUCAUAAAUCUUAAAUCAGCGAAAAAUAACUUGUUUUGAUGUUGUUCAAGUAUUCUACAAGCAAGGUAAUAGCCUAAGACACUGAUCUAUAGCAAAAAAUUGCAUCAAAAACGGAUUAGAACAGAGAUCAAACCCUUAUCCCGCAAAAAUAAGAAAAAUAGCAAAAACCGGGAUAAAACUCACAAAUUUGAUGCUAAAAACUUACAAAUCCAAGAGGAAAACGUGUAGAACGGUUGAAGAAGAGUCGCUGGAGCUCUCAGGAACAAAAAUUUUUGAAAAAGAUGGAGAUUUGAAAGAGAUCGAAGCGUUAUACCCGGUUAUAAGCCGCUCAGCCGCAGACCUUGUACCGGAACACGGUUCCUUAUACCGGUACAAGGACCAAAAUGUGAAAAAAAAAUUUUCAAAAAAUAUCCUUUAAAAACCCAUCAAAUUUAAAUCAAAUUCAUAUAAUAAAGGCUUUUACUCCAAAAAUCAUUAUAAUGAAAAUAAGAUAUUAUAAAAUUUCAAAACACAUCAAAACAUCAACAUUUCAAAAUCAAAAAUAAUUUAAUGAUUCAAAAAUAUCAAGAUGUAAGUUGAUGAAAAAUAAUUUUUAGAAAUGCAACAAAAUUGACACCAAUUUGUCACAAUAUGUUCAAAAUAGAGAUUUAACUAAUAUGAUACCAGGGGUGGCUUUUGAGCAUCUUUUUCAAACUAGCACCUUAUAACUCCGAAAAUUUUAAUAUUUAUAAACUUUUUCCAACCUUUUCGGCUUUUCAAUUAAUUUCCAUGUGGUAGCUUCACNNNNNNNNNNNNNNNNNNNNNNNNNNNNNNNNNNNNNNNNNNNNNNNNNNNNNNNNNNNNNNNNNNNNNNNNNNNNNNNNNNNNNNNNNNNNNNNNNNNNAUCCAACCCUAUACUAUUGACCUAUCUAGGUCCAAUGCACUUUCCACCCUAGGUCCAACUGACUCUAGGUCUAAUGCCUCAAUUUCACAAUCUAGGUUUACCUUAACUCUAGGUUCAGUUCUCAACCUAUGUUCUUUAACACUAGGUUAGAUGCCACACACCUAGAUCCCGACUCUAGGUUCAUACUCAACCUAUGUUCUUUAACACUAGGUUAGAUGCCACUCGUUAUUUAUCCUAGGUUCAACAACGCUAGGUUCAAUGUCACCUAUGUUCGACCUAUGUUUAUUAACACUAGGUUAAUGCCACUCGAUCUACUUGAUAUCCUACUUGUCAUAUCAAGUCCAUAUACACAUGCAUCUAGCAUACAUUUCCAAUACACUUAUACAUAUCAUUUACAUGGAUCUACUUAGCAUUUGCAUCAUAUUAUUAACAUGCAUUAGCUACAUGAAUCAACCACAUGCUUUAUUUACAUUUAUAUGCAUCAUCUAUAUACCUCAUUUACAUUCAUAUGCAUCAACGUGGAUUCUUAAUCAUCUUAGACAUAAAGGGCGACCUAGUCGCUUCGGUAAACACAACCCACCUUAACUCGCGUUCCGAUUGCUCGUCGACACUUGCAAUCGGCCUCCCGCGGCACUCGGCACCCGUUUAGGCCCGAUCUCACAGUUGCUCUCUAAGAGCGCGUCGCUUCGCCGUUUCAAGUGCUAACGAUCUUCGCCUCGCCGUUACGAUGCUCGAGACCCGAUUUCACGAUUUAUGGACGUCGCCUCGGCCUUCCAGGCAGAAACGAAGCUCCAAGCGUCCGUUUCUUCAAUAUCUUUGUAACGGCUCGUCGGAUUGCCAAACCGUCUUCGCCAACGUGUUUCGUUACCUAUCAAUUUGGUUUAUAGAGGGUUAUUUGAGAUCAAACCCAUCUAUUUACAAAAAUCCCAUUUUUGAGCUGUAGUUUGCGACUACGGCAAAAACCACCAUUCGAACUCUAGAUUCAAGCAUUAAACGUCUAUUAAGCUUGCUAGAACACUAAUCAAACCAUUUCUAGAGCAUUUAGACCUAUUUCUAGAGAUCUACCAUGAGAGGGAGUAGCAAGCUUACCUCUCAAGCUAGCCCAAUGGAGAGGAAGAAGAUGAGAAGAUGAAGCUCCACCUUGCUCUUCUUCUCUCCACUAUCUCCUUCUCCUCCUUCUUCUUCUUCUUCUUCCCCUUCUUUUCUUUCUAGAGAGAGAGGGAGGGUUUUGGGUUCACACGGUUGAGGGAGAGGGAGAGAAAGACCUAAUUCCCCAUUCUAUACACUCUAAUAAGUGCAAAAUUGCACUUAAGCCCCUCAACAAGCCUCUUCUUGCAACAGCCCGAACUGGGCAUUUUCGGGGUUCGGGGACCGGUCUCUGCAUGAGGGACCGGUCUCUGAGAGACCGGUCUCUCUGCCUGGGACCGGUCCCAGAGAGACCUCCAGCCCAGACUUAGCCAAUUUUCAGCUUCGUCCGUUUUCGCUCCGUUUUCGCCCGUUUUCGUUCGUUUGACCUCCGAUUCGUCUCAAAUCGAACCGAGACUCUCCAAACAUGUUUUCAAAUAUGUUUUCAUCAUCUUUCCAUCCUCGCUAAUGCCAGAUUCAGCUCACGGCCCAACCUAGCCUUUCGGGUUCUGUUUCCGCGCCUACGCGCACCGAAACACCCGAUAGCUCCCGAACUUCACCGAACUUCACCGGAACCAUUCAAAUAGCUCCCCAAUCGAAUAUACACCGUAACUUAAUAGUUUUAGAAGUCCGGUACCUUACAAUGCUACUAUGCCCAUAAUCAUGAAUAUGAAUGCAUGCAUCAUAUAAUAAAGGUUUGCUACCAUGCUAACAAAUUCGAUCUAUGUUCGAAUAACAAUGUUCAAUGACAUUAUUAAACCUUUGAUUUUCCAUUUACCCAAUCUGUGGCGAGACCCUAGGGCUCGCCUAUAACUCACCCUUCAAUCCCAAAGUGGGGAGGGAGCUCCAUGUGCACCCAAGCCCGGGACCGUCUGCGGAUCUCCAUGUGGUUCGGACCUCCAAGUGGUCCUAGUCGCGCGACACUCCGGAGUACUCGACGACAAUCCUCUCCAUGUGGGGAUUGGAUGGCUAUACCAUCCCAAACGCAGACUGUGAGCUAGAUCUAUCCUCUCCGAGUGAGGAUACACUAUCACUAGGGUCAACUACCCAAUCCAAUCCUCUCCAAGUGAGGAAGCACUAUAACUAGGGUCUACAAUCGAAUCAAAUCCUCUCCAAGUGAGGAUGCUCUACAACUAGAGUCAACAUUUCUCGCGAGAUCAUUGGUUCCCGACAUUCAUGCAAUGCUAUUUAGCUUUUCUAAAUUCAUUGUUCACAAGGCAUUUUCUAAGGGAUCCGCCUAUCCCUAGGUCCAUCGACCUCUAGUGUUAAUUACACUACAUUAAUGCCACUCGUUAUCAUUUAACAUUUGGAUGCCACUCGUUUGUUCUUUGACAAUAACACUGCUUUCUAUGUCACCAACACCCCCAUCGGGUUCAUCUCUAUCUUUAGCAUCAUAGGAUCCACGUUCCGACCCAAUCCUCACCUAUUUAUGUCACCAAGCGUUCCAAGUACACUAGGUUAUCAUUUAGAAAGCGUAAGGAAUGGAGUUACUAUGCAAUCCUACAAUGCAACAUGAGAGAUGAGAUUAAAUGCAAUUUAAGACAUAGAAAGGAGUUCGAAAGCUUCGGGAUGGCACUCCCCACCUUUAAUCGAUGUAGAGGCUUAGAAAAUCUUUCUCGGCGAGCUUUACGAAAAGGCUUUAGCCUUCCUUGACCGAAUCGAUGCUAACCCGGCCCCAUUUUGCCGAGAACUUCAUGCCGGGUCGCCGAAUGCCAAAAUCGACUUCGCCCCCACAUUUUGUGACCUAACAAUAGGGUUUCCAAGGCUUCAAAUGAGAUCAAUUUCAUACUUACACAAAAAUCCCAUUUUGGAGCCCUAGGUUUGCACCCAUAGCAAACCAUCCAAUGAAUCCCUAGAUUUUUGGGAUUGAUCUAUUUAGAAGCAUGCUUAGGGUCCAUUUGGCCCAUUCCAAGGCAUAAAAACCGAAAACCCCAAAUUCUAGAAGCUAGGGUUCAAGAGCUUACCUUUUGUGCUACACCAAAGAGAAGAGGAGAGGGAGAUGAAGGUACUCAAAGCCUUCCUCUUGAUCUCCUUCUUCUUCUCCUUCCUUAUCUUCCUCUUCUUUUCCUUCCUCUCCUUCUUGUUCUUCUUCUUCUCCUUUCUUUUCUAGAGAGAGAGAGCAAGAGAGAAAGAGAGAGUGAGAGAGAGUGAAAUGAGAGAGUGUGAGAGAGAGAGAGGGCUCAGCCCACUCUAAUAAAGGCCAUUUUGUAUUUAGACCCCUCAACUUUUCAUCCAUUGCACAGCCCUCAUUCGGCAGUUUUCGCCCAGAGGGACCGGUCUCCCCGACAAGGGACCGGUCCCCGAGAGCAGCCCACGCUGCCAGGGGCCUCCUUCGCGUUUGGGAAUCGGUCUCUCCUUGGGAGACCGGUCCUCGCUUGAGAGACCGGUUCCCGAGAGCUCGAUUUUCAGGACUUAGCCAAAUUUCGGCAUUUCUCGCUCGGACCACGUUCGGGAACCGGUCCCUCCCUGCUAGGGACCGGUUGCACCAAGCAACCCCGCUACACCCAGCCAAGGGAACCGGUCUCUCACCUCCAGAGACCGGUCCCCGAGAGCAACAUCAGCCCAAAAAUGCAGUUUGCACCAUUUGCUCUCGCGGACUCAACUCCAAAGCACUUUUUGUGUUUUGGACAUUCUUAACUCCCACAAAGGAUAUUCUCUCGAUAGUCAGUCAAUCCUGGAUAAAGUACAAUCCUCGAAUUUCGAGAAUUCACUUCCUUAUAAAUAAUCCUUGGAUCAAACACUAUUCCACUAUUCCACCUACCACCACCUAGCACCGUCAUCCCAAUCCUACAUCUUUCCAUCCAAGGGCUAAAAACUCAAAAGCACCACCUCCUUGGUGCUUUUGAGAGUAUUCUAGCUCAACUACAUAAUAUAUAUAUAUAUAUAUAUAUAUAUAUAUAUAUAUAUAUAUAUAAAAUUUUGAUAGCUUGGUUCACAUGGUUAAUAUAUUAUUUAAGGCUUAAAAAUCAAAUUAUUAACUUUAUGACUUUAUAAUUAUAAAUUAUUUACUUACAUUCUAUUAACAUAUCAUAAUAGUAUUAUUUUAAUUUAAUUCAAUAAUUUUUCUAAUAAAGAUUUAAUUAAUAAAAAUUAAUAUAUAUUAUAUAAAACUUAUAACAAAAAGAUAAAAUUAACAUCCGUGCAUUGCACGGAUUAGUUGCUAGUUGCUUUAAGGGAAUGUUUGGUUCGAAGUUGGAAUCGGAAUCGGAAUCGGAAUCGAAAUAAGCUGGAAUCGGAAUCGGAAUGACUCAUUACCUAAUUCUGUUUGGUUCGUUACCUGAAUCGGAAUAGGAAUAAAUCAUUUCCAUUAUCGGUGUUUGGUUCAGGUAGGUAUAAAAAACGUAAUCAAAUUAAUAUACUAACUUUAUCUUUAUAAUAUAUUAAUUUAAAUUCAAAUUAAAAAUUAAAUAUUAAAAAUUUAGAUCAAAAUUUUGAAAUAAUGUCAAAAUUUAAAAUUAUCUUUUUUAAAAAAAAUUAAACUUUGAAGUUGAGUGGAUAAUUCAAAAUAUAAAACUAAAUUUCGAUUUAUUCAAAUUCAAACUUAAAAUUACAAUUUAAAUUUUAAUUUGAAUCCAUAAAUUUAAUUUAAGUUUUAAAUAAAAUUUGAAUAAAACUUUAUAUUUAAAAUUUAAUUUACAUUCAAAUUUAUAAGUUAGAUUCAAAAUACUUGAUUAAAUUUUAAUUUUUAAUUCAAAUUCAAAUUAAAAUUUAAAAUUAUAAAUUUAAUUUCUAAUUUAAACUCAUAUUUUAAUUAAAAAAGUUGAAAAAAUAAAUUUAAUCCGAAUAAAUAUACAUUCCGUCCGGAUUCAAUUUCCAAUCCGGCCUCCUAGGCCGGAUUGGAAAAAGAGGCGAUUGGGGGAUUCCCAUUUCACUCGAGAAUCAGAAUCGGAAUGAGACUCCCGCAUACCAAACACCCACAAACGAAUUCAUCCAUUCUGAUUCCGAUUCUAAGGUGCAAAAAAAACCGAACCAAACACGUCCUAUAUAUUUUGGUGCGGGGCGUAGAUUUUUUCUUAUAACCUGCAUGAGAUAAUUUUCCAACACUCUACUCUAUUUUAUUUUAUUUUAUUUUUGUGUUUUUUCUAAUUCUAAAGAGAAGUCCUCUUCCCGUUUGCCCUCACCGGUCUUCUUUGUUCGUCUGGUAGCAGAAUGUAGUGUAUCGGACGAAUCGCAGCCGCCGAUGAUGAUGAGAAGAGCAGAGGAAGAGUUAAGAGAGAUGGAGAAAGAGGAGAGUUGGGGAGGAAGAAGGGUUUGGAGAGGUUAGAGGCAGGUUGAGGGAGAUGAGGGCAUGAGAGAGAGAGAGGUAGGAGAAUUGGGGAGAAGGAAAAGCUAUAAUAUUCCAUUCAUACCUUGUUUAUAUUAUACUUUGGUAUUUAUACCACUUGGUAAUUUGGAUUAAAAUGAAAAGCAUCUAGUCUAUGAGGGCUAAACAACAAAAGCUGAUGAAUUGAGGCAUGGGUUGCCAUUCGGCGCUAUUAUGGGCCCCCGCCUGGGCUUGACCGGUCCAGGAGUAUUAGUAACCGGGUGGGCGGAUAUCGGGUCGCCUUCUCCGCACUAUCCUCCGCCCGGCGGGUAGCGGGUCCGCCUUCUCCACCCGAUCCGAGGUUCGGUCCUCUCUUCCGCCCGAUCUCCUCUCCUCUCCUCUCUGUCUCCCAGCCCGAUCUACUUUCCUCUCUGUCUCCCGAGAUGCCCUAGUCGCCUCCGGUCCUACUCCGCCUGCGCCUGAACCCCUUCGAAGGCUCUUCCCGCCGGAGCAACCUGCCGCCCUUCUACUCCGCCUGCGCCUGAACCCCUUCGAAGGCGCUUCCCGCCGGACCACCCUGUUGCUGCCCUUAUUCCUCCCUUAACUAGUAAAGCUACCAUUUUUAUUACUCCUUUUAACCACUCUACUCCUUUAUUCUUCAGGUUGUUACACAGUACUCUGAACCGCGAAUGACAUGGAAAGAAGAGAAACCCUAACUCCCUCCUCCCCCUCCUCAUCCUUCUCGGCUUCCUCUUCUUUCGGCAACGACCCACCCUCGGAAGAUGCUUGGGUCACCGAGCACCACAGAUUGCUUUCCCGAUGGAAGUCCUUGCGCGACUCCCCCCAGGUUACUUUUUCCGCACUCCCAUGCACAGAGUCUUAAUUAUUUUUUUGAUUUUUUUAGAUUUGGAAGUGAGUUUAGUCCCAAUCAUGGUUCCUUUUUGUUUCUCUUCUCCUCGUUUGCAUUCUUCACAGAUCACUGCGUUGAAAUAGUAGCUUAAUUUAUCAUUAUUUUUGUUCUAUUCCCGCUGUUCUAAUUUUCUCGACUUGGAUGUGAAAUGCCUGGUUGGUAUGGCAUUAUGGUUUGAUUGCUUGGCAGGUUGCAAUUCCGGUUUCAAUAUCUAGAGUCAACCAAUUCGACUCUGCGAGGUUGGAUGUCGAAAUGUCUGCCAUGCUGAAAGAACAGUUAAUCAAAGUCUUUUCUUUGAUGAAGGUAUUUCCAUGUUUGUGUGUUGGGGUCCUCUGCAUUGUCCUUGCGUUUGUUUGGCUUCAUAAUUACUCUCUGUCUUGUCCUUUCUUCUUCUUCUUUUUUGGAAUUAGCCAGGAUUCUUAUUUCAAUAUGAGCCAGAACUUGAUGCUUUUCUUGAGUUUCUCAUCUGGAGGUUCUCGAUAUGGGUAGAUAAGCCAACUCCAGGGAAUGCCUUAAUGAAUUUAAGAUAUAGAGAUGAACGUGCAGUGCCCAUUGGAGGAAAAGAAGGUAGGCAUCCCUUGCUUAUAUUCGCUUAACUCAAUGUUGUAAUUGUUAAUAUUGAAAGGUAUAGUAUUUUAUUGGAUAAGUUUCUUCUUAUUGCAAUUUGAAUGCCAGAUUAAUCCGCUGAUAUUUGCUUUAGCUUUGUCUUGGAUUUGAAUGGGACUAAGUACAACUAGAAAUCACCUGUACCUUGCUCGUUCGCCGUCUAAAAGGGAAGCUGGUGGCUUUGGCAAGAUGUUAUUUCUUGAGGGCAGGACUUCUGUGAAUGAAAAAUGUUGUGCUUUAACAAUUGUUGGUAGGAUGAUGUGGAAUUUUUUAAAAAUUAGGGUAGAUACAAAUAUUAUGAAAAAAAAGUAAACUGCAUUGUUAGCCUCCAAACUUUUAUGGAAGUUCACUUUGGCCUCUGUUUCUGAAGUGAACUUAAUUGUAACGAUCCAGCCCACUAGCAACAAUAACUCGUUGGGCCCAAACCACUGGUUCAAAAUGCUUAAGCCCAGUUAUUAUUACUAGUGUCUAAGUCUAUUAUAUACCCAAUCACAUCCCCAUUCCUAUCCGAUGGGAUUAUUGGGGUGUGACAAACUCCCCCCAUUAAGGUCUUGACGUCCUCGUCAGUCCAAUUACACACACAGUCCAAGAUCACCGGGCGAUGUGAUACUUGUCCCGCUAGCAUUGUCAUUCAGACUUUGGCAUAAUCGGUCACCUUUUUCAAACUCCGGCAUAGCCCAUCAUCUUGUUUUUCAGACCCUGGCUCAGCCGAGACUUGCCACACAUUUUCGGCUGGUAAACCGGCUUUGAUACCAAAUGUAAUGACCCAGCCCACUAGCAACAAUAACUCGUUGGGUCAAAACCACCGGCCCAAAAUGCUUAAGCCUAUUAUUACUAGUGUCUAAGUCUCUUAUAUAUCCAAUCACAUCCCCAUUCCUAUCCGAUGUGGGAUUUUUGGAGUGUGACAUUAAUGUGCCUUGAACUUUUGUAAAUAUAGCAUUUGGCGUAUUUUGUCAUAUGAGAUUAAGUUUGCUGAUGAAAGAAUUGAUGUUGAAUGGGGCAAUUUGAUACAAUUAUAUAAGUUCACUGAUGAUAAAUAUAUCAAACGGGCAUCCAGAUCGUUUUCCCAUCAAUAGACUUAACAACAUAUGAUGGAGUGAGCCAAUUUGAUACAAUUAUAGAAUUUCAAAGGGCAUAAAGUUCAUCUUAAAAGAAUAGGGGCCAAAGAAAGACUUUCAAGUUUGGGGUCUAACCGUCUAACCAGAGUUUAAAGUGCUGCCCCGUGCCGUACGGCACGGGGUAGCACGUACUGUGCCCCCAAGAUGGGGGCACGGUAGAGGGGGGGCUCGGACUCCCCUUCCGUGCCGCGGCACGCGGCGCAGUGCCGCACGAGACAAAGCAGCACGGCGCAGUGUGCCGCGACACAAUGCCUUGCCGGCACUGCUGUUUUUUUUUUUUUUUUUGCUUUUUGGUUUUUUUUGCUUUCUGUUUUGUUCUUUGGAUAUCCGAAGCAUUCUGGGUACCACACACCUCCCUAAAGAUAUUGCAAAUCGAAAAUCUACUUGUUAGGUAAGUCAAAAAAAAUAUAAUUUUUUUUGUUUAUCAAUAUACAGGCAAAUUUUUUAUUUACAUAUUCGGAAGAAGAGGGCUCAAGUCACCACGGACAUCUAUUUUUUCUUCACAAAUUAUUUUAUCAAAAUUUAUCGCACUGGAAAAUUUUUGACAAAUUAGGGGAACAAAAUCGAACUCACUAAAUAAAUUUUGAGGUAUAUCAAACAUAAAAUUUUAUUUUUGCGCUAGAAGAUUGAAUAAAAUUAAAAGCUAACUUAAAUCAUUUGAUACUUAAAUUAAUUUAAUUUAUUUGUCAUAUAAUUUAUUGCUUAAUUUUUUUGAUAGAUCUAAUUUUUUGAAAAAAUUAAUUAAAAAUUAUUUUUUCAAAUACUUUUUAAAAUAAUUUUUUCAUAUAGUUUUUAAAUUUUUUUUUGUAUUUUAUUAGAGAAAAAUUGUAAUAUGGUUAAAAGAAAGAAAGAAAGAAAGAUGUUUUUGCAUUUUAAAAAUUCUAACCUGUAAAAAUUUCUAUUCUGCAUUAGGUAUAGUUGUACUUUACAUACAAAAAAGUUUACAAGUAUAUUAAUUGAUGAGUAUAGUAAGCUAUAUAUAGCAAAUAUUCAUAAUUAUUUGAUUAAAUCUUUCAAAAUAACAUUAUAAGAGUUUAUUGGAAUCAAAAACAACGAGCCCUGGCUUGUGUGAUUUGCGGCAAGUCCCAUAGGGUGAACUACUGCCCCAAUGAACUAAAUAUGGCCCAAUCCAUUGUUUCGACACCCUCUCCCAUUACAAACAAGGAGAGCGUGUUUGCAAUUUCAUCUGCGCAGAGAGCGUGUCUGCAAUUUCAUCUGGGCAGCACUCUACCUCACGUCAGAACAAGGAGGCGCAACCCUGAUCUAGAAGUCAGGUGUAUGCAAUGACUCAACCGGAGGACGCAUAUAACGAGAUUGUUGCAGGUAUAAUUACUUUAUAUGGCAUAAGAACUAGAGCACUAUUUGACACUGGAGCGACGCAUUUGUUUGUCUCUCAGAAGUUUGUGUCUACACACAGGAUUCCAAUUCAAUUGUUAGAAUUUUAGUGUUUGAUGAUCCACUACUAGAUCCUGGUUUCUUCUCCUUUCCUUUACUCAUAUCUUUCCUCUCGAUAUGAUUGGGAGCAAAAGUAGAAAAAGACGCAGGAUUGAUCAGACACGUACUCAAGAUAAAUAUAUUGUGCCGUUGGUUGAGACAUGAAAAAGGGGUCUUGUGAUUGCAUACUAGUCUACUACGGAUAAUAUAUGACAACAUUAGACACUAUUAUUAUCUGAGCACUAAAUGUCAAAUUAAUAGCUCAUUAGUAAGAAACAAUCAACAGUAAACUAAACUAGUCACUGAUAACUAUUAACUUAUGGCCAUUCAGUAACUAUCAACAUGAAUUUUAAUGUUAAUUAACAGUUCAUUAAACUUGGCAAAUAAUCUGAUCUCUGUGUCGGAGAUAGGAAGAAAACCUUUGCUCCCAUUGAAAAAUUGGUGCUGUUAUAAAAAUAGAUGCUUUGAAAUGAAAGCUUGAAGCUGAAAUAGCAGAAAUCAUGCGUAAUUUUUGCUCCUUGUGCUCCAAUUGUUUUGUAAAAAUACUACUAUGGAAGGCAAAAUUACAAACGCGUCCCUAUGGGUUUGGCUUGGUGCAUUACCGCCGUCAUCGCUAUUAACACAUUGUUGGUACCCCCACCUGCACUCCUGGUGCCAGUCCAUUUGUUGCCAACUCCCUGGGGGCAGAAGGAUUAAGAGAGGGAUUAGGGGAGAGAUUGAGGUUGAAAAUGGUUGGUGCAUAACUUUUUUUUACUUCGACAUAUUACUGCCUAGAUUUGUAUUUUGAUUACAUCUGACCUGUUUCCUUGGAUGAACUGCGUCAGGCUAGCUUUGUUGAGUGAAUGAUGUGCCGGACCACAUACACUGCCCAGUAUGCAAUUUGCCCACAAUCUGAACUGCAUAAGGGUCAGAUGGUGCGGUUAGCCUACCGCCUCAACCAUACAGCUGCAUAUCCCACUUUUUAGAACACUUACAUACUUUAUAGACCAAUAGGCAUAUUUUCAAAAUGUUGUAUCCUUGUUUUGAAGAUUUGUUGCAUCCGCAUAUUUGUUGUUAAUUGUGUAUGUAUCCUUUAUGACUAUAUCCUUGUAUAUUCGUGUCUGUGAAGUAUAACAUGUCACAAAUGUCAGUUUUGCUUGCUUUUGUCUAUUUUAUCUUGUUCAUAGCUUGGUUUCGCUCUAGCAGUCUAAAUAGCAGAGGAGCUUUGUAGGUAGAAAUUGUAUUAUUAUUUUUCCUUUGUUGGACGAGUUGAGCAAUAAAACUAGUUUGCUUGCUUUUGUAUAGUAGAUACUUGUGUUUCAUUGCUUUUUCAUGAAACAAUGCAUUAUCUGGACUUCUAGUCUAUAAAUUCAAUAAUUGGUAGCAAGGAUUUAAGUGCCGUGGCACGGGGUCGUGCCAGAAACUUGCCGGCACGAUACGGCACGGUGCGUGCCGAGCCGUGCCGAUGCGUGCCGGUCAAAAAAAUUCUUGUGUGCCGACAUAUAAUAGCAUGAAAUAUUUAUUUUCUUUAGCAACAAAAUAUUCUAACUAUUUAUUAUAUCUUUUUAUUACAUCUUUUGAACUUUAUUGAGGAAAUUACUUACUAAUUUAAAGAAUAGAGAGUUUUGAGCUGGGGCAUCGGCACGAGAUCUAUAUCGUGCCGGUAUCUUGUUGGCACGGUAUGGCACGGUACGGCACGGUAGAUACGGCCCGUACCGACGGGCACUUAAAACCUUGAUUGGUAGUUGCAAUCGGAAAAGGACCAUGUUACAUCACUUUUGGUCAUAUACUUAUUAGCUUCACCGCUUCAUCUUGUGGUACUUAUUUAUUAUUGCCAUACUCUUGCUCAUUUUGUUUCAAUGAAACAAUAUUUCUUACUUAAAUUCCUGCUUUUUUCAGUCAGAACAGGACUUGAAGGGCCUGGGCUUUCGGUUUCUCAAAAGAUAUGGUACUGUCUCAGCACUGUUGGUGGCCAAUAUCUCUGGUCCCGUCUGCAGUCGUUCUCUGCUUUUCGUCGAUGGGGAGAUUCUGAACAGGUGAUGUUGCAAUCCGUAUCUUUCAUACUGUUAUGAAUCCUGAUAAUCUCAGUAAUUGUAGUCUGUUGUAUCAUACAGAGAUCAUUGGCUCGGCGAUUCUGGAUUUUGUUACGACGUGUUGAGGGUUUAUACAAGGCUGCAGCUUUUUGCAACCUCCUGUUGUUUCUGUAUAAUGGAAGGUACCUUUCUCAAUCUGAUAGCAGCUAUAUCAGUGUAUCUUCUAUACUAGCACAUUGCAACUUUUAAAACUUGUAUUAUUGUCAUGCCCCGGGGUCCCUUUUUGUAAGCUAUUUUGAAAUUGGGCUAUCUUUGUAAAUCAGAGUCCGUGAAAAAGUGCAUUUUUUUUGUUUUCUAACCUUGACCCAGGGAUGUAACAGACCCACCACAAAUAGAAGAAAAUUUUCUGUUCAAACGGAUAGUCUUUCUUGUUUUGCAUGGCGUAGCACAUAGUACUAGUGUCAACUAUGACAUACCACCCACACUAACAAUAUUUACGAUACAUAUAGAUUAUCAUUUCAAGUUUCAUAUCCAUUCCUAUUAGUUAAAAGCACCUCCCACCCGAAGGCUUCACUUUGAAACUCUAGUUUUCCAAAAAUUCACGAAAAGCCGAAAAGCCACUUUGAAAACCAUUUCUUAUAUGGAAACUUUUGUUUUAAAGUAAACAAGCUACUACGAGGGGUAGAAAUCUAUUAUUUGCAAAAACUACGAAUCUUCCAAAAACCAUGAGUAAACAAAACUCAUAAAUACGUCAUCCAAGAAUCCAUGAAUAAAACCAUCAACUAAACCACGUAAGAACAAAUACUAGCAGGUAUAGGGGUAAGCUAUACUAUCUCAUAUAUACAAUAAGCGUCAAAUCAGAACUGAUACCGUAAGGUCGGGAUCUCUAUCUCAAGCUCACUAUCUAAUAUCGUCCUCAUGCAUCGUCCCGACCCUCACCGUUCGAGCUACCUGAAAAAUAGUAGGGGGGAGAACAUGUAAACAAGUCUCCCCUUCCCAGUGGAUACCGCAAGCUGAUAAAAGCGAGCUGUACACACCGGUAGAUAGAAGGGAUAAAUAACAGCAGUAACAAGUAAAUCAGGUGUAAUGAUAGGGAAUAACAACCAUCGAUGAUCACCAAGGAGUUACUACUAUAAAGUGGGAUGAUAAAGCAACGACUAACUAUAGUCAAUAGUUAAACUAGUGCAAUAGCAAUGAUAGCUGAACUGAAAACAACUAUGAUACCGGUAUGACAAACCACUAUUGCAAAGGGAGAUAGAAAAAUGACUAUGCGUCAACUGCAACUGAUAGCACAAGUAUACCCAAUCAACGGCCAUAAUGGUCUAAGGACCUCAGGCUAUGCCGCGACUGCUCUAAUAGGGAUAUGACUCUAACAGUAGACAGGUCUCCCUGGCAUAUGAUCCAGCAGUAGGCCGCUGGGCUCACGGGUUGGAUGUACGACCAUUUUUUCGAAAAAGAACACUCACUUGCGGUAGAUCAGACCGCUGGUGUACUUGAAAUGCACGUGAGCUGUGGCGAUCAAUAUAAUAUGCUUAAUGGCCAACAACGGCAACAAGCCGAUAGAAUAAUCCACAACUAUAUCCAACCAAGUACGGUCUAAUACUCCCGAAGGAGUGUCUCCAUGUCACUGACCUAUCAGGUCUAUAUAAUUGUAUCACCAAGUACGAAAUGUCAUCAAUGACGAAGUCAAGCAAUGAUAAUCAAUCACUGGGGUACUACUUUACCACUAGAUCAAUCAUGAUAUUACAAGACGAAACAACUGUAGAGUUGACCAACAAGCAUAAGUAGUGUGCAAAAUACUGAGCAUGAAAUCAUGAUGAGCUAUGCAAUCACAAGGAGGAAAAAGGUAAGAAGUCACCGAGCAUGAGCCGCUGGACCGACUCCGGAUCGAAGUACCCACUUGUAUCAGCAGUCGCACCUAGCUUCCGAGGUGCGGAGAAUCGUCGACCGAACCUACGAUAGAUCCACUAAGUCAGGGUCUAAUCCUAUGGACUCAAAACACAUCGCUCACAAACCCCAAGCCACUAGCGGAAUCAAUUUCCUAAAAUCAAUCCCCAAACUCGCUGGGAAUCCUGAAAACGCAUCGGGAUGCCCUCGGGACCCACGAAACGUCCCGAAACGCACCGACUCACACCGGGAGUCACCCGCUGUCCCGAAACACAACUAUUUGGGCGUCCGGACAGCAAACGCAAGUGCCUAGGUCAACUCGGUCGUCGCCGACCAACCAUUCCACAUCAGGCUUCUAGAAGUGUCCAUUUUGGCACCGGAAGCCUCCGCCGCUCACCAGUCGCCUCCGAACACACAAGGGGACCAUGGUGGCCAACAAACGAGGCUAGGUGAUGAUUUUCAGGGCAACCACGCAACCGGAAACCCAUCGUGACGUCAAAUCGCAUUUCGCUGGCAAUUUCGUCGGAACGCUUUGAAGCCUUAUUUCCGAUCGCAAUAGUGCUUUAGAGCCUGGACAACAAGUCCAGAGGGUCACAAAUAGUGACCACACGCUGCUGCCCGAGGCAGCCCACGCAACCACAUUUGCAAAUAAAUCCCUAAACAUUCCAACAAUCGCAUAAUAUAAACAUAAGGUGAUUGUUUAGGGUCUAAACCGUAAAUCGUGCGCCUUCGGGAUAAUGCAAGAGCACCAGCGGAUAGGUCUUGACGUGCCUGACACCGUGCUCGCUGUCGGAGUGCGAACGACGGUCGAGGAGUGUUGUGGAGUCUCCCCAAGUUCAGUGUAUAAAAGGCUCCGGGAGCGGAGGAGCCAACGCUCGGUGACGGAGGGUCGCCAAGAGAAACGGAGGUGAGCACGACAUUCGGCAAGUCGAGGGGAUUGCCGUGCUCACUUUCGAAUCAAUCAGGGAGCUUUGGAUUGUCGAAAACUACGAAUAAGGCAACCUUUGAGCCCUAGCUCAAGGUGCAGCGAGUAGGGGGCUCUCCGGCCGGCUGUCGGCAUCCUGCCGGCGCGCGCGCCGGUUGGAGUCAGUAGCGGAGGGGAAGGGGAGUGUGGUGCUCACCCUCGUUGGCGGCGAGGAGCAGCGGCGGCGAGAGAGGCUUGGCCAGCACAAGUGCAGGCUAGAGUUGGGCCUUGAACGGCAGUGACGGCGGCGGCCGGGGGAGGCAGGGGUCGGCGGCGGCGGGCUGCCUGAAACCGAGGGAGGCGGUGGCCGCAGCCCUGUGAGGCUGGGCUCCCCUCUGCCCUAGCUUGGCCGAGGGGUAAUUCUGGUGACUGCGUCAGCGCCGACAGGGCACGGGGACACCGAGGGAGGUGGCCAGAGGUCGCAACUCAGAGGAGGUGGGCUCGGGUUCCCCCUGUGCUCGUCGGGCUCACCGAGAGGGGAGAGGAUGGUGAGGGAGAGACGGAGGGAAAGAGAGAGAUGAUGGUGGUGGUGGCCAGAUCUGGGCUGCUGGCGGUCAGAGAUGCGCGCGUGCUACCAAGUUGUUUUUGAUGAUGCGGCUUUCAAAUCGACGAUCGGCUCCGUUAGACUUGAUCUACAUAUAUAUAUAUAAAAUUCAAAUUUGAUCUUGGUUUGAAUCCCUCAGUUCCAAAUGUCCCGGAUUUUACAAUUAUGGUGAAAAUAUAUUUUUGGUCCACUAGGCUCGAACUCAUGUUCCUUUUGUUGUUUUUUUUUCUGUUUUUUUUCCCUUUUUUGAAAGAAAAGUGUUGCCGCUCAGUUGAUUAUAAAUCUUUUUCAUGAGAUGUUUUGCUAGGCUCUUGCAUAGUAAUGUGGGAAAUAUGAAUUCUGGAAUGGGAGAUAGCAUAUGUGGGAGUUGGCAAACAUAUGAACGGAACAAAUGAGUUAAAAUAGUUCAUAUUUGUAGCUAACUGUUAUACAAGUGCAGUCUUUCUGUACAAUCUUCGUGCAGCAUUUACAUGAUGAUAUGUUAAUUCAACUGUUAUACAAGUGCAGUCUUUCUGUACAAUCUUCCCGCAGCAUUUACAUGAUGAUAUGUUAAUUUGCAUGGAAUUUUUUUGGCUUCCUCCUAAGUACAUCUUUUUGGUAAAUUGUCAUUAUUUUAAUGUUACUCAGAAAUUUCAUAUGCUGUUUGUGCAGGUAUAGGAGUAUUAUUGAAAGGGCUUUGAGAGCAAGGCUUGUCUAUGGAAGCCCCAAUAUGAACAGAGCUGUCAGUUUUGAGUACAUGAAUCGUCAAUUGGUGUGGAAUGAAUUUUCGGUAUGUCUCCUUCCUUUCCUGAGUUGGUGUUAUUGAGGAAAAAAAAUGUUGUUUAAACUUUUAUAAAUAUAGCUGUUGCACAUAGAUUUUGUGAAUUUGAUAGUUUUGACAUUAAGGUACUUUAUACUGUAGUCACAGAAGAUAACAAGAAGGAUAAUUUGAUCUCCGUGUAGCCUUUGAUUUGCUGGCUUAUUCCCAACUGUGUUGCGCUUAAGCAAUAAUAUUAAUUGUGGUUGGUCUAAGUUGAGUACAUUCUAAAGAUUUUAUCUUAUGCAUUGAUAUCUUUGCAAGUUGUUGCCACCAUAUCAUGUCAUAAAUUUUCCCUUUUGUUUAAAUCUUGCACUAAAUACUUAAAAGAGCAAAUAACUUUGCUGAUUUCUUUUGCAGGCUUAAAAUAAACAGAGGAUUCUUUUAGUAAAAGCUUGCAUACCUUGUGUGACUUGCAUCUGCAUUUAGGGGAUAAUUUAAGCUGCUUAUCUAUAUUUAUGGUUUCUUCUAUAAUUACUACAAGGAAAUGGCAAUGUUCCCUGAACCAAGGAUUAGCAUGCUGCCCUCUGCGACCCGUGACGUAGUGUGCUGAGGCUGUGUUGGCACAUGGUGCGGGAUUGUGCCGACACCAUAUUGACAAAACUUUGUUUUUGGGUGCAUAUUUUGGAAUCUUUUUAUGUUUUUUUUUAAUUUACAAGUUCUAGAAAAGCUUUUUUUAUACUUAAAAUAUAUAAGGUCUUGUACAUCUGCUAGCAUUUGGAGCAAUUAGUAAGUUCUAUUGCAUAAUAAGACCAACUCUAAGUGAAGAAAAUCACAAAUAAGAAGAUUUCGUCCAAAUUCUUUUAUCAUAUUAUAUCCUGUGAAUUUACCCAUGAUAGUGUUCUCCUAUAAAUUUUUAUUCAAUUAUGACUUUUGAUUUCAUGCAUAUACUUUCGUAAUAUAUAUAAAAUGGUUUUUUUUUAAGUUUUAAAGAUAUUUAUAACUUUAUUCUUACUAAAUUGUGUAAGAUAUAAAAAAAUAAAUAUUUUUAUAUCAUUAGAGAUAUUAAAACACACUAAAAAACUAAAUUUUUUUAAAAAUGAUAAUAGAAAAAGUUGAGCCGAUAUAUAUGCCAAUGUGCCAGUGGUGUGCCACUUGCAUGGGAGGGCGUGCCAACUUGGCACGCUUUGUGCAGCUGUAUUGUGCCGUGCUGCUGGCACAGUGGGACGCACUAUGCCAGGAGCACGAGAAUCCUUUCCACGAACCAUGUCCGUGCAUGCAUGGAUGCCUCACAAUAAUAAGGCUAUGUCAUACCGGUAUGCAAGACUUAAUUGUUUAUCUAUACAAAAAGGAAGUGAUAACAGAAUUAAUAAGAUGCGAUUCCAAUUUAUAAAACAGACUCAGCAAAGUAUUCUAAUAUUUAACCUUCUAGAUACAGUGCAUCAGUUGGUCAUAUAGAAAGAUACAUAUCUGUAUGGUCUAUGGUAAGUACACCAAUUGUAAUUGCAAGAGAUUAAGUUGCCAACUUACGUCUAGUGUGUCAAUGUGAGAAGUAACUCCUAAAUAGCCAUGCCAUCAAGCUUCGAGCUCCUUUGAUUGUUUUCCAUCAAAUCUUAAUUCAAACAGAUUUUGAAACCUUUCUCGAUUACUCUACUACUAAAUAAAUCCUAAUAAGUUUAUUGUUUCACAUUUAAAUUCGUCAAAUUUAUUGGAAUUUCUUUUUACCUCUCUGUCUAUCACACUAGUUGGUCAUUUAGUCUUUUUCUUCGAUGGUUUUGAAUCUUUGUGAGCUCUGAUUUGUCCCUGUUACACAAGAUUUUUAUCUACUUCCGUGACGACUUUGUGGACUUGAAUUAGUUUGGGGGAGCAAUUUAACCAAUUGGGUCCAAAUUUAACACCAAAGCACAUUCUUUUUUACUCCCUGAUCAUCAUUUUAUGAGCUAUAGCCCUUGAGAUAAAUAUCUUAACAUGUAGAUAAUUUCUUAUCAAGAUGGAUAUUCCCUUAUCCCACAUGAUAACUCUCUGAUUCGUUUACUAUUUACAGAUUGGUUUUGUUUUAAUUUUUACAAGAAAUUUUCACAUAAACUGUUAUGCCGAGCAAAGACCGUGGACUGAAUUCGAAUUUCAUAUUAGGUUGUUUAGGUGUCAGAUUGAAAUGAACUUUAGGGGCGACCUCAAAAUAUUUUUUGUCAGUUAAAGGAAUUAUUUUUCAUGAGGUCCCGAGGUCAUUUGACCUAUUAAAUAAAUAUUUUACUUUCAGCUUACUGUGGUUGACUAGGCAGAGGGUUCAAAUAUCAAAUUGUAACCAAACUGCACCCACGAUCUUAGAAAGGUCACAACUAGUAAGAUCCUAGUAAGAUUUUAUAAUUUUUAGGGAUCAUUUCACCUACAAACUUCAUACGAAAAUUCAAACACUACAAAUAGUCUAAUUUGGGACAUUAUUUUACACUACAGUAUGAUGGUUCCAAACAAUCUUAGAAUAUGAUAUAUUGGGGGUACAUAAAUAAAAGUUUAUUCUAAAUACAUAUAACAAUUACAUCAACAAUUGUUGUGUUGCGCUGGCAGUGGCAUGCCUCGUGCCAAAGUUGGCACAGCCCUUCACACUAAUGGUAUGCAAAUGGCACCCUGACAUAAGAUUGGCUCGAAUAUUUUAUCAUUUUUUUUGUAGAAAAUAUAGUUUUUUACGGUGUUUUUAAUGUCCCGAAUAUCCUUAAAAAUGGUUCAAGUGUUUAAUAUUUCACAAAGUUUAGUAAGAAUAGAAUCGUAUUUAUCUUAAAUAACUCAGGAAUAUCAUUUUGACAUAAUUUGAAAGAACACUCACAAAGAAGAAUUUAAUAGUCAUAAUUGGAAAAAGAAAAAAAAAAGGAAGACACUGCCAUCACCAGAUGAAAAAUGAUAGCGUAAGCGCCAUUUUGCCUCCCUAUGGUUUUGUUCAUUUUUAGUUUGCCAUUUUGUGGUUCAAAAAGUUUCACUUAACUAUUCUAUGGUUUAGCUCAUUUUCACUUUGCUACCUGUGGUUCAAAAAAUUAUACUUAACUACUCUAUGGUUAUAAAAAAUUUCACUUUACUAUCCUAUUUGAUAGUAGUUUUUUUGGGUAAAAAUAGGGAUAAAAUCACAUGAUAGUUAAGUCUAACUUUUUGAACCGCAUGAUGGCUAAGUGAAAAUAAGCUAAACCGUCGGAGGGGCGGAAUUGGUAGCAAACUUUAAAUUUUCGUUUUUUCUCAACCGCAAUGUGAUCUAAUUAUGCAAUAGUGCCCACUAUUUGCUCCAAAAAUUUAGUAAAUUUAUAAGGUCUACAUGUUUUAAGUUCAAAAAGCUAUGUAAGUUUGAAAAAUCAUAGCGAUACAUACCGUGCCACGAAUUAAUGGGCACGGUAUAAGGGGAGUCUCUCUUGGAUUCCCCGUGUCGCGAUACCCAAAGGUAUUGCGCGAGACAGCGCGAUACCCUUUGGGUAUCGCAGCACAGUGCCGCUGCAUGCCUGUAAGGGCACACAGGAUUUUAAGUUUUAGCCUUUUUUUUCUUUUUUCUUUUUUCGUUUGGGCUAUUUUUAGAUUUUUUUUUUGUGCCACACACACAUCCCUCUCUUUCGUUCUCUUCUACAUUUUCUUCUCCGCAACUCGCUUUUUCAAUUUUUCCUUUUCUUUUUGCUAGCUCUUCUCUUUUUUUCUUUUCUAUUUUUUCCUUCCUUUUCUUACUAUAAUUUUUUCUCUAAUUUCUUGUUUCAAUUUCUUCUUUUUCUAUUUUAAUCACUUCGAUCUUAGGAGAAAAGGCAAAGAAAUGAUAAAUUGAAGACAUACUUAUUAGGUAGGUAAAAAAAUUUGCAAUUUUAAAUUGUUUUUCAUACAUUUUGAAUAUUUCUAACUUGUGUUCCUGUUUGAAGAAAUUUGAAAUUAUGCAAAUUUUUAUUUAUAGCUUACAAAAAGUUAAAAAUCGAUCUACUUGAUUAAGUUAUUAUAUAGUCUUAUUUUUAAUUAUUCUGUAUGAAUUUAUGACAAUUUUUUUUUAAUUUUGCCAAUUCUAUUUUUGAAUUUAGAAGAUGGAAAAUACUAAUAAAAUAAAAAAUUAAAUUGAAGCACCUUAUAUUUAAAUUUGCUUAAUUAUUCUCCAUAUGAUUUAUUAUUAAAUUUUUAUGAAUAGAUCUCACAAUUCUUCCUAAAAAUUUUAAUAUAAAUUAAUUUUUUCUUCAAAUUUUUAAUAAAUAUUUCUAAAAGAUUCAAAAUUAAAAGAAAUUAUUGGAGCAAUUGUAGUGCUAUUCUAGUUAAUCUAGUCAUAAUGCAGUCUCCCAUCAAAUCAAUAUGGAUGAAUCUUACAAAUUCCAUAAAAAUUUUAAGAAAAAUUAAUUUUCUAUAAUUUUGUUUUUUAUAAUUUUUUUUAGUUCUAAAAAGAAGGUAAAAUCAAAUGAAUUUUCAAAGUUAAUCUAUUUUUAAUUUUAUUCUCCAUGAGCUAUAGUUAUAUUUUACUUCACAUAUAUGAAAAACCUACCACUAUAUUAAUUGCUGAGUGUAGCAAGCUAUAUAUAGCCAAUAUUAAUAAUUAUCUUUCUAAAUCUUUUUAAAUAGCAUUAUAAGAGUUUAUUGAAAAAAAAAAACUAUGCAAAAACGUGCCACUAGGAGGUCAUGCAUAUCCAUCAGCACGCAAGCGUGCCACGUGUUGGCAUGCUUGCGUGCCUGAGCCGUAUUGUGCCAGGCGACAAUCGGCAUGCCCCUGUGCCACACAACACUUUAAUCCUUGCAUUCAAUAUAGGAAAGUAUUGAAUAUAUGAAACUUUAUACCAUUCAGCAUGACCACAAGGCGGCACGACCUUGGCACAGUACUACAUGAGCGGUAUGGGCAAUCCUUGCAUUACAUAUUACAAUAUAUGAAAGUAUUGUACGAAGUUAUAAAGCUAUUUGAGUUUUAUUUAACAUGAAAGAUAAUUAUAUCAGACCAGACAAUAGUGUUGGAUUUUAUCUUAUGAACCCUAAAGCACGUGUCACCAAAUGCAAUGGUGAGAUGUAUGACUUUGAUGCUUGUCAGUUUAGAAUGAUUGCGAUUGGAUUUAGACUUAAAAGUCAGCCAAUGUCCUACCCCGUUUCUCGUUAUAUCUCUCAUGUAUCCCUUGCCUAUCGAAGCAUUCUCAUGAAGUGUGCGACGUGAAUCGGUCACGAGAUAGGCGAGUAUCAAGAUAUUUGUCCAUAUUUCUGAAAUGUCCGAUACUCCUAUGAGGUGUUUGACCCCCUACUGGGGGUGUAUCAGGCGAGCAUCGUAAUAUCCAGUACAUAAUCGUAAUAUCCAGUACAUAUUUGAUGUGGACAUGAGAGCUAAAAUUAAGUAUCCUUGAAUCGUAGCUUUGUACAUGAAAUAGUUCUAUAGUAAGUUGGCAAUUUCUGAUGCCUAUGAGUACUUUCUAUGUGAAGUAAAUUUAAUUCUGCAGGCCUAUGGCAAUCCAUGUCUCAGCCAUAAACUAGAUUCAUGUCUAUUUCAUAUCUGUCUUUAUCUUUAUUGAUUAUCAUAUUUAAGUGUGUGUGUGUGUGUGUGUAUAUAUAUAUAUAUAUGCACCCCCUUCUAUGCAAGCAUAUGUAUGAAUUAAUUAGUGACAUAUGAAUAUGUAUGAGUUAAUUAGUGACAUAUGAUGGGUGGUUGUUUUAGAUUUAUCCAUCGCAAGCAUCGUUCAUUUAUUUCCAUUGAAAUUUAGAUUGAUAUUGAUUGUUGAUUUGGGUUUUCCAAUUCUUAGUACCGAAUGAAUUCCACUAUAUUGUUUUCAGAAAUAUUACUGACAGCAAUACACAACUUCAACCAUCAACUGCAAAAGGUUGUAUUAAAAAGAGAGAACUACUGACAUGAAAUUUGGAAAUCUGCUACCCCAUGCAACAAAAACCUCAAUUUUUGGCUUAAUUUGUAGAAGUGGAAUAGCUACUAUUAUGUUCAGGGUUUCUAUUUUAUAUAUACUGACAAGGUUUGGUGGUGAAGGUUGAGCAAAAUUAUUUAGUUGGAAGUUGGAAACAUCAUUGAGGGCUAAAUUGCUCUAAUUCUUCCAAAUGCUCUGAUUGCAGCAAAGCUAGUAUUUGCUGAACUUACCAAAAAAAUAAGACAGGAUUUAAAUCACUUAAAGAACUAAAAUUAAUUAGGAUAUGUCAAGAAGGCUUAUCUGUAGAGUAUGGAUUGCUUUGUAUAGGACUUUAAAUUAUGUUUUGAUCAUUCUGUGCUCGUAUAGAUAUUAUACUAUCAUACAAGUAUAAUUGCAGUACUGUACUUUUGUUAUUACCGGUGGAUAUUUUAAUCAACUUCAGGUUGUUCAGAGAUAAAUAGAUGAUUCCAGUUUGGGCCUAUUGACUCAUGAUCACAGAUAAUUUGGGUCAGUCAAAUAUUUUAGAAAACAAACAGCAUAUCCGUUUCCUGUGUUGACUUCAAGCUUUUCAUAUUUUCAUAUCACAUCUGUAACAAUUUUGCCUGUUUUAGCCAUCAUUUGGUAUAGAACUCUUCCGAUCUCUCAAUAUGAACAAAUUAUCUUUCAUUUGUAAUGGUUCACUUGGUGUUUUAUUUUAUUUCUGAUCAAGCUUCUUGAGACGGCAAAUAACUUCCAAAAUCAUUUGGUUUUCUUUGUUUUGCUUUACAAAGAAGGAUUCUUUGUCUUAUAUUCUUAAACUGAUUGAAAGUUGCUAUAUAUAUGCAGGAAAUGCUGCUUUUACUUCUUCCUCUUUUAAACUCAUCUUCGGUCAAGAAAUUCCUCCCAUUUUCCAAGGAUAAAUCGACUGGUUCUUCUGGUGAUGAAGCAGAGUGCCCCAUAUGCCAUUCAAGUCCCAGCAUUCCAUUUCUAGCUCUUCCUUGCCACCACAGGUACUUAAUACCUUUCUGUUCCUUAUCAGAUCAUGUAAUUUGGUCAAUUUCUUCAUUUACAUGUUUUUUUGGCAAAUGGGUUUUAUGUCAGCUUUCUUAUUGUACCAUUGGAAUGUCCUAAUUAAGAGAAGAGUCCGGUUAAUCCUGUGUGAUAAAAUGUAAAUGUUGAAUGAACCUGUAUGUUGAUACAUCUAAGGCCAUAUUGACUAAAACAUGCGAUGAAAUUCAAAAACGUGCAUAGAUCGGGUCAUCACCAUAUUUUAUGUGAUUUAUGUUGAUUUACAACAAGUAUUUAUUUUCACCGUGUGAGAGCUGAUUUAGUUUUCUGAAUUGUAGGUACUGCUACUACUGCCUCCGCACUCGCUGUGUGGCAGUCAGCUCAUAUAGAUGUGCUCGUUGCGAUGAGGCUGUUGUUGCCAUUCAACGGCAAGGAACAAGUUAAGAAUAUUUACUUGGCCAAAGCCUGAUCAUCCUUACUGUACGACCAUGCCAUGUGGCAGUCAAUAUGCUGAGGUUUACUUGCCAUCGUCCGACAAGCAUGCUCUUGUAGAAUCCGAAUUUGAUUUCCAUCAGAAUUUGAUUUCCGUCAGACCAAGGGAUUGUAAACAUAUGUACUAUAUGUGGAGAAAGUGCCGAGGUGGCUAUAUUUGAUUCUUGAAGAACCUAGAAUCUAGUUAGGAAUAAACCAAAUUUUUUUAUUAAAAUGAUUAAUUCUGGCUGUAUUGAAUUUCUUUAGCUGCAGAGUUUACAUGAAGUUAAUUCUUAGGGUGAUUUGAUACUCGAAAGUGCCAUUCGGUCAUGCAUUUUGUGGUAAUCAUACAUCCAAAUAAGAAUCCAAUUGUAUUUAUCAGCUCCAAACGAAAUUGCUGAUUAGAUAAAUGCUCAACACCCGGUGUUACAAUGUAAUUUAGAAUUGUGUAUUGUUGCCAUAUAUAUAUUGUAGGUUUAUAUAGUAUUAAGCAUUGUGUAUUUGUCAUGCUCCGUUGCCCCUUUCUCAAAUAGGUGGAAGAAGUUCCGCACGGGCGUGUGCGUUAGACCCGUCGAACGGACAGUUUUUUCUGUCUACUCAAUGCGUCAUAAUCAGUACAAUUCAAAACAUUCUAAAUAAAAAUAAAAUUCAUACACAGAUUAUAUAAGAAAAGUAUUAUAAACAUUCAAAAACUAUGCUAUUACAAGCAUUUCUCACGUUCAAACUACAUGUACAUUUUUUUUUGCAAAUACAAUCAAAUUAUUAUUACAAUUUCUCUUUUCUGUACCCUUACGCUACAUUGUUCGAGGGUAUAUCUAUCUUUGUCAUAAUUUCUGUACCCUUAAGCUACAUUGUUCGAGGGUAUAUCUAUCUUUGUCAUAAUGGUAGAAUGCUAACUAUCGAGCUACGUUCAUUUCUUGUGCCGUCGCGCCGCUCACGUGCAGAUCUGUAAAAUAUGGGGGUGUGUAAUACACUGAAUUUUUGCAAAUUGCGAAAUUCGAGUGUGAGCAAUGAAGUGUGGAAUUAUUCUACAUGUUCUAAAUGACUUGGAGAAGUUUGUGACCAAGUUAGAGAGUGAUUGGAGGGUUAAAAGUGAGAAAGUGCAUUGAUUGGGCGAAAUCAGCCUUUUCUGCUUGGUGUACCGGUACAGCCAUUAUGGUGUACCGGUACACAAUGCAGAAACGUGACAGUUUGGGUAUUUUGGUAAUUUCACAUACUUAUCCUUAUCUACUUGACCCAGCACGACCUGGGAUGUUCUGUGAAGGGUGAUUGAGUUCAGAAAAGCUUCUUUCACCUUCUCUCUUUCUCUCUCUCUAGGGUUUUUCUCUCUCUAGAGAAAAUCCGCCGAUUCGCGCCGUUUCCGCGCCGCGCUUGUUGUUCGCUGGUUUGGCGACUUAAAGGAGGCUUCCAGCACGUGGGAAAGAGGAGCUUUGCUGUGUUUCUAUGAGGUUACUGCCAGGGGAAGCUGAAUUUCAGUUUUAGAGAGGUAAUCAACUCGAUUUCUCUCUAGUUUCCGGUUUUAUGUUGAAUUUGGACAUCUUUUCGUGUUAGUGCUUCGAACUGGAUUAGGAGGUGUUUACAGCAGUAAAGAGGAGCUUUGUUGGCUGCUAAUUACCCAUUUAAACUCUGUGGAACUUGCUUUAAAGCUUAAAAUGGUUAAUUAGUAAACUAUACCUCAAUUUCGGAACUAUUUGACGUUUACUUAGUCGAAUUGAUGCAAAAUUGGGAAUUUUUCUUCGCAGCAGGUCUUCGAGUCUCGUUGAGCUGAACUUGCACUCUUAGAAGCUGGUUUGGGAGGUAUUCUAACCUGAGGUAAGCAGGGAUUUCAGUUAGAAAACUGAAUUCGCAAGAUUCCGACUAUAUUUGCUAUUAUGUGAUGAUUUUGAUGUCGUGUUGGUGUUGAUCGCAGCGGGAGUUCGACUGACCUUUGGGUCAUCCUUGGUUGGCUUUGGGAAGCCUUUAGAGACUUAAUUGGAGGUACUAAAGUGAAUCAAAACAGCGAUUUAUGUUACUACUUAAUACGAGAUGUGAUUUGAGCCGAAAUCGGACAUUUCGGCCGUAGAUUUAAGCCGAUCUUGACGUUUGUUUUUCAGCAGCAUUGGGGCUUCGUUGAGCCGUUUGUGGGACUUCUUGUGGAUACUUGGAGCCUAGUACUAGGUGGGUCGGACCUAACCAGAGCAAGUGAAACUCCCCUAUGUUCUAUAUGUAAUAUAGAAAUGAUCUUAUUGUGCUUAUGUGAUUGAUAAAGGGCUUGACAUUCGUCAUCAUAAUGUUGAACAUAUUCGAAAUGAAGUCUCUAUAAAGUAGAGAACACUUAUACAUGGAAGUAUUUACAUUUAUAGUCAAUUCAGUUGAAUGACUUAUGAACAAGUGUAGGAUGCACUUUAAAGUAGAGAACAAUGACAUUUCUCGACUCUAACGUAGAGAACUAUGACAUGCUCGUGACUAUGUUGAUAGUGCUAUAUUAGUGAAAAGAUUAUCAUGACAUGUGAUUUAGCUUUACCCUUACAUGUUUACAAUCUAGUGAUUACUAGCUUUUGUUACUAUUUGUGUAUUGACAUUCCGAUCAGAGGAUCGAGGGUUCUGAACUUUGCAUGUGAAAAUAUGAAAAUUGAGACAUGUGGAUAAUGGACUUUGCUUGCUUGCCAUCGUGCUCAUUCGCACACGCUUGUGAGGGUAGCUCCCUCCAAGCCGGCACUCCGGAGUUGGCCUACGCGACAGUUGCUCGCCCGUGCGGGAUUGGGUGCCGAAGUGGAUUGCCGUGGGGAGUGUAUACUACCACGGGGCCAUUAGGCGCGGCGCAAGCUGGACUACCUUGAGUUGGUCCUAGUGAAUGAAAAUGAAAGUGAAAAUGAUAAUGAUAGUAAUGAAUGAGUAUCAGUUGUAGUGUACAGUAGUACUUACACUUCUAUGAGUAUGUUUAUGGUUAUGUUUAUAGUAGUUGCGAUACUUCAAUUAUUCAGUUGAUUCAUCACUGCAGAAAUCAUGAUUACAUGUUGCUUACAUACUCAUUACCUGUUAGUAUUGCAUAAUUAUAUAUCAUGCAAUUAUUGCUUUCGCUUUCAUUUAGUACAUCAUGAGCCUAGUGGUGUAAUUCGCCGAGGCUGGCGGCUUACCCACUGGGAACUAUUGUUAAUAGUUCUCACGCCCUUUUUAUGAUUGUUUUUACAGAGCCAUCUACAGGAGAGGCUAGGGAUCGUGGCAAGGGAGUCGCGCCUAGCUAGGCACUACUAGGAGCGUGCUAGUCGAUCACCUUGUUACUCGGGCUACGGCCGAGGGUGAUGUCCUUAUGUGUAGAGAGACUACCAUUGUACCUACUUUUUGUAUACCCAGUACUGUAUAUUUACUGUAUGGAUCAGAUACUUUAGUUGUGAUACUCAUCUUUUGGUUGAGAUUUCUGGACUAUACUCCUUUACUCUAUUGUUGAUAGUAUUGUUGACUGGUACUUUGCUCUGAUAUCGAGAUAGAAUUCUCUAUGAUCUUCUUCUUAUCGACUUGCUUGGUUGUAGACGCCUUAUAUACUGCAGGUGUAUGGCGGGUCUGUGCACGUACCGGUUAUGCUUCCGCUGGUACCCGGGCGUGACAGAAAAUAGUGGUAUCAGAGCCUAGGGUUGAGUCCUAGAAGACCUAGCAAACCUUAGGCUGGUUGGACUAUAAGGAUAGGCUCGCGAGAGACGAUGUCUAGUUGAGGUUGUUGUUAGCGAAAGUGUUUUGAUUGGGUACUUAUAAACUCCGAAUAGUAGGAGUUUGAUCGGGAUGUACAAUUACUAACUUUGCAGAGGGUCACGUUGGCGGCCGACAACGUGACAUCGGAAGUUAGUAUGCGUUACCUCUCAUUGCUUUCGCUUAAUUAGUUGGUUUAUAUCCUCAAUGAGGGUUCAGUAGUAUAGGAUUUGUUGACCUAUGUUUGUUUUGUGCUGCAGUUUAAGAUGCCGUUGACUCGUUCGCAAGCCGCCGGGGCAGCUGAGGCAGUUGAUGCGGAGGAAGUGGGGACUUCUGUUACUUCGGGAUCUAGUGGGAUCCAUGAGUUGCAGGAUCAGCUUGCGAAGCUGACAGAUUUGGUUGCUCAGCAGGCUGCGGCCGCGCGACAGCAGAUGGAUGCCGCGCGUCGGCAGGAAGAUAGGAUGAAGAGGUUAGAGGAUUUACUAUUGCGACAGACGACUGACAGGGAGAUUCCGGAUCCUAUACCUACAGUACUGGACAGGGAUGCGACCGUGAGAGCACAGUCACCUGUACUGGACACACCCCCAGUAGCUCCGAGGGCAGAGAUGCGACAGGUGACAAUAGUACCACCACCAGUACCUGUAGCAGCAUCAGGGACAGUAUUACCCGAGAUGGUGGGGGUUGAGGAGCGAGAGCGGAUGAUGGAACAACUGAAUGAAUUCCGUCGUUGCAACCCUCGUGUCUUUGACGGGGAGAAAGCAGAUCACUGGGUGGUCGAGAAAUGGCUAAUGCACAUGGAGAAGCUAUUCUAUGAUACCUUCGUCGAGGAGCGAUAUCGAGUUUGGUUUGCGACGCACCACCUUGACGGCGAGGCUUACAGGUGGUGGGUGGACAUACGGGAGGAUCCCCGUGCUGAUUUGUCUGCUAUCACGUGGAACAGGUUCAAGGACUUGUUGUUGACGACCUAUUUUCCUCAGAGUGUAAAGAGACAGAUGGAAAGGGAUCUGAGAAACCUGAGGCAGGGGGACAGGACAGUGGCAGAGUACGAGCGAGAGUUCUCCCGAUUACUGCACUGCGUUCCUUUUGUGGUUAGAGAUGAUGAGGACAAGGCUCGCAUUUUUGAGGUAGGUUUGCGACCUGCGAUUUUUCGAUUGGUCCAGGCGUCAAACCUAUCCACUUACCGGGAUGUAGUGAACCGGGCCUUGAUCGUUGAAAAAGGGGCAGAGAUUAUGAAAGAAAGAGACGUUGUGGAUAGAAACAAGGGAAAGAGGCCAACAGCAGAGAGCAGUGGUCAGCAACCUUUCAGGAGACCACCGAAGUAUCCGAGGGGACAGUCAGGUCAGUCGAGGGGUCGAGGUUCUUCAGCACCCCGUGGAGCACCCGAGCGUCGUCGACCACCGCGUUGUGUUAUCUGUGGUGGGCCUCACGUACCGCCACAGUGUCCACAGCGUGGGGGCAGGUGCUUUCUUUGCGGCCAGGAGGGCCACUUUCGUUCAGAGUGCCCGAGAGGUUCUUUGCCUGCACCCUCGUCAGCGACUGCACCUGCAUCUUCAGCUCCGAGCCAGGGGACCCCGACAGCACCCUAUCAGUCUAGGCGACCACCAGGACAGCGGCAGUCAGAGAGUUCGCAGCAGGGUUCGAGUGGGCGGAUGUAUGCCGCCCAGACCGAGGGCGCCGCAGCAGCACAGGAGGUCGUAGCAGGUAUUAUUAUGCUUUAUGAUAUUCGUGUUCGUGCAUUAUUUGAUACUGGUGCUUCGCAUUCUUUUAUUGAUCGGCAGUUCGCCGAGUUGCAUAGCAUUCCUUUAGCACCUACUUUGCAUCUGGGACGAGUGAUUGUACCUGACCAUACCCUAGAUGUUCGUGAGUUUUGCCCUCGCUGCCCAGUUAGGGUAGGCGACUGGAUUAUGCCAGUGGAUUUAUUGGCACUACACAAACUAGGUGAGUUUGAUGUAGUAUUGGGUAUGGAUUGGUUGACACAGUAUUAUGCCACCAUAGAUUGCACGAACAGAACGGUGACCUUUAGGGAACCGGGUCAACAGGAGUUUGUUUAUAAGGGGUGUCAGAGUUCAUUGUUCGCAAUGACCAUUAGCUCUUCGCGAGCACGACAGUUGAUACGGAGAGGUUGUGUAGCCUAUUUGGCUAGCAUUUCUGUGAGUGACGGAGAAGCCGUCAAGAUUGAUGAUAUCCCGGUUGUGCGAGAAUUCGGGGAUGUGUUUCCAGCUGAAUUGCCGGGCAUGCCACCUGAUAGGGAAGUUGAGUUUGUGAUAGAUCUUGUCCCUGGGACUACCCCUAUUUCUAAAGCGCCUUAUAGGAUGGCACCCGCUGAAUUGAAAGAGCUGAAGGCACAGUUACAAGAUCUUUUAGAUAAAGGAUUUAUUCGACCGAGUGUAUCGCCCUGGGGAGCACCGGUGUUAUUUGUCAAGAAAAAGGAUGGAUCUCUUCGAUUGUGCGUGGAUUAUCGAGAAAUCAACAAAGUCACAAUCAAGAAUAAAUAUCCAUUGCCCAGAAUUGAUGACUUAUUCGAUCAGCUGCAAGGAUCGAAAGUAUACUCCAAGAUUGAUUUGCAAUCUGGGUAUCAUCAGCUCAAGAUCAAGCCUGAAGAUGUUUCUAAGACUGCUUUUAGAACACGGUAUGGGCAUUAUGAAUUUACAGUCAUGCCGUUUGGAUUGACUAAUGCCCCAGCAGCCUUUAUGGAUUUAAUGAACCGUGUCUUUAAGCCCUAUUUGGAUAGAUUUGUGGUAGUGUUUAUUGAUGACAUCUUGAUAUAUUCUCGAAGUGACAAGGAGCAUGAAGACCAUUUGAGAGUAGUGUUACAAGUACUUCGAGAAAAGGAACUAUUUGCCAAGUUAAAGAAAUGCGAAUUUUGGCUUCAAGAAGUGGCAUUUCUGGGCCAUGUGAUUUCUGAAACUGGGAUAGCUGUGGAUCCCAAGAAGAUUGAAGCGAUUAAAGAUUGGCCUAGGCCGACCAGUGUCACAGAAAUUCGGAGUUUCCUUGGUUUGGCGGGAUACUACCGAAGAUUUGUAGAAGGAUUUGCAAAGAUGUCUACUCCUCUCACUCGACUCACACAUAAAGGAGCUAAAUUUCUGUGGAAUGAAGCCUGUGAAAGAAGCUUUCAAGAGCUGAAGGAACGGUUGACUACCGCCCCGAUUCUGGCUUUGCCUGUUACUGGAGUGGAUUAUGUGAUUUACAGCGAUGCGUCACUGAAUGGAUUAGGGUGUGUUCUAAUGCAGAAUGGCAGAGUAAUUGCUUAUGCUUCUCGCCAAUUGAAAGAUUAUGAAAAGAACUACCCUACACAUGAUCUUGAGUUAGCAGCUGUGGUAUUUGCUUUAAAGCUUUGGCGCCACUACCUCUACGGCGAGCGUUGCGAAGUUUAUACAGAUCAUAAAAGCUUAAAGUAUCUGUUUACUCAGAAAGAAUUAAACUUGAGACAACGUAGAUGGUUAGAGUUGCUCAAGGAUUAUGAUUUGACCAUCCUCUAUCAUCCUGGAAAAGCUAAUGUCGUAGCAGAUGCUCUAAGUCGAAAAUCGACGGAAAAUUUGGCGAUGUCGAUAACAAUGCAACCACUGUUGGUAAAGGAAAUGGAGCAAUUGAAUUUGGAAGUUGUAGCUCCUGAUACGCCUUGGAGACUUAUGUCAUUAGUGGUGCAACCUACCCUGAUCGAUCGAAUUAAGGAAAAGCAAACUCAAGAUGAAUUCCUGCAGAAGAUUCGAGAUAAGAUCACUGUUGAUCAUGAUAGUGAUUUUCGAGUAGAUGAUCAGGGAUUGUUGAAAUUCGGUGAUAGGCUCUGUGUACCGGCAGAUUCUGGUAUUAAAGAAGAGAUUCUUGCAGAAGCACAUCGGGCGCCGUAUACUGUACACCCUGGGAGUACGAAAAUGUAUAAGGAUUUGAAGUUAACUUACUGGUGGCCUGGAAUGAAAAAGGAAGUUGCGGACUUCGUGGCUAAGUGCUUAACGUGUCAGCAGGUUAAAGCUGAACAUCGACUUCCUGCGGGGAAACUUCAGAGCUUACCCAUACCAGUGUGGAAGUGGGAGAGGAUCACUAUGGAUUUCAUCGUUGGAUUACCUCGCUCACAAGCAGGUCACGAUGCAAUUUGGGUAAUUGUUGAUCGAUUGACUAAAUCUGCCCACUUUAUUCCAAUCCACACGACUUGGUCAGGAGAGAAACUCGCACAAGUGUACCUUGAUGAAAUUGUGCGAUUACAUGGAGUACCUGCUUCUAUUGUUUCGGACCGAGACACCCGAUUCGUUUCACAUUUUUGGAGGAGCUUACAGGAGGCCAUGGGUACCCGACUGGAUUUUAGUACUGCUUUCCACCCCCAGAGUGAUGGGCAGUCCGAGCGUACUAUCCAGACCCUUGAGGAUAUGUUACGGGCCUGUGUGAUUGAUUACCAGGGCAGUUGGCCACAGUUUUUGCCUAUGGCUGAAUUUGCUUAUAACAACAGUUAUCACGCAAGUAUUCUGAUGGCACCGUUUGAAGCCCUGUAUGGUAGAAAGUGUAGAUCACCACUUCAUUGGAGUGAAGUGGGUGAGAGAUUGGUUUUGGGUCCAGAUGUAUUACAAGAGGCUGAAGCUAAAGUUCGACUUGCACGAGAACGUCUACUGACAGCUCAAAGUCGACAAAAGAGUUAUGCGGACAAACGUCGGCGAGAAUUGGAAUUUCAAGUUGGCGAUCAUGUAUUCCUAAAGGUUUCCCCGACGAAAGGAGUUAAGAGAUUUGGCAUUCGAGGAAAGUUGAGCCCUCGAUUUAUUGGACCCUACGAGGUGUUGGAGCGGAUAGGCCCCGUAGCGUAUCGGCUUGCGUUGCCGCCGAAUCUUUCGGGAGUACACAAUGUAUUUCAUGUAUCGACGCUUCGAAAGUAUGUUUUUGAUCCGACCCAUAUAUUGGACAGUACUCCAGUAGAUUUACGAGAGGAUUUGAGCUUUGAGGAGCAUCCAGUGAGAAUCCUAGCACGGGAAGUAAAACGGCUUCGAAAUCGCGAGAUACCCUACGUGAAGAUCCUUUGGAGUAAUCACGAGGAACGAGAAGCCACUUGGGAACUGGAGAGUGCAAUGCAAGAGCAUUAUCCCUAUCUAUUCUCGAUGGAAUCGUGAGGUAAGUGUUUACAAGUUUCGCGGACGAAACUUCUUUUUAGGAGGGGUGAAUGUAAUACACUGAACUUUUGCAAAUUGCGGAGUUCGAGUAUGUGGAAUGGUGUGUGGAUCACUCCUACAUGUUCUAAAAGGUUAGAACAAGUGUUUGGAUAAGUUAGAGGAUGUUUGGAAUGCGAGAAGUGAGAAAGUGCAUUGAACUGGCGAAAAUCAGCCUUUUCUGCUUGCUGUACCGGUACAGCCGCAAUGGUGUACCGGUACACAGUGGCAAUUCGUGGCAGCAAGGCUAUUUUGGUCUUUUCACAUUUUGAUCCCUAUCUAUAACCCCCAGCACGACUCCAGGAGCACUGUGGAAGGGUCUGGAGUCCAGAGAAGGGUUCUCCCAUUUUUCUCUUCCUCUCUCUCUAGGGUUUUUCUCUCUCUAGAGAAAAGUCGCCGUUUUGCACCGUUUUCGUCGCCGCGCUUGUUCUUCGCUGUUUGCGAGCGUCGCAGAGCUUUCGCGGACGCGUGGGAGAGUGUUUUGGACAGGUUUUCGCAGCCCUGGAUCAGCAGGUCACUGGUUGGAAGCUUAAGAAGGUAAUCGACUCACUUUUGUCGUUAUCGACGUUCUAUUCGUCGAUUUGAGUAGCGAUUUCGGAUUUUUGCUCUUGGCUGUGCUAAACUGAGAAUUCAGCUAUUAUAAAUGAGUUAAUUAGCUGUGAAUUAACCUUCUUAGACCAGGGAUAAGCUACUUUGAAGCUUAAUUGAAUAUUUAGCCAAUUAUGAAGCUAAAUUAGAACUAAUUGCACUUAUUUGCGCGAAUUGAUGCAAUUUCGGGAUUAUUUCUUCGCAGCAGGUCUUCGAGCCUCGUUGAGCUGAACUUGUACUCUUAGAAGUUGGUUUGGAAGGUAUUCUAACCUGAGGUAAGCAGGGAUUUCAGUUAGAAAACUGAAUUCGCAAGAUUCCGACUAUAUUUGCUAUUAUAUGAUGAUUUUGAUGUCGUAUUGGUGUUGAUCGCAGCGGGAGUUCGACUGACCUUUGGGUCAUCCUUGGUUGGCUUUGGGAAGCCUUUAGAGACUUAAUUGGAGGUACUAAAGUGAACCAAAACAGCGAUUUAUGUUACUACUUGAUACGAGAUGUGAAUUGAGCCGAAAUCGGACAUUUCGGCCGUAGAUUUAAUCCGAUCUUGACGUUUGUUUUUCAGCAGCAUUGGGGCUUCGUUGAGCCGUUUGUGGGACUUCUUGUGGAUAGUUGGAGCCUAGUACUAGGUGGGUCGGACCUAACCAGAGCAAGUGAAACUCCCCUAUGUUCUAUAUGUAAUAUAGAAAUGAUCUUAUUGUGCUUAUGUGAAUGAUAAAGAGCUUGACUUUCGUCAUCAUAUUGUUGAACAUAUUCGAAAUGAAGUCUCUAUAAGUAUUUACAUUUAUAGUCAAUUCAGUUGAAUGACUUAUGAACAAGUGUAGGAUGCACUUUAAAGUAGAGAACAAUGAUAUUCUCCUGACUCUCAUAUAGAGAACUAUGACAUGCUCAUGACUAUGUUGAUAGUGCCAUACUAGUGGAAAGAUUAUAAUGCUAUGUGAUUUAGCUUUACCCUUACAUGUUUACAAUCUAGUGGAUACUAGCUUUUGUUACUAUUUGUGUAUUGAUAUUCCGAUCAGAGGAUCGAGGGUUCUGAACUUUGCAUGUGAAAAUAUGAAAAUUGAGACAUGUGGAUAAUGGACUUUGCUUGCUUGCCAUCGUGCUCAUUCGCACACGCUUGUGAGGGUAGCUCCCUCCAAGCCGGCACUCCGGAGUUGGCCUACGCGACAGUUGCUCGCCCGUGCGGGAUUGGGUGCCGAAGUGGAUUGCCGUGGGGAGUGUAUACUACCACGGGGCCAUUAGGCGCGGCGCAAGCUGGACUACCUUGAGUUGGUCCUAGUGAAUGAAAAUGAAAGUGAAAAUGAUAAUGAUAGUAAUGAAUGAGUAUCAGUUGUAGUGUACAGUAGUACUUACACUUCUAUGAGUAUGUUUAUGGUUAUGUUUAUAGUAGUUGCGAUACUUCAAUUAUUCAGUUGAUUCAUCACUGCAGAAAUCAUGAUUACAUGUUGCUUACAUACUCAUUACCUGUUAGUAUUGCAUAAUUAUAUAUCAUGCAAUUAUUGCUUUCGCUUUCAUUUAGUACAUCAUGAGCCUAGUGAUGUAAUUCGCCGAGGCUGGCGGCUUACCCACUGGGAACUAUUGUUAAUAGUUCUCACGCCCUUUUUAUGAUUGUUUUUACAGAGCCAUCUACAGGAGAGGCUAGGGAUCGUGGCAAGGGAGUCGCGCCUAGCUAGGCACUACUAGGAGCGUGCUAGUCGAUCACCUUGUUACUCGGGCUACGGCCGAGGGUGAUGUCCUUAUGUGUAGAGAGACUACCAUUGUACCUACUUUUUGUAUACCCAGUACUGUAUAUUUACUAUAUGGAUCAGAUACUUUAGUUGUGAUACUCAUCUUUUGGUUGAGAUUUCUGGACUAUACUCCUUUACUCUAUUGUUGAUAGUAUUGUUGACUGGUACUUUGCUCUGAUAUCGAGAUAGAAUUCUCUAUGAUCUUCUUCUUAUCGACUUGCUUGGUUGUAGACGCCUUAUAUACUGCAGGUGUAUGGCGGGUCUGUGCACGUACCGGUUAUGCUUACGCUGGUACCCGGGCGUGACAGGGUGAGAACUAUAAAUAUAGUUUUCAGUGGGUACGACCACCUAAGGAAAGAGCUCGACCCAUCGGGUCCAAAGGAGACAACAUAAGCAUACUAGUACACAAUAUUUACUAUGUAAGCAUCAAGUAAAUGCGAUAAUGAAACACACAUGUUUCAUUUCUACUUACUAUUUUACUAUCCAUUUUCUUUGCAAUCCGCCCCAAAGGUUUUUCUUUUCUUAGCCAAGCUAUAUCUCAAUCACUCUUGAAUCAAUCCGUUCCUAAGUUUUUUAUUAUCUUAGCGAAGCUAUGUCAUGUCCCGGGAUCCCUUUUGUUUUUAAAAUCGAUGCGGAAGUGCCUUUUUUUUUUUUUUUUUUUUUGAAAGCCUUGACCCCAGAGGACGUCAGAUCCGCCACAAAUACAGGGGAUCCACUGUUCACACAAACAGAGUCUUUUCUGCAUUUGCACAGCGUCACACAAGUACAAGAUACAACCACAAUGAAUACAUAUUCACAAACAAUCACCACAUCACAAUCAUUUCAUCACAGUUUAUCAUAAAUCCACAUUUAUUAGUUUAAAACGUUUUCCACUCGGAAACUUAUUUUGAAAUACUAAGAAUGAUGAAAAUCGAAAAACCCUUUUUAAAACUGUUUCCCAUACAGAAAUUUUUUCUUUAAAAUGCUACCACGAGGGUAGAAAACCUUUUUCACAAUUUUACGUGAAAACCACAAUUACUUUAUUUAACUUCACAAAAUCAUAUAUAUAUCCAACUGAAAUAAAAUCAACUGAACCAUAAAACGUCUAAGUCAAUUCAUUAGAAAUUGUAAGGAUAGCAAUUAAACCAAUUCAACCAGAUCGGAAGCUCUAUCAACCGUUACUAAUGUGUCUCACGGCUCGUCUCAACCCUUACCACCCGCAAUACCUGAAAAAUGGUGGGAAGUGAGAACAUGUACACAUGUCGCCCCUCCUAGUGGGUACUGCAAGCCGACGAAGGCGAGGAGUACUCACCGGUACAGGAAUAUCUAAUCAAGGUCAUGAGCAGAUAUUACAAAUAUAAUAGCAAUAAUACUGAAAGGAAGGAGAACAGUAAUAGAACAUAUAACUAUCGCUACUGUAAAGUAAAAUAGAAUGUAUACAUGGAUAUCAAAACUACAGUAGCAAGAUAAGUGUAAAAAAAGGACUGUAAGUAUGCAUGCAACAACCGCUACUAUAGCCAUAUGCGUCAACCGGACGAAUAGUCCAAAUAUACCCAAUCUAAACCGCUGUAUCAGUGUAAGGACCUCAGAUAAAAGCCACUACCUGCUCGCUCCUGGCAUGUAUCCCUAGCACAAAGAGAACACCGCUGGGCUCACGGGUCAGAUGUACGACCACUUUUCCGGAAAAGAACACCCUCAUGCGGGGGAUCAGCUCGCUGGUGCAUGUGAAAUGCUCUUGAGCUAUGGCGAUCGAUGCGGAUAUGAUCAAUAGCCAACCGUCCGCUAAUAGCCGACAAUCACUGCCCCUCGGGGUACACCGACCAAUAGGUCAUUGAGCCGUAAGGAAACACAAGUAUCGACCAUUCAGGUCAACUAGGAUGGAACAACUCAAUAUUCUCCCAAAGGUAUGCAAGUACUGAUCACUCAAUAUCAACUAAAAUGUAUGCGCAAGAACCGACCAAUAGGUCACAAGAAUGUCACAUCGUGUAUCAAUAUAAUCCAAAACUAGCCGUCAGCCACUAGCCGACAAUCCUACCCUUCAGGGUACGCUGACCUCAUGGGUCAUCAAACGACAAGAGUCCCGAAAACCAACCGACUAGGUCACAUAAAUGUCAAAAUCAUGGAUCAGUGUAAUCUAUAGUCAUCUGUCGAUAACUAGCCGACAAUCCUACCUCUCGGGGUAUACCGACCUCAUAGGUCAUCAAACGACAGUAGUCAUGGAACCGACCGACUAGCUCACAAGAGUGUCACAAUGGACGAGAUACAAACAAUGUCCGCUCUACUACUAGAUCAUGAUAGCAAGUAUAGAAAAAGAGCAAUACAUAAAGGUUCACAUGGUGUCAGGCUCAACAAUGGUAAACAAAUGUAAUAAGAGAGAUAAGGUAGAAAAAAUAUCACCGAGCGUGCACCACUAGACCAACUCCAGGUCGAAGUACCCACCUGUACGAAAGUCGCGUUUGUCUCCUAACUGUGGAAAAACGUCAAACGGACCUACGAAGGGUCCACCGGGUUAGUGUCUAACCCACAUAUAAGAGACACUAAACUCAAAACCGCAUAAUUAAUCCCACAGGAAUCGGUUUCCCAAAAUCGAUUACCGUAACUCGCCGGGAGUCCCGAAAAUCCCACCGGUACUCCUCCGGGACCCACAAAGUGUCCCGGGACUCACCGACUCACCCACGAGUCAUCCGCUGCCACAAAACACAUCGAUUUGGAUGUCUUGGCAGCAAACACAAGAAUACACAACCAAACAAUUAUCGCCAGAUAAUUGUUCGGAUCCAAGUUCUCGGAAGUGUCAAUUUCGACACCGGAACCGAUCGCUGCUCAUCCGUCAUCUCUGAACUCACGAUAUGAUGAUGGUGACUAGCCGAUAAGGCUCAGCGACACAACUCCGGGCAUUCUAACAUCAUCGGAUGAAAUCCGAACUGAAAUCGCGUUUUGCCUGCGAAUUUUGUCGAAAAACGCACCGAAAUCGAUAUUCGAUUUCGGCGAAGGGCAUUGAAACCGCGUUUUGCCGGCGAAUUUAGUCAAAAAACGCAUCAAAAUCGAUAUUUGAUUUUCGCGAAGGGCAUCAGACCUUGGACAAUCAGUCCAGAGGUCACCAGCAUCCCACACGUACUGCCCACAGCAGCCACGAAGUGCACAAUUGCAUAAAAGUCCCCACUAAUACGUAAAAUUACGUUAUUUUAUGUGAUUUAUGGGGUUUUUCGGCUCGAUACUGCAAACCGAGGGCUUUCGAGGUUGGCUGAGACAUGUACUGAUAGGUCUCGACGUGCCGGAGACCGUGCUCACGAUUCAGAGCACAACCAUCCAUUGUGGGAGGCGCGAGAGCGACCCGAAGUUCAGCGAACCCUGCGGGCUAAACCUAAACGCUUCUAAUUCACUCAUCCGGGGCUCGUUGACCCUAAAUGAGGUGAGCACUGUGAUCAGCACUGACCGACGAUCACCGUGCUCACCUUCGGAGGCAUCGGAACAGCCAUGGGUCACCAAAACAGAGAUCCGAAUAGGAAACAGUGCGCAAAUUAGCGUAAUAAAGCUUACCGAGCUAAGGGGAGCUAGGGCAUGGCCGGCAGCUGCCUGGCUGCUGGCGCACCGACGGCAGGCGGGUGCGGGCGAUAGAGGGAGGCUGGGGCGCGCGUCAGCCGGCGACGAAAGGCGGCGGCGGCAGCGGGCAAUGAUGCCCUAGCCGCACGAGGUGGUGGGGAGCUCGGCUCCAGCCUCGUCGGCAGGGGCCUACAACAGUGGGAGCGCCGGCGGUAGUCGGGUCCGGCCAACUAGGGAGAGUCGGUGCUCCCGCUGGCCGGCGGCGGAAGGCGGCGGUGGUGGCGCGGCGGCGGCGGCGAUGGGACUCAAACCCAUGCCGCAGCUCGGACUAAGCACGGCGGCUCGGGGUUCGCUGGGGGUGAUGUCGGUGGUCCCUCUAGGACCGCCGGCCACUGCCGUAGGAGGCGCUGUGUGGUGGCGGCGGCCGGGUAGGCCCCCAUGGCCCCACGAGUUUGGGAGUCUCCUCCAGGCCACGGCGGCUCUAUAGGGAACCGUCGGCAUCGAGGCUCGCCGGGGGCGACGCCGGUGGUCCCUCUGGGAUAGCCGGCCACGGCCGGAGGAGGCUUUGUGCGGCGGCGUCGGCCUGGUGGACCCCCACGGCCGCAUGGGGUAUGGGAGCUUCCUCCUGGCUGCGGCGGCACCCGAGCGGAGUACGGCGGCGGCGGCGACCACGCCGAUCAGGUGCGGGGGUGUCGAAAAGGCGAGAGGAGGGUGGGGCAGCCCUCGGGACACGCGGGGGAGAUCCUGCGCAAGAUCCUGCCAUGCACGAGCUCUAGCCGCUCCCAGUAGGCCGCAAGUGUAGCGGCGGCACACGGCAGGGGAACGAUGGCCGGGGAGCGUCGACUGGGAUCGGGGCGACGUCGGCGACAAGCGGAGGAGGCCGGGCAACCCAGGGCUUCAUCUCCAACCCGAGAGGAAUGUGAAAUGGUGGCAAUGUGAGAGGGAGAGAGGAAGAUAAUGGCCGAGGAGGUGGUUGGUCGGCCGGAGCUCGGCCGGAGGCUGCUGGGAUGUAACGACCCAGCCCACUAGCAACAAUAACUCGUUGGGCCCAACCACCAACCCAAAAUGCUUAAGCCCAGUUAUUAUUACUAGUGUCUAAGUCUCUUAUAUAUCCAAUCACAUCCCCAUUCCUAUCCAAUGUAGGAUUAUUAAGGUGUGACAGACUCCCCCUGUUAAGGCCCUGACGUCCUCGUCAGUCCAAUCAUAUACACAGCCCAAGAUCACCAGGCGAUGUGAGACUCGUCUCGCUAGCCUUCUCAUCUAGACCCUGGCAUAACCGGUCACCUUGUUAUAUAGACUCCGGCAUAGCCUUGUCUUUAGACCCUGGUUUAGCCGAGACUCAUCUCACACUUCCGGCUGGUGAACUAGCUUUGAUACCAAAUGUAACGACCCAGCCCACUUGUCACGCCUCGAGACCGCUACCCAUUUGGUCCGGUUCGGACGAGUCGAAUAGACGCCGGACGGACAACACCUCCCCUGUUUGCCCAAGGCUAAGCAUCAAGAUUGUGUACAACAAGUGCCCAGGAAAAACAACUUGAAAUACAUACACAAUCAACAACAACAGCGAGAGCACCACCAGUGCUAAACAACCAAGAGCAUGUAUCACGAGUAUACACAAGUGAAUAAAAGAGACAUACUAACUAUUACAACCAUUCAACUUUAAUACAUUAGAUUAACUUUACAUUCUUUCAAAAUAUAAACAUAAAGUUUACAAUCUCUCCAAAAUAUCUCACACCUAUACAUCAUCUAUUCUCAUGUGUACAAGGUAGCUUUAAUGCAAAUAGGAAGCAUCUACUAACCCUAGGGCGCUAAGCCCUUACCACGAUCCUCGACCGGUGCGCUCGUACUCGUCCCUGCAACAAAGUGGGGUGAGAACUAUUGUCCAUAGUUCCCAGUGGGUUCGGCCGCCGACUCCGCCGAUCUCCCCACUAGGUCUAAGCAGGCAUAAGCAGAUAGAUAGAUAGAUAGAUAUAGAAGCAGCGAUAACAUAGUAAGAAAAGAUGCGAGUACUAUACUAUGUCUCAAUCUAGUAAAAUGAAUGCAUGCACUACAUAGUAAAAAGCUAGCUACCAUACUACUAUGUCCAACAACGAUGCUACUCAAUAGAUCACCCAAUCUCUCGACAAGCCCGAAGGCUCGCUCUCAAUCUCACGUCUCAAUCCCAUGGGUGAGGAAUCCCAGCUGCUCGACUCACCCGAGACCGCCUGCGGACAGCAAGCUAUUGCCCUAUUAUGUGACCAACCUCCGGAGUGCACGGUUUGUGUGGAGCGACCACAACAAGCAAGUAACAGGCUACGCGAGCACGAUCCAAUCCUCGUCAACUGAGGAUACCCUACCAACUAGGGUUAUCAUCAUCAUAGAAUCAAUGUGUUCCUAUACUCAACCUCCUAGUGUUUUAACUACACUAAGGUUCUUAUGCCACUCGUUCUUGUGUUUACAUUAACUAGAUGCCACUCGUUAUCAUUUCAGUGUUUCAAUAUAUCAAUUGUACAUGAUCACUAGGUUUCCAUUCACCUAGGGUCCAAUCCAUAUUUAUCAUCUCAUUAUAGGGUUACCAAUCAACAUAUCUCAAUCUCAUGCAUACUAGGCCCAAGUGUUAAGCAAGCAUCUCUAGUAUGCAAGAACAUGUAACAACUACUCAAGCACCCUAUAAUGCAUCAUGCUCAAUAUGCAAAUAUAGUCAAUAACAAGACUUAGACAUAGGGAGCAGUUCAAUUGCUUCGGGAUGGCACCACCUACCUGUUGGCGAUGCUACAACUUAAGGAACGGAACCCGGCAAUCUCUUAGGACGUCGUUUCAGCUCUUCGAGUAGAAAUGAAGGCUACGACCGCCCCUUUUUGCCAAGAACUUCACACAAACUCGACGAAUCGUCGAACCGUCUUCGUCGAUGCGUUUAGACACCUAGCAAUUAGGUUUACAACCAACCAAAUGAGAUCAAACUCAUCGAUUUCUCGAAACCCUAAAUUGGAGCCCUAGGUUGCAACUAGUGCAAUCUACUCCAAUAAAACCCUAGAUACAUGCAAUUAGCAUCUACUUAGCACCAUUAGGUUCCAACAAAACCACUUCUAGAGUAUUUAAACCUAACCCUAGAGUUUCACCAUUAAAGGGUUUUGGAGCUUACCUCCAAAGCCUCCUCCAAGCUUGAAGAAGAAGAAGAUGAUGAUGUCUAACUUCCUUCAAGCUUCAACCUCCAACAACCCCUCCUCCUUUGUCUCCUUCCUUGAGAGAGAAUGAGAGAACGUAGAGAGAGAGAGAGAAAAAAAAUAGGUUUAGGUUGCGAGAAUGAGAGGAGAAGGAGCUCUCCAUCCCCAUAUAGCUCUCACUUAUGCAACAAUACCAUUAAACCCCCUCAACUUUGCAAGUAUGUGACAGCCCAUUUUGGGUAUUUUCGUGGUACGGGGACCGGUCCCUCUAAGGGAGGACUGGUCCCCGAGAGCAGUUCAACCGGGUUGAGCAUCAGCUCAACCCCCUCACGCUUACGAGGACCGGUCCCCUCCCUGAGGGACCGGUCCCCGAGAGCACAAAAUCAGCAAUUUGUGCAGAUUUUGCACAGGUUGCUCUCGCGGGUCCUCCACAAUGCACUUUAUGCAUUUUUGACAACUUCGGACUUUCCGAAGCAUACCCAAUCGACAAUAAGUUGAUUCCAAACGAAGUUCAACUCUCGGAUUUCGAGAAUUCACUUCUUUACACCACUAGCAACAAUAACUCGUUGGGCUCAACCACCAGCCCAAAAUGCUUAAGCCCAGUUAUUAUUACUAGUAUCUAAGUCUCUUAUAUACCCAAUCACAUCCCCAUAACUAUCCGAUGUGGGAUUAUUGAAGUAUGACAUGGGAAGCGCGCAGCGCACGUGGGUGAGGGAGGAGGGGCGGCUGGGAGUCAGCUGGAUCUAGGGUUAGGGUUUUCCUCCAUGGAAACCCCAGUUAGCUCAAUAUAUAAAAGGUGACCGACUUGCGACAUAACCUACCAAACAUGGAUAUUUUCAGCCAAGUCCUUCACAGUGCAAGUAAAUCACGCGGACGUACCCUCAUGUUCGAUUUCAUGCAAAACGGUACAUAAAAUGUAGGACUUUUCGCAAAAUUACCGUUUCGCCACUAAUGACCCCUCCUCGAUCAACGCGCGAUAUCAAGAGAUCUGUCCGUGAGAUUUGCGAACAGAUCAUACCAAUGCGAUUAGCACGACAGGGACCUCAAACUCAUGAUUUUGUUUCACUUGGUUUGGUCGCAGAUUUGCAACGAAACCCAUCCUCUCACCAAUAGGCAAAACCUGCACACAAAUACAUAGAAUACAUGUAUCUCUAAUUUCCUCAAAAAACGUGCAUCAGAUCUGAAAUCCGUCAGCGCCAAUGGUUCCAGAAUAGUCGGACCAUUGAAAACGAGCUAUUGGAUCGCUAUGAACGGAGUCCGAUACGCGCCCGAAGCCAUCUCUACUCAUUGGCCUCUUCGGAAACCCGGGUUACUAUUCACUUUAAGUGAAAAGUAAAUAUCGUGUAAAAUCUCCAUUGUAACUCGUUUUCUCCUGAAACUUGGCGAGCGCUUUUGUAAUUAAAAUACACAGAAAAAACAUCAUUAACAGAGAGUACAGCACAGUCAAAUUCUCAGUCCUCACAAGCUAUAUCUCGACUCACGUUUGAGUCAAUCAUCAGCGGAGCACCGCCAUCCUCACCUUGGCAUUAGGUGGCGAGAUUAUCGUCUACCCCUGGCCGUAAGUCAAUAACUUGUGAAGUCGUUUCAUUCCUUGGUAUUAAGUGCCAUUCUGUGCAUGCCUGACCAUCAGAAUUAUUGGUAGCGAGUUCAUUCAUCUCACCGCUCACUUUGGCAUUAGGUGGCUUUCCGCACACCCCCGACCAUAGGCUCAUAGGCAUGGAAUCAUUUCUUUGGCAUUAGGUGCAUGGCAAUUUGCACACCCCUGACCAUAGGUUGUUAGGAGUUUCGGAAUUUCUUCUUCCACGGUCACAAGGAUUCAUUGCCUUUACUCUAUAUUGUCAAUCUUCCUAUUUUUGAGUCAUUCAUGUCCAAGUGGUCACCCUACCACUAUAUUUUUCAACCUAUGUUCAAUGACACUUAAGUUCAAUGACAUUUCAAUCCAAAUGGUUUCGUACCACUAUGUUUUCAACCUGUGUUCCAUGACACUAGGGGAACGUUUGGUUCGAAGUUGGAAUCGGAAUCAGAAUCGGAAUCGAAAUAAGCUGGAAUCGGAAUCGGAAUGACUCAUUACCUAAUUCUGUUUGGUUCGUUACUUGAAUCGGAAUCGGAAUAAAUCAUUUUCAUUAUCGGUGCUUGGUUCAGGUAGGUAUAAAAAAUGUAAUCGAAUUAAUAUACUAACUUUAUCUUUAUAAUAUAUUAAUUUAAAUUCAAAUUAAAAAUUAAAUAUUAAAAAUUUAGAUCAAAAUUUUGAAAUAAUGUCAAAAUUUUAAAUCUAUCUUUUUUUUAAAAAAUUAAACUUUGAAGUUCAGUGGAUAAUUCAAAAUAUAAAACUAAAUUUCGAUAUAUUCAAAUUCAAACUUAAAAUUACAAUUUAAAUNAUAUUAAUUUAAAUUCAAAUUAAAAAUUAAAUAUUAAAAAUUUAGAUCAAAAUUUUGAAAUAAUGUCAAAAUUUUAAAUCUAUCUUUUUUUUAAAAAAUUAAACUUUGAAGUUCAGUGGAUAAUUCAAAAUAUAAAACUAAAUUUCGAUAUAUUCAAAUUCAAACUUAAAAUUACAAUUUAAAUUUUAAUUUGAAUCAAUAAAUUUAAUUUAAGUUUUAAAUAAAAUUUGAAUAAAACUUUAUAUAAAUUAAAAUUUAAUUUAAAUUCAAAUUUAUAAGUUAGAUUCAAAAUACUUGAUUAAAUUUGAAAUUUUAAUUCAAAUUCAAGUUAAAAUUUAAAAUUAUAAAUUUAAUUUCUAAAUUUAAACUCAUAUUUUAAUUAAAAAAUUUUGAAAAAAUAAAUUUAAUCCGAAUAAAUAUACAUUCCGUCCGGAUUCAACUUCUAAUCCGGCCUUCUAGGCCGGAUUGGAAAAAGAGGCGAUCGGGGGAUUCCUAUUCCACUCGGGAAUCGGAAUCGGAAUGGGACUCCCGCAUACCAAAUACCCACAAACGAAUUCACCCAUUCCGAUUCCGAUUCCAAGGUGAAAAAAGCGAACCAAACACGCCCUAGGUUUUCUAGUUUUACCAUGUUCUUUUCUUAUCCUAGUUGUCCACACCUAAAAUUCAUGAUUCAUAUGACAGCUAGUCCUUAAUUCCUCACUUCUCGAGUUCUCUAAUUUUUUUAGAGUUAAUCAACCUAUGUUUGAUAUUCACACCUAUGCAUACAUAUAUAUACUACAUGUUUCCAUAUGCCUUGCGUUAUUUGUCCAAUGGUAUAUAAUUUAUUCUACUAGCAUGUAACACCCCAAAAGUCCCACAUCGGGUAAGAAAAUAAUUCUGAUUAGAAUAUUUGAGGCUUACACGUUAGUAAUAAUAACUGGGCUUAAGCAAUUUGGGUUGGUGGUUUGGGCCCAACGAGUUAUUAUUGCUAACGGGUUGCGUCAUUACAAUUAGUAUCAAAGCCGAAUACCGGCUGGAAGUGUGAGAGUUAAGUGCUAUGCGGAGCAAAGUGCUACACCAAUAGAUUUGGUGGGAGCCACCUCUUGAACAUGUAGGAGCCACAUCUAGAAUCUCACAUUGCCCGAUAAUUCUAGUUUGCAUCUAUGAACUGAUUUGGACCCGAUGAGGACGUCAGGGUCUAAAUAGGGGGAGUUUUGUAACACCCCAAUAGUCCCACAUUGGGUGGGAAAAUGAUUAUGCUUAGUGUCACGCCCCGAGACCGCUACCAAUUUGGUCUGGCUCAGGCGCGUCGAACAGACGCCGGAUGGACGGCAUCUCCCCCGUCCGCCCAAGGCUAAACGACAUGAUUGAGUACAAGAAUUUGCCUAGGAAAAUAAAUUCAAUACAUACACGAUCAACAAGAAGUACCACAAGUGCCAACAACAAAGAGUAAGAAUCCACAAGCAUACACAAGUGAAAUAAAGAGAGAUAUAACUAGCUAUUACAUCCAUUCAUUCACAAUUUAAUUGUCACGACCCCUCACCGCCAAUUUGAACAGUUCGGGUCCGAAACAGACCCGCCGAACGGACAGAGUUUCCCAUGCCCGCCCGAAGCGUAACAAAGUCUAUGCAUACAUAUCUAAACAAGAGAUAUUAGCAUUCAACAUUUGUGAGAGGCAUAUCAAGAUACAAGAGAAAGUAAGCUACUUACUAAAACAUUUCCUGUAACGUACCACAUCCCUCGUAAAUCGUGCCGAGUUCCGUCAAAACGAGCGGAAUGCGGAAUUGAAUGAGUUAAAAUGGGCCCUAAAUGCAUUAGAGUUCAUAAACAGAGCAAAAAGGGACCCGGAGAGCAAAUUUGAAAAUUUGGCUAAGUCCCAGAUUUUGAGCUCUCGGGGACCGGUCCCUAAAAGAGAGACCGGUCCCCGUGCGCGUGGCCUGCCAGGAAAUCCUGAGGCAUCCGGUCCCUGGUGGUGAGACCGGUCCUCGGGAGAUCGGUCCCUGACGGGCAGACCGGUCCCUCGCUGCGCAACAGCUGAGAGACUCAAAAAUUUGGCUAAGUCCUGGAAAACCCCCGUUCGGGAACCGGUCCCUGGUCUGGGAGACCGGUCCCCGAAGGCGAAAAAUGCCCAGUCUGGGCAGUUCAAGAGGAAACAAGUGGAGGGGCUUAAGUGCAAUUGUUACAACACUAUAUAUGGCCCAACCCCUCUCUCCCACAGCCAUUCUCCUCCUCCUCUCUUAUUUCCUCACUUUCUCUCUCUAGAAUCCCUCUAGGGCUUGGAGAAGAAGAAGAAGAACUUGGGGAAGAAGGUGGAUUUGAUCCUUUGGAGGUUCUAGGAGCUCUCCAACAAGAAGAAUCUUGGUGGAGCUUGGACUAGAGGUAAGUUUUGUAAGUUUUUCCUCUAGGGUUUGGAUUUUGGCGUAGGGAUUUGGAGCUUUGUGCUCCUUAGAGGCUUUAAAGACUCUUUUGAGCCAUGUACACCAUGGUUCCCAUGAGAGCUUAAAGUGCUCUCAUGGUGAAUCCUUGGAAGUGGUGUUUGGAGCCCUAGGGUUGGUACCAAAGGUCUAGAAACCUUACUAGAGUGCUUCUUAGAUGAUUCUAAGCUAUCGUUUGCUUAGGAUUGGGAUCGAUUCAUGGGAAAACCCUAAAUGACAAUAUUAGGGCUUGGAUUUGGGGUUUUUGCCCUAGGAUUUUUCGGGGACAAAUUGACCCCGUAGAAACCUAAUUGGGGAUGUCCUAAACGCGUGGGACAACUUCGUUUAACAUUGCGAAAAUGAUAGAGUAUAGUUCAUGCACAAAAAGGCCUAAUAUGGCACUAUUUUGAUUAUAGGGCGCGGAAUCGGCUUUCGUAAAGUGUGGGAGCCUUCGUAAUCUACACCCACACAACCAAUAGAGGUGGUGUCACGACCCGCGACCACCCGCCUAUUUGGCCGAGGUCGCGGCGCCGACAGCGCCGAACGGACAGGGUUUCCCCUGUACUGCGGACAGAGUCUCCCCUGUACGUUCAAGGCAUCGCAAUCAAUACAAUACAAAGGUUCUAAACAGGAACAGUAUUCAACAAAUAGAUUGCAUAAGGAAGGUAUCAACAACAUAACACAUCUUAUGUUAUUACAUGCAUUCACAUUCAUACAUUUUUACAUCACAGUUCUCAUUUGAUCCCUCCAAAUACAAUCUAAGUUAUUACAUUGUUUACUUAUUAUAAUUUGAUACAUUGUGUUCUUUUCUUUCCCCAUACCCCUAAGCUAUGUCGACGGGGUACUGCUAGCUCUGGUCUCUGGGUAGGGCGCUAUCUAUGGAUCUACGCCCUUUCCUCGCGCCGCCGCGCCGCUCACGUGCGAACCUGUAAAACCCCAAAACAACGUGGGGUGAGAACCAACUCCAUGGUUCCCAGUGGGUACGGCCACCCAAGGGAAAAGCUCGACCAAAAGGUCCAAGGAGGCACUGCAAUCAUGUUAGUCCAAAAACAUCUAUAGAUAUAUAUAUCAUCAGUUUAUUAAGCAACUAAUAGAUAACAUGCCUCGCAAUAUGCAAUAUGUAUAUCAUGCAGCUCUAUGCAAAUAUGCAACCAUUCAGUAGAUCUAUUGAUUCUACAUUAACUCUGCUAUUCUCAGCUCAUGUUAAUUGACUCUAAGGUUUCUACUACCUUAGUUCGCCACAAUCCAAGCUCAACUUGCUUCUAAGGUUUCUAUUACCUUAGCUCUUACCUUUAUCACUAGCUUAUAAGGUUUCUAUUAACCUAAUCAAGCUAACCACCCGACUCGGCCUCGAGUCAAUCACCCGCGGAUAGUCCGCGCACUGGCCGCACUCUGUGACUUAACCAGCUGGCGGCGAAGUCGUCGCACACGCCGAACACUGGUUCAAGUCCCUUGACUUGGCCAUCUGGCGGCGAACGAAUCGCACCUCACCCAACAAUGGCUCAAGUCGAUCUGGCAGCAUAAUCCACAAACUGGCUUAACCAUCCGGCGGCGAAAUCGUCGCAUACGCCACGUCAAUGGUUCAAGCCCCGGGCGGUGAUCUCUGCGCGCUCACCCCCCAAUCCAUCCUUGGUAUCAACCUCGGUGGCGAAAUCUUCGCACACGCCCUAGCCUUGAUACCAAGGUUAGCAUAGCACAAGUCCUGGGAUUUCGGAAUCCACUUCCACAGGUCGAGGGUCCAUAGCCAACCCUAUGCUGUCGACCUAAAACAUCCUAGUGGUCGCUACCACUAUACUCAACAACCUAGGUUCAAUGCCACUCUAGGUUUACUAUUCCACAGCUUAGGUUAUGAAACUCUAGGUUUACUAGUUCAACCUAUGUUCACGGACACUAGGUUCCACAUCACUAUGUCCGAUCUAUGUUUAUUAACACUAGGUUGGAUGCCACUCGAUCUAUUUGAUUCUAGGUCUACUCAUGACCUAUGUUCUUUAACACUAAGUUAGANGGCUGAAUCAAAAUCGUACUCUACAAGUGUCUGCACUCGAGCGCUCCACACGUCUCUAUCGUGUUCCAACUAGGUCAAGCAUUAGGCAACUUGCCUAUGCCCACUGACUACAUGAGCACAACUCGUUCACCUCAAUUCGAGGUACUACUAGGCCAACAUGCCCGUAUCCGGCAACUACACGGCUACUCUCUCAACAGUGAUUCUACUUUCACUGUUCGAUCUACUGAAACAAUAUCCGAGAUGCUCAGGCCACUCGGGUAUUCGCAAUGUCACUGCGCAACUCUCGCAAUUCGAUGCUCAUUGCCUUGAGAGUCGCUUCACCAUUUCGCGUUCACCACGAGUCCAAUCCUCGUCCAAGAACCCUUACUAGUCAAUUGCUAGUACCACUUGGCUCUCUACCUGCUCCAGCAGGCGCCACACUCUCACCGCAUAAGCAUGCUCGGGUGUCUACCUCUACCUGUCCCCUCGGUCCCUACUAUACAAUGUAUAGCUAGUAGCAACUGACCAUAUGAUAAUGCAUGCUAUGCAUCAACUUGAGAUCACACAAAAGUAUAUGCUUGCUCAAUUAACUCAUACCUGCCACGACGUCGUCGGCAACGGCAGGCACCACAACUCGGGUCGCUAUUCAUGGCCACUUGGCGCUCGCCGCGAACCCUCCGGUUGCAUAGUCCUCAACGGCCACUCUCCUGACCAUGCCGCAGGUGGCAUACCUGCAGGCUGUCCCAGAGAGGAGUAGGUCGUCGCCAGUGUCAAGGCCCGACUACCACCUUGCGGACACUCGUCCCGUCUAUGGCCCGGCAGCCCACACUCGAAGCAUUUGCCCUCUCGCUGAUCACACUGCUGUGGAUAGUGAGGGCCUCCACAAAUAACACAUCUCGCAGAGGACCUAACGUGGUAAGUCCCCGGAGCUCGAGAUCGCGAGCGCGAACUCAUCGAAGUUCGUUGGGAACUUGACUGACUGUCAUGCCCGCUCACCGGCCGUCCUUUCCCCUUUUCCUUGUAAUAUGCCUCACGCUACUCCCGCAGAGAUUCCUCGCCUUGCUCUAUCCACAAGGCCCGAUCUAGGAUCUCGGCAAAAGUCUGUAACUUGUGUACAAGUACAGCCUUGUAAAGGCCUGGCCGCAGUCCACGCACAAAGCAGUCGGCCUUGUCCUUGUCAUCCCGCACCACGUUCGGAACACAAUGCACGAUACGAGAAAAUUCCCGUUCGUACUGCCUGACUGAGCGAUCACCUUGCCGCAGCUUUUGGAAGCUUUCCUUGAGCUUUUGCUUUUCACUGUCGGGGAAAUAGGCCGAGAACACCAAUCCCCGAAACUCUUCCCAAGCCAUAGGAGGGAGACUAGGCGNNNNNNNNNNNNNNNNNNNNNNNNNNNNNNNNNNNNNNNNNNNNNNNNNNNNNNNNNNNNNNNNNNNNNNNNNNNNNNNNNNNNNNNNNNNNNNNNNNNNNNNNNNNNNNNNNNNNNNNNNNNNNNNNNNNNNNNNNNNNNNNNNNNNNNNNNNNNNNNNNNNNNNNNNNNNNNNNNNNNNNNNNNNNNNNNNNNNNNNNNNNNNNNNNNNNNNNNNNNNNNNNNNNNNNNNNNNNNNNNNNNNNNNNNNNNNNNNNNNNNNNNNNNNNNNNNNNNNNNNNNNNNNNNNNNNNNNNNNNNNNNNNNNNNNNNNNNNNNNNNNNNNNNNNNNNNNNNNNNNNNNNNNNNNNNNNNNNNNNNNNNNNNNNNNNNNNNNNNNNNNNNNNNNNNNNNNNNNNNNNNNNNNNNNNNNNNNNNNNNNNNNNNNNNNNNNNNNNNNNNNNNNNNNNNNNNNNNNNNNNNNNNNNNNNNNNNNNNNNNNNNNNNNNNNNNNNNNNNNNNNNNNNNNNNNNNNNNNNNNNNNNNNNNNNNNNNNNNNNNNNNNNNNNNNNNNNNNNNNNNNNNNNNNNNNNNNNNNNNNNNNNNNNNNNNNNNNNNNNNNNNNNNNNNNNNNNNNNNNNNNNNNNNNNNNNNNNNNNNNNNNNNNNNNNNNNNNNNNNNNNNNNNNNNNNNNNNNNNNNNNNNNNNNNNNNNNNNNNNNNNNNNNNNNNNNNNNNNNNNNNNNNNNNNNNNNNNNNNNNNNNNNNNNNNNNNNNNNNNNNNNNNNNNNNNNNNNNNNNNNNNNNNNNNNNNNNNNNNNNNNNNNNNNNNNNNNNNNNNNNNNNNNNNNNNNNNNNNNNNNNNNNNNNNNNNNNNNNNNNNNNNNNNNNNNNNNNNNNNNNNNNNNNNNNNNNNNNNNNNNNNNNNNNNNNNNNNNNNNNNNNNNNNNNNNNNNNNNNNNNNNNNNNNNNNNNNNNNNNNNNNNNNNNNNNNNNNNNNNNNNNNNNNNNNNNNNNNNNNNNNNNNNNNNNNNNNNNNNNNNNNNNNNNNNNNNNNNNNNNNNNNNNNNNNNNNNNNNNNNNNNNNNNNNNNNNNNNNNNNNNNNNNNNNNNNNNNNNNNNNNNNNNNNNNNNNNNNNNNNNNNNNNNNNNNNNNNNNNNNNNNNNNNNNNNNNNNNNNNNNNNNNNNNNNNNNNNNNNNNNNNNNNNNNNNNNNNNNNNNNNNNNNNNNNNNNNNNNNNNNNNNNNNNNNNNNCCUAGGUUAUGAAACUCUAGGUUUACUAGUUCAACCUAUGUUCACGGACACUAGGUUCCACAUCACUAUGUCCGACCUAUGUUUAUUAACACUAGGUUGGAUGCCACUCGAUCUAUUUGAUUCUAGGUCUACUCAUGACCUAUGUUCUUUAACACUAAGUUAGAUGCCACUCGAUCUAUUCACAAGCUAGUUGUCCAGUUAAGCAUUCUACUCAUUCUAGAGUUAUCAACAUGCAUUUCACUCUUAUUCACAUACAUAUAUAAUCUUUUAUAUGUAUCUACUUAGCAUUUACAUCAUAUCAUUAUUAUCACGCAUUAUCUAGCUACUUGCAUCAUACUAUAACAUGCAUCAUCUAGCAUUAUGUAACUUGCAUCUUAUCAUUAUGCAUUUCUACUUGGCAUUUACAUUAUUAACAUGCAUCAACAUGGAUUCUUAGUCUUUCUUAGACAUAAAGGCGACCUAGUCGCUUCGGUAAGCACAACCCACCUUAACACGCGUUCCGAUUGCUCGUCGACACUUGCAAUCGGCCUCUCGCGGCACUCGGCACCCGUUUGGGCCCGAUCUCACAGUUGCUCUCCAAGAGCGCGUCGCUUCGCCGUUUCAAGUGCAGUAUCUCUUCGGUUAUACGCCACGGUGCUCCAAAUCCAAUCCCAUGAUUUUACGACGUCGCCUCGGCCCUCUCGGCGAACCCGAAGCCUAAACGUCCGUUUCUUUAAUAUCUUUGUAACAGCUCGUCAAAUUGCAGAACCGUCUUCGCCAACGCGUUCGUAGACCUAGCAAUUAGAUUUACAAAGGGUCAAAUGAGAUCAAACCCUCAUAUAUAUCAAAACGCCAUUUCGGAGCCCUAGAUUCCAAUUAGGUAAAAACCUACCUUUAAAUCUCUAGAUUCUAGCAUUAAACAUCUAUUAAGCUUGCUAGGAAUCCAAUUAAACCAUUUCUAGAGAUCAAAACCCUACAUCUAGGGAUUUACCAUGAGAGGGCUAAGAGCUUACCUCUCAAGAUGCUCCAAAGGCAAGGAGGGAGAGAAGAAGGUGGAGUUGAUCUCCUUCUUGAUCUUCUUCUCCUUCUUCUCCUUCCUCUUCUUCUUCUUUUUCUUCUUCUUCUCUUCUUUCUCCCCUUCUUCUUUUUCUUUCGUUUAGAGAGAGAGAGAGAGAGAAACGUGAGGGAGAGUGAGGGAAUGAGAGAAAGAGAGAGAGAGAGUCCUCUCUUAACCCCNNNNNNNNNNNNNNNNNNNNNNNNNGGACCGAGGCAAGGGUUUGGCGCCGUAGGUAGCGGCCACCGGGACUUUAUACAUUUUGUAGUCAUUCCCUUUUGUUAUACAUGUAUCAACUUUAUUUUGUUGAAUUAGAGAUGUAAAGUUAUAAACAAUCAUGUAUUUGGUGGAUGACUAAAUGUAAAAGAUAUGAUGAUUGAAUGGAAUGUAAUAGCUUUGUUUACUUGAAUUUGGUUUAAAUGAAAUCAAAUAUCAUGUGUGAUGUAUAUUUAGCUUAGAGCUUUCGCUUCCGUUGUUGCUUGCCCUCGUGCGAGCCUUGUAUUAUAUAUGCAAUUCUCUUGUUGAAUGCCUAAUUAUACAUGUUGUUAGAGCCUUGGGCGGACAGGGGAGGCUCUGUCCGUUCGGCGUCUGUUGACGUGACCCGAACCCGACCAAAUUGGCGGGGAUUGGGGCGUGACAUUUCCACAUAGUGUAUUUAACAACUUACAUUCUUUACUCAUUUAACAUGCAAACUAACAUCUAACAUAUACAUCACAUUCUCUUUCCAAAAGGGUUUUUACAUUCAUUCUUUCCUUUUUAUACUCGAUGGUAGUGAGCUAAUGCUGGUGGUCCACUCUAUCUAGGGCGCGAUGCCCUUGCUGCGAUCCUCGAUGCAUGCGCUCGUACUAGGUUUUGCAAAACAGGGUGUGAGAACUAAACAAAGUUCCCAGUGGGUUCGGCCGUCGACCCCGCCGAUUUUUCCACUAGGUUUAAGAAAGGCAUAGAAACAAUAAAGAGGUCAACAUGUCAAAGGAAUAAUAGAUAUAACAUUAAGCCUACCCUGCUCAUCUACAUCUAUAUCAUGUUCAAAUGUGUAGCUAUGCCUUUACUAAUCAUGUCAACAAGUAUAAGUUUAAGUUCUUCCAUAUAUGCAAACUAUAUAUGAAAUGCCAUGAUCAUGCCUUGUGCCAAAUCCAAUCGAUUCGCCCGAAGGUCGAACCACUCGCCACACACUGUCACGGGACCGUGACGUCUGAUGGGAGAGGCCCCCCGUUAUAUUCGCAAUAGUGAUAUAACUCCGUAGCUCACUGCUUGGGAGGCGCGACCAUCCACAAGCUAUAACAGACAACGUGAGUAUGAUCAAGUCUUCCCACCCGAGGACCGCGGGAAUACCACAUCCCUAUCCAUCUCAAGGCAUGCCAUGCUCAUGUCGGCCACAUAUGCAAUGGUUUCCAAUUCUGACAAUAUCAUUGGUUCACAUACUAGUUUCUCAUGAAUCUAGUCUAUUCUCACAUCAUAUCCACAUGCAUAUGUCCACUAGCAACUCAUACAACAUGUAUAAAUAUCUAUAUUGGCAUUGUCACGCCCCGAGACCGAUGCCAAUUUGGCCCGACCCGAGCACGUCAAACAGACGCCGAACGGACAGAGUUUCCCCUGUCCGCCCAAGGCUCAUCACAUGUACAAAAUUCAAACAAGAAUUGCACUAGCGGAAACAUACACAAACGGCUUACACGAGGGUAAGCAAUAGCCAUUAGUGAAAGAUAGGAAAACUAAACUUCUACACAAGUAAUAUGAUUCAUUUUAGAUCAUAUACAUUGCAUCCAUCUCUUAAAAUAGGAUUCUUUGCAUUUCAUUACAUAAUUUCAUCAUUUCUUUCUUACAUCACACUUACCUCAAAAUAAGCUUUACAUUCUUUUCUUUACAUCACUAUCAUCAAGUACAAAAGAUGAUAAAAGGGUGUCUACUAACAAAAUGUAAACCCAACUCUGGUGGCCUCUGACUACGGCGCGAUACCUUUACCUCGGUCGCUCGCCGGCUCGCUCGGUCCCGGCUCUGUGGAAAUAGUGGGGUGAGAACUACAACAAAGUUCCCAGUGGGUUCGGCCUCAACAUCACCGACUUUCCCACUAGGACUAACUCAGGCAUAAUAGAAAGGAUAAACAGGAUAUAGUAACCAAUCUAUAACAUGAUGCUAAUAUGCCCGAACAGAUAGCAAGAAAUAUGCUCAACAUUAAAUAAAUGUAGAUUAUGCAAACUCAUUCGUUCUUUGACUUUACUUUGUACUUUGUUCUUUAUUCUUUGCUCUUUGUUCUUUGUUCUUUAAUCAUUAAGGCUAACCCGGGGGCUUCGCCACAUUAACUUGCUUCACAUUAAGUCCAUCAUCGUAGGAACUCACCAGCUAGGACCGUCCUUUCGGGUCUACUGCAACCCGGAUGCAUAACUCCGGAGCGCAUCGCCCGAGGGGGAGCGACCGCCCUCGAGCACGGAACUCAUAGCAAGCAUGAUCAUAUCCUUAACUCAAAGGAUUUAUAAGUUCAAUCUUGACUUUACACUAGCUCUAGUGUUCAUUAUAUCGCUUUAUGUUGCAAACUCAUGCAAUCACAUUUUCUUUUGCCUUCUUUACUUUGCUAACUCUAGCAUUCAUAUUCCCUACAUCACUUUGGUUCUUUAGAUCACACUAAUUCAAGUGUCGCUUUACUUUGACAUUAUCCUUUUCAUCAUUCUUUACAUCACUUUGGUUCUUUGCCUCACACUAACUCUAGUGUCUCUUUACUUUACAUUUUCAAAUGCCACUCGAUCUAUGUCAUUGUGCCACUCUGUUCUUUUGCUCACUUUGGGUACUCACAUUUUCUCUCAUGCAUACAUCUAGGGUUUUGACAUCAUUAGGUUCUCAACCAUCUCAUUAUGCAAGUUGUGCUCACAAUCAUGCAAUCAUCACAUUUCAUCAUUACUUUACCCUAAAAUGCAUGCAACAAUAUAUAGAACAUAUGCUCAAAGAAUGACACAUUAGGCAUAGAGAGAAUUUCAAUGAGUUUGAAAAGCACCACCCACCUCGUAGGCUUUCAAAGGUGCUCCGAUGAUUUUCUUGGGAUUUUUAGAUGCUUCGUUCUUUACCUGCGGCAAAACGAACCCUUAUUAGGCCAUUUUGCCCAUAACUUUACUUUGACUUUUCGUAACGUUAAUCCGAGCGCACCAACGCGUCGGAAAUACCCCCAAUUAGGUUUUUAGAGGGUCAAUUGCACUUAGAAACCCUCAUGAGCAAAAGCCCCAAUUUGGUGCCCUAGCUCCAAUACACAUGUCAAACCUAGGGUUUGAUCUCAAAGAGAAGCAAAAAUAGCUUCAUUAUACUCUAAAAAGUUCAUUAGAACCAUCUUUAGACAAAUCAAAACCCUACUUAGGGUUUCACCAUGAGAGGUGAUGAAGCUCACCUCAAGCUUCACCAUUUCUAUGGUCUUGAUCUCAAAAGAAGCAAAAGAAAAGCUUCAAAUACUCAAAUGGUUCCAUAAAACCCAUUUCAAGCUUAAUCCAAACCCUAGAUUAGGUUCUACCAUGAUUAGGGUUCAAAGCUUACCUUGUAAGCCCUUCUUUUCCAAGCUAGAGAUGAGGGAGAGGGAGUUUCUUCACUUCCUCUUCUUCUUCUCCUUUUUCUUCUCCUUCUUUUCCUUCCUUUCCUUGUCUUCUUCUUCUCCUUUGUCUUCUAGAGAGAGAGGGAGAGAAGAGAGUGUGAGAGGGUGAGAAUGAGAGAAAUGUCUCAUUUACCCCAAUACUAUUCUCAAUGGGUUGCAAAAUUGCAGCUAAACCCCUCAACUUUCACUUUAAUACACUGCCCGAACUGGGCAGUUCGCGCAGGCAGGGACCGGUCUCUCCCUUUAGGGACCGGUUCCCGAACGUUGUCCCAGCGCAGCCAGAGCUGCUGCGCGCAGUGCAACCGGUCUCUCUCUGUGGGACCGGUCUCUCGGGGACCGGUCUCUCAGGCAGGGAUCGGUUCCCGAGAGCUACUUUCUCAGGACUUAGCCGAUUUUCCGGCUGUCUCAUUUCAUACGCAUUCGGGGACCGGUCUCUCCCACUAGGGACCGGUCCCCGAGAGCUGAAAAUCUGCAGUUUUGCAGAAUUUGAUUCUUUAGCUCUCGAAAACCUUCCACCACUCACUUUUGAUCACUUUAACACCUUCGGACUCUCCGAAGUGUUCCAUCCUCGCACUUUGGUCAAUUCGACUAAAGUUCGACCUUUUUAUUUUCCGAAUUUACGGUAUAUUACAGGCAUCAUAUAAAAGUUCUCAUGCAACAUAUAUGUCCACAUCUAUCUCAACAUCAUGCAAAUAGAUAUUCCUACAAGUAUCAUGCAAUCAUGGAUCAUUAUUCCUCACACUAAGCAUGAAAUUACCACAACUCAUAGGAUUCUCACUAUUCUAUACAUUAUGAUAUAUGAUCAAUAAUAGUAGAACUUAGACAUAGAAUGAAACUCGGCUAAUUCGGAUAGCACCCCCAACUCGUGGCGUCGACACGAAGCGGGUAGCCUAGCAGCGCGAUUUAUGGCCGUCGAUUUCUUCCGACUCAAACCCAAGCUCUCUUCAAGCCAAUGGUGAAGAAGAAGAAAGCUUCACCUCCAAGUAAGCUUCUUCCACCAAAUCUCCACUAUUGGAGCAAAACUCUAGGAGAGAGAGAGGUUUAGAGAGAGAAAAAGAAGGUUUCUCUUUUGGUUUAAGUAGUGGAGAAUGAGAGAAAAGGCUCAAGUCCCUUAUAUAUAUAGGAAACUUCACCUCCAAGUAAACCCUUCACUUACACAUAAGAAACUUCACCUCCAAGUAAACCCUUCACUUACACAUAGGAAACUUCACCUCCAAGUAAACCCUUCACUUACACAUAGGAAACUUCUUUAAGUCCAAUAAAAAUAGUAUCUUACACUAUUUUUAUUUACACUUACUUCUAUAUUAAAAAUUCGAUACACUACAUUAAGGCUCUCUUAUAUUUACAUCACAUUGCCUUUUUACAUUUUUCCCAAAAUGAAUACAUAAUCAUUUUUCAAAUACAUAGGUGGCUCUCCCAAAAUAUAAAGCAACUAGAUACAUAAGGGUACUCUAAUGCAAACUAUACUACUACUGUUCAGACGCGAUGCCCUUGCCGCGAUCCUCGCCCGGUGUGCUUGAACUAGGCCCUCGAACUAGGCCCUGCAAAAAAGCGGGGUAAGAACUAUUGUCCAUAGUUCCCAAUGGGUUCGGUUGCCGACUCCGCCGAUCUCCCCACUAGGUCCGAAUGGGCAUAAGUAGAUAGAUAGAUAGAUAAACAUCGAAGCUGCAAAUGACAUAAUAGGAAAGCUAUGCUACUAUGCCCAAUCAUAUGUCACAUAUAUGCAUGCAUCAUAUAGUAAAUGGUUUACUAACAUGCCACUAUGUCCACUAUCCAUGUCCAGCAAGCAAAUGUUCAAAUAACAAUGCCAUUUUCAUGUUCAAUCAAUCUUUGGUGAUCCACUUGGGUUCGCCCACGACUCACCUCAAACCUCAUAUGGUAAGGAGACGCACCUCGCUCUCAAACCCGAGGCUGCCUGCAGGGCAUCAACUCUGCCCCUCUCGCACCAAACUAUGGAGUGCACGAAGACCUGGGUGGUGCGACUACCACAAGUAUGAACAGACUAUGAGUAUGAUCAAUCCUCUCAACUCGAGGAUACCCUACUGGUUAGGGCUACAAGUCACUCGGGAAUCCACCUAUCCCAAAGUCGAAAUACGAAUGUUUGGCUACAUUAUGUUCUUGUCCAACGAGUCAUUUACUAGGGAAUCCACCUAUCCCUAAGUUCACAUGCCACUAGUGUCCUUUACACUAAGUUAUAUGCCACUCGUUACGUCUUUAACAAUUAUCGAGUUCAUCUCUUUUCUCGGCGCCAUAGAAUUCAAUGUCAAGACCCAAUCCUCAUCUAACCAUCAUCAUGUAUUCAACUCAUACAUUGAUAUCAUUAGCAAGCAUAAGGAAUGGAAUAACAUGCAAUCCUACAAUGCAACAUGCAAGAGAUGCAAAUCAUGAAGUACUAAGACAUAGAGAGGAACCCGGUUGCUUCGGGAUGACACCACCCACCUUUUUGGCGAUGUCGGACUCUAGGAAUGCAACUCGGCAAUCUUACGACGUCGUCUCGGCCUUCUAGGUGAAAGCGAAGCUAGGAAGAUCCCUUUUUGCCGAUAACUUCGCACCAACUCGACGAAUCGUCGAACCGUCUUCGCCGACGCGUUUAGACACCUAGCAAUUGGGUUUAUACACAAUCAAUUUAGAUCAAAACUCAUAUUUUCCCAAAAACCCCAUCGGAGCCCUAGGUUGCAACUAUUGCAAUAAAACCUCAACAAAGCUCUCGACUUAUGCAAGAACCAUCCUACUAGUCUCCUAGGGUUCACCCAAAAUCAUUUCUAGAGCAUUUAAACCCUACCCUAGAAAUCCACCAUUAUAGGGUUUAGAGCUUACCUCCAAAAGCUUCUCCAAACUAGAGGAAGAAGAUGGAGAAGAUGAUGCUUUCCUCUUUUUUCUUCUUCUCCUUCUACUCCUUCUCCUCCUUUCACCUUCAAGAGAGAGAGAGCAAAGAGCUCUAGAGAGAGAGAGAGAGGAGUGUUUAGGUUAGGUUUUGGGGAAGAAAUGAGAAGAGGGAGAGAGCAAGAGCUCUCAUAUAACCCCCACUCAUGUAACAUUGCAUUUUAACCCCUCAACUUCACCAACAUCACCGAGCCCAUUUUGGGCAUUCUUGUGGUACGGGGUCCGGACCCUAAAGCUAGGGUCCGGACCCCGAGAGUUGCAAAAGUGUGCAAUUUGCACACUUGAAGCUCUCAAGCCCAAGAGGGCUUUUUCGCAGCUACGGGGUCCGGACCUGCAGCUAUGGUCCGGACCCCGAGAGUGGUAAAACAUGCAAAUUGCAUAUUUUGCAAACUCCAACUCUCCAAGGUCCUCCCUCAAUGCACUUUUUGCAUUUUCACCGCAUUCGGACCUUCCGAAGCAUGGCCAAUCGACAAUAGGUCGAUUCCAAACGAAGUUCAAAUCUGGGAUUUCGAGAAUUCACUUCCUUACAUCCUCUCCGCCUUAAAAGAGUUUCGUCCUCGAAACGAACUCAACUCAAUUAAAUUUAACUUAAACUCUAACUCAUACCUCAACUCAAUCCUCAAACAAGUGAGGAUGAUGCGCUUUCAUUCAUCCUCGAGCUCCUAGGUGGCUUCGCGAUCAUCGUGAUUGCUCCACCGAACUUUGACGUAGGGAAUCUCGCGAUUUCGCAACUUGUGCACCUCUCGAGCUAAGGUCAUCACCGAAAACUCCUCGUAACUUAUAUCGUCUUGAAGUUCCGGCGGCUCGUACAACAAGGCAUGAUCGGGAUCGUGAAUAUACUUGCGAAGGUUGGAGACGUGGAAUACAUUAUGCACAUCCGCAAGCUUCGGCGGCAAUGCAAGCCGGUAAGCGACCGUUCCAAUCCGCUCCAAUACCUCAUAAAGUCCAAUAUAUCGGAGACUCAACUUCCCCCGCACCCCGAACCGCUUCACACCUCGCAUGGGCGACACCUUCAAGAAGACUUGGUCGCCCACUGCAAACUCUAAGUCUCGCCGGCGCCUAUCUGAAUAACUUUUCUGUCGAGACUACGCCGUGAGCAAUCUCUUGCAAGCAAGGUGGACGUUCUCUUUCGCCUCCCACAACACAUCGGGGCCAAAUUCCGCACGUUCGCCCACGUCGCUCCAAUGAAUGGAAGAUCGGCACUUCAGCCUAUAAAGAGCCUCGAACGGUGCCAUCCCUACGCUAGCAUGAUAACUGUUGUUGUAGGCGAACUCGGCCAUCGGUAGGUGCUUACACCAACUCCCCUUAUAAUCAAUGACACACGCCCGCAGCAUAUCCUCCAGAGUUCGAAUGGUCCUCUCCGUUUGCCCAUCUGUCUGAGGAUGAAAUGCAGUGCUGAAAUCGAUCGGUGUGGCUAAAGCUUCCUGCAGGCUCUUCCAAAAGUGUGAAGUAAACCGGGGGUCUCGAUCCGAUGCAAUUGACUUCAGUACCCUGUGUAACCUCUGUCACGCCCCGGAUUACUCGUUCGCUGGGCGCGCCGACAAAUCCGCAGUAUACAAAGGAAUUUUCCUUGUAUACGAAGCGAUAGCUGUAUCUGUAAAUCAUACAAAACUACAAACAGUAGUAUAGAGCUGUAGAGAUAAACAUGCUAUAUCUAUAAAUAAAACUGAGUUCUAUAUCCAUACAACAUAACCAAAACACAACACGACUCGCACUAGCGAGUUAAGCAACUGUAUGAACAUGAACUCCACCAAAAAGUAACUACCUGCUGCAGGUGAUCCUCUAACUCAGCAACUCGUCGGGUAGGUCUCUAACUCGCAACGCCCUUGCCUCAAUCCUGCUCAGCAACAGCAGCAGCCGAAGACGGUGGCUCUGCAAAAUAGGGGUAACAACAGGGCGUGAGAACUACUGUAAAACAAGUAGUCCUCAGUGGGUACCGCCCUCAACACAUUAGUCCACCCACUAAGUCUACAGGAAUAAACAGCAAUAGUAAAGGAAAGUUGGACUACUCUGCAGCUAUAAGCCACUAUACUAUCCUGUUCUAAACUAACCAUCUGUAGUAAAAGCCAACAUUGACCCAAUCUCAUGGGGACUGUAACCAUACCCGUCCCUGGGACUGUGAAUACACCCGUCUCGCUCAGUUGAGACUAUCCAGCUACCUCCACACUAAUCAGUCCGUGGAGAGUAAGUCUAACUGGCAUGCACGACACCAACGCAAAAGUACAGCGCCCGCUUCCGGAGUAGCACUCGUGGGAGCUACCCAACCGAGUAUGCAGCGUAUCUCUGUCGAGCUCAAACAGGCUCCAACUAGCCAAAGUCAUGUAAACAGGGUCAAAACAGGCCUACAAACCAAACCCACGUGCCCUCGGCACAAUCUAGGACAAAAAUAAGAAUCUGGGUCCACUGCCAACCCGGACAGCACCCAACGACCCGAAACAGCCUAGACUCUGCUGAAAAAUAAGCUCGGCACCUGAGCACGAGCGUAAAUGCCUUCUAAACUACCCCAGGUAUCCAUCGCACUCAUACUGCAACGAUACAGUCGAACCACGGCUCCUAGAGCUAAAUCUGAUAGUUUAAGCAUAUGACGGGUCAAAACGCAGGUUUUUCUCCUAAGUCAAUUUCAAGUCCACAUGUAUGAUGUAAAUAUUCAUUUCAGCAUGCUUCUAUAUUCAUUUUGUAGUCAAGAUGCUAAAUGAUGAAUUUACGCAUGAUAUACAAGAACCGAAAACUAUACACGUCGACUAAACAUGCACUUAGGAGCGAAACCGAUGAUACACCCACCUCGAGAGCAAUUUCCUGGCAGCAAGAAAGUCUCGGAUCACAAGUAACACAGCCGGAAACACCUCCGAACCAGCCACAAUCCCCUCAAAAUCUGGACAUUACAAUUCACCCAAAAUCUAUUAAAGUUCAUCAAUUUUAGCACUUAAGCUUAGGAUUUAUCCAACUCCAAUGUCAAAACUCACCUAACAAUCUCCAAAUCAGGUGAAGAUGGUCCCAAUUUCAGUACUGGUUGAUAGGGAAUGUGACUCAACUCCUUAGAGCCCCUGCUUCCUAAGUUCACCCCAAGAAAACUCAAAAACUUGCAAUUCUGUCCAUAGCAAUAGCAGCAGAGGAAACCUGAGUUCGACUGAGCUAACCUUCACCAAAUUCUGUAAGUCAGGGCUUCGUGGAUUGCUCUGAAAGUCUAGAAUCCAGUAAACCAAGUUUCGUCAAAAUCCGAUAUCCCUACGUCGCGCACGAGCCAAAACACUGAAGGUCGUCGUUGGAAAAACUACAGAAUCAGCACCAUGCAACUCUUGGAGAUGUGGAUCUUGAUGCAAAUUGGAAAAUUGGAGGAAUUAAGGAGCAAAAUCUAAGUUCUCUGUGAAGAACAGGUAAAAGAGCUCAAAGGGGGCGUAUACCAGGUAUUUAUAGGGUGCUGGAGGGAUAAAAUAAGCCCCAAGAGAAACAGCUGCAAUCCAGUGUCCCUGCAGAAACGGGCAUUUCUGGGCACCCGGAACCAUGUACUUGGCGACCGAAACAUCUAGGCUGCACAAAUCAUGCUCCUCGGACUCUCCGCUCGCGGUGUGCUACCCCCGUAAACGGCCCCGGCGGAACUCACCUACCACCCUGCCACGCGUCGAAGCAAACGAUAUUCACGAUGUGGAAUUUCCGGACCCACUUCUGGGCGCCCGGAACAUAGGAUCCGAAUUGGCUCCAGUUUCAGUUAAAUUUUAACACUCAGUUCUGGGCAACCUUAACCAAGUUCUAGGCGCCCGAAUCUGGCAAAACUCCAGUUUUGCUUAUUUGAGUGCGCCGAGUCCAAUUGUGCAUCCAAUUCGUGCAGAAUUGACUCCGACUCAGUCCGACACUCUCCAGAGAUGUCGACCAGUCACUAAUAUUGAAGCCAAUCUUAUCCAAAGCUCAGGAACACUACAUCCUCCCCCACUACAAAAAGUUUCGUCCGCGAAACUGAAAACAUACCUCAAUCCAGAUCCUCAAAUAGGUAGGGGUAGGACUUCUUUAUCACCGUCUCCGGCUCCCAAGUCGCCUCCCGCUCCUCGUGAUUACUCCACUGCACCUUUACAAAGGGUAUGACCCGGUUGCGCAAUUCCCUCGACUCACGAGCCAGAAUCCGCACCGGUCGCUCCUCGUAACUCAGGUCCUCGCCAAGCUCAAGAGGAGUGAAGUCAAUCACGUGAGAGGGGUCGAACACAUAUUUCCUCAAAGCCGAGACGUGGAAGACAUCGUGAAUACCGGCUAGUCGUGGUGGUAGAGCAAUCCUAUANUAAGCAACUGGCCCGACUCGCUCCAAUACCUCGAAAGGGCCUACAAAACGUGGACUGAGCUUUCCACGUACUCCAAAUCGGCGAAUCCCUCUGGACGGCGAGACUUUAAGAAAAAUAUGAUCUCCCACCUGGAACUCCAAGUCUCGUCUCCGGGUAUCAACAUAGCUCCUCUGUCGACUCUGGGUUGCUAACAUGUGCCGUCGUGCCUCCUUUACCUUUUCCUCAGUCUCAAUCAAAAUCUCAGGCCCAAGCGUCCUCCUCUCACCUACAUCACUCCAAAACAAAGGGGAUCGACAUCUGCGUCCAUACAACGCCUCAAACGGAGUCAUCUGGAUGCUCGCUUGAUAGCUGUUGUUGUACGCAAACUCAACCAGUCUCAAAUGCCGAUACCACCCUCCUCCAAAGUCCAGGACACAUGCCCUCAGCAUGUCCUCUAGAGUCUGAAUGGUCCGCUCUGACUGACCAUCUGUCUGUGGGUGAAACGCAGUGCUGAACUGCAACUGAGUGCCCAAGGCCGUCUGAAGACUCCUCCAAUAGUGCGAGACGAACCUCGGGUCUCGGUCGGAUACUAUCGAAGUGGGCACGCCAUGCAACCUCACUAUCUCAUCCAAGUACAACUGAGCGAGUCUCUCUCUGGACCAUGUGGUUUGCACUGGUAGGAAGUGAGCAGACUUGGUCAGUCUGUCCACUAUCACCCAAAUCGCAUCAAAACCACUCUGUGCUCUCGGCAAUCCGACGACAAAGUCCAUCGUGAUCUGCUCCCAUUUCUACUUGGGCAUUGGCAGACUCUGAAGCUUGCCAGCAGGUACCUGAUACUCGGCCUUUACCUGUUGACAAGUCAGACACUGAGCCACAAAUCUGCCAAUGUCCCUCUUCAUCUAUUCCACCAAAACUGAACCUUUAAAUCCUUAUACAUCUUGGUUCCACCGGGGUGAACCGUAUAAGGUGAACAGUGAGCCUCUCUCAAAAUGUCCUCUCGGAUCUCUGAAUCCACAGGUACACACAGUCGGUCCCUGUACCGCAGUACUUCUGAACUGUCCACAACAAAGCCCUCAGCCUGUCCCCUCUCAAGCUGGUCUCGAAUCCUUGACAAGUGCGGGUCUCCAUUCUGUUUCUCUCGGAUCCUAUCCAACAGAGUGGGCUGCAAGAUUAGAGACAUCAAUCUCGCAGUAAAUCCAGGGGACAUUAUCUCGAGCCUCAGCCGCUGUAGCUCCUCGAGUAACGGUCUCUGCCGAGUGAUCAACAUGCUCAAGCUUUGCACUGCCUUCCUGCUCAACGCAUCUGCCACCACAUUUGCCUUGCCGGGAUGAUACAGAAUACUAAUAUCAUAGUCCUUCAGCAACUCCAACCACCGGCGCUGCCUCAGAUUCAACUCCUUUUGGGUAGACAGAUACUUGAGACUUUUAUGAUCAGUAAAAAUCCAGCAGUGCUCACCGUACAAAUAAUGCCGCCACAACUUUAACGCAAAGACUACCGCGGCAAGCUCCAAGUCAUGCGUAGGGUAAUUCUUCUCAUAAUCCUUUAACUACCGUGAAGCAUAAGCAAUUACCCUACCAUGCUGCAUCAGCACACAACCCAGUCCACUGUGCGACGCAUCACUGUAGAUCACAAAUCCUUCCCCCAUCACAGGAAGGGCAAGGAUAGGAGCUGACGUCAACCUCUGUCUCAACUCAUCAAAGCUCCUCUGGCAAUCCUCACUCCAGAUGAAUCUAAUCCGCUUUCGCGUCAAACGAGUGAGGGGUGUGGAAAGCUUCGCAAAGCCUUCCACAAACCGACGGUAAUAACCAGCAAGCCCAAGGAAACUCCUCACCUCUGUCACCGUCGUCGGUCUGGACCAAUCCCGAAUCGCAUUAAUCUUCUUCGGGUCAACUGCUAUUCCCUCUGCUGAUAUCACGUGGCCCAAGAAAGCAACCUCACGUAACCAGAACUCGCACUUCUUUAGCUUGGCAUACAACUUCUUCUCUCUCAGAAGCUGUAGCACAGUCCUCAAGUCCUCCUCAUGCUCGGCAUCAGGAGUAUAUCAGAAUAUCAUCAAUGAAGACUACCACAAACCUGUCCAAGAACGGCUUGAACACUUUGUUCAUCAAAUCCAUGAAUGCGGCAGGGGCAUUUGUUAAUCCAAACAGCAUCACCGUAAACUCAUAAUGCCCAUACCGAGUCCGAAAAGCCGUCUUGGGAACAUCCUCGGCCCUCACCCUCAACUGGUGGUAACCUGACUGGAGAUCAAUCUUCGAGAAGACAUAAGAUCCUUACAGCUGAUCAAACAGAUCAUCAAUGCGCGACAAAGGAUACUUAUUCUUGAUGGUCACCUUAUUUAGCUCCCGGUAAUCCACACACAAUCUGAGCGAACCAUCUUUCUUCUUUACAAACAACAUCGGCGCUCCCCAAGGCGACACACUGGGUCUCACAAACCUCUUAUCCAUCAAAUCCUUAAGCUGCGCCUUUAGCUCUCUCAGCUCCGCCGGUGCCAUCCUGUAAGGUGCCUUUGAGAUUGGUGCAGUUUCAGGAACUACAUCAAUCACAAACUCUAUCUCCCUCUCCGGCGGCAUCGUCGUCAACUCCGGAGGAAACACGUCCGGAAACUCGCGGAUUAUAGGGAUAUCCUCGAGUCCCGGCGCCGCCGUAGGCAUCUCUGUCACAGUCGCCAGAAAAGCAACGCAUCCUCUACUCAUCAGCUGUUGAAUCCUCGUCGAAGAUAUCCAAGUGGCGAAUAAAGUACUUCUGCAUUCUCUGAAAGUGAACUCCUCCUGGCCUGGCUCGUGGAACGUCACAAUCCUCGCUCCACAGUCAAUAGUAGCAUAGUACCGCGCCAGCCAAUCCAUACCGAGCACUACGUCAAAGUCCUGCAGCUGCCCUAACACCAACAGGUCUGCGGGCAUGAUCCAAGAAUCCAACUGCACCGGACAUGACCAACAACACUCUGUAACCUGUAAGGCAUGGUCGGGGAUCUGCACCUCUCGUGGUUGUGACAAUGACCCUAACUCUAGACCAUGCAACAAUGCAAAUACUCGGCUAACAAAAGAAUGCGUGGCACCGGUAUCAAAAAGAGUGCGAGUAUGAAUGCCUGAAAUCAAAAUGAUACCUGCCACCACUCGGUCGGCUGCUGAAGAAUCCUCUACCUGAGCUGCGUAAACUCUGCCACUCAGAGCCUGCUGUCGUCGCUCGCCCUGAUACGGCAUAGACGAUCUAUCCUCCUGGCGGAAACUCGGUGCUGAUCCAAAGGACGACUGAGAUGCCGGCUGUGCUGAUGCAGUGGAUGGCGCUGGUAAUGCUGCACGGAGGCAAGCUGACCUCAUAUGCCCGGGCUGACCACAAGAGUAGCAACGGCCCUCUUUUUGCUCGCACUGCCGGGGCCAAUGUGGUCCCCCGCAGAUCACACACUGCGGUGUCCUCUGAGUCUGCCCCUGUUGAUGGGAUCCCUUGGAACGCUGACGCCCCGAAGACCCACGACCUUGAGAGCCUGAUCGUGGAGGCCUCGGCGGACGCCUGCUGCUCGACUGUCCAGCAUUAUCUGAAAAGGGGCGCUUCCUAUCCUGACUCUGCCCCACGGCCUGAGUCCUCUCCUGCAUUGACACCUCACCUCUCUCCACCCACAAGGCCUGCUUUAUGGACGCAUCCAGAGUCCUCGACCUCUGCGUCGGCGCCAACCUGAAGAUGUCGGGUCUCAGCCCCUGCUCAAACAGAUAGACCCUGUGUGCCUCGUCCCUGGCCACAAAUGGCAUACAGUUCAGGAGUCGAGUAAACUCCCGAAUGUACUCCUGCACUGGACGAUCCCCCAACUGGAUCUUCUUCAAAUCCUUCUCGAGCUUCUGUUUCACACUGUUGGGAAAGAACAUCCCAAACAGCAUUCCACAGAACUCAUCCCAUCUCAGCUGCAACGCUACCAGCCCCUGCUCUCUCCUCACUCUCCUCCACCAGGCAUGGGCAUCACCUGCCAAGCAAUGGACUCCCAAAGACACCUGCUCCCCCUGAGGAAUGAACAGAUCCUCAAAUAACUUCUCCAUCGCACUGACCAACCCCUCAACAACCCAGGCCUCAGUGCAACUGCCAUCGAAAAUUGGUGGAUCAAAACGGUGAAAAUGAGCUAACCUCUCCGUCCACCGCUCCUGCUUGGCCUCUGUCAACUGUACUGGCCCCCUAGCAGGCGCAACUCGCGCUACUGGAACGGCUACUGGCGGAGGUACUGCUGCAACUGGUGCUGCCACUGAAGUAGUUGGAGGUGGAAUAGACGACUCUGGUGCCCUCGGUGCUGAACUCUGGGGCGAAGCUAACCUCUCGCACAUCCUCUCCAACAACUCCCCCUGCCGCCUCGUCACCUCUGUCAGGGCGGCUAACUGUGCACUCAAAUCCGGGGAUGUACUCGCCUCCGGUCGGGCCCUCUGCUCUACAACUAGGGGUACACUCGCCUCUGGUGGUGCACUCGGCUCUGCCUGCUCAGGCAUCUCGGAAGGUCCCGCACGAUCCUGCGACAACUGGGCACGCUCCCGUAACGACGGUCGACCUCGACGACGAUACAUAGCUACAAUGAACAAAAUAGGGGUCAGAUACAACAAAACACUCUCGACCCAAUCAAACGAAAGUCUAGAAGGCGGCCCCUGUUUCUUCUCAAAAUUAUGUCGUCUGGAGCCAACAUAAUUUUUCAGGACAAAACAGAAACUCCUCCAGUUACUCACUCCACUCUAGGAGGAGUUAGAUCAACAAAUCGUUGACUUUCGCGAUAAAUCACGCCUCUCGCAUCUUGCCUUCCUAAGGUUUGCCCAAACUUAGGGUUUCUAGGUCCCAACGACCUACAUCUAAGCUCCGAUACCAACUUAAUCUGUCACGCUCCGGAUUACUCGUUCCCCGGGCGCGCCGACAAAUCCGCCGUAUACAAAGGAAUUUUCCCUGUAUACGAAGCGAUAGCUGUACCUGUAAAUCAUACAAAACUAUAAACAGUAGUAUAAAGCUGUAGAGAUAAACAUGCUAUAUCUAUAAAUAAAACCGAGUUCUAUAUCCAUACAACAUAACCAAAACACAACACGACUCACACUGGCGAGUUAAGCAACUGUAUGAACAUGAACUCCACCAAAAAGUAUCUACCUGCUGCAGGUGAUCCUCUAACUCAGCAACUCGUCGGGUAGGGCUCUAACUCGCAACGCCCUUGCCUUGAUCCUGCUGAGCAACAGCAGCAGUCGAAGACGGUGGCUCUGCAAAACAGGGGUAACAAUAGGGCGUGAGAACUACUGUAAAACAAGUAGUCCUCAGUGGGUACCGCCCUCAACACAUCGGUCCACCCACUAAGUCUACAGGAAUAAACAGCAAUAGUAAAGGAAACUUGCAGUCGAUCGUUGCGUGAUAUUUUGAGAGCCAGUCCAUGCCCAGAAUGAUAUCAUAAGCCUCGAGCUUCCUGAGUUCCAAUGUCCGGAUAGGCAUAAUUCAGUCGCCUAUUUGUACUGGGCACGAGGUGCACUCCGAAUAGGUGUUAAAUGUCGACCCUGGGCCCUCCACUCGCCACUUGUCACUCGCCUCUAUGAGAAUGUCAUGCAUGCGUGCGAAUGGCCUACUUAUGAAUGAAUGCGUGGCUCCUGUAUCAAAUAAAGCCCUGGAGCGAACUCCGUUAAUUAAAACCAUACCUGCCACAAGGCGAUGCUCCUCCGCCUCCGCAGGUUCCUCAGCUUGGACCUGAGCGGCGAAUACCCGUCUGUUCGGGGCCGAUCGCGCCACUUCAGGUUGACGCGGCAUCAUCAUGCGUCCCGUCGACGCGGCCGUCGGUGGAGCUCCUCCAUAGUGAGCCGGAAUCGCCGGCGCUGAUGCAAUCGAUGGGGCAUGUAAGGCUCCUCCUCUCGGGCUGUCACGCCCCAAUCCCCGCCAAUUUGGUCGGGUUCGGGUCACGUCAACAGACGCCGAACGGACAGAGCCUCCCCUGUCCGCCCAAGGCUCUAACAAUAUGUAUAAAUAGGCAAUCAACAAGAGAAUUGCAUAUAUAAUAGAAGGCUUGCACGAGGGCAAGCAGCAACGGAAGCGAAAGCUCUAAGCUAAACAUACAUCACGCAUGAUAUUUGAUUUCAUUUAAACCAAAUUCAAGUAAACAAAGCUAUUACAUUCCAUUCAACCAUCAUAUCUUUUACAUUUAGUCAUCCACCAAAUACAUGAUUGUUUUUACAACUUUACAUCUCUAAAUCAACAAAAUAAAGUUGAUACAUGUAUAACAAAAAGGGAAUGACUACAAAAAGUGUAAAGUCCCGGUGGCCGCUACCUAUGGUGCCAAACCCUUGCCUCGGUCCUCCGCCGCCCCGCUCGUGCUAGGACCUGUAGGGUUAGUGGUGUGAGAACUACAACGAAGUUCCCAGUGGGCUCGGCAUCCGACCUCGCCGACUUACCCACUAGGUCUAUCCAGGCAUAAGUAUUUCAAAGGAAGAAAGGUAACCAUUACUAAUGCAACUAAUACUAUGCCUGCAAGAAAGAGACAAUAGAUAUACAAUUUCAAUGCGAAAAUGGAAAUGCAUGCAUGCUCCAAUCAUAAUCAAACUUUGGCUCUUACCCAAUCUUACCGGUUAACUCUGUUAACCCCAAUAACUCACAACCCAAAAUCCCUUAAUAACGGGGGACUCGAACCUCCCUAGGGACCGUCAACUGGUGGGACUUUACCACGCCCAGUGGUGACCAACUCCGGAGCGCACCGCUCGAGGGGGAGCGACCUCCCUCAAGCCAAGACGAAAGGUGAGUGUCGAUCUAAUCCUCAACUUGAGGAUCCAUAGCCACUAGUCACAAUGCCAAUAUCACGAUAGGUCUCUACCUAUUUAUUUUUGCCACUUUCGAGACCUUAUCUUCGACCAUGUCCCUAUGGGUUAAACUAUUUCCAAUGGUCAUCUCUCAAUGCAAUUCUUGUUUCUAUGUCAAUGACACCCUUGUUUUCUAAUGUCCAAGUCCAUACUUAUGUUCACACAUCUCGAGGGCCCAAUCACACAUGUCCGUUUUGGUUCUAUCAUUCUUCUACGUUCAACUACUUUAGAAGCAUAAAAAUGAAAUCAAACCAAGUUCCACAUGUAGCUACCCUACUAUGCAUGAAUGGGUAUAUAUAUAUAUAUAUGCUCAAAAAUAGAGAAAUAGACAUAGAGGGGAAUCCAACGAUUCCGGCGUGCACCCCCCACCUCUGUGAGUCGUGUGGGUGUAGAAUAUUAAGGCCCCCGCACUUUACGAAAGCCGAUUCCGCGCCCUAUAAUCAAAUAGUGCCAUAUUAGGCCUUUUUGUACAUGAACUAUACUCUAACAUUUUCGAAAUAUUAAACGAAGUUGUCCGACGUGUUUUGGGCACCCCCAAUUGGGUUUCUACAGGGUCAAUUUGUCCCCGAAAAAUCCUAGGGCAAAAACCCCAAAUUCAAGCCCUAAUGUUGCCAUUUAGGGUUUCCCCAUGAAUCGAUCCCAACCCUAAGCAAAGAAUAGCUUAGGAUCAUCUAAGAAGCAUCCUAGUAAGGUUUCUAGACCUUUGGUACCAACCCUAGGGCUCCAAACAUCAUCUCCAAGGAUUCACCAUGAGAGCACCUUGAGCUCUCAUGGGUUCCAUGGUGUUCAUGGCUCAAAAGAGCUUCUAAAACCUCUAAGGAGCACAAAGCUCCAAAUCUCUUAACCAAAAUCCAAACCCUAGAGGAAAACCUUACAAAACUUACCUCUAGUCCAAGCUCCACCAAGAUUCUCCUUGUUGGAGAGCUCCUAGAACCUCCAAAGCCUCCAAAUCCUCCUCCUCUUCUCUUCUUCUUCUUCUUCUCCAAGUCCUAGAGCAUGGGUUCUAGAGAGAGAAAGAGAGGAAAAUGGGUGAGAGGGUGGAAAUGGCUGUGGAAGAGAGGGGGUGAGUCAUAUAUAGUGUUGUAACAAUUGCACUUAAGCCCCUCCACUUGUUUCCACUUGAUCUGCCCAGACUGGGCAUUUUUCGCCUUCGGGGACCGGUCUCCCCGACCAGGGACCGGUUCCCGAACGGGGGUUUUCCAGGACUUAGCCAAAUUUUCGAGUUUUUCGGCUGUUGCGCAGCGAGGGACCGGUCUGCCCGUCAGGGACCGGUCUCCCGAGGACCGGUCUCACCACCAGGGACCGGAUGCCUCAGGAUUUCCUGGCAGGCUACGCGCACGGGGACCGGUCUCUCCUUCAGGGACCGGUCCCCGAGAGCUCAAAAUCUGGGACUUAGCCAGAUUUUCAGAUUUGCUCUCCGGGUCCCUUUUUGCUCCGUUUAUGAACUCUAAUGCACUUAGGGUCCAUUCUAACUCGUUCAAUUCCGCGUUCCGCUCGUUUUGACGGAACUCGGCACGAUUUACGAGGGAUGUGGUAUGUUACAUUCUCCACCCCUAAAAUUUAGUUUCGUCCGCGAAACUACUAAGAUUGGAAUUUAAAUUUCUUACCUCACUUCGGAUCCUCGAAGAGGUGAGGAUAACGCUCCCUCAUUUCGCUUUCGAGCUCCCACGUUUCUUCCCGGUCAUCGUGUUCGCACCAAUGAACUUUAACAUACGGGAUUUCGCGGUUCCGAAGCUUUCGCACCUCCCGAUCGACAAUAUACGCCGGGAAUUCCUCAUAUGUCAUAUCCUCUUGAAGCUCCAUCGGUAUAUACGAGAGAAUAUGAUCUGGAUCGUACACAUACUUGCGGAGUUGGGAUACAUGGAAUACAUCAUGUACUCCCGCGAGUCUCGGUGGUAAUGCCAACUUGUAGGCCACCGCACCAAUUCGUUCCAAAAUCUCGAAGGGUCCGAUAUAGCGGGGACUUAAUUUCCCGCGAACACCGAACCGUUUAACUCCUCGCAUCGGCGAUACCUUUAGAAAUACGCGGUCUCCUACCGCGAACUCAAUGUCCUUUCGCCGCUUGUCGGCAUAACUUUUAUGCCUUGAUUGCGCCGUUACUAACCUUCGUCGGGCAAGGCGGACCUUCUCUUCCGCUUCCCGCACCACAUCCGGGCCAAGAACCAUUUUCUCGCCCACAUCGCUCCAGUGUAUCGGCGAGCGACAUUUCCUUCCGUAAAGGGCCUCGAAUGGCGCCAUCGCAAUACUUUCUUGAUAGCUAUUAUUAUAUGCGAAUUCCGCCAUCGGUAAAUGAUCAUGCCAGCCGCCCUUGUAAUCAAGCACACACGCUCGAAGCAUGUCCUCAAGUAUUUGGAUUGUCCUUUCCGAUUAACCGUCACUUUGAGGAUGAAAUGCCGUACUAAAAUCGAGCCGCGUGCCUAACGCAUCUUGUAAGCUCUUCCAAAAAUGAGAUGUGAACCUAGGGUCCCGAUCCGAUACGAUUGAUACUGGAACCCCAUGAAGUCUCACCACCUCGUCGAUAUAGACUUGGGCUAACCUGUCUCCCGACCAAGUAGUGUGGAUUGGCAAAAAGUGCGCCGAUUUUGUCAACCGGUCCACAACUACCCAUAUCGCAUCGUGUCCGCCUUGUGACCUAGGCAGACUUGUCACAAAGUCCAUUGCAACAUUUUCCCAUUUCCACACGGGUAUUGGUAGACUCUGCAACUUGCCUGCUGGAAAUCGACGCUGCGCUUUCACUUGUUGGCACGUGAGGCAUUGCGCCACGAACUCCCCUAUAUCUCUCUUCAUGCCCGGCCACCAAUAAUGCAAUUUCAAGUCUUGAUACAUCUUAGUGCCACCCGGGUGUAUGCUAUAGGGAGAUUGGUGCGCUUCUUGCAUAAUCGCUCUCCGAAGGUCGUUGUCCUUGGGCACGCACCAACGACCCCGAUAUCGUAGUGCACCAUCGGUUCCAAUGCCAUAAUCAUCGGCACUACCGCUUUCAACUUUACCCUGCACCUUUUGGAGAAACUCAUCCGACGCUUGUAAAUUUUUAAUUUUCUCCAACAAGGUUGGUUGCAUAGUUAAGGUGGCAAGUGUUGCCGGCACUCCCGGCGCCACGAUUUCUAGUCCCAACCGUUGCAUCUCCUUUUGCAACGCUGGUUGAGGCGUAAUCUCUGCCGCCAAAUUUUUCGCCGACUUUCUGCUUAGAGCAUCGGCCACGAUGUUCGCUCUCCCGGGGUGGUAGAGUAUCGUGACGUCAUAAUCUUUAAGCAACUCUAACCACCGCCGCUGUCGCAAAUUCAGCUCCUUCUGGGUGAACAAAUAUUUGAGGCUCUUAUGAUCAGUAUAAAUCUCACAACGUUCCCCAUACAAGUAAUGCCUCCACAGUUUUAGCGCGAAUAUGACCGCCGCUAGCUGAAGGUCGUGAGUCGGGUAGUUCUUUUCAUAACUCUUCAGUUGGCGUGAAGCAUAAGCUAUGACUCGGCCGUUUUGCAUCAAAACACAACCGAGACCGACGUAUGAGGCAUCACUGUACACGACAUAGUUUUCUCCCGGCGUCGGCAAAGCAAGCACCAGAGUAGAUGUCAAUCUUGUCUUUAGCUCUUCAAAGCUCUGGUCACACUCGGGGCUCCAAACAAACUUCACCCCUUUGUGCGUAAGGCGCGUUAGUGGAGUCGUUAUCCUGGCAAACCCCUCCACGAACCGCCGAUAAUAGCCCGCAAGUCCAAGGAAGCUACGAAUUUCCGCCACACUCGUCGGGCGAGGCCAAUCUUUAAUCGCCUCAACUUUCUUUGGGUCCACCGAGAUGCCACCUCCGGACACAACGUGGCCCAAGAAGGUGACCUCCGAAAGCCAAAACUCGCAUUUCUUUAAUUUUGCGUAAAGCUUUUCCUUCCGGAGUAUCUCCAACACGAGUCUUAAAUGCUCUUCGUGUUCCUCUUCGGUUCGAGAAUAUACCAAUACGUCGUCAAUGAAUACCACGACGCACCGGUCCAAUAGCGGACGGAAGACUCUAUUUAUCAAGUCCAUGAAUGCUGCUCGGGCAUUAGUAAGCCCAAACGGCAUUACCGUGAACUCAUAAUGGCCAUACCGAGUACGGUACGCCGUUUUAUGCACGUCUUUGGGCCGUAUCUUCAACUAUUGAUACCCCGACUGUAGAUCAAUCUUCGAGUAUACCCUUGACCCUUGCAACUGAUCGAACAGGUCAUCAAUCCUUGGCAACGGGUAUUUGUUCUUGAUCGUCACUUUGUUCAACUCGCGAUAAUCAACGCAGAGUCGAAGUGUGCCGUCCUUUUUCUUUACAAAUAGCACCGGAGCUCCCCACGGGGACACGCUCGGCCGUACAAAGCCCUUAUCGAGCAAGUCCUGUAACUGAGCUUUCAAUUCCUUCAACUCUACCGGUGCCAUUCUGUACGGAGCCUUCGAAAUGGGCGCUGCCCCGGGAAUCAAGUCAAUCACAAACUCGACUUCCCGAUCCGGGGGCAAUCCCGGUAACUCCGCGGGGAAUACAUCCGGAUACUCCCACACAACUCGAAUACUCUCCAAUUCCGAGUACUCUUUUUGAGAGUCUACGAUGGUCGCCAAGUAGGCCUUACAACCGCCUUUGAUCAUCCUUUUUGCCCUCACCGUCGAUAUAGUGGCUGCAAAACGUUUACCCUUGCACGCUCGGUAGACAAAUUCCUCUUGGUUGGGUUCACGGAACGUGAUCACCCUUCUUUCACAAUCUAUAACCGCGUAAUACUUGGAGAGCCAAUUGAUCCCCAAGAUUACCUCGAAUCCCCACAUUUCUUUCAACACUAGAAGGUCGAUCGGCAUAAUCCAAUCGCCUACUUGCACUGGGCAGUCCAAGCACUCAUCAUAAACGUCGAUCGAGUGUCCGGGAGUGUUCACCGACCAAUACUCCUCAUUAUGAGUGAUCUCUAUAUCAUGGGCUUGUGCAAAUGAUGCUAAUAUGAUGAAUGAGAUGCACCCGUAUCAAAUAUGGCUCUAGCCCUAGUGCCUUUAAUCAAAAUAAUACCUGCCACGACGUCGUCGGGGACGAUGAUUGGUGGCUCCUCCACCUGAGUGGCAAAUACCCGCCCACUAGGUGCUCGAGAAGCCUCCGGCUGACGUGACGCCGACGAUCGUCGAACAGAUGUUGCGGGUGGCAGUCCCGCCAGCUGUCGCUGUGUGUACUGUACUGAAGCUGAUGACGGGGUUGGGGACGCGCCGCCCGGGCACUCUCGACUCAAGUGCCCCGGUUGGCCACAUCGAUAACACCGCCCCUCCCGCUGUGGGCAACUGGUGGCUCUAUGCUCUCCGCCGCAUAUUACGCACGGGUAGGCAGUCUGGCCCUGUGUCUGACUCCUACCUCCUCGCCACUGCGAUCGCUGAGGUCGCGGGGGUCGCUUAGAACUCGACUGACCCGCCGAUCCACCAGCAGGUCGCUUCUUAGUUUUUUCCCUUUUCUUAUCCUUCUCAAAUGCCUCGCGUUCGUCCCGCGCAAUGGCAUUUCCGCGCUCCACCCAAAGCGCGCGGUCAAGAACCUCCUCAUAGGUCUUCAAGCGGAAUGCAUGAAUGACCUUGAAAAUCUCGGGUCGCAACCCGCGCUCAAAUACCUCCGCUCGGUCCCUAUCGCCAUGAACCAAGUCCGGUACGCAGUUAAUCAUGUGCGUGAACUCCCUUUCGUACUCCCGCACCGUUCGGCUCCCUUGCCUUAGUUUUCGAAAAUCCUCCUUGAUCUUCCUUUUGUCACUCUCGGGGAAAUACUCCAUAAGGAGCAUCUCCCGGAACACCUCCCAAGUGAGAAGAGUGUGCCCUAGCGAGCGAUUCUUCUUCGUCUGAUUCCACCACAACCGAGCCGACCCAUCCAAACAGUGAGCCGCUAGGUGAACCUUGUCCUUCUCGAGGGUAUAGAUAUCCUCGAACAACGCCUCCAUCGCGGCCAACCAAUUCUCUGUCACCCACGGAUCCUUCACGUCGCCGUUGAAGGUCGGAGGGUUGAACCGCUUGAAUGCCGUCAACGCCGCCAACGUACGCUCCUGCUCAGCCUCAAGCACAUCGGAAAUAGGAACCGAUGAACCCGACGCCGCCGGAGGAACAGCCGUCAUUGGCGCUGCCGCCAUCGCCGGAGGUGGUGCUACAGGGGCAGCCGGUGGGGGUGGAUCCCUCGGCACAAAUCGCCGCGCCUGUUGUGCGCCAUCAUCUAGUGGAGCUGUCCAUCUGCUCACCCUUGUUGUCGCAAUAGCCCCGCUAAAGCCGCUUACUUGGCUCCAACUCGCGUACUUCGUUUCCGACCCCGACUGCCUGGGCUUCACUCGCGAGACUUCGCCGGUGUGGAACCUCGUAACUCUUCUUGGUGGUGCCAUGCGGCGUCCUGCAGCGGCAACGCACACACAUAGGCACUCGUCACACGUGACUCCUACACGUUUCCAAAUUGCUACCCAAUUAAGCGCAAAGGCACAAGCUAAUUGUUUCACUUUCGUGUAUGUGGUCGGCCGCCCCACAAAAGUCCCUCAAUAGCAACAAUUUACCCUCCUAGUCCAUCUCUACUUCUUUCUAGAGAAGUGUUACUAAUCAACGACCAUCACCGCUUUUCGCACUAAAACAAGUCGCUUCGUCAAGCGUAUUCCUAAUCCUUAGGGUUCUCCAAACCUAUGGUUGCCUAGGUCAUUCUCAACUUUUGCUUUCAACUCCGCCUGAUACCAUUAUACUGUCCACGCCCCCAAUCCCCCGCCAAUUUUUGGUCGGUUCGGGUCACGUCAACAGACGCCGAACGGCAGAGCCUCCCCUGUCCGCCCAGCUGCUACAACAUGUAUAAUAGGACAAUCAAAGAGAAUUUGCAUACUAUAAUAGAAGCUUUGCAAGAGGGCAACAGUAAUGGAAGCGAAAGCUCUAACUAAACAUACAUCUACCGCAUGAUAUUUGAUUUCAUUUAAACCAUAAUUCAAGUAAACAAAGCUAUUACAUUCCAUUCAAUCACCAUCAUAAUCUUUUUUACAUUUAGUCAUCACCAAAUACAUGAUUUUUUUACAACUUUCCCAUCUCUAAAUACAAAAAUAAAGUUGAUACAUGUAUAACAAAAAGGGAAUGACUACAAAAAGUGUAAAGUUCCGGUGGCCGCUACUAUGGUGCCAAACCCUUGCUCGGUCAUCCGCCGGCCCCGCUCCGUGCUAGAACCUGUAGGGUUAGUGUGUGAGAACUACAACGAAGUUCCCAGUGGCUCGCAUCCACCUCGCCGACUUACCCACUAGUCAUCCAAGGCAUAAGUAUUUCAAAGGAAAAAAAGUACCACUACUAAUCAACUAAAAUAACUAAUGCCCUGCAAGAAAGAAGUCAGUGGACGAUAUAAUUCAAUGGAUAUAGAAAUCAUUCAUGCUACAAUCAUAAUCAAAUUUUGGCUUUAUCCCAUCUUCCGGUUAACUCUGUUACUCACAAUAACUCACAACCCAAAUCCCUAAUAAUGGGGACUGCGAACCUCCCUAAGGGACCGUCAACUGGUGGGACCUUUACCACGCCAGUGGACCAAUCUCCCGGAGCGAUCCGCUCGAGGGGGAAGCGACCUCCCUCAGCCAGAUGAAGAGUGAGUAUCUGACUAUCCUUAACAUCUGAGGACUUCAUAGCAGUAGUCACAGUGCAAUGUCCAACAAGAUAGGUCUCUACCUAUCAUUCUUAUCACUCUCAGGCUUUACUUUAAACGAUGUCAUAAUUGGUUAAACUAUAUUUUAACAGUUCUCUCUCGAAUGCAAAUCUUGUUUCCAAUGUCAAUGUCACCCUUAGUUUUCUAUUGUCCAAGUCCAUUCCACAUUCACACAACUUUGAGGGUCCAAUCAACACAUGUCCAGCGUUGUUCUAUCAUCCUCUAUGUUUCAGUUACGUUAGAAGCUUAAAUUGUAGCAAACCAAGUUCCACAUGUAACUAGCGCCCCUAACUUAUGCAUGAAUGGUGUAUAUAUAAUACAAUAUCCAGAAUAGUAGAAAACAGACAUAGAAGGGAAUCCAACGAUUCCGCAGCGUGCACCCCCCCACCUCUAUCGGUUGUGUGGGUGAAGAUUACGAUGGCUCCCUACGAUGGCUCCNNNNNNNNNNNNNNNNNNNNNNNNNGAACCUCCCUAGGGACCGUCAACUGGUGGGACUUUACCACGCCCAGUGGUGACCAACUCCGGAGCGCACCGCUCGAGGGGGAGCGACCUCCCUCAAGCCAAGAUGAAGAGUGAGUAUCGAUCUAAUCCUUAACUUGAGGACUCAUAGCCACUAGUCACAGUGCCAAUGUCACGAUAGGUCUCUACCUAUUCAUUCUUAUCACUCUCAAGGCUUUACCUUUAACGAUGUCAUAAUUGGUUAAACUAUAUUUAACAGUUCAUCUCUCGAUGCAAAUCUUGUUUCCAUGUCAAUGUCACCCUUGUUUUCUAUUGUCCAAGUCCAUUCUCACAUUCACACAACUUGAGGGUCCAAUCACACAUGUCCAGGUUGGUUCUAUCAUCCUCUAUGUUCAGUUACGUUAGAAGCAUAUAAAUGUAGUCAAACCAAGUUCCACAUGUAACUACCCUACUAUGCAUGAAUGGGUGUAUAUAUAUAUAACACAUAUGCUCAAGAAUAGAGAAAACAGACAUAGAAGGGAAUCCAACGAUUCCGGCGUGCACCCCCCACCUCUAUCGGUUGUGUGGGUGAAGAUUACGAUGGCUCCCGCACUUUACGAAAGCCGAUUCCGCGCCCUAUGAUCAAAAUAGUGCCAUAUUAGGCCUUUUUGUACAUGAACUAUGUUUUAACAUUUUCGUAAUGUUAAACGGAGUUAUCCGAUGCGUUUAGGGCACCCCCAAUUAGGUUUCUACGGGGUCAAUUUGUCCCCGAAAAAUCCUAGGGCAAAAACCCCAAAUCCAAGCCCUAAUAUUGUCAUUUAGGGUUUUCCCAUGAAUCGAUCCCAACCCUAAGCAAAGAAUAGCUUAGGAUCAUCUAAGAAGCAUCCUAGCAAGGUUUCUAAACCUUUGGUACCAACCCUAGGGCUCCAAACAUCACUUCCAAGGAUUCACCAUGAGAGCACCUUGAGCUCUCAUGGGUACCAUGGUAUUCAUGGCUCAAAAGAGCCCCUAAAGCCUUUAAGGAGCACAAAGCUCCAAAUCCCUAAACCAAAAUCCAAACCCUAGAGGAAAAACUUACAAAACUUAUCUCUAGUCCAAGCUCCACCAAGAUUCUUCUUGUUGGAGAGCUCCUAGAACCUCCAAAGCCUCCAAAUCCUCCUCCUCUUCACUUCUUCUUCUUCUUCUCCAAGCCAUAGAGCAUGAGUUCUAGAGAGAGAAAGAGAGGAAAUGGGUGAGAAGGGUGGAAAUGGCUGUGGGAGAGAGGGGAUGAGUCAUAUAUAGUGUUGUAACAAUUGCACUUAAGCCCCUCCACUUGUUUCCUCUUGAAUUGCCCAGACUGGGCAUUUUUCGCCUUCGGGGACCGGUCUCCCCGACCAGGGACCGGUUCCCGAACGGGAGUUUUCCAGGACUUAGCCAAAUUUUCAAGUUUUUGGCUGUUGCACAGCGAGGGACCGGUCUGCCCGUCAGGGACCGGUCUCCCGAGGACCGGUCUCACCACCAGGGACCGGAUGCCUCAGGAUUUCCUGGCAGGCUACGCGCACGGUGACCGGUCUCUCAUUCAGGGACCGGUCCCCGAGAGAUAAAAAUCUGGGACUUAGCCAAAUUUCCAAUUUGCUCUCCGGGUCCCUUUUUGCUUCGUUUACGAGCUCCAAUGCACUUUGGGUCCGCUUUAACCCAUUCAAUUUCGCGUUCCGCUCGUAUUGACGGAACUCGACGCGAUUUACGAGGGAUGUGGUAUGUUACACGGGCAAUCUCAAAUGAAGUGCCCCGGCUGCCCACACUUGUAGCACUUAACUCGGCCUUGCUCACAGCCCGAGACCGGGUGGUCUCCGCUGCAUACAAUGCAUCGCCGCGCUCCACCGCUCUUCUGCUGAGUGCGCGGAUACUUCGAGGGUUUCUUGUAACGUGUUUAUCCUCCCGAACUGCCGCCGCCUUCGCAUUUCUUGCCCUUAUCCUUGGACUCGGCCAAAAGCUCACGCUUCUCCCGCACAUGGGCAUCUCCGUGCUCCGCCCACAGCGCUCGAUCGAAGACCUCCGCAAAGGUCGUGAGCUUGAGUAUUUGCACGGCCUUGUAAAUUCCCGGCCGAAGUCAUCGCAAGAACCACUCGGCCCUGUCCCGGUCAUCCUUUACAACAUCCGGGACGCAAUCUAUAAUAUGGGAGAACUCUUGUUCAUACUCCGCCACUGGGCGGUCCCCUUGCUCCAACUUGCGGAAUUUCUCCUUGAGCUUCCGCUUCAAUGUAUCGGAGAAAUAGUUGGCGAACAUCUCCCGCUUGAAUUCCUCCCACAGCAUCGGCGGAAGGCCAGGAAGCCGAUCCCGUUUGACGCGUUUCCACCAGACCUUCGCCACCUUCUCCAAGCAAUGGGUGGCGAGAUACACCUUGUUCCUCUCCAAGGUAUGCAAAUCAUCGAAGAGGGUUUCCAUCGAGUUGAUCCAAAACUCGACUAUCUCCGAUUCCACCUUCUCGCCCUCGAAGGUUGGCAGAUGGAACUUGUCGAACUUGAUAAGAGCCGCUAAUGCGCGCUCUCCCUCCACGUCUUCGGCCGACACAUCGGGUGUAGCCGAUCCCGAUGCUGCCUGUGGUACGAUCGCUGGCAGUGGGCGUGCCGUCACCGGAACCGCCGCUAUGCCCUCACCCUCUACCGCUCCGGGUAUAUGAGUCGAGAGUGCCGGCGGACCACCGCCCUCAUUCACCGUCGCAGCUGCCGCCGCAACCUGCUGCUCCAAAAGAUCCUGGAGCCGCUCGAAUCGGGUCUCCUGGCGCUGCACCACUUUGGUCAGCGCGGUCACUUGCGCUUGCAACCGAUCCAUCACGCUCGGUUCAGUCUACUCGGGCACCUCGGGAAGCGAUGUCAGAGUAGACCUCGUACUCGGGCGUCUCCUUGGUGCCAUUGGCUCCUGAAACGCAAAUACUUGGUUAAUUCUCUUAACCCGUUCAUUUCGUCGCAAUAACGACACUUAACAACUCACGACGAAUCGGGCGGAAGAACACAAGUGCACUCGUUCUAGACUCUUGGUAUCAUGUCGUCGGCCGCCGACACAACCACCUCAAGACAAGAACUCAUACCACUUGAAUCCGUCUCUAAUCACAACUAGAGACAUAUUACCAACUUCGACCAGAGAUAUAAAGAUAAGCGCUAAGGUUAUAGUGCGUGAGCGCGAACGUGAACCUAUAAACGACUGGCGGAAGUUGAAUUCAAUUGNNNNNNNNNNNNNNNNNNNNNNNNNNNNNNNNNNNNNNNNNNNNNNNNNNNNNNNNNNNNNNNNNNNNNNNNNNNNNNNNNNNNNNNNNNNNNNNNNNNNGAGAGAGGAGGAGGAGAGAUGCGGGGCUAAUGGUAGUGGAGAUGAUUCAAUGUAGGCUAGAUUGAGACCUAAUGUAUUUUCGAGGAUCAAAAUGUAUUUCAUCUUGGGAAAUUAUGUAAGUAAAGAUUUAACUAUUGUAAUAGCUUAGUAAGUACUUUUCUUUAUUCGACUCGUGAUAAUCUUGUGGAUGCUAUGCUUCUCUUUUGUUGCCAUGUUGUCCCAUGGUUGAAUGUGUAUGUUUUGAAUUAAAGUCCGAGGUAAAUUCUUUGAAUACACAUUCCUUGUCGUUGAGUCCUUGAGCGGACAAGGGAGGUGCUGUCCGUUCGGCGGUUCCGCCGCCCGCGGCCGAGUCCUGUGCCGAGCCGUGCCAAAUUAGUAGUGGUUUCGGGGCGAGGCGUGACAGCACCUCCUGAACUCGUUGAGGCGCUCCAUCAGUCGGUCCUGCUCUGCCCCAUCUACCAUCACGGGGAAAACAGCUCCAAUCGGGGGUGCCUGAACAGGUGGCGCCGCACGUGACGAACUGGGCGCAGGGGACGGCGCUCUCGGCGCGACGUCCACAACCGGUGCUGGCGGUGUAGGGGCCUGGGUCUCCGUGGAAGCUGCCGCCUGCUGCAGAAGAAGGUCCUCCAGGCGCUUCAUCUGUGCCUCCUGUCGGCGCGCCGCAUCGGCCUGCUGUUGGGCCGCCGCAGCCUGCUGAGCCACGAUAUCAGUAAGAGUAGCAAGCUGGCUCCUCAACUCAUGAACCUCGCCGGAUCCAGAGAUAGCGGAGGUCUCGACCUCCUCCAAGUUCGCCGCAUUAUCAGCACCAGCGGAUUGAGAGCGUGUAAUCGGCAUCGCACUACAACAUCAUAAAAGCGCAAGUUAGUAAAACUCACGCUAUCGCAUCCCCGCCCAAAAUAGACAGUACCGAAAUCAUGCGAAAGUAAGGAAGUGUUCUUCACCACUAACUCCCAAUGUUACGUUGUCGGCCGCCAACGUAACCCUCCGCGAAGUUAGAGGGCAUACACUUUGAUCAACUCCAACUUUUUAGAGUUAUCAAGAUACCCAAUCAUGAUACUUUCGCUCACAAGUCAAAUAGACCUCGUCUCUCACGAGCCUAUUUCCUAUAGUCCAAUCGGCCUAAGGUUUGCUAGGUCCACUAAGACUCAACCCUAGGCUCUGAUACCAAAUUAAUCUGUCACGCCCCGGGGCUCAGCGGAAGCCCGCCCGGCACGCGCACAGACCCAACAAAACAAUAAAUGAGACAAUAAAAGGAAACAACUAGAAGUAUCAGAGCAAUAUAUAUCAUCUAGAAAUUGAAGCAAUGUGAAGAGUAGAGAGCUAAACUACUAAACAAACUAUAAAGUAGUACAACCAAAGGUCCAAAUACAAGUACUAAAAGAGUACAUAGGUGAUCUCUAUACAUGGUAACACAAAAACUCUCGCUCUCCCAAAAUACAAAGAGAGGGAACCAUCUAAGAGCAGAAAGUAAAUCCUCGCUAUCUAGCUAGCGAUCCCCUUGCUGCGGUCCCGUGCCUCCGCCGGCGCAGAGGGCUCUGAAAGAAAAACAUAAAACAGAGGGCGUGAGAACUAUUAAAUAAUAUUUUCCAGUGGGUAAUACUGACUUCAGUGAAAUGCACCACUAGGUACAAAACUAAGCAAGAUAAGUAAGGCAGGUAAGAAUAAAUAUGAACAAUUAAAUCGCUAAAAUGGAAGCUCAAUAUAGCAUGAAAUCUCUACUUUCAUCAGUAAUAAUCUACCACAUGAUCCCUACUUAGCAUGAAUUUGCAUAAGUAUGAAAGAAACUACUACAAGUAAGUGCACAAGAGUAUCCAACAUGUAAAGUAUGCAACUAACCCAAUGUCCACAAUGUAAAUAGUAAGGAUGUCAUUGUUUACUAUUCCAGUCAAUGUCCAAAAGGUACAAUAUGUCACCAGUAACCCAAUCCUGUGGAAGCUACCCGUAGGUAGUCGGCCUGCGCCGUGCCAACAAUGAUCCCGUGGUAGUCAACAUCCCCACUUUAGGAAUGAGCCUCCCCCACGGCAUCCCAUUUUGGCGCCCAAUCCCGCACGGGCGAGCAUAUGUCGCGAUGGCUAUCUCCGGAGUGCCGACUUGUAGGGAGCGACCCUCACAAGUAUGUGCGAAUGAGCACAAUGGCAUGCAAGCCAGUAAGUCCGUCUCAGGUCCCAGUGGUUCAUCACUAUUUCAUCGGAUCUAAAACCCGGAAUACAGCACAUGUCCAAAAGGCCUGCCUCUAUGUCAUCGUGUCUAAAACACGGAAUAUAGUAACUAUCUCAAUUGCCUAUCUCUAUGUCAUCAUGUCUAAAACAUGGAGUAUAGCAGAUUUUCUGUGGCCUAUCGUUAUGUCUCUAAGUUGCAGUUCAACAAUUUUCUAGUUCAAGUGCCCCUUUAUGACACUUUUGUUUACUAAGUCAUAGCAUAGCAUUUAUCCUUAAGAGUACAUAAUUCUAGUCACUUCCCACAUAAAAGACAUAUUUUUAAAUUGCAAAUAAAGGCUACAUAGCACAUGCAUGCAUACUACUCAUAUGACUCUACUACAUAGAGUGAAAUUAUCAUGAUACAUAAUACAUGUGUUUUAGGAGCUCCAAAAUUCAUAUAAAUUCUACUUAUCAUGAAUAUGCAUGCGUUUAUAAUAUACGAAAACAAUAAACCACGUAGGAGGCAUUUUUCCUCCUACAUCAUGAAGCCAAACCCACCAACGACAAAGGAACCCUUCGUUUGCUCCGACGAGGGUGUCCACCACUCUCCUAGUACCCUAAAGGUAUGGAAACAAGUGUCACAAGAACCUUACGAACAACACUUAGCUCAAACAUUAAGCUUUUCAAGCUAAGGUGGAGAAAACUCACCGAAUGCUAAGAAAUCUCCCACUAUCUCCAAAAGGAAGUUAGAGGCCUUCAAAUCUGACCUAAAUCAAGGUUCUAAACCAAUCAAUUUGGUUCUAGAAGCUACAAAUCCAAAAUCCCCAUUUCUAAUCCUAAAAUUCAAAAUCUAGGGUUUCAACAUGUGAAAUCUAUCAAAUCAUGUAUUAAAUGGAAAGUACAUGUUACUAACCUCUUAAAUAGCCUCAAACCAAGUGCAAAAUCAGCUAGGGUUGGAGGUCUCCUCUCAAGCAAGCUCCUCUCAAAGCUCCAAGUCUUUAACAAUGGAGGAAACCCAACAAAAAGCAAGGUGGAGAAGAGAUGAGAGAUCAAAACCAACCAAAGUCCACCAAAAAAAGAGAAGAAAUCAAAAGGGGAGAGUCUCACCUUGUUCUCCACUGGUUAGGGCUCAAAAAGAGCAGCUAUGGGGGCUGGGGUGGCUUUUAUAGAGGUUGCAACAAUUGCAAAAACACCCCUCCACGAAACAGCCCAAACUGCACUGCGUACUGGUACACGGGUUUGUGUACCGGUACACAUCUCACGAACCAGCCCAACUCGAGCCUCGGGUUGGCACACUGGCUGCCAGGGCCGAUGGCUGUACCGAUACAGCCAUCAACGUGUACCGGUACGCGGCCCUGCAGCAUGCUACCCGAGAGCACACCAAAAUCCAACCUUUUUGGGUUUUGGUGCCAAGUUUUAAACCUCAAUUCUCGGGACUCGAACCAUAGGUCGAAACACUAUCCGCGACCCUCCACGGAGUGUGGAAAAGCUCGAAACACAAGUCAAACACUCGAACCUCACUAUUUGCGACGGUUCGGUGUGUUACAGAGUGUCCCGGGCGAGCGUGAGGAUCACGGUAAGGGCCUAGCGCCCUAGUUGCAUUAGCUAUCUACCUUUUUGCAUUAGCUCUACACUGUACAUAUGUUGGAGAGUAAAUGUUGUAUAGGGUAAGGUUUGAGAGUGCUUGUACAUAUGUUCUGGAAGAAUGUAAAAGAUGGAAUUAAAUGUAUUAAGUUGAAUGAAUGUAAUAGAUAGAACUUUCUCUCUUUAUUUACUUGUACGUCUCAUACUUUUAUCUUGCUCUUAUUUGUUAGCACUGGUGGUGCUCCUUGUGAUCGUGUAUGCACGAAUUGAUCCCUGGGCAAAUUCUUAUACACGAUCAGGUUGCUUAGCCUUGGGCGGACAGGGGAGGUGCUGUCCGUUCGGCGUCUGUUUGACGCGCCCCGAACCGAACCGAAUCGGUAGCGGUUUCGGGGCGUGACAGCGUCUCUUCGGGAGAGUCCUGAGGGACCGGUCCCAUGUGGAGAGAGACCGGUCCCUCCACCCGAAAUUUGCCCAGGCCUGGCAGUGUGCAGGUUGCAAAGUUGAGGGGCUUUUCUGGAUUUUGUUACAUUAGAGGGCCUAUAUGGCUUUUCCUCUCCCUCUCUCCCUCAUUUCUCUCCCUCACACUCUCUCUUACACUCUAGAAAGAGAAGAAGAAGGAGAAAGAAGAAGGAGAAGAAGGAGGAGAGGAAGGAGAGCAAGCUUGGAGGAGCUUUGGACAUCAUCCUCUCUCUCUUUUCUCACCAUUGGAGGCUUGGAGCUUGUUGUUGGAGCUUUGUAGAGGAAGGACCUUCAACCCUUGAGCACUUUGAGUGUGGUUUGAAGCAUCCUAGAGGUGAGUAGCUAGUUUCCUUCCUAUAGAUUCUAGUUUUUGAGCUUUAAACUAAAUGAAACCCUAGAUUUAGAUUUUAGGGUUAGAUUUGGGGAUUUUUGUUUGGGGGGCUUUGGAACCUAAUUGAUGGGUUUAGAACCUUUGUUUAGGUUGGAUUGGAAGGACUCUAACUCCCAUUUGGAGAUCGAGAGAGUUUCCUUCGCAUUCGGUGAGUUUUUAGCCCUAUCCUUGAGUUGGUUUUUGAUCAACCUCAUGGUUGUUCGUUAGAUUCGUUUAAUUCCCAUUUUGAUGCUUCUAGGGUACUAGGAGGCUUGUGGGCACCUUCGUCGGAGCAAACGAAGGGUUUGGAGAAGUCCGGUGGGUUUGACUUCAUGAAAUCGGGGCAAAAUGGCCCCUAUGUACAUUAUACUUGUCGUAACAUCAAUUUGAUUACAUAUUCAUGCUAAAUGGAAUUUAUGUGAAUUUUAGAACACUUAAAAUGCAUGUGUUAUGUAUAAUAAAAUUUUCACUCUAUAUAUAGUAGAGCUAUAUGUGUAUGCUGCAUGCAUGUGUAAAGUGGUUCCCUAUACGAGUUGGGAACAUGUCCCGUAUGAGGAAAAGGACUAGAAUUAUGUACUCGUGAACAUAAUCAUCAUACUUGGACUUAGUGAACAAAAUGCCAUAAAAGGGCACCUGAACUAGUAAAUUAUGAAACUGCAACAUAGAGACAUAGAGUUUGGCCAUUGUGACUUGAUUAUAUUCCAUGUUUUAGACAUGAUGAUAUAGAGAUAGGCCCUUGAGAUAUUGUCACGCACGGGUAUCAACGGAAGCAUAUCCGGUCGCGUGCACAGACCCGCCGUGUACACCACCACAACUCAAGUAUACACAAGGCGUCUACAAACCAUAUAGUAAAAGCAUAUAAAUCUAACCAGGUAAUCAGAGCACGACUUUUAAACUUAUACAAUCCAAAUCCUAAUACAAGACAUAAGAAUAACGUACAAUUAACAAAAACUUAAUAUACAUCUCUGUACUAAACUAUAUAAACUGUUGGAUGUGAUCUAGUACACGUCCAAAAAGCCGCCGACCCCUCACCAGGAACCCUAGCCUUUCCCGCUGUGGAAGGCUCUGUAAAAACAACAACAAAGAGGGCGUGAGAACUAUUAAACAAUAGUUCCCAGUGGGUAAGCCACCGAGAGUGGCGAAGUACACCACUAGGUCAACUGUGGCAUGAGUAGAUAGUAAUAAGUAAGCAAGUAAAUGCAAUAAGCAAGUAAGUGCAAUAAACCAGUCAAUGCAAUAAGCAAAUGUAAAAGUAAACUACUCAUGCUAUUUGCUCAACAAUCAAUAAAUAUCGAUAGACUGCAGGUAUCAAUUAUCACGAUGAAUUCUAUCAAUCAUAUUCUUGGCAAUUUAACCAAACAUAUAGCAGAUUGCAAGCAAGAUAAUUCAUUCUUACCGGAAUUACAGAUAAUAGCAUGUACUAUCAUCUAAUUACUUUCUACAUUAGCAAGAAUGAAACAUUCUUUAUGUCGCUAGUCAAACACGAUGUCAACUUCUAGGUUAUUUCGCACUAAGCUCACUUUAGAUGUCAACUUUCUAGUCUGUUCAUCAAUCAGUUCACUUAACCCAAGACAUAUAGUAACUUUACUACUCUGUCCAGCUAAGGUUAAAGUACUUGACAUAACCCAAUUUCCAACGGACUUACACAAGGUAAGUUCAAGCCGCGCCGUGCCUAAUGGCCCCGUGGUAGUCAACAUCCCCACUCUAGGGAUGAGCCUCCCCCACGGCAUUCCAUUUCGGCGCUCACUUCGUACAUUUGCGAGCAUCUGUCGCUAAGCUGUUCGGGAGUGCUGGCUUGGGGGGGAGCGACCCCGCAAGCGAGUGCAAACGCGCACAAUGGCAGGCAAGCCGUAGUCCACAGUACCAGUCUCACAACAACAUCAUGUCCCUGAUAUGGAAUCUCAACUCAAGCCACUCCGGAACGCGGGGCUUGGGGGGCGCGACCCCCGCAAGCAUGUACGAAAGAGCAUAAUGGCAUGCUAGCUAUAGUCCAGGGUACAAAUAUCUCAACAGCAUCAUGUCUCUGACAUGGAAUCUCAACUCGACCCAAAGUCGGCACUGUAGUACCCAAUCAUAAAUCACUAUCAACAACUUGUUGACAAGAUUCAAUAUAACUUAACAAGUUAAAGCUUUACACCACACUAGUGAUUCUAUCAGGCUAUACCUGGUCAGUCACUCACAAUCUCUCACUACUCCUUAUACAUAAGGAAAGUGGUUUACUAAGGUUCUGUUCAUAAACUCAUGGCACAUAUCCUGUAGUCCAAUAUAAAUCUCUACUUGACUAUACAAGUAUAUUAUCAUAUCCAAAUUUAGUUAUUACUAGAUUAUCUUCAGUUGAAUAAUCAUUCAAAUUAUGCCAUCAUAUGAAAUUAUAGUUACUUACUAGAACAUAUACCAUAAUACAAGUCUAUCAUGUGAAAGUAAAAACUAACAGGGUAAUGCAAGCAAAUAAAACACUUUUCACAUGAUCUCUAUGCCAUUCAUUCUACAGUUAGAAUUUGCAUAUGCCAAACAAAGGCCUUUACCUGAUCUUUCAAAGUAUAGCAACUAUACUUGCUAUAUAACAUUGCAUAGCUCAAUCCUAAAUACAUCAAUCUCUUUGUAGUUCAACAGAACUAAUUAGUCCAUUCACGAACUUAUCAUUACAUCCUCUUGGACAGCAUCAGGCUAAAAUUGCAUAUGCAAGCUACUAGUAUCAUGAACACGUAGUACUUUAACAUGUAACCAUGUACAGUGAACAAAUCCUGAACCUUUCAUUAUUGUUUAAAGAUGCUAUCAUAUCCAAUAUGAUCUACACAUUAAUGCACGUCUCAAUGCCUUGAACUAUACAUAUAUUCACAUGAACAUGGAAUAACUUCAACUCAGAUGUCAAAGGAAACAUAGAGGGAAUUCACCCAUUUCGAGAAGGUCAGACCCACCUAUCCCUAAGCUCAAUCCAGUCACAAGAAAUCCCGAAACUCAACUCAACGGUGCCCCACUCUGCUGAAACCGAAACACGAAAAGCGUAUCAAAACUACGACCGAAAUGUCCAAUUUCGGCACAAAUUGCACUUAGUACAAAAUAAUAGUUUGAAUCCCUGUUUUGGGCUAGUUUAGUACCUCAAGUUAAGCCUCUAAUUGCCCUCACAUAUCAGCCAAAGAUAAUCUGAAAGUCAAUCGCAGCCUCGCUGUGAACAUUCAUCAAAACGACAUCAACAUACUCGUAUACUAGGUAAUAUUGUCGGAAUCUUACAUAACCCAAUUUCUAACUGAAAUUCAACUUACCCCAGGUUGAAACACCUUCUAAACCAGUCCCCGAGGUCACAAAUUCAGCUCAAAUUAGUUUGGAAACCUGCUGUGAGCAAACAUCCCAAAAUCGCAUCAUGACUUCGCUAAUAUCAUCGUUUUCAUCAUCGAAAUAGAGAAAAACUCAUUAAUUACCUCGAAGGCUUUAACUCUGACUUUGGGGUGAAGGAUUACAGCAAAACCACUCUUCAAUUGGUGCUUUAAACCAUCUCAAUCCAGCUGGUAGCAAGAAUUGAGAACCAACAUAAAAAACUAUCACUAAUCUCAACCUAGAGAGAGAAACUAACUUGUUUACCUCACUAGACUUCAAUUCAGGUUCCCUGAAAGUUGGAGCUGCGAAAAUACCUCUCAUGCGAGUCCUUUCCACCCACUCGUAGCUGCUCCAACGUCCACAAACCAGCUGGCGCGACGAACGGCGAGAAAUAGGCGCAAAUCAACGAUUUCUACUCGAAGAGAGAGAAAACCUAGAGAGAGAAAGUGGGGAAGGUACAAAACCCUUCCUCAGAGCUCCAUGGACCCUCCAGCAGCUUCAGGAGUCGAGCUGGGUCAUUUGGAGAUAAGGCUGAGUGUCAAAAGACUAAAAUAGGCCUGCUGCCACGCAGCUGCUGCUGCUGCUGCUUGCUGUACCGGUACAGGGUAAUGUCUGUACCGGUACACAAUGCAAAAAUGCUGAAUUUCGCCAUUCAAUGCACUUUCUUGCUUUUAACCUUCCAAUCACCCUCUAACUUAUCCAAAAAUUUGUCCAAACCCUUUAGAAUAUGUAGGGUAGUUUCAUUUACCAUUUCCCACCAUCGAAAUUCGUAAUUGACCAAUUUCAGAACAUUGCAAUAGAAUAAUGCAAUUUCAAUGCACUUUUCCAUUUCCAGUUAUCUGCUUACUCCAGUAAUUUGUUGAAGCCUCUCAAAAAUCCUACAAAAGUUGUAGAAAAGUUCCAAUCACUAUUCCAACCCUCGAACUUGUCAAUAGACCCAGAUUCAGUAUAUUACAGAUAUAUGUUAUAUUCCAUAUUUUAGAUAUGAUGACUUGAGACUUGAGACUUGAGACGGAUCUUACGCUUGCUGACAUUGUGCUCAGUCGCACACGCUUGUGAGGGUCGCUCCCUACAAGCCAGCACUCCGGAGAUGGCCAUCGCGAUACAUAUUCGCCGUGCGGGAUUGGGCGCCGAAGUGGCUUGCCGUGGGCAAGGCUCAUUCUUAGAGUGGGGUGUUGACUACCACGGGGCCAUUAGGCUCGGCACCGGCCAGAUAGCCUACGGGUGGGUCUACAGGCCAGACAGCCUUCGGGCGAAUCUUCCAAGAUUUAACUUUAAGUAGUAAACAUGCCAAAUGAACAUUGACUAGAACAGUAAAUAAUGACAUUUUACUAUUACAUUACGGAUAUUAUGAUCGUUGUAUACUUGUGCAUUUUCAUGAUAGAAUAGUUUUCUUACUUAUGCAAUUCCAUGCUAAGUAGAGACAUCAUGUAGAGCAAGUACUCACGUUCAUUUACUUGUCGUAUAUUUCGCUUUUGCUUAUACUCGUACUUACCCUUUUUGUAGCUUUUAGGCCUAGUGGCGCAUUUCACUGAAGUCAGUAAUUGCCCACUGGGAACUAUUAUUUAAUAGUUCUCACGCCCCCUAUUUUAUGGUUUUAUUUCAGAGCCUUCGGCACCGGCGGAGGCACGGGAUCGCGGCAAGGGUGACAGCCUAGCUAGAUAGCGGGGAGCUACUUGCUCUUAGGUGGUUACUCUCUUUUUGUGUUUUGGUGAGAGAGAUUUUUGUACCAUGUAUAGAGACCACCUAUAUACUCUUUUAGCUCUUAUUUUGGGAUAUCUAUUGUAUUACUUAUGACUUUUAUUUUGUGGUUUUGGCUUCUUUAACCUAUUCUUGCUGUAGAAAUCUAGAUGUACUUCGCUCUGAUACUCCUAGAUGUUCUUCUCUCAUUGCUUUAUUUAUCGCUUUGUUGUAGACGCCUUAUACGUUUUAGACAUAUGGCGGGUCUGGACAUGCGCCUCGCCGGCUUCCGCUCGGCCCCGGGGCGUGACAGACCACAAGGAAAAUGCAUGCAGUUUCUUAAGUCUACAUCAUGCAGAAAUGUAUGAUUGCUUUAAUUAAAUCAUACCUACCACGAUGUCACGCUCCUCGACGCCAGCAGGUCCCUCCGCUCGAGCGGCAAACACUCGACCACUCGGAGCCGACCGGGCCGUCUCAAGCUGACGCGGCGCCAUCGGACGUCCCGCAGAUACGGCAGCAGGCGGAACUCCACCAAACUGCCUCGGAGUCACUGGGGCGGAUGCAAUAGACGGGACAGGCGGCGAUCCCUCUGGACACUGACGGCUCAUAUGCCCAACCUGACCACACCUGAAGCAUCGUCCCGCCUUAUGCUCACAAUUCCCUGCGCGAUGCUCCCCACCGGAAAUCGCACAUCGCAUAGGUCCCUGGCUCUCGGACUGUCUCCUCGGGUACCUCCGGGGCUUAUUAGAACUAGACUGUCCCCCCGAACCACCGCCAGGCCGUUUCUUUCCUUUGUCCUUCUAAGACGCCUCACGCUCCUCUCGCUUGCAGGCAUUCCCAUGCUCGACCCAUAGAGCACGAUCUGACACUUCCUCAAAGGUGCAGAAGUUGAAGGCAUGCACCAUCCGGAACACUCCGGGCCGGAGUCCCCGCACGAAGCACUCUGCCCGAUCUUGCUCGGUCCUAGCCACAUCCGGGACGCAAUUCAGGAGAUGGGUAAACUCCCGCUCGUACUCCCGAACCGUACGGUUGCCUUGGUUAAGCUUCCGAAAAUUCUCCCGCAUUUUUCUUUUAUCACUGUCGGAAAAAUAUUCCGCAAACAUCAACUCCCGAAACUCCGCCUAAUUAAUCGGGGGAAGCUCCGGAGAUCGAUCCUGCUUCACUCUCCUCCACCACACUCGGGCCCUCUUAUCAAAGCAAUGAGCAGCCAAGUUUACUUUGUCUUGCUCUCUGGUGUAGAUGUCCUCAAACUGUCUCCUCGGGUACCUCCGGGGCUUAUUAGAACUAGACUGUCCCCCCGAACCACCGCCAGGCCGUUUCUUUCCUUUGUCCUUCUCAGACGCCUCGUGCUCCUCUCGCUUGCAGGCAUUCCCAUGCUCGACCCACAGAGCACGAUCUAACACUUCCGCAAAGGUGCGGAAGUUGAAGGCAUGCAUCAUCCGGAACACUCCGGGCCGGAGUCCCCGCACGAAGCACUCCGCCCGAUCUUGCUCGGUCCUAGCCACAUCCGGGACGCAAUUCAGGAGAUGGGUAAACUCCCGCUCGUACUCCCGAACCGUACGGUUGCCUUGCUUAAGCUUCCGGAAAUUCUCCCGCAUUUUCCUUUUAUCACUGUCGGGAAAAUAUUCCGCAAACAUCAACUCUCGAAACUCCGCCUAAUUAAUCGGGGGAAGCUCCGGAGAUCGAUCCUGCUUCACUUUCCUCCACCACACUCGGGCCCUCUUAUCAAAGCAAUGAGCGGCCAAGUUUACUUUGUCUUGCUCUCUGGUGUAGAUGUCCUCAAACAAUGUUUCCAUCGUGGCCAACCAGGUCUCCACAGUCCAAGCAUCUAUCACCUCGCCAUCGAAUGUCGGAGGGUGAAACUUCAUGAACCUCGUGAGAGCCGCGUAGCCGCGCUCUCGCUCCGCCUCCUCAGCCGCCGCAUCGGGUAUCGCCAAACCCGAAGCCGCCAGAGGAACACUCGUCGGCGGGGGUGUGCCGCCGCCCGAGCUGCCGCAAUGCCCACACCCUCAGCCGCAUUAGGCACGCGAGCCGAGGGCGUGGGCGGACCACAGCCUUUAACUGCCGUCGCGGCCACCGCCGCCACCUGCCGCUCCAAAAGCUCCUAGAGCCGCUCGACCUGACUGGUUAGCGUGGUAACUUGCGCUCGUAACUCCUGCAACUCGCUAGGCCCAACAGGCUCUGGCGCCACCGGAGGUCCAGCCUGCUCUGGCACCACGGGAGGUGGUGCCGGAACGGAUCUACGCACGUAGUGUCUCCUUGGUGCCAUUAGCUCCUGAAAUACAACAACUUGGUUAAUCACCUUAACCCGCUAACUUCGCCACAAGUGCGAAACAACGCAACUCAACAGCGCAAAUCAGGCUGAAGCACACAAGUGUACUUGUUCUAAACACUUAGCGUCGUGUUGUCGGCCGCCCAACACAACCACUUCAAGCCAAGAACUUAUACCACUUGAAUCCAUCUCUAACACCUAUUAGAGACAUACUAUCAACUUCGACCCAAUCAAUCAACUUCCGCCACCGGUAUAGGUUCACGUCUUACUCACGCACCUAUAGCCUUACGGUUUACCAACCGAAGGUUCUCUAGGUCAAUCCUAGACUCUCUCUUUACUUGCUCUUAGCUUGCUCUGAUACCAUAUUAUCUGUCACGCCCCGAGCCCCGCCAAUUUAGCCAUUUCGGGCGCGUCGAAUAGACGCCGGACGAGCAGCACCUCCCCUGUCCGCCCAAGGCUAAAGCGACGAGAUCCUGUACAACAAGUUCCCAGGAAAAAUAACUUGAAAUGCGUACAAGAUCAAGCAACAAUAACGAGAGCACAACCAGUGCUAAAUAUAUAAGAGCAAGCAUCACAAGUAUAAAUAAGUGAACGAAAGAGAGAUUUCUAACUAUUACUAUUACAUCCAUUCAACCUUUUUACAUUGCAUUAAAUUACAUUUUAAGCUUUCAAAACAUAAACAUAAAGUUUACAAUCUUUCCAAAGCACUCACCACCUAUACAUCGUCUAUGCUCACAUACAAAAGGUAGCUCUAAUGCAUAAUGGAAAGUAACUACACUAGGGCGCUGUGCCAUUACCGCAAUCCUCCCCCGGAACGCUCGCGCUCGGCCCUGCAGUAAAAUGGGGUGAGAACUAUAUAAAUAUAGUUCCAAGUAGGUUCGGCCGCCGACUCUGUCGAUCUUCCCACUAGAUCUAAACUGGCACAGAUAGAUAGAUAAAUAGAUAUUGAACUGUAACUACGCUCUACUAUGCCAUCAAAUGCAAAUAAUGCAUGGAAUAUCAUCUAGCAAUAAGCCUACCAUCUUGCUAGUAUGCUUCAACAAUGCAAUGGAUACGAAUGCAACAUAGUUAUGUAAUCCUCUAACAUAUACUAUGUCUAAUCAUGGUAUGAAUGCAAAUCAAGUAUGUUAUUCAUGUUCAUUACCCAAUCCUUUAGGCUAAGCCGCCUAAGAUCUCAAAUUCUGUAGGUAAAGAGCUACCCCGCAUUUGACUCACCCGACUUGUAACCCAAUUCAUAGGUAAAGAGCUACCCCGCUCCUUGCCCGACUCAGAUCUCAAGUCCUAUAGGUGAAGAGCUACCCGCUCCUCGCCCGACUCAUAACUCGAAUGCCUAAGGGCAAGAGCUACCCCACUCUUCGCCCCAACUCUAAUCUCAAUCUCGUAGGUAAAGAGCUACCCCGCUCAUAGGUAAAGAGCUACCCCGCUCAAAUCGCAUAGGUGAAUAGCUACCCCGCACUUCACCCGACUCACGUCCCAGUCCAAUGGGUGAGGAGCUACCCCGCUCGUAUCCCACCCGGUGAGCUACCCCGCUCGUGAGCUACCCAGCUCGUGUGACAACUCCGGAGUGCACUGCUUGUGUGGAGCGACCGCCAAAAGCCUAAAACAGACUAUGUGAGUAUGAUCCAAUCCUCGCCAACUGAGGAUACCCUGUCAACUAGGAUUAACAAACACUCGGAACUCUACCUAUCCCUAGGUCCAUGUCAAGUGUCUCAACCACCCUAAUCAACUUACACUAGGGAAUUCAACUAUCCCUAAGUUCAUUACGUUAAUGUGUUCUUUACACUAUGUUCAAAUGCCACUCACCUAGGUCUAAUCAACUCUAGGUUUAACACCUUUAUCACAUAACCUAGAUUAAUGCCACUCGAUCUAUUCUAGGUUCACGACACUAGGUUUAUAUGCCACAGGCCUAUUUACAUAAUCUAGCAAUAGGAUAACAUGCAUGUAUACUCAACAGGUUCAUACAACACUAAAGUGCAUGUAAUCCCUAGCAUGAUCUAGCAAUACGUCCCCAUUGUUCACAUGCCUCAUAAUCUCCCAUAAUUAACAAUAUGUUAACAUUCAUUUUCAUCUAGCAUAUAUGUCCUUUGAAGCCAACAUGCAUAUUCUAUUUCGCAUUAUCUCAUUAUAUUACUAUGCAUUAUCAUCUAGCAUAUAUUCCACAACGCAUAUAAAUAUUAACAUGCAUCUACCCACUAACAUAUAGUUUCAAUGCAUCGGUAUGCAACUAUCAACCUAGCAUGAUUCUCAUUAUGCUACAUGCAUACAUUCUCCAUUACACUAGUUCACAUGUCACUAGUUUUCAUUAUCAAGUUCAAGUUCACCAAUUCUUAUCACUAUAGGAUCUCAUGUCACAACCCUAAUCCUUAUGCAUUCUAGGUUUAAAUGUCAAGCCCACAAUGCUACGCUACUAGACAUGCAUGCAUGGAAGUAGAAAAGCAACUAUACAUACAUCCUAUAAUGCAUAAGAACAACAUAUGAGAUAUGAUCAACAAUUCUAACUCGGACAUAGGAAGAAGCCCGGUUGCUUCGGGAUGGACACCCCCCACCUUUAGGUGAUGCAACGAGCCCACGAUUCCGAUUUCGCGAUUUUAGGAAGCUUACGCCGCGUGCUGCGGCAAUCUAUACCGAAACAAGCUUUUUCUUCGAUAUCUUCGCACCCACUCGACGAAUCGACGAACCGUCUUCGCCAACGCGUCAGAAUACCUAACAAUUAGGUCUACAACCACUCAAUUUAGAUCAAAACCCUAGAUUUUCCAAAACCCCAUUUUGGAGCCCUAGGUUGCAACUAGAUGAAAAUCCACCAUUAGAGCUUUGGAUUCAAGCUCUAAUCAUCUAUUUAGUAUGCUAGGGUUCCACUAAAUCCAUUUAUAGAGAUUAAAAUCCAAGCUCUAGUGAUCUACCAUUAAAGCUCUUAAAGCUUACGUCAAGAACUAGCUCGAAUGGCUAAGAAGGAGAAGAUGAAGAUGAUGAUCCUUCUUCUUUGCUUCUUCUCCACCAACCUCUCCUCCAAAAUUCACCCUUGUAGAGAGAGAGAGGAGAGCUUCAGAGAGAGAGAGGGCUAGGUUUAGGGUUGAGAGUUGUGAGGAAAUAAGAGGAAAUGAGUUUACUCUACUCCUAUACACUCAACCAGUGGCAAAAUUGCCAAAAACCCCCUCAACUUUGCAUUUUAGUGCACUGCCCUCGCGGGGCCAAUUUUUGUAUAAGGGACCGGUCCCUUAUACAAAUAGGGACCGGUCCCCAAAGGUCCAGAAUUUCAGCAUUUAGGACUAAGCCAAAUUUUCAGCUUUUUCACCUUUCGGGGUCUAUUUUCGCUCGUUUUCGCUCGUUUGACCUCCGAUUCUUUUCAAAUCGAACCGAGACUCUCCACACAUGUUUUCGAGCGUGUUUUCAUCAUCUUUUCACCCACGCUAAUACCGGAUUUGGUUCACGGCCCAACAUAGCCUUUCGGGUUCCGUUUUCGCGCCUACGCGCACCGAAACGCCCGAAUGCUCCCGAACCUCACCGAACUUCACCGGAACCAUUCAAAUGGCUUUCCAAUCAAAUGUACACCGUAGCUUCAUAAUUUUAGAAGUCCGGUACCUUACACACGAACUCCACAAUGUCUUUCUUCAUGCACGGCCACCAAUAAUGCACUUUCAAAUCUUGAUACAUCUUGGUGCCGCCCGAAUGUAUACUAUAGGGAGAUUGAUGCGCUUCUUGCAUUAUUACCUUUCGAAUGUCGUCGUCUUUAGGCACACACCAACGAUUUCUGAAUCGAAGUGCAUCGUCGGUCCCAAUGCCAAAAUCAUCGGCACUACCGCUUUCAACUUCACCCGGCACAUUUUAGAGAUAUGCAUCGGAAGCUUGUAGCUCUUUUAUCCUCUCCAACAAGGUCGGUUGAACCACCAAUGCGGUAAGGUUAGCCGGCACUCCCAGAGCCACUACCUCAAGACCAAACCGUUGCAUUUCUUUUCGCAACAACGGUUGGGGUGUAAUUGCCAAAGCCAACUUUUCCACCGAUUUUCUACUUAGAGUAUCGGCCACGACAUUUGCUUUUCUGGGGUGGUAUAAAAUAGUGACAUCAUAGUCCUUUAGCAACUCUAACCACCGCCGCUGUCGCAUAUUUAAUUUUUUUUGGGUGAACAAGUAUUUGAGACUCUUAUGAUCUGAGUAAAUUUCACAAUGCUCACCAUACAAGUAAUGCCUCCACAACUUUAGCGCGAAUAUCACCACGGCUAGCUCAAGGUCGUGUAUCGGGUAGUUCUUUUCAUAAUUCUUCAAUUGGCACAAAACAUAUGCUAUGACUCGCCCAUUUGCAUCAAAACACACCCGAGACCAAUAUAUGAAGCAUCACUAUACACAACAAAGCUCUCCCACGGAGUUGGUAGAGCAAGCACCGGGGUCAAUUGUAAUAUACCGAAACUUCGGUAAAUAAAUAUCGAACUUUAGUCAAAUUGACCAAAGUGCGAGGUUGGUACGCUUCGGAAAGGCCGAAGGCGUCAAAAAGGGUAAAAGUGCAUUGUUGGGGGUUUUCGAGAAAUAAAGAAUCAAAAAUCUGCUUACUGCAGCUUUUGAGCUCUCGGGGACCGGCCCCUAGUGGGAGAGACCGCUCCACGAAUGUGUAAUACACUGAACAUUUGCGAAUUGCGAAGUUCGAGUGUGAGGAAGGAUGUGUGGAUCUAUAUUACAUGUUCUAAAUGACUUGGACAAGUUUUUGAAUAAGUUAGAGAGUGAUUGGAGGGUUAAAAGCAAGAAAGUGCAUUGAACGGACGAAAUCAGCAUUUAUUUCUGCUUGCUGUACCGGUACAGCCAUCACCUUGUACCGGUACAGACUGGCAGAAACGUGGCAGCAAGGGUCUUUUGGUCAUUUCACCUCUUGUUCUUAUCUAUUUUAGUCCAGCACGACCAGGGAUGCUUGCUGGAGUGUGCUAGAGCUCAGAGAAGCUGCCCUACACCUUUCUCUCUCUCUCUCUAGGAUUUUUCUCUCUCUACAAAUAGAAGUCGCUGUUUUACGUCGAUUUCGCGCCGCGGGCGUUACUCGCUGGUUUGGAGACUCAAGGAAAGCUUUUGGAACGUGGGGAGGAGGAUAUUUACUGACUUUUCUGGGAUUUUAACACCAGAAAGAGCUGAGUUGCAGCUUUUGAAAGGUAUGUAGCUUAAAUUUUCUCUAAUUGGAAGUUUAGUAUUGGAUUUUGAGUAGUUUUGGUUUUGUUGCUCCCAGCUGAGUUCGAGGGCAAUUUCAGCAGCUAAAGAGAAGUUAUUUAGCUGUGAUUGAACCAUCUUAGACCAGGGAUAAGCUGCUCCAAAGAUGGACAAAGGUAAUUUGUUAUUUAUGAUGUAAUUUUGAAACUAUACGAAGUUUAUUAGUGCGAACUGAUGCAGUUUUGGAUUCUUUGUUCGCAGCAGGUUUCCAAACUAAUUUGAGUCAAAUUGGUAACCUGAGAAUCUAGUUUGAAAGGUGUUUCAACCAGGGGUAAGUAGAAAUUCCAGUUAGAAAACUGAUGUUACCAGAUUUCGGCUAUAUUAGCUAGUUUACGUGCGUGUUGACGCCGUCUAGUAUUUGUUCGCAGCGAGAGUGCGACCGACCUUUGGAUCACCAUCAGUUGGCAUUGGAGAGCAAUUAGAAGCUUAACUUAAGGUAUUAAACUGAAACCAAAACAGGGAUGCAAGUUAUUACUUUGUACUAAGUGCAAAUUGUACCGAAAUUGGACAUUUCGGCCGUAGUUUUGAUGCGCUUUUCGUGUUUCGUUUUCAGUAGAGUUGGGGCUCCGUUGAGCAGAGUUUCGGGACUUCUUUUGGCUGGGUUGAGCUUGGUGAUAGGUGGGUCGGACCUUCCCGAAAUGGGUGAAUUCCCUCUAUAUCUCCUUUGACAUCUGAGUUGAAGUUAUCUCAUAUUCAUGUGAAUAUAUGUAUAGUUUAAGGCAUUGAGACAUGCACUGAUAUAUAGAUCAUAUCGGAAAUGAUAGCAUCCUUAAAUGGUAAUGAAAGAUUCAUGACUUGUCCAUUCUACAUGGUUACCUAUUAAAUACUACGGAUUCAUGAUACUAGUAGUUUGCAUAUGCAACUUGGCUUGAUGUUAUCCAUGAGGAUAGAAUGGCAAAUUCGUGAAUGGACCAAUUAGCUCUGUUGAACAACAACGAGACUGAUGUACUUAGGAUUGAGCUAUGCAAUGUUACAUAACAAGUAUAAUGGCUAAACUCUAAAAGAUCAGGUAAAGACUUGUGUUUACAUAUGCAUUCCUAAUUGUAGAAUGAAUGGCAUGGAGAUCAGGUGAAAAGUAUUUUAUCGUUUAUAUUCCUUGCUAGUAUUACUCUGUUAGUUUCUACAUUCACAUGAUAGAUUCAUAUUGUGGUAUAUAUUCUAGUAAGUAACUAGAAGUUUAUAUGAUGGCAUAAUUGAAUGAUAUACAAUUGAAUAUAAUCUAGUAGAUAACUAGAUUUAAAUAUGAUGACCUACUUGUAUAGUCAAGUAGAGUUGAUUGGUUCAUCUUUGUUUGCUUCAAGUAAUAGAAGUUUAUAUUGAACUUCAGGUUAUGUGCCAUGAGUCUAUGUACAGAACCUUAGUAAACCACUUUCCUUAUGUGUAAGGAGUAGUGAGAGAUUGUGAGUGACUGACCAGGUAUAGCCUGAUAGAAUCAUUAGUGUGAUGUAAAGUUUUAACUUGUCAAGUUAUAUUAACGACUUGUAGAAUCUUGUCAACAAGUUGUUGAUAGUGACUUAUGAUUGGGUACUACAGUGCCGCUACAGGCCUACCUUGGUGUAGUUGAGAUUCCAUGUCAGAGACAUGAUGCUGUUGAGAUAGUUGUACCCUGGACUAUAGCUAGCAUGCCAUUAUCUCUUUCGUACAUGCUUACGGGGUCGCGCCCCCCAAGCCUCGCGUUCCGGAGUAGCUUGAGUUGAGAUUCCAUGUCAGGGACAUGAUGUUGUUGUGAGACUGGUACUGAUGGACUACGGCUUAGCAUGCCAUUGUGCGCGUUUGCACACGCUUGCGGGGUCGCUCCCCCCCAAGCCAGCACUCCCGAACAGCUUAGCGACAGAUGCGUCGCAAAUGUACGAAGUGAGCGCCCGAAAUGGAAUGCCGUGGGGGAGGGAUAUUCUAGAGUGGGGAUGUUGACUACCACGGAGCCAUUAGGCACGGCGCGAGCUUGAACUUACCUUGUGUAGAAGUCCGUAUGGAAAUUGGGUUAUGUCAAGUACUUUAACUUAGCUGGACAUAGUAGUAAAGUUACUAUAGUCUUGGGUUAAGUGAUCUAUUGACUGAGAACCAGACUAGGAAGUUGACAUCCAUGAUUGGUUAGCGACAUAAAUAAGUGUUCAUUCUUGCUAAUAUAGAAAGUAAUUACAUGAUAUUAUCUGUAAUUCCGGUAAUAAUGAAUUAUCUUGUUUGCAAUCUGGUAUAUGUUUGGGUUAAAUUGUCAAGUAUAUGAUUGAUAGAUUCAUCGUGAUAAUUGAUACCUGGCAGUCUAUCGGUAUUUAAUUGAUUGUUGAGCAAAUAGCAUGAGUAGUUUACUUGUUACAUUUGCUUAUUGCAGUUACUGGCUUAUUGCACUUACUUGCUUAUUGCAUUUACUUGCUUACUUAUUACUAUCCACUCCAUGCCAACAGUUGACCCUAGGGUGUACUUCGCCAAACUUCUCGGUGGCUUACUGUUAAUGGACACAUGGGAUCUUUGCAAAUCGCAAAGUAAUUCCGAGUGUUUUAUCUGUGUUUGAGCUUUUCCCCAGUUUGGGAGGUCGUUGAUAGUGUUGCCUGGACCCUGGACGCAUCCGCGAGGAGUGGUUGAAGUGAGAGCUUGGUGUCACGCCCACGGGACCGAUGCUGAUUUGGCCGACCCGGAGCACGUCUAAAACAUCGCCGAAUCGGACACAGAUUUUCCCUAUCAGCCCAAGGCUCUCACAUGUACAUUUUCAAUAAGAAGUGCACUAGCGGAAACAUACCAAACGGCUUACACUGAGGGUAAGCAAAUCAGCCAUUAAGUGAAAGAAAAAGAACUAAACAGUUCCAAGUAGUAGUGAUUCAUUUUAGAUCAUAUACGCAUUGCAUUCAUAUAGUAAUUAUCGAAUUUCUUACAUUCAUUACAUACAUUUCAUCAUUUCUUUCCUUACAAUCACAUUCACACUCAAAAUAAGCUUUACAAUCUUUCUUUACAUCACUAAUCCAUCAAGUACAAAAGCAUGAUAAAAGGGUGUCUACUAACAAAAUGACCCAACUUGUGGCCCAUCUGACUAAACGGCGCGAUAGCUUUUACCUCGGUCCUCGCCGGCCUCCCUCGGCAUCCCGGCUCUGUGGCAAAUAGUGUGAGGUGAGAACUACAACAAAUUCCAGUGGCUUCGGCCCCAACAUCACCACGACUUUCCCACUCAAGCGACUAAACUUCAAGGCAUAAUAGAAGGAUAAGUAAGAUAUAUAGUAACACAUCUAUACAUGAUGCUAAAUAUGGCCUGAAACAAAUAGCAAGAAAUAUGCUCAACAAUUCAAAUAAUAUGCAAGUUAGCAAAAUGUUCUUUAGUUUCUUUGCAUUUACACUUUGUUCUUUAACAUCUUUUUUCAUUAAUCAUUAAAGGCUAGCCCGGGGGUUUCGCCACUAUUAACUUGCUUCACAUUAAGUCCAUCAUCCAGAACUCACCGCAGCUAGGACCGUCCUUCACGGGUUUAUACUCCAACCCGGAUGCAUAAACUUUGAGGCGCAUACGCCCGAGGGGACGACCUACCCCACGAGCCACGAAUCACAAGCAAGUAAUCAAUAUCCUUACUCAAAGGGAUUUAUCAAGUUCAAAUCUUGACUGUUACAUCUAGCUCUAGUGUUCAUUACAUCACAUUAUAUUCAAAACUCAUGCAAUCGUUGUGUCUUUACUUUUCUUUUACUUUUUGCCACUUGAGCAUUCAUUAUUCUCAUUGCCUUGUUUGUCACUUUACUCUUAACUUAAACGAUUAAUCAUUUUCAUCAUUCUUUACAUUACAUUGGUUCUUUGCAUCACAACUAACUCUAGUGUCUUCUGUACUAUACCAUUUUCAAAUGGCCACUGCGAUCUAUGUCAUAAGUGCAUCUGUUCUUUUGCUCACUUUGGGUACUACACAUUUUCUCUCAUGCAUCAUCUACGGUUUGACAUUAUUACGGUUCUCAACCAUCUCAUUAUGCAUAUUGUGCUCACAAUCAUGCAAUCUUUCAUAUCUCAUCAGUUACGUUGGUUACGCCUAAAAUGCUGCGAACAAUAUAUAAUACAUAUGCUCACAGAACUGACACAUUACUAUAGAGGUAAUUUCAAUGAGUUUGGAAGCAACCACUCACCUCGUAGGCUUUUCAAAGGUUCUCCGAAUGAUUUUCUUGGGGAUUUUUAUUAGCUGCUCGUUCUUGUAACCUGCCGGCAAUAAACGACCCUUAUUAGCCUCCAUUUGCCCAUAACUUUUUUACAUCGGCUUUUUCGUAAUGUUAAUUCCAUAGCGCAUCCAACGUCGUCGGAAAUACCUCCCAAUUAGGUUUUAGAGGGUCAAUUGCACGUUAGCAUCCGCUCAUGACGAAAGAAGCCCGCAUUUGGGGUGCCCUAGCUCCAAUGUAUAUCAAAAACCUANNNNNNNNNNNNNNNNNNNNNNNNNUUAGGAUUGAGCUAUGCAAUGUUAUAUAACAAGUAUAAUGGCUAAACUCUGAAAGAUCAGGUAAAGGCUUGUGUUGCAUAUGCAUUCCUAAUUGUAGAAGGAAUGGUAUGGAGAUCACGUGACAAGUGUUUUAUCGUUUAUAUUCCUUCAUUCACAUGAUAGAUUCAUAUUGUGGUAUAUAUUCUAGUAAGUAACUAGAAGUUUAUAUGAUGGCAUAAUUGAAUGAUAUACAAUUGAAUAUAAUCUAGUAGAUAACUAGAUUUAAAUAUGAUGACCUACUUGUAUAGUCAAGUAGAGUUGAUUGGUUCAUCUUUGUUUGCUUCAAGUAAUAGAAGUUUAUAUUGAACUUCAGGUUAUGUGCCAUGAGUCUAUGUACAGAACCUUAGUAAACCACUUUCCUUAUGUGUAAGGAGUAGUGAGAGAUUGUGAGUGACUGACCAGGUAUAGCCUGAUAGAAUCAUUAGUGUGAUGUAAAGUUUUAACUUGUCAAGUUAUAUUAACGACUUGUAGAAUCUUGUCAACAAGUUGUUGAUAGUGACUUAUGAUUGGGUACUACAGUGCCUACCUUGGGUCGAGUUGAGAUUUCAUGUCAGAGACAUGAUGCUGUUGAGAUAGUUGUACCCUGGACUAUAGCUAGCAUGCCAUUAUACUCUUUCGUACAUGCUUACGGGGGUCGCGCCCCCCCAAGCCCCGCAUUCCGGAGUAGCUUGAGUUGAGAUUCCAUGUCAGGGACAUGAUGUUGUUGUGAGACUGGUACUGUGGACUACGGCUUGCAUGCCAUUGUGCGCGUUUGCACACGCUUGCGGGGUCGCUCCCCCCCAAGCCAGCACUCCCGAACAGCUUAGCGACAGAUGCUCGCAAAUGUACGAAGUGAGCGCCGAAAUGGAAUGCCGUGGGGGAGGCUCAUUCCUAGAGUGGGGAUGUUGACUACCACGGAGCCAUUAGGCACGGCGCGGCUUGAACUUACCUUGUGUAAGUCCGUUGGAAAUUGGGUUAUGUCAAGUACUUUAACUUUAGCUGGACAUAGUAGUAAAGUUACUAUAUGUCUUGGGUUAAGUGAACUUAUUGAUGAACAGACUAGGAAGUUGACACCAUAAUUGGUUAGCGACAUAAAUAAUGUUUCAUUCUUGCUAAUAUAGAAAGUAAUUACAUGAUAUUAUCUGUAAUUCCGGUAAUAAUGAAUUAUCUUGUUUGCAAUCUGGUAUAUGUUUGGUUAAAUUGUCAAGUAAUAUGAUUGAUAGAAUUCAUAUCAUGAUAAUUGAUACCUGCAGUCUAUCGGUAUUUAUUGAUUGUUGAGCAAAUAGCAUGAGUAGUUUACUUUUACAUUUGCUUAUUGCAGUUACUGGCUUAUUGCACUUACUUGCUUAUUGCAUUUACUUGCUUACUUAUUACUAUCCACUCAUGCCACAGUUGACCUAGGGGUGUACUUCGCCACUCUCGGUGGCUUACCCGACUGGGGGACAUAUUUGUCCUUAAUAGUUCUCACGCGCCCUUCCUUUGUUGUUGUUUUUACCAGAGCUAUCAGCAGCGGGAAAGGCGUAGGGUUCCUCGGCGAGGGGUCAGGCGGGCUAGCUAGAGCCCUUUUUGGAAACGUGUAUUCAGUGCCACCUCCAGACGCAGUUUAUGUAGUCCUGAGUCUGAUGAUUGUAUGACUUAACCUCUCAUUAUAGAUUGUAGCUCUUAUUCUUAUUUACUGUAAUAACGGUUUAUGGAACCUUGUAUACCAGUUUAAAACUUUUAAGUUUUUGCUCUGAUUACUAAUUAGAGUGCCAAAUCUUUUUACAAUACUCCAUAUCCUUGUAGCACGGGCUGGCCUGAUGAUACUUGGGUUGCUGGUUCUACCACGGCGGGUCUGUGCACGCGACUCGGCUCUCGCGCUUCCGCUGAAAUCCAGGGCAAUCAGACUACCCUAUACGGUGUAAGAAUUACUAUGCGAUCCGAAAAUGAUAGGAUGUCGAUGUUUUCGAAUUUUUGACGCCUUUGAUUUAAAUUGUAUGGUUGGGAUGAUUGCGGCCCCUCUAGGUCUAAAUAAUCAUCCCUAGGAUUGCAGUGGUCCCUACAAGAUACAUAUAUUACGUCAUUCAAUCCAAAGAUAAAAAAUGAUUGAAGGGGCUCUGAACUCUAAGAAUCAAUAAAUCCGAAGAAGGCACCAGAUCCUCUAUACCCUUUUUGAUAGCAUGUAGGCUCUACUCAUAUACUACUAUAUAUACUAUAUAUCCAUAAAUAUAUACCUAUAUAUACCCUAUACGUAUAUACGUACUAGUAUCUGAGGCUUUUCGAGCUUUUCGAGCCUAAUUCGAAUGAGCCGAGUAAUACUCAAGCUCGGUUUGAAAUGAAUUUCGAGCCUUUUUUUUUUGUUCAAGCUCAGCUCAUUUAAUUUCGAGUCGAGCUCGAGCGAGCCAAAUAUCGAGUCGAACGCGAGUCGAACGCGAGCCGGCUCGCUCAUUUGCCAGCCCUAUUCUUAAUCAUGACUUUGUUAAGUUCACGAUAGUCCACACACAAGCGAAGUGAUCCAUUACUUUUCUUGACGAACAGGACUGGUGCUCCCCAAGGUGACACACUCGGUCGCACGAAACCCUUGUCUAGAAGAUCUUGCAACUGUGCCUUCAGCUCCUUUAAUUCCGCCGGUGCCAUCCUAUAGGGCGCCUUUGAGAUUGGAGUAGUCCCGGGAACGAGAUCUACCACAAACUCAAUCUCCCUAUAAGGUGGCAUGCCUGGUAGCUCUGCUGGAAACACAUCUCCAAACUCCCGCACUACGGGGAUAUCCUCGAUCCUAGGGGCGUCCGCAUCACCCCGCGAUACCACAGUAGCCAAGUAGGCCACGCAGCCUCUACUAAUCAACUGCCUAACUCGAGAGGAGCUAAUCGUCAUCGCAAACAGCGAACUUUGGCAUCCUCGGUACACAACCUCCGCCUGCCCUGGCUCUCUAAACGUCACUGUUCGAUUCUUGCAAUCGAUAGUGGCGAAGUACUUGGUCAACCAAUCCAUGCCCAAAACAACAUCAAACUCCCCGAGUUUAUGCAAAUGUAGCAAAUCCACGGGUAUGAUCCAAUCUCCGACCCGAACAGGGCUACUGGGGCAAAACUUCCGAAUAUCCAAAGAGUGAUCGGGUAUAAUGACUCAUCCCGGAUGCAACAAAGAUGUCAGUGGGAUGCCAUGCAACUCGGCAAAUAGCCAGUCCAUGAAUAAAUGCGAUGCACCGGUAUCAAAUAAUGCUCGAACUCGAAUACCAGAAAGUAAAAUAAUACCUGCAACCACAUUCUCGGCCGCUGCCGCCUCCUCAGUCUGGGCCGCAUACAUGCGCCCGCUCGGGGUCUGUCGUGACCCCUCCGCCUGCCGCUGAACUGGUGGCCGACCGGCCUGAUGAUGCACAGAAAGCGUCCCCUGACUGGGACCUGGUGAAGCUGGUGCAGAUGCCGAUGAUGGCGCUAGCGCUGAACCCCUCGGGCAGUCCGACUGGAAAUGGCCCUCCUGGCCACACAGAUAGCACCUGCCAAGACUACGCGUACACUGCCGUGGAACAUGAGGACCACCGCAGAUCACACAGCGCGGGGCCUGGCGACGAUCAGGUCCUCCUCGCUGAGUAGACAAGCCACGCCCUCGCGACUGGCUUCGACUCCUAGGAUGCCUCGGCGGCCUCCGUGAGUACGUCUGCCUUGCACCCUCAACCGCUGGCCUCUUGCUCUUCUCUUUCUCCAUGACCUCGCGACGCUCCUGAAGCUCCACCGCGCCACUCUCCACGAUUAGCGCGCGGUUCACCACAUCUCUGAAGGUCUGAAGGUUGGAGGACUGCACUAACCAGAAAAUCGAAGGCCGUAGUCCUCGCUCGAAAAUGCGGAGCUUGUCCUCGUCAUCCCGUACCACAAAAGGUACACAGUGGAGUAGCCGAGAAAACUCCCUCUCGUACUCGGCCACCGUCCGGUCUCCCAGUCGCAUACUACGCAAAUCUUGCUCUAACUUUCUCUUGACGUUGUCAGGGAAAUAGUGCUCCAGAAGAAGCUCCUUAAACUCCCCCCAAGUGAUCGCUGCAAGGUCGGUGUUGGGGUUUUCUUGAAUGUCCAACCACUAACUAUAGGCCUCGCCGUCCAGAUGAUGUGUGGCGAGCCAAACUCUGUCCCUCUCCUCUACGAACGUAUCUCAAAACAGCUUCUCCAUGUGCAUAAGCCAUUUCUCCACGAUCCAAUGGUCCACGUUCUCCCUAUCGAAGGUCUGCGGACUACACUUCCUGAACUCGCUGAGGUGCUCCAUGAGUCGAUCUCCCUCGGCUCCCUCGACCAUCACGGGGAAAACUGCCCCCGCUGCAGGCACCAGAGCUGGUGGUGCCACAAACUCCUCCCUCUGAGGCGCAACAACCGGAGACGUCCUCAAGGUACCGGGCUUCGGGGACAGCGCCCUUGGGGUCUCGACCAUUGCCGGUGCGGGUGGGGGUGUGGGCACCUGUGCCUCCCUGGCAGCCGCCUGCUGCAUGAGCAACUCCUCCAGGCGCUCCAUCCGCGCCUCCUGUCGAAGCGCUGUGUCCGCCUGCUGCUGAGCCGCCGCCGCCUGUUGUGCGACCAAGUCAGUGAGGGCCGCCAGCUAGCUCCUCAACUCACGGACCUCGCCGGAUCCGGAGGUAGCAGAGGUCUCCACCUCCUCAAAGUUCGCCGCAUUAUCCGCUCCAACAGACUUAGAGCGUGUCGUCAGCAUUAUCACUACAACAUCAUGAAAACGCAAGUUAGAAACACUUACGUUAACGCAACCCCGCUCAACAACAAAUUUCCAAAUCAUGCGAAAGUAAGGGAGUGUCCUUUACUACUAACUCCUGAUGUUACGUUGUCGGCCGCCAACGUAACCCUCUGCGAAGUUAGAAGCCAAACACUCCAAUUAAACUCUAGCUUUUUAGAGUUAUCAUAAUACCCAAUUAUGAUACUUUCGCUCACAAGUCGAAUAGACCUCGUCUCUCACGAGCCUAUUUUCUAUAGUCCAACCGGCUUAAGGUUUGCUAGGUCCACUAAGACUCAACCCUAGGCUCUGAUACCAAAUUAAUCUGUCACGCCCCGGGACCGGCGGAGGCCUUCCCAGUAGCGCGCCCAGACCCGCCAUAUGUCUACACAUAUAAGGCAUCUACAACAACAGCGAAAAAUAAAACCAAAGAUAAUUUAUGACUAGAGAUAUCAUAGCAAGAAUACAUCUAUCAUCUAAGAGAGUAAAGAGAACAUAACUAAAUAAAGGUAAAACAUAAAGGUAUACAAUAACCAUCUCCAAAAAGAUACAAAAGGGGUGGUCUCUAUACAUAGGUACAACUCUCAACCUCUUCAAAAAGAAAACCAACGAGAGGUAGACCACCUAUCGACGUAUCCUCGACAGAAGCUAGCUCGAGGCGAUACCCUUUCCGCGGUCCCUAGCCUCUCCCGACAUGGAAGGCUUUGAAAGAAACAUAAAACAGAGGGCGUGAGAACUAUAAUUUAUAGUUCCCAGUGGGCAAUUACUGACCUUAGCUAAAUGCACCAUUAGGCCCCAAAGGAAAAAGAGUAAGAGAUAAAGCGACAAUAAUAAUAAUGAUCACAGUAACUGCAGAAAUGAAAGCAUUUAAGUUUGCUAAAUUACUAUUCCAUAAACCAUGAAUAAUAUAUGAAUCGUUCAUGUGUUCCAACAAGAGGUAGUGUGUCCAAUGCAUGGCUACUAUGUCCCAACAUGGCAACAAGUAAGUAUCACGAUCCGUUCUAUCAAUAUAUGACGAGUAUGCUCUAUCAUGGCAACCAAGUAUACUAUGAUGCAACAAGUAAAUCGUCAAGUGUACUACAUGUCUCAACACUAUGCUAUAAGCAUUUCAAUGUAGUCCAACUACUAAGCCUAUCUAAUAGUCAUUGUCAAUUCCCGGUUUGUGCCGCCUAAGUGCCUGUGGUAGCCCAACAUUCCUGCUCUAGGAAUGAGUCUGUCCCACCCGACCCCGUAGGCUUCUCAAUACCGCACAAGCGAUCAUAAGUCAUGUAGGCCAACUUCGGAGUGCCGGCUUGUAGGGAGCGACCGUCAUAAGCAUGUGCGAAUGAGCACAAAUGGCAAACAAGCGUAGUCAAAAACUCAAGUAUCCAAUCAUCAUGUCUCUAACAUGGUAUAAGCCACUAGUAACCCGAUGGUCUAGUUCUAUGUCUCAAUGUGAAAUUCCAACUUUCACUAAGUCUAGUACCCCUUUAUGACACUCAAGCUUGUUAUAAGUUAAGUCCAUUUUGUGUUCUAUGUGCCAAUUAUGACAUUAAUACAAGGUUCUCAUAUGACCCGAGCUCAAUGCCGCUUAAUGACAUUAGCUCAAUCCCUCUCAAGUGGGACAAGUACUCAAGCCUCUAAAGGCUUACUAAGAAUCCCUCAUGUCUCAAUUAAGUAUAGGUUCAAAUGCAUAAAACAAUGCUCAUUUUCUUGUAAUAGAUAUGGUUCCAAGUCCAAUACAAGUAAGCCAAAUGCUAGUGCAAGCUUCACAUGCAACUCUCUACUAUAUAGAGUCCCGAAAACUCAUUAUACAUGACAUAGGGAUGUUAGGCAUUCUAAAAUUCACAAUAAAUACGUUUAGCAUGAAAAUGCAUGAAUUUUCACUUUACGAAACAUAAAUCACCAAAUAUGAGAUUUGCUCAUAUUAUAGGCUAGGUCAAACCCACCAAACCGUCUUGAAACCCUUUGUAAGCUCAAAAGAAGUUGUCCACAAGUCUUCUAGCACCCUAAAGGUAACAAAAGAAGAGACAAACGGACGUUACGAACAAACCUAGGCUCAAACUUUAAAGAUCUUAAGAAAAGGGCCACAACUCACCUCUAAAGUAAAAAUCUCUUCUCAAGCUCCAAAAGAGAGCUAGAACCCUUCCAAUCCAAGCUAAAGGAAGGUUCUAAUCCAAGAGAUUGAGCUCCAAAAGCCCUAGAUCCAAAAUGCCCAAAAACAACCCUAACAUCUCAUUCUAGGGUUUCAUCUCAAAGAAACCAUCAAAUCUUGAAAUCUUGAGGAAAGAACAAAUUGCUUUCCUCUUAGAAGCUUCAUUCCCAGCAUAAAACCCUCUAGGUUCUAAGAUCUUCCCCCAAACAAGCUCCAAGUCCAAGCUUUAAGCUUCAACCAUGGUGGAAAUGCACUAAAAGGGAAAAAGAGAAGAAUUAAUCUACCAAAAUCCAAGCAAAAAGGGAUAUAAAUCCAACAAGGGAAAGAGAGGGGGGUCCCUUACCUUGAUCUCCACCUUUCUCAGCUCAGGGAAGGCUCAAGGGGCAUGGGUGGUAUUAUAGAAAAGCCACAAUCGCAAAAACACCCCUGCAGUUCAAACUGCUCAAAAACUGCCAAACCCGUGUACCGGUACACACCCCACGAGAAUGCCAACCCGAGCCUCAGGUUGGCUAAAAAACGCAUCUGUACCGGUAUGACAUUGAGGCUGUACCGGUACAAAAUAUGUUUCGGUACAACCAUCAAGAUUGUACUAGUACACAAUCCUGCAGAGGCAAUCCGAGAGUAGACCAAAAAUCCGACUUUUCGGGUUUUGGUGCAAAGCUCAAAGCUCCAAUUCUCGGGAUGCGAGCCACAGGUCGGAACACUAUCUACGACCCUCCAAAAACUGUGGAACAGUUCAGAACACAACCAAUCACUCGAACCUCGCAUUUGCAAAGGUCCAGUGUGUUACAUUCACCCCUCCUAAAGAGGAGUUUCGUCCGCGAAACUCAAAAAAAGUAAAGUACCUCAAGCCUCCAUCUUAAAAAGAACCUUAAUAACGAGUGGCAUCUAGUUAAAUGUAAACACAAGAACGAGUGGCAUAUAAGAACCUUAGUGUAGUUGAAACACUAGGAUGCUUAGUAUAGAAAUACAUUGAUUCCAUGAUGAUGACAACCCUAGUUGGUAGGGUAUCCUCAGUUGACGAGGAUUGGAUCGUGCUCGCGUAGCCUGUUAUAUGCUUGUCGUGGUCGCUCCACACAAGCUGUGCACUCCGGAGGUAUGGUCACACAUGAGGGCAGUAGCUAGCUGUCCGCAGGCGGUCUCGGGUGAGUCGAGCGGCUGGGACUCCUCACCUAUGAGAUUGAGACGUGAGAUUGAGAGCGAGCCUUCGGGCUAGCCGAGUAAUUGGGUGAUCUAAUGGAUAGCAUCAUUGUUGGACAUAGUAGCAUGGUAGCUAGCCUUUUACUAUGUAGUGCAUGCAUUCAUUACACGGGAUUGAGGCAUAGUAGGAUACUUGCAUUUCCACUUGCUAUAUCAUUGUUGUUGUUUUCAUUUCCACAUAUCUAUCUAUCUAUCUAUCUGUCUUCCUACGCCUGCUUAGACCUAGUGGGGAGAUCGGCGGAGUCGGCGGCCGAACCCACUGGGAACUAUGGACAAUAGUUCUCACCUCACUCUAUUGCAGGGCCGAGCUUGAGUACCCCCGGCGAGGAUCGUGGCAAGGUCCUUGCGCCCUAGUGUUGGUAGAUGCUUCCUAUUGCAUUAGUAGUCACCCUAUAUGCUUGAGAGUAGAUGAUGUAUAGGUGUGAGAUAGUUUGGAAGAUUGUAAACUUUAUGUUUAUGUUUUGAAAGAAUGUAAAGUUAAUCAAGUGUAUUAAAGUUGAAUGGAUGUAAAAGAUUAGUAUAUCUCUUUUGUUCACUUGUUUAUUACUUGUGAUGCUUGCUCUUGAUUGUUUAGCACUGGUUGUGCUCUCGCUAUUGUUGUUGAUUGUGUAUGUAUUUCAAGUUGUUUUUCCUCGGCACUUGUUGUACACAAUCUUGAUGCUUAGCCUUCGGCGGACAGAAGAGGUACUUCCGUUCAGCGUCUGUUCGACGCACCCGAACCGGACCAAAUUGGUAGCACUGGUUGUGCUCUCGCUAUUGUUGUUGAUUGUGUAUGUAUUUCAAGUUGUUUUUUCUGGGCACUUGUUGUACACAAUCUUGAUGCUUAGCCUUGGGCAGACAGGGGAGGUACUGUCCGUUCGGCGUCUGUUCGACGCACCCAAACCGGACCAAAUUGGUAGCGGUCUCGGGGCGUGACAGUACAAGUUCUUCUUGGGUUAAGAUAAUUUCUACCUCUUUUUCCUUUGAUUUUUAGUGAUUUUCGUCGUAAGCUUUUUAGAAGCUUGUAACCCCUUAAAAAUUUUUCUUAGGGCAUGGAAAGUUUAGGGGGCAACUUCGUCGGAGAAACGAUUGAGGUUUCGGAGGUUAUCCGGUGGGUUUGACGUCACCGAAAUGGGUGAACUCCCCCUACAUCUCCUAUCUUGUUAUAGGAUUUAAUAGAUGUAUAUUCAUGACAUUCAUGAUGUUGUGGAAUUUUUGGAUGCAUGACAUAUUCAUGUUAUUUAUGAAACUUUGCAUAUUCUAUGCAAAAAGGGAGAUUUUUGACAUACUCUAUGUAGUAGAGUAGCAUGAUAUACUCUAUGUAGAGGAGGUAUACUUGAUAUACUCUAUGUGCUAGAGCAUACUAUAUCAUAUGUUGUAUUAGAUUCCUCCUAUGUAAACAUAGGAAUGUGUGUUAGAGAUGAAUUCUAAGGUCAUAUGAGACUCUAGAUGGAUAGUGAAAUUCUUGGAUUCGAAAUUGCAUAGCAAUUAAUAUAUUUGCUAUAGAUAAAGGUAAACAUGACGUAUUGCAUGAUAAGAUGUGGAGCUAAGAAUAUUGCAUUUAGUUUAAAUGGACAAGUAAGUUGACAUUAUGAUAUUGUACUCGACUGUUGAGUCGAUAAAUAAAAUUUCAUUUUUUAGACACGAUGACAAGUUUUCUAUGCAUUCGAUUAAAUAAAUGACUAAAGUAUAUGCUUGCAUAGUUAAAUAAAAGUUAAUUAUUUGCAUGACAAUUUCAUACUCCAUGUAGUGGAGGCCUAUGUAGUAAGACAUAUGCAUGACAUGUACUAUGAUCUUGUGGACACCCUUGGAGGAUCAUUGAACAUGACAUUAGUAAGUUAUCCUUUUCAUAGUGGAUAGUGAAAAUGGUACAUGUGGGUAUAUGGGUGUAGCCCGUUAGAUUCAUGAAUGAGAUGUAAACUUUUUGCAUGCUUGAGUUAGGACACAUAUUGGUAGGGACAUGCCACCAAAUAAAUUGAGAACAAAAUAUGACAUUUAUGUUAUAGUAUCCGACCUUGAGUCGAUGUUUGAGAUUCCAUGGUUUAGACAUGAUGAUUGAGGCCGAUUGCCUUGGACAUGACGCCUAUGAUCACGCUUGCUUACCAUUGUGCUCAUUUGCACAAGCUUGUGAGCGUCACUCCCUACACUCCGGCACUCCGGAGUUACCCUUUGCGACAACAUACUCGCCCCUGCGGGAUUGGGCGCCGAAGUGGAUUGCCGUGGGGGAGGCUCAUUCCUAGCGGGGGAAUGUUGAGUACCACGGGGCCAUUAGGCACGGCACAAGCCGACACAUUACCAUGUGUAAGUCUCUCGUUAAUUAGGUAAAUGUAAUUGAACUUGACAUAAUACAUCAUAAUUAGUCGAUGCGCAUAAAGUAGCUAGUUAUACUAGUGGACUAUCACCUUGUGACGUUACUUGAUGUAUUCAUAAUAGUUGGCAUUUAUGUUAGUAAUUAUUGCAUGGACCAGCUUAGUGGUAGUAAAUCUAUACACAAAUGUUGAUUAGUUUGGAAGGAUAGCUAUAUGAGAAAAUGAAAGUAAAAUAUCUGUAUAUGUAAAUUUGCAUGUAGACUCGCAUAUCCUGUUACUUGUGCAUGUGACAGUAGAAAAUUGCAUACAUAUUAAAUGACAUCAUCAUGUAGAGACAUGACUAUAAUGNUGCAUGUAGACUCGCAUAUCCUGUUACUUGUGCAUGUGACAGUAGAAAAUUGCAUACAUAUUAAAUGACAUCAUCAUGUAGAGACAUGACUAUAAUGGAAUGUUCAAUUUAUUGUUAACUGCAUGCUUGAUACUUAAUGCAUAUUAUCAUGUCUCAGUUGACCUAAUGGUGUAUCUCGCCACUCUCGGCUGCUUACCCACUGGGAACUAUUGUAGUGUACCGAAUUUUUAAUAUAGAAGUAACUAUAAAUAAAAAUAGUGUGAGAUACUAUUUUUAUUGGACUUAAAAAAGUAAAAAAUAAGUCAGAAACGACUUGUGCUGAAAUCAGAACGGAAACAGAAGAUUAGAAUUUUCUGUAAAGAACGGGGCUGAUAUUUUAGCAGAAAAUGCACAAUGUUAGAAAAUUAUGAAAACUGAAGAAUAUGUCGAAAAUAUUUUUAUGAGGCUAGAUUUAAUAUUUCAUGUCAAUCCGACACCCAGAAGGUGAAAAAUAAAAUCCGACUGCUAUCUGCUAGAGAUUAUAGUUCGGUAGAAUUUUCGGCGACCAAACAUGGUCGAAACUGAAUGAUUAACAUUUUUUUUGUACUUAUUAAGUAAACCCGAGCCUGAUUGUCAAAUUUGAGCGCAAACGGACAUUCAGAAAAGCUCCGGCGAAAAACAUCAGUUUGUAGCAGCUAAACUACUAGAUGAAUAGUGCUUUUGGGAGGGGGGAGGAGUUUACUUGGAGGUGAAGUUUCCUAUAUAUAUGAGGGUGUUAUGUCAUUUUCCCUAAUUCCUCUCAACUUGAGCCAACAUAAGAGAAAUCCCUUUCUCUCUCUAAACAUCUUUCUCUCUCUCUCUCUCUAAGAUUGGCUCCAAAGGGUGGAGUUUGGUAGAGAAGAGCUUACUUGGAGGUGAAGCAAUCUUCUUCUUCACCAUUAGCUUGAGGAGAAGCUUGAGUUAGAGGUAAGCUUUGAGAGUAUUGUGGAUUUUGAGGGUUUAUGGUUAGGAUUUUAUAUAAAUCCCUUAUAAAUGAGUUUAAUUGGAAUUCUAGUUUAUUCUAAACCAUAUUAUUGCAUAAUCUAUCAUGAGAUUUAGAUUUUAUGCAAUAUAAGGAUUUUUAGAGUUUCAAAAGAGGGCUUUUGAUCAUGAGAGGUUUUGAUCUCAAUUGAUCAUAUGUUCUGCAAUUGAAGGUAAAACCGACGCGGAGGAUCACUCGGAUUGAGAUUCCGUUGAGCCGGUGGUGGUCAAAGUGAAGAAAAUCUUGUUUUUGCUUCGUUUGCCGCAGUCGGAAGAAAUCGACGGCCAUAAAUCGUGCUGCUAGGCUACCCACUUCGUGUCGACGCCAUGAGGUGGGGGGUGCUAUCCGAAUUAGCUGAGUUUCAUUCUAUGUCUAAGUUCUACUAUUAUUGAUCAUAUAUCAUCAUGUAUAGAAUAGUGAGAAUCCUAUGAGUUGUGGUAAUUUCAUGCUUAGUGUGAGGGAUGAUGAUCCAUGAUUGCAUGAUACUUGUAGGAAUAUCUAUUUGCAUGAUGUUGAGAUGGAUGUGGACAUGUAUGUUGCAUGAGAACUUUUAUAUGAUGCCAAUAUAGAUAUUUAUACAUGUUGUAUGAGUUGCUAGUGGACAUAUGCAUGUGGAUAUGAUGUGAGAAUAGACUAGAUUCAUGAGGAACUAGUAUGUGAACCAAUGACAUUGUGAGAAUUGGAAACCAUUGCAUAUGGAAACCAUUGCAUAUGUGGCCGACUUGAGCAUAGCAUGCCUUGUGAUGGAUAGGGAUGUGGUAUUCCCGCGGUCCUCGGGUGGGGGGGACUUAAUCAUACUCGCAUUGUCUGUUAUAGCUUGUGGAUGGUCGCGCCUCCCAAGCAGUGAGCUUGGAGUUGUAUCACAGUGAGAUUGAGACGGGGGAGAGAGUCACCGACGGUGCCCCGGUAGACGGUCACGGUCGCGUGGCAGUAUGUGUGGCGAGUGAUUCGACCUUCAGGCGAAUCGUUUGGAUUUGACACAAGGCAUGAUCAUGGCAUUUCAUAUAUAGUUGCAUACAUGGUAGAACUUAAACUUAUACUUUUUGACAUUUGGUAAAGGCAUAGCUACACAUUUGAGCAUGAUAUAGAUGUGGAUGAGCAAGGUAGGCUUAUUGUAUAUCUAUUAUUCCUUUGACAUGUUGACCUCUUAUUGUUCUAUGCCUUUCUUAGACCUAGUGGAAAAAUCGGCGGGGACGGUGGCCGAACCCACUGGGAACUAUGGAUAAUAAUUCUCACACCCUGUUUUGCAGAGCCUAGUACGAGCGCGUUGUGUCGAGGAUCCGGCAAGGAGUCGCGGCCCUAGAUAGAGGGACCACGGGUAGCUCACUACCUCGAGUAUAAAAAGAAAGAAUGAUAUGUAAAACCCUUUUGUGAGAAAUGAGAUAUAUAUGAGAGAUGGCAUUUUGGUUGUAUGUAUGAGAAGUAUAAGUGAAAUAUGUAAUGGUUCAUGUGUCGUGAACAAGUGAUGUAAUAGAUAGUUUAAAUUCUCUUGUAUCUGUGAUUGCCUCUCUCAAUGUUGAAUGCUAACAUCUCUUGUUAGAUAUGUAUGCAUAGACUUUGUUACGCUUCGGGCGGACAGGGGAAACUCUGCCCGUUCGGCGGAUCUGUUUCGGGCCCGAACUGUCCAAAUUGGCGGUGUCGGGUCGUGACAACUAUUGUUUAAUAGUUCUCACCCCCAUUUGUUGUUUGUUUUUUUAUUUCAGAGCCUUCCACAGCGGGAGAGGCUAGAGAUAGUGGCAAGGGGUCAUCGAUUAGUUAGAGCCUCCUCGGUGUUAUUAUAGUCGGACCCAUAGAUACUUUUCUUUUGGUUUAGUUGAAUGAUGUAUAUUUGUAGUUUAUUCGAGAUUUCAUAAUUUUCAAGAUGUACCAUUUGUUCGACUUGUUGUAUAUCUUGCACCUUAUAUUUGUAGUAGAAUUAUUUUCUCACUCUGAUUACCAUGUUUAUGAUUGAUUCCUAUUUCUUUUUAUGGUUGUUGUAGACGCCUUGUGUGCACCAGGAGUGUUUGGUGUACACGGCAGAUCUAUGCACGCGCCCGGUGGGCUUCCGCUGCAGCCCGUGGCGUGACAAGUGUCGAGUGAUUUUUUGUGCUCUUCUAUCUUUUGGGCUUUCUAGGAUCAGUUUAAGUUUAAUGGUAUUACAUGUAUUGACUUUCAACUUAUUUUUAGGGUUGCAAAUAAUGGAUUUAAAUAUUUGCUGGCAUCUUACAUGACCUUAUGCUCAUAUAUCACGAACAAGUAUGAAUCGAAUAACAAAAACUUUUCUUAUGCAUUUACUUUAUGUUUCUAUAAUUUGUGAAGGCAGUUAGCACAGUAUGGUUGAUUCUGGGCAUGCUUUUGAAGUGUUCUAUUGGUGAGGGAAAAGAUUCACACCACUUGCCCCCUCUGUAACAUUCUAUAAUUGUGUUGUUAGUUUCUUAAUUAUCAAAUUUUUUUAAAGUUGUAAUUCUAAGCAGUUAUUAAUUUAUUAACAUAUGCUAAGGCUUUCUACAUUAUGGUGUGCAGAAUUUGAUAAUGAAAAAAAUUAAAAAGCUUCCAAACUCUAUUGAACACAACGAUAAAGGACAUCUCGCUUGGGAAGAUGAUAUAUAUAUACUCCUAAGUAAUUGGGGAGGAGAGGCAUGGACAAGUGCGUGGAUUGGGACUUGGUCCGAUGCCUACUAGCUUGUGGUCUCAUGGUUCUUUAUAUCAAUCAGCUUCAAAGGAUUUUGAGAAAAUAAAGAAGCUAGAGAAAUAAAUUAAACUGAUGGAGCAACAUCAUGCGAAGGAGAUGAAGAUUAUGAAAGAAAAUCAAGCAUAUUUAGAGGUUGAAGUUGCAAUGAUAAGGUCAAUCAUAAGUAGAAGAUUUUCUGAAGAGACGAUAUCUUGUUGUUCUCGAUCCCAAUGAAAGAUAAGAGAGUUUUACUUAUCAAAGUUUUUUGUUCCUUCUCCUCUUUAAUAGUGUUAUAUGCUUGUAGACCAUUUUUGAGCUACUAAAUUACUUAGUUAGCAUAAUGUGCUUGAUAAUACUUGAAGCAAAUUAUUUUAAAUCAUUAAAAUACUUUCUUGUUAUCAUAACCAUUUAUUUUUUAUUCUCAUGAUGUUCAUGAAAUAGGUUUCUGAUGCUUCUAGUUCUUAUCAUGAUAUGGGUGUACAAAUUACUCAUUGUUCUAGUUCUUUACAUACAACUUGAUUUGCCUAUUAAGGUAAUGUUUUUAACAACUUCUAUUUAGAUUUUUUUUAAAUUUGAAUCAAUUUCUAUUUCAGCUUCUCGAAGAUAGUUUUGAUGAGGAUGUUGAUCUUAGGGUUAGUUUAAUCUCAAUUUUUGGGUUUAUUUGGUGACAUUUUUUAGCUAGAUAUCAUCUUCGAACUCUAACUGGUAGUUCUAAACAUUUCACCCUUCGGACUCCAACUAGUAGCUCUAGACAUUUCAUCCGCCAACCAUAUAACUUCUGUUUUUCGAAUAGAAAAGUUGUUCUAGAAUUCGAAGCUAAAUAAGCACUUACCUUACUUAGCCCUAUAUCUUUGAAGGAAUUUGUUGUUGGUUUGUAAAUUAGGAUUAAUGUUAUGUUGUUGCCUCGUAGGAUUUGCACGAGAUAUUGACCAAGCUGAGAGACGAACAACACUAUUGCCUUUAUUCUAGAUGCCAGGUAAGUAGAAUGCUUCAAAAUGUUUUUAGCUUCCAUAGAAUAAUUUUUCCUUAUAAUUAUGUUUAUUUUUUUGGUAAAUAAGUUUCAUAUAUGGUCAUUUNAGUAGAAUGCUUCAAAAUGUUUUUAGCUUCCAUAGAAUAAUUUUUCCUUAUAAUUAUGUUUAUUUUUUUGGUAAAUAAGUUUCAUAUAUGGUCAUUUCAAUUUUCCAAUCUUUCUACUAGCUGUCAAUCUUAUUUUUGACUUCAAUUUGGUAAUUCUUAUCAAUAGAUGAUUUGCGAGAACCUCUUAAGUUUAGUCCUACCAAUCUAAUCCUCAAACAUGUAACUUAUAAUUCCUAAGAGUUAAAUUCUAGGAAUUUACCUUUUUCCUAGGGUGUUUGAUACCUAAUCCAAAUACUACUGUAAGUACAGAGCUUAGCAUUGGGAUAUUUUGGAUAGAGCACAGUUUUGGGUGAGAAUUCCUUCAUUCCUAAAUUUGUUUCUAUAUCUUCUCCUCUAUUCUUCUACCAACCACUUUCUAAAAGUACACUAGAGUUUUUUUUUUCCCUUUGCUGAAAGUUUGUGAUAUCAAGAUUCAAACUUCCUUUCGAGCACCCAAAGUUCUAUUCCAAGUGAUCGAAGUUUUGUUACGGGUGUCCGAAAAGUCUACAACGCAGGUUCCACUUCAUUCGGAACUACAUUUUUAGAUGGUCAUACUAUUGGAUUUCCCAUCAUUCAAAAUAAGUUGAAAGCAUAGAGGCCUCCGUACUUUUGAAAGCACUGUAGCCUUACGCGCGCUCUCUCUCUCUGUAAUAUACCGAAUUUUAAUAUAAAGGUAAGUAUAAAUAAAAAUAGUAUGAGAUAUUAUUUUUAUUUGAUUUAAAGAAGUAAAAUAUGAGUCGGAAGUGACUUGUGCUGAAAUCGGAAUAAAAACAGAAGAUUUAAAAUUUUCUAUAAAGAACGGGGCUGAUAUUUUAGCAGAAAAUGCACAGUGUCAGAAAUUAUGAAAAUUGGAGAAUAUAUCAGAAUUAUUUUUAUGAGACUAGAUUUAAAGUUUCAUGUCAUUCCGACACCCGAAAAGUGAAAAUAAAAUCUGACUGCUAUUUGCUAGAGAUUUUAGUUCGGUAGAGCUUUCGGUGACAAAAAAUGGUCGAAACUGAGAAGUUAAGAUAUUGUUUUUCUUGUUAAGUUAAACCGAGCCUGACUGUCAAAUUUGAGUGCAAACUGACAUUCAGAAAGGCUCCGGCGAAAAAUAUCAGAUUCUGAAAGCUAAACUGAAAGUGAAUAGUGUAUGUUUGGGGGACCUAUAUAUAAACCCACACUCCUCCCUUGUCUUGUCCAGCACGAAAGAGAUGAGAGGAGAGCUCUCUUUCUCUCUUUCUCUCUAGCUUUCAUCUCUCUUUCCCUCUCUUAUAAUCUCUCCACUAAAGAGAGGAAAUGGAGGAGAAUAGUGAAGAAGGUUGCUUGGAGGUGAAGUCUUCAUCCUCUUUAUUACUUGGCUUGAGGAAAAGCUUGUGUUUGAGGUAAGCUUCAUGAACCCUAAUGGUGAAUGGUUAGGGUUUGGUUUAAUUACUCUAGAAUUGGUCUAGAUGGAAAUCCUAGAUGAUGUUAGGUUGCUAUUUGUUUGAAUCAUGAGUUUAUAUAGUGUAUUCUUGCAGUAGUGACUUCUAGGAUUUUGAAAGAGGGCUUUUGAUCAUAGUUGAGUUUGAUUUAAAUUGAGCCUAUAAAACUCUAAUUGAAGGUAAAGUUAACAACGUGGGUGACUCAAAUCGAAGUUCCUAUGAUCGUGCGACGAGUAAUUGAAGAAAAGGACUAUUUUGGCUUAGUUUUCGCCUGGAGGGCCAAGGCAACGUCCAAAAAUCACGAAUAAUGUUCUAGUAGUGUCUAGAGUAUUUCUAGUAUGUUUCUUCAGGAGAUUUGGGUUUAUUUGGAGGUUUUCUUAUGCUAGGGCUAGGAUAGAGGUUUUGGGCAAAUGUGGGUUUUGAUCUAAUUAAACCCAAUUUUUCUCUAAUUGAAGGUUAGAGAAAGGCCCUUGAUGACCCUAGGUUACGGAUUGACGGAUGUUCGGCGAUUAUUUGCGAGUUCGAGCUGAACCGAACCAUGAGUGCCGCAGGAGACCAAUUGCAAGUGACUACAAGCAAUCGGAACCCGUUAAGGGGUGGGUUCUGCUUACCGAAAUGUUUAGCUCACUUCUAUGUCGAAGUGGAUCAUUAUGUAUUAUUGACGCAUAUAAUGGUAGCUACUUGUAAAACAUAUGAAUGCAUGAGGUGAAUGCUAUGUUAUCUACCAUUGAAUGCUAGAUGAAUGCAUGUGAUUGAUGCGAGUUGAAUGCAUAAGGUAAAUGGCAUAUGAAUGUUAACAUUAUAAGAAUAUACUAGAUGGUUGAUAAAUGUUGACAUUGUGAGGAAAUGCUAGAGGUAACAUGUAAGGAAGUGAAUUCUCAAAAUCCGAGAGUUGUACUUCAUCCAGGAUCGACUAAUUGUCAAGCGAAUAUCCUUCGGGAAAGCUAAAGUUAUCCAAAACAUAAAAAGUGUAUUGGAGUUGAGUCCGCGAGAGCAUAUAGUGCAAAACCUAUACUGGGCUGAAGUUGCUCUCGGGGACUGGUCCCUGGCAGGGAGAGACCGGUCCCCGAGGCUGGUGGUUGCUGGGGAUUUUUGAUGCAACCGGUCCCUAGCUGAGAGGGACCAGUCCCCGUGUGCGACGCCAGCGAGAGAAGGCCAAGAUCGGCUAAGUCCUAAAAAUCGAGCUCUCGGGGAUCGGUCUCUCAGGCGAGGACCGGUCUCCCAGGGAGAGACCGGUUCCCGAACGCGAGAAGGGCCCCUGGCAGCAUGGGCUGCUCUCGGGGACCGGUCCCAAGUCGGGGAGACCGGUCCCUCCGCGCGAAUUCUGCCCAGUGAAGGCAGGUUGAGAGAUGAAAAGUUGAGGGGCUAAAAUGGAUUUUGUUACAAUAGAGGGGCUUAUGAGCCCACUCCCUCUCUCAUUCUCUCAUUCUCUCUCUUUCUUACACUCUCUCUUGCUCCCUCUCUCUCUCUAGAAAAGAAAGAACAAAAGAGAAGGAGAAGAAGGAAGAGAAAAAGAAGAAGGAGGAGAAGAAGAAGAAGAAGAAGAAGGAGGAGAUCAAGCUAGAGAAGGCUUGGAGCAUCUUCCUCUCUUCUCUCCUCUCCAUUGGUGUAGCUCAAGAGGUAAGCUACAAACCCUAACUUGUAGAACUUAGGGUUUUUGGGUUUUGAGCUUUGGAAAUAGGGUCAAAUGGACCCCUAGCACCAUUGUUGGUGGAUCAAAGUUAGAGUUAGGGUUUCAUGGUGCAAAUGGCAUGAUGCUAACCCUAGGGCACCCAAAAUGGGGUUUUUAGUAAAGUAUGAGAUUGAUCUCAUUUGAGGCCUUGUAAACCUAAUUGGUAGGUCACAAAACGCGGGGGCGAAGUCGAUUUCACGAUUCGACUAGUGGAUUGGAAGCUAUCGGCGAAAUACGGCCGAUUUAGCAUUGUCUCGGACCAAGGAAGGCUAAAACCUUUUCGUAAAGUUCGCCGAGGAACAUUUCUAAAGCCUCUACAUCGAUAGAAGGUGGGGGGUGCCAUCCGAAACUUUCGAACUCCUUUCUAUGUCUUAGAUUGCAUUUAAUCUCAUCUCUUACAUGUUGCAUUGUAGGAUUGCAUAGUAGUACCAUUCCUUAUGCUUUCUAAUUGAUAACCUAGUGUACUUGGAACGCUUGGUAACUUAGAUAGGUGAGGAUUAGGUCGGAACAUGGAUCCUAUGAUGCAAAAGAAGAGAGAGAACCCGAUGGGGGUGUUGAUGACAUAGAAAGUGGUGUUUAAUGUUAAAGAACAAACGAGUGGCAUCCAAAUGUUAAAGAAUAACGAGUGGCAUUAAUGUAGUGUAAAUGACACUAGAGAUUUGAGAACCUAGGGAUAGGUGAAUUCCUUAGAAAAUGCCUUGUGGAUAAAGAACUUAGUAAACCUAAGUACCUUCACAUGGAGAGGUUGUCGAUGAGUUAUUGAGAUAUUGACCCUAGUUGUAGGGCAUCCUCACUUGGAGAGGAUUUGAUUGGGUUGUUGACCCUAGUUGUCGAGCAUCCUCACUUGGAGAGGAUUCGAUUGGGUUGUUGAUCCUAGUUGUAGGGUAUCCUCACUUGGAGAGGAUAGAUCUAGCUCACAGUCUACUUUUGGGGUGGUAUAGCCAUCCAUAUCCCCACAUGGAGGGGAUUGUCGUCGAGUACUCCGGAGUGUCGGACGAUUAGGACCACUUGGAGGUCCGGAUCACAUGGAGGUCCGCAGAUGGUCCCGGGCUUGGGUGCACUUGGAGCUCCCUCCCCACUUUGGGAUUGAAAGGUGAGUUAUUGGCGAACCCAAAGGCUUCGUUACAGAUUGGGUAAAAGAAUAGUGAACAAUGUCAUUGAACAUUAUUAUUCGAAUAUGGAUCGAAUUCGUUAGCAUGAUAGUAAACAUUUACUAUAUGAUGCAUGCAUUCAUUACACAUGAUUAUGGGCAUAGUAGCAUAGUUUUCCUACUAUCGCAUUUACAGUUUUCAGAUAUCUAUCUAUCUAUCUAUCUGUUGUUGCUUGUGCCCACUUGGACCUAGUGGAGAGAUCGGCAGAGUCGGCGGCCGAGCCCACUGGGAACUAUGGAAGAUAGUUCUCACCCCACUCUAUUUCCAGUGGUAGGUACAGGGCUGCCGAGAGAGGACCGCGGCAAGGGCAUCGCGCCCGACCAGUGAGACCGUGGUAGUAUAGUAUCUUUCCUUUUUGCAUUAGUACACCUAUGUAUUGAGAGAGAUUCAUUGUAGGUGAGGAUUUGGAGAGCUAUGUAUUUUGGAUGAAAAAUGUAAUCAUUUAAAGAAAAUGAUGUAAAUGAAAAUGAUGAACUAUUGUAAUAGUUAGCAAAGUACUCUCUUUAUUUCACAUGUUAUUCCUGUGGAUUACUUGCUCUUGUAGUUGCUGGCACUAUUUGUGCCCCGUUGAAUGUGUAUGUUUAUAAUUUAAAUUCCUGAAAAAUUCUUGUACACAUUCUUGUUGUGAGCCUUGGGCGGACAGGGGAGGUGCUGUCCGUUCGGCGGUCCGCUCGCCGCGUCCGAAUCGUGCCAAAUUGGUAGUGAUUUCGGGGUGGGGCGUGACAUAACAUGCAUGUUAACAUAUUGUGGAUUAUGUUAGAUAAUGAUGCAUAAUGACAUAUGGUGGAUUAUGCUAGAUGAACUAUACAUGUUGAUAUGUUGCGGAUUAUGUUAAAUAACAUAUGCAUGUUGAACUUGAGGUUUAUAUAGUGACAUAACGAGUGGCAUGUAAAUAAUGUUGAUAACAUGACGAGUGGCAUGAAAACUUAGUGUAAAAGAAACACUUAUGACAUAGUGAAUUUAGGGAUAAGUGGAUUUCCCUAGCUAUCAUAUGUUGCAUGAGAGCUUAGUGUGGUCGAGACACUUGACAUGGAUAUUAGGAUAUGUGGAUUCCUGAGUGAUGGUUAACUUUAGUUGACAAGGUAUCCUCAGUUGGCGAGGAUUGAAUCAUAUUCACAUAGUCUGUUUGAGCUUGGGGUGGUUGCUCCACACAAGCAAUGCACUCUGGAGUUGUCACACGAGCGGGGUAGCUCCUUACCGGGUGGGAUAAGAGCGGGGUAGCUCCUCACCUAUGAGAUUUGAGAUGUGAGUCGGGGCGAAGAGCGGGGUAGCUCCUCCCCUGUGGGGUUUGAGAUCUGAGUCAGGGCGUAACCUUCGGGUUAGCCAGUGAGAUUGGGUGACAAGCAUAGGAUACUGGGUGGAUUUGGCAUCCCAGUUGAGUGGAUUUAAGGCUGAAGUGCAAGUGAGAUGUCCUUUGCCUCGAGCCUGACUUUGCACGGUAUUCCGCGGAUGAUUGACUCAAGACCAAGUCGGGUAGAUAGUAUUGUAAAGGUAGAUAAAACCUUAUGAACAGAAUUGUCAAGGACAUGAAUUUAAGAUAGAGGAAACCUUAGAUGUCAAUUGAAUGAGCUGUGGAUAGUAGGAUUGAAAGUAGUAUCAAUUGAUCUACUAGUUGGUUGCAUAGUUGCAUAAAUUGCAUGAUUUGCAUCGUUGCAUGUUGCGAGGCAUGAACAUGAUGAUUGUUAGUUGCAUAUAUAUAUAUAUAUAUAUAUAUAUAUAUAUAUAUAUAGAAUUAGGCCGGAAUAGUAGCCCAGUCCAACUCUCUCUCUCUCUCUCUCUCUCUCUCUCUCUCUCUAUAUAUAUAUAUAUAUAUAUAUAUAUCUGUGGAUAUUUGUUGGACUAACAUGUUUGCAGUGCCUCCUUCGGAUCUGGUGGGUCGAGCUUUUCCCUUGGGUAGCCGUACCAACUAGAAACUAUGGACAAUAGUUCUCACCCCUCGUGUUGUUUUGGAGGUUACAAGUUCACAGGCGAGCGACGCGGCGGCGUGAGGAAAUGACGUAGCUCCGUAGAUAGCGCCCUACCACCGAGACCAGAGAUAGUGGUACCUUGAGUCGGCCUAACUUAGGGAUGAAAAAGAAAGCAAAGAAUCAAAUUUUGUAGUCAAUGAUUGCAUUUGGGAGUUGAAUGUAUAACAAGUUGUAACUUGUAAAUGCUUGUGAGUUGAAUGCUUGUAAUAGAUAGACUCUUUCUCUUGCUAGCUUGUAAUUAUUACUCGCUUGGAUCAUGUAUGUUGUUGAUGUUAUUCUUGGGUAACUAGAUGUACAUGAUGAUCUUGUUGUGCCUUGGGCGGAUAGGGGAGACUCUGUCCGUUCGACGCCUGUUGCCGAGCCCAAACCGACCAAAUAGGCGGUUCUGGGCUCUCACACUCUCUCUCUCUCUUUCUAUACACACACACACACACACACAUAUACAUGUAUAUGGAAUUAGGCUACUAACUACUAAUAUCAAAAAAUCAUUGGUGCUAUUAGGCUUUUGGUUUUUGAAGAUGAAGGGAUGUGCGGUUAGAACGAUAAUGGUCCUUUAGGGUUGAGGAUGAUUGUUUGAAUAGUAUGAUCUAACAGGUAAAAAUGAUUAAAGAGGUAGAUCUAAUAGCGAAAAACUCGAUAGUAACCGAACUCCAUGUAUAUGUAUGUGUAUGCAUAUAUACAUGUGUGUGUGUGUGUGUGUGUGUGUAUAUAUAUAUAUAAAAGCACGUAUUUCAAAUUUGGGUCUGUCGACAGACCCAUUUUUUGGCGGAAAAAAAAAUAUUGUUUCCUUUUUCCUUACGUGAAAUAAAUAACGUAAUGAAACAAUCUUUUAAUUUCUAUCUAUCUCUAAAAUAGAAAAAAAAAUACACUUAUCCAAAUUUUUGCCAACCGAAAGAUAUUUACUGUGAAUCUAUAUUUUUAUUAAAAUUUUAUUUAAUUUUUUUAUCUCUAAAAUAGAAAAAAAAAAUCAUGCUUAUCCAAAUUUUUGCCAGAAUAUCUACUAUAAAUUUAUAUUUCAAUUCAAAAUAUAAAAUUAAUUUAAAAUUUUAAAAUUUGGGACUAUCUAUAUAGUACAAUGAAAAUAAUUUAAAAGAUAGAUUGGUUGAUAAAUUUGUAAAUCAUAUUUUUGAAUUAAUAUGAUAUACAUAUUUAUGAUCAAUUUGUAAAAAAAUAUCUCAAAUAAGAACGAACGAUUAUGAUCAAUUUGUUAAAAAAAAACAUUCACACCUAUCUAUAACUUUAAUUCUACGAACGGUUAUGAUCAAUUGGUUAAAAAUAUUGAAAAUAAAAAUGAACUAUUAUGUUCAAUCUGUUAAAAAGUAGCACUUCUAUCCAUUUUUUUUACAUUAAAAUUUAAAUUUGAGUUUAAAUUGUGAAUUAAAUUUAGUUUUUAAUUUUUGAUAUCAAAUCUAUCCAUCUAUUUUAUAUUAAAAUUUAAAAUUGAUAUUGUAGAUAUUUUCUAAUAAAAUGUAACAUAUAAAUUUAGAAAAUAUUUUAUUCUAAAUUUUUGAAUAAAUAUGAUUUACAAAUGUUUAUUGAUUUAAAAUAAAUUAAAAUAAUUGUUACGUGCAGUUGCACGUAUGCUCAACUAGUAUAUAUAUAUGAGUCUAGCUAUGGUGCUUGUAAAAGCACAAAGUACUUGGUGCUUGUAAGUUUUUUACCGUUAGAUCUACUCCUCGGAUCAUUUUCAACCAUUAGAUUAUAUUAUUCAACCAACCACUCACUCAACCCUAGGGGGCCCACAUCAUCCUAACCUCAUAUCUCUUAAUCCAAUGGCUAAAAAUCUAUAAGCACCAAUAACUUGGUACUUUUAAAGGGAUGGGAGCUCAAUUCAUAUAUAUAUAUAUAUAUAUAGAAUUAGGCUGAAAUACUAUCAAUAGUAAAACGCUCUUUUUGCUAUCAAGUUUUUAACCAUUGGAUGAAAAAAUGUAGGGUCAAGAUGAUAUUAGUCGGUUAGAGUUGAAUGCUCUCUCUAGGGUUGAGUGGUCCCCACUGGGUUAUAGUAUUUAAUCUAAUGGUUAGAAAUAAUGAAAAGAGUUGAUCCAAAGGCUAAAAAACUGGUAGCAACAAUGGGAUUUUGCUACUAAUAGUAACCCAUUCCAACUCUCUCUCUCUCUCUCUCUCUCUCUCUCUCUCUCUCUCUCUCUCUAUAUAUAUAUAUAUAUAUAUAUAUGUAUGUAUAUUUGUGAGGACUGAGAUUUUGGCAGUGUAGCUAAACUCUCUGUUGACGAUGUUUUUAUGUGUAAUUUAAUUACAUUAGCACUCGUCAAGUUUCAGGAGAAAACGAGUUAGAAUGGAGAAGUUACGUGAUAAAUACUAUUCACUUAAGUGAAUAGUAACUCCGGUUUUUCGGAGAAGCCACGGAGUAGAGUUGGCUUCUGGCGCGUAUCGGACUCCUUUCAUAGCAGUCCAAUAGCUCAUUUUGAACGGUUCAACUAUUCUGGAACCAUUGGCGCUGACGGAUUUUGGGUUUGAAGCACGGAUUUCGAGAAAAUCGAAAAAUACGUGUUUUGUAUGUAUUUGUGUGUCACUUGUCUGUUGGAGAGAGUGAACGGGUUUCGUCGCGAAUCCGUGAUCGAUCGUGGCGAAACGAAAUGGUAGGUUUAUUGUCUUUGUUGUGCCGAUCGUACUGGUGUGAUCCGUUCGCAAAUCUGACGGACGGAUCGCUAGAUGUCACACGUUGAUCGAGGCGGGGUCUUUAGUGGCAAAACGGUAUUUUUGCGAAAACCUCGAUAUUUUAUGUACCGAAUCGCGCGAGAUCAGACGUGGAGGUGUGUACACGCGAUUUACUCGCACUGUGAUGGACUGGGUUGCAAAUAACCAGUUCCGAAGGACUUUGGUGCAAAGUGGCAUACGGUAUAUAAUAUGCCUCUAGGGUUUCUAUGCACAAAACCCUAGAUCCGGCCGACCUAGUCCCCCAGCUAUGCCCUAGGUAGCAUCAGCAGGUCUCAGCCCUAGCCAUGCGCAUGCCCCGGCCGCCGGCAAGCUGCUUCAGCAGCCGGAAAACCACCCUCUCCACCUUCAUCUCCACUAUUCUUCAUCCUUCCUGGCCAUGGAUCACCCAGAGGUCAUCCACCCGUGUCGUGACCACUCCCUUGGCCGUGGCCCAACCUCUGGCAGCUUUCUCCACCGGAGGCCCAUACUGUCCGUGCGCGUUGCCGACACCGACCAUGCUCUCGGCAGCCAACCCGGUCCUACCUUGGCCGAGCUCAGCCCAGCUUGAGCGGGCCGCGCCGCCUCUCUUUGACCAUCGGCGACCUCCCGCGUGCCAUUGCCGCCUUUCGCCGCCGGCUGGCCCGAGCGCCGGCCUCCCCUAGCCGGCCGCACCCGAUUCCAGCCGGCACCCCUAUCGUCGGAGCUCCUAGUCGACCGGACUCGACCGUGCUCUCCACGAGUCCGCGCGGCUAGGGCAUCAAUGCCCGAUGCCGCCGUCGCCCUCUGUCGCCAGUUGACACGCGCCCCGCCCUUCCUCCUUCGUCAGCAACCCCCCCUGCAGGCCUUCUCGCCGUCCGGCCACCACCGGCCAGCCCUAGCUCUCCCUUGGCCGAUAAGCAAAGUUUUUGCUGUUCUGCGCAUUGUUUCGGUUUGGGAUCAAUGUUCCGGUGACCCGAGGCUGUUCUGAUGCCUCUGGAGGUGAGCACGGUGAUCGUCGGUCAGUUCUGAUCACAGUGCUCACCUCAUUUAGGGUUAAAGAGCCCCGGAUGAGUGAAUUAGAAGCAUUUUUAGUUUCAGCGCGCCGUUUUGCUAAAGUUCGCGUCGCUCGCGUGCUUGCCACAGUGGCCGGNCAGUUCUGAUCACAGUGCUCACCUCAUUUAGGGUUAAAGAGCCCCGGAUGAGUGAAUUAGAAGCAUUUUUAGUUUCAGCGCGCCGUUUUGCUAAAGUUCGCGUCGCUCGCGUGCUUGCCACAGUGGCCGGAAGUGCUCCGAAAGGUGAGCACGGCCUCCGGCAUGCCGAGACCUGACAGCGGGUGUCCUGGCUUGAUUGAUUGAACAUCGGUUUGCACUGUCGAGCCAUAAAACCCCGAAAAUUGCAUGAAAUAAUGUGAUUUCAUGUAAUCGGGAGGGUUUUUAUGCAAUUGUUUAUAUUGUGAUCGCUGUGGGUAGCGUGUGCGGGCUGCAGGCAACCUCUGGACUGAUUGUCCAAGGCCCCAGACUUUUACGGUGAUCAGAAAUGCUUUUCCGGUGCGUUUGUCGGCAAAAUCUGCCGACGGAAUGCGAGUUUAGUUCGGAAUUCAUCCGACGGUGCUUUGUGAUGAUUUGCUAUGUCGCUGAGCCUUGUUGGCUGGUCACUCGAGUCAUUUCGAGGGUUCGAAAAUGACGGGUGAGCGACGGUGGGUUUCGGUGUCGAAAUUGACACUUUCGGGAACCCGGAUCCGAACGAUUAUCCGACGAUAAUUGUAUGGAGGCGAGAUUUUGUGUUUGCUGCCAGGACACACAAAUAGUAGUGUUUGAUGGCAGCGGGUGGCUCGUGGCACAAGUCGAUGCAUUCUGGGACAGUUCGUGGGUCCCGGUGGAGUCCCGGUGCGAUUUUCAGGACUUCCGGCGUGUUACGGUAGUCAGUUUUGGGGAAACCGAUUUCCGUGGGUUUGUUUGUGGGUAGUGGAUUUAGUGGUUAUUAGUUGUGGGUUAGACACUUACCCGAUGGACCUUCCUUAGGUCCGGUUGACAUCCUUUCGUAGUCAGGAGACAGGUGCGACAUUUGUACAGGUGGGUACUUCGAUUCGACGUCGGUACAGUGGUGCACGCUCGGUGAUGGUUUCUUACCCUUGCUCUUUUGUUAUUAUCCAUGCAUAUACUAUAUGUUGAACUUUACACCUCUAUUUUUUACAUUACACUCUACUCAGAUGUUCCCAUGCUUAGUAUUAGGUGUAGGAAUAGAGUAGUCUAUCUAUUUGUGAUAUCUAUGACUCGGUUGGUCGAUUCUUGUACUUCGUAUCAGUGACCUGGUUGGUCGAUUCUCGUACUUCGUAUUAGUGACAUAGUUGGUCGAUUCUCGUACUCCGUAUCAGUGAACUGGUUGGUCGAUUUUCCUACUUCGUAUUAGUGACCUGGUUGGUCGAUUCUCGUACUUCGUAUCAGUGACUCUGGUUGGUCGGUUCAUAUGUCGUAUCUGUGACCCAUUGGUCAGUUCUUGCAUCUACACUUUUGUUGACCCUUGAGUAGUAUUUGCAUACUUCUGAGAGGAUGUUGAGUUGUUCCAUCCUAGUUGACCUGUGUAACACACUGGACUUUCACAAAUAGCAAGGUUCGAGUGUUUAAUCUGUGUUUCGAGUUUUUUCAGAUAUUCUGGAGGGUUGUCGACAGUGUUCCGAUCUAUGGCUCGUAUCCCGAGAUUUGUGGUUUAAAACUUUGCACCAAAACCCAAAAAGUUGGAUUAUUGGUGUGCUCUCGAGUAGCCUUCAGCAGGCUGUGUACCGGUACAGGGUUGAUGGCUGUACCGGUACGGGGUGAUGGUUGUACCGGUACGCGGGGCCGUGUACCGGUACACAGGCAGCUUCUCAGCCAACUCGAGGCUCGGGUUUGGCAUUUUCGUGGGAUGUGUACCGGUACGCGACCCCUUGUACCGGUACGCAGUGCAGUCCGCAGACUGCUUGAACUGCAGGAGUGUUUUUGCUAUUGUAGCAACACUAUAUGUGUACCCCACCUCCCUUGGUGUUUCCUGGGCUUGCCAGCAGUGGAGAAGAUGGUGAGGGAGCUCUCUUCUUCCCCUCUUUCUUUUUCUUUCUUUUGGUUGAGAUUUUUGAGGUUUAAUUUCCUCUUUUGCUCUCUUUUUGCUUUUUGGUGACUUUUCCACCAUGGGAGAAGUUUGGGAGCUUGGAGUUGAGCUUGUGAGGGAGGUGAUCUUCAACCCUAGUAGAUUUUGAACCUUGUUUGGGGCUUCAUGAGAGGUUAGUUGCUUUCUAUUUCUUUUUGAUCAUGAUUUUCACGAUGUUUGCAUAAAAACCCUAAAAAAUGAGGAUUUAGGGUUUGAUUUGGAGAUUUUUGAUCUAGGGCUUUUGGAGCUUAAUUAAUUGAAUUAGAACCUUUCUCUAGCUUGGUUUGGAAGGGUUCUAUCUCCCAUUUGGAGCUUGAAAGGGAUUUUCUACACUUAGGUGAGAUUUUGCCCUUAUCUUGAGUUGGUUAAUGUUUGAACUUGUCAUUGUUCGUUCGAUGCACGUGACACUCCUAAUUUAACCUAUAGGGAGCUAGGAGGCUAGUGGGCACCUUCUUUCGGUGAAACGAAGGGCUUCGAGGAGACUUGGUGGGUUUGGCCUUACCAAAAUGAGAUAAAAUUCUCAUUUGAUGGUUUUGCUGAUCGUAAAAUAAAAAUGCACGCAUAAUCAUGCUUGAUAGAAUACUUGAAAAUUUUAUAAUACUUAAAAUGCACAUGCUUUGUACGAUACAUAUUUGACCUCUAUAUAGUAAAGAGUUUUCAUGUUGGGCUUGGAGCCUAUGGUUAGCAUCUCAUACUUAGUUGUGGAUCAUGUUUAAUUUAGUGAAAUUGAUGUGUGCAUUGCACUUUUGGACUUUGACCCAUGCUUGGUAUAGUAAGCCAAUGUCAUAAAGAGGUAUUGGGCUUGGACUAGAUAUGGAUUUAUCAAGUUAAUGUCAUAAAGGGGUAUUAAGCUUGGCAUAUAUAUGGACUUAAUAAACCUAUUGUCAUGAAGGGGCAUUAGAUUUGGAUGAUAUGUGAAUUGCAUGUGCAUAUUAAUAUUAUGAGAACCAUGCUAAGUUGAUAGUUGCAUACGGACGCAUUGAAACCUUAUGCUAGUGAAUAGAUACAUGUUAAUAAUUAUAUGCAUUGUGGGGUGCAUGCUAGGUACAUAUUAGCAAUUUGAGGUCACGCUAGAGAGCAUGCGUAUUAACCUAUUAUUGGUAUAUUAAACUAAUGUCAUAGAGCGACAUUGAGCUUGGGGCAUGCAUGAACCUAGUAAAUAACACCACAAAGAGGCAUCGGACAUAGUGAACUUAGUAAACCUUCACUUGAGGCAUAGACUAGACCCUCGGGGUUACUAAUGAGCAUUUCCAUGUUAGAGACAUGAUGACUGUUGAGUUGCUAUUCCAUGUUAGAGACAUGAUGACGAGAUCCGUGAUAUGAUGACUAUGAUUACUUGCUAUUUCUACUCAUUCACACAUGCUUGUGAGGGUCGCUCCCUACAAGCCGGCACUCCGGAGUUGGCCUUUUGCGACGCAGUUAGCGCGUGUGGGAUUGAGAUGCCUGUAGGGUCGCGUGGGACAGUCUCAUUCCAGAGUGGGAUGACGAGCUACCACGGGCAGCUAGGCGGCGAGGCGCCUGUAGGGGCGGGUGGCACAGUCUCAUUCCUCGAGAGGGGAUGUUGGAGCUACUACCGGCAGCUAGGCGGCACAAGUUGGACUACACAUGUGUUGGUCCUGGAUGAGAUUGAAUGAUGAACCUUAAUCAAUUAAAUGACAAUCACUACUUGAUAGUAUAUCGUAGUUGGAUUUAGCUGACAUUGGAAUUUGUGGUACCCUUAGUUGCCAUAAUAGUACAUACUAGAUAUGUAUUGAAUUUUGGGACAUAUUGUAUAUUUGAUAGUAUUACUUGUUGCAUCACAGCUUACUUGGUAGUCAUGAUAGAGCAUACUUGUUAUGUAUCGGCAUAUUGGAUUCAUGAUAGAGUAGAUGUACUCCAUGUUGAUAUCAUAUAUACCUGUGGCAUAGUAGUAUAGCAUUUCAUUAUAUGUUUUUAUUUUCGCAGUUGUUAUUUCAUUUUCUAUAUCUGCUCAUGACUUCGGCCUAGUGGUGCAUUUUGCUAAGGUCAGUAAUUGCCCACUGGGAACUAUAAAUUAUAGUUCUCAUGCCCUCUGUUUUAUAUUUUCUUUCAGAGCCUUCCACUCCGGGAGAGGCUCGGGAUCGCGGGAAAGGAAUCGCCUCGGGCUAGCUAGCGAGGGAUUAUUGGAUAGGUGGUCCACCUCUCUUUUGUUUCUUUUUGGAGAGGUUGAGAGAUUUGUACCAUUUGUAGAGACCACCCCUUUUUGUACUUUUGAGAUGGAUACUAUAUAACUUUAUGCUUUACUUUUAUUGUUUAGUUAUGUUCUACCUAGUAUAGAUUCUAGAUGUAUACUUGCUCUGAUAUCUCUAGAUGUAGUUCAUCUUUUGUCUUAUUCUUCCGCUUUUGUUGUAGACGCCUUAUAUGUGUAGGCAUAUGGCGGGUCUGGGCGCGCUACCGGGAAGGCCUCCGUCGGUCCCGGGGCGUGACAACCUGAGUGGUCAGUUCUUGUUCUUCCUUACAGUUGAUGACCUAUACAGUCGGUGAGCCCUGUGGGCAGGAUUGUCGGCUGGUUGCCGAUGGUUGAUCAUUGAGCAUAUUGCAUUGAUCGCCCAAUACUCGUCACAUUUCACGAACACUGGCGGUCUGAUCCACCGCAAGGGGUGUUCUUUUCCGGAAAAUUGGUUCCAGGUGUUAACCCGUGAGCUCUAGAGGGGUUAUAUGCAUGGUUGAGUGGCAGUUGUAUUGUCAGGAGGUUUGCGGUGCGGACCUCCAGGGCACAGGCUUGAGGUUUGCGGUGCGGACCAACAGAGCAGCAGAUUUCAGAUUGGGUAUAUUUGGUCUAUACAUCCGGUUGACGCAUAUAUCUAUAGUAGCAGUCGUUGCAUGCAUACUUACAGUUCUUGCCUUACAGUUGUCUUACUACUAUAGUAUAUAUCCAUGUAUGCUUUUUGUUCUAGUUACAGUAGCGGUAGUCGUUAUUCUGUUAUAGUUCUACUUCCUUUCAGUUUAUUGCUACUGUAUUCAGUAUAUCUACUCAUUACCUUGUUUAUCUCUUCCUGAUCCAGUGAGUACUACUCGCCUUCAUCGGCUUGCGGUAUCCACUGGGAGGGGAGACAUGUUUACAUGUUCUCACCCCCCCAUUAUUUUUCAGGUAUUGCAGGCGGUAAGUGUUGGGACGAGACGUGAGAUACGUUGGUAGCGGUUGAUAGAGCUUCCGACCCGGUUUGUGUAGUUUAGUUACUACCUUCGUUAUUUCUGUUGAUAUGACUUAGACAUCUAUAUGGUUCAGUAUUUCAUUAUGUAUAAUUAUUCAAGAUUUUAGUUGGUUUUCCGAAUGAGAUAAAGAUUUCUGGAUUUUUGUAAAAAGGAAAGGUUUUCUACCCCUCGUGGUAGCGUGUUUUGAAAAGAAAAGAUUUUCGUGUGGGAAACAGCUUUCAAAAGAGUUUUCUCGUGGUUUUUUUGAAUUAGUAUUUCAAAAUAAGUUUCUAGGUAGGAAACGUUUCAACUGAUAGUUGUGGAUUUAUAUUCAGAUCUAUGUUUAUGAACCUGUGGUGAAUGGUGUAUGGAUAUUGAAUGUAUGAUGACUUGUAUAUUCAUUUAGUUGUGAUUGUAUCCUAUUUUACAUCUUGUACUUGUGCGACGCCGUGCAAAUAUAGGGAAGAUUCUGUCCGUGUGAAUAGUGGAAUCCCUGUAUUUGUGGCGGAUCUGGCAUACCCUGGGGUCAGAUUUAAAAAAAAAAAAUUCUAGUCACUUCCGCUGUAUUUUCAAACUAAAAGGAACUCCGGGGCGUGACAAUAUUAAUAUAGAUGUAUAUGCAUAUGUAUAUAUAAUUAAGAGGUAAAGACGAAGGGAAGAGAAAGAUGACAAAAUUCAAAAUUACAAUACAAUUAUAUAAAUAAGAGGUAAAAAAGUUAUUUUACCACUUAUAUAGCCGUGAUUAAUUUAUUGUACUUAUAGUUAUCCGUAUUUUUGUAACAAAAAAUAUAUUUGAAAGUAGGGAGAUUUUUGGAGGGAUAGCAAACAAGAAAAUUUUUAGAUGGAUAAAUUUGAUAACAGAAGUUUUAUGAAAAUAUAUAUACUUAGAGAGCAUUUGGAUUGGGUAUAAGAGGGGGAUAAGGGGGUUACCCCCCUCAUGUACCCAAACAGAAUUUUUGGUGGGCAACACUUACCGGGUUGUAGGUAGAGAGAGAGAGCGAGAGAUUUUUAUUUUAAAUUAGAAUUUAAAUUUUUAAAAUUUAUAAUUUCAAAAAUUUCAUUUAUAAUUUUAAAUUUUAAAUUAUAAAUUAUAAAUUUUAAAUUUGAUAUUUUUAAAUUUUAAAUUUUAAAUUUGAUAUUUUUAAUUUUUAAAUUUUAAAUUUGAUAUUUUAUAUCUUUUAAAUUUAAAUUUGGUCUUAAAUUUAUCAAAUAAAUUUGAUAUUUAAAAUUAAAAUUUUGAUAAUUAUAAUUUUAAAUUUUAAUUUCAAAAUUUAAAAUUUAAAAGUUAAAAUUUUCAAUUUAAAAUUAUAAGUUUAAAAUUUAAAAAUUUAAAUUCAAUUUUAAGGGUAAUAUCAUUAUUUUUUAUUUAUAACCAUCAACUAUUUCUCUUAUUCCCAAUAACCAUCCAAACAUAAUUUUUCUAGUUCCAACUUAUAUUCACAUUUCCAUCCAAAAAAAAAAUACUCUUGUUCUUACAAAAAUUCAUACUUAUACCUAUUUCUGGAAUAACUAGUUCCUACUAAUUUCCGAGCCAAACGAAGCCUUAAUAUUUUCUACAUUUAGGAAGAGCCCUAUGCAAUCAUUUUGUUUUAGGGAAAACUUCAAAAACCCCCCCUGUGGUUUCAUAGUUUCUCACUUUGCCCCCCUGUGGUUUAAAAUGUAUCAAUUUGCCCCCCUGUGGUUUCGUUUUUAUCUUUUCGGUACCUUUUUCGUUAAUAUUUCAUUAAAUUAUAUAAAAAAAACUUCAAAUAUCAAUCUAGAUUUAUCAAAUAUUCACUUUAGUAUCCUUUAAUUUUAACUUUAUCACUGAUUUAAAAAAAAAAAUAAUAAAAUUGAUAAGAAAGAGAGAAAAAAGAAACUAUACGGGGGCAAAUUGAUAUAUUUUAAACCACAGGGCGCAAAAUGAGAAACUGCGAAACCACAGGGGGGUUUUUGAAAUUUUCCCUUUGUUUUAUAAUAGUCUAUAUUUUUUUGUGUNUUUUUUUUUUUUUUUUUGUCCUAAAUUAGACAGCAGAUUUGGUGCUAGCGAAACAGCUGUCUGCGGUCUUCACUCUUUGUACUGUUUGUACUGUCUGCGUCUUUACACUGUCUCAGUUAAACUACUUUCGCCUUAGGGCUGAAAAACGUAGGCUAUUCUAUUAAGUGACCAUUGAGCCCGCCACCAUUCUACUGCUUCCAUAAAAGGUAUUGCCGAAUAAAAAAAGUAAAGGUUGCAGCGCACAAGGAAAGGAGGGAGAGUGGAGCUUAAUAGAGACGGAGAAAAUAGAAACGACGCUCUCUCUGAAGAGGGGGUAUAGAGAUCUGAUAUUAGGAAUUGGCAAUUAGUAAUCCAUAUUCCAUACUAGUGCUGUGGAGAUGGGCGUGUCCAUUUCGGUCGUCGCCGCCGUCUCCUUCCUCCACCUCCUCGCCUUCGUCCUAGCCAUCGGAGCCGAGAGCCGCAGAAGCACCGUUGGUUCCACUUACCACCUCCUUCCCUUUCGCAGCAUCAGAUAGAUACACUACCGUUUGUUUGUUUUCAGGAUUCUUUCUUUCUUUCUUUCUUUCUUUUUUGACUACUGAAAUAGCUUUUUUUUUUUUUUUUCUUUUCCCUUUCCCCUCCCGGCGACGAAGGGGAGGGUGGUGCCGGACGAGUACGACGACCGUACGUACUGCGCGUACGACUCGAACGCGUCGACGGCGUACGGCGUGGCGGCGUUCUUCGUGCUGCUGGCGAGCCAGGCGCUGUUGAGCGGCGUCACCCGCUGCCUCUGCUUCGGGCGUGGCCUGGCCGCCAGCGGAUCCCGAACCUGUGCAAUCGCGGCCUUUGUUCUCUCUUGGUAAAGCUCUAAUCUGUACUACCCAUGAUUGCCUAGUGGAACGGUGGCUUCUUAUGCCAUUCCAAUCUCUUCUCUCUUUUCUUUCGGGCCAUCUCAUGCUCCGGACUGCAUCGGAUGGGAUUGGAUAGUACAAGAGAGAGCGAUAUUGAAGGGAGGAGGAGGAUUUAGUUACUCGGAAUUUUCGCGGUGGCUUGUGAGAGGUUGAGUUCAUCCCAAAAUCCUGGUGGGCUGGGUUGAGUUGGGCUGGGCCGGGCUGGGAUGGGAUAAUCAAAUCUCAAUUAAUGGUGUUGAAUUGUUGAAUUAUUUCUUCUUCUGGCAUCGCUCUCUCGUUUUGUCCUAUGCAAUCCAAUCCCGAAUGCCAAUCAGGUCGUCAAUUUUGAUAAGCAUUUGAUUUGCCAUAUCUUUGGUAAAACAGCAGACUGAAACAGCUAAGAAGGACAUGCAAAUGCAGAAACGUCCAGCUCAUAUCUUGUCUGUAAACUACAUAAUUUAGUAUUGUUUCUGUCUGCAUCUAAUUAGUCUUCUUAGGCUUAUUGAGUGUAGGACAUAGUUCAUAUACUUGUGAUAACUUUGUUUAAGUCAUGCCUGCGGAAAUGCUUUAUUCUUACCUUUUAGCUUUGGCUGAUUAAGAUAAAUUAAUCACACAUGGUAAUUGGCAAGUUUUUUUUUUUUUUUUUCUUACUUUGUUUCAACCAACUAGAUUUCAUUGGAGAUAUUUAUAAUGGUUUUUACCUAGUUUUUUGGAACUUUGCAGUGUGAAGCAACUUUUUUCUCUUGUUAGUAUACAAUGGUAUGUGACUUGAUAACUUAUGUAAUCUGCUUUAUAGCAUAGUUUUCUGUAAUACGUAUUGAAAAAUUACUUCUGCGGAUAAAACAUAUGGUGGCGACAAAAGUUGCCACCGUACAAGGUAAUAUUGUCAUGAAAUAUCUUGUCGUAAUUUGCCGGCAACAGUUCCGCCAGUGAAAAUAUAGGUGGUGAUAUUCUCUGUCCCUGGAAGUUCAUACAAUAGUGGUGGUAAUUUUGCUACUGAUAAAUAACAUAAAGUGGUGCCAUGGGCUGCCACCGAAUGCGAAAUCUUAACACUUGGUCGCCAGGUUGUGUUGCCAACAAUGCCAUACAUUUGCUUGCGCCAUGCCUAGGAGUGUAAUGUGGCCCACAUUCACCUGGGUUGAUACGGGCCGAAGGCCGUCCCAACUCUAAAUUCCAGGAUAGGUCAUGCCAGCCCGGAUUUCUUAUAUCUGCGGCCCAACACGCCCCCUUGGCCUGAAUGGUAUGGGUUGUGCUUAGUCGGGCUUUGGACCGAACCUUUAUUUAUUUAUUUAUUUUUUAAAGUUUUUUUAAAUAAUGUAUAAAAUUUAAAAGGAUAAAAUGCAGAUAACCCUUGUUAAUGUAUAGCAUGUUGCACUUUACCUCGUAAAUACAAAAAAUAUGCGCUUAAUCCUCCUCAAAAAUAUGCAUUUUUUUUCCUCCUUAAGAGGGUUUAGAGCUUAUUUUUUUUAUUAAGGUUGCGUUUGAUUCAGGUAUAAGUAUGAAUUGCUUAUUUCAGGAAUAGGUACAAGUUCAGAUAUAAACAGGAAGUCAGGAACUAGACCAAUUUUGCGUUUGGAUGAAAAUUGUGUUGUUCCUAGGAAUAAGGUAAAUAGUAUUUAGAUGGUUAGAUUGGAACAUGGGGAAUAAGAUUUAUAAUUUUAAAUUAAAAUUAUUUUAUCUAAUUAAUUAACAUCAAAAUAUUACUUAAAAAUGAUUUAAUAAAUUAAUAAAUUUAUUAACUAUGAAUAUUGUAUAAGAUAAUGAAAAUAUAUUAAUUAAUUAAUUAAUUAUAAAAAAUUAACUUUUUAAUUAGUUAGUAAAUUAUUUUAGCUAGAUAACUAGUAAAAAAAUUAAUUAGAUUAAUAUAAAUAUUUAUGGUUGAUCAAUAUAAAUAUUAGUUUAUGAAUAAAUAAUUAAAUUAUUAAUAAUUAAUUACACCAUUUUGAUUAUAAUGAAAAUCUCCAUUGUGUCUUCCCUUGCGGACGUAGGCUAGUGGCCAAGCCAUGUAAAUAUUUAUGUUUAAUUUUUUUCUCUUUCUUGAUUCUUCUUUUGGUAUUUUCGUACCCAACGAAUUAGAUCUUUUUCCGCUUUUGUUAUGACAAACUGAUAUCAGAGUAAAUCUGAUAGCAGUGUAAGUGGCAGAUUUCUAACAAACAGGUAUCAGAGCAAAUCUGGUAUCAGUAUAAGUUGCGGAUUUCUAGCAAACUGGUAUCAAAGCAAAUCUGUUAUCUCUUUUUUUGUCUAUCUAUUGCUUCUUGCUUCUCUCUCGCCACCUCUUUCUCUUUCUCCAUGAUAAGUGCUCCGUCUGCGACCUCUUGGAAGGUUUGGAGGUUCGCCGAUUGGACGAGAUGGUGGAUCGAUGGCUUAAUCCUUAAACAUUCUCGCAUUUUUUCUGUCAUCCCUUACCACGUAGUUUAUGCCGUUUAUUAUAGGGAAAAUUUUUUGCUCAUAUUCUGCCAUUGUUUUUCUUUUUUGUUGGAGCUUCCUCAUAUCCUGCUCCAAAUGCCGUUUGACUCUCUCAGAGAAGUACCUUAUGAGCAGCAUCUUUUUGAACUUAUCCCACGAGAUCGUGGACAAGUCCAUGAAGAAGAAUUAGACCAAAAACUAGGAUACAUUUUGGGAGAAUGAAGCGUCCAUGGAAGAGAAGCAAAUGAAACACUUGCAUUACUCCUUUUUCUAGUGAACGUGUCACAGCUGAUUACUCUUUUUUUUUUUUCUUUUUCUUUUUUACAGUUUAAAGAUUGGCAUUCUAUGUCCAAUUACUGGUAGGCUUUCCUCUCUAGGUUGUGGACCACCUGCCACACACGUUCCUCAUCCGGGAUAAAGAUGUUGUGGAAGAUCUUCUCCAUAUGUAUAACCCACUUUUCGACCACCCAUGGGUCGGGUCCUUACCAUCAAACGAUCUUGGCCUGCACAGUCAAAUCCCUCCAAACGGGCAAGAACUUCUUUCCCCUGUGCUUGUCACUGCGGUAGGAAACACCGCCAGAGGUGUCACAUUAACAGGGGUUGGUGGGACGGAGCUCCUCCAGCUCUCUCGUCGAGACCCACACUCGUUGUUGGAGUCAGUAAUUGAUGUUGCGCUGCUUGAGUUGUAGCAACAACUCCUAUGGCGAUUUGGUUGGCCACCGAUGGGGGAGUCAAUUGCCCCUGCACAUAAUUGGCGGGCCAGGAGCUCCUCAAGUCGUUGCAUGCGCUCCUCUUGGUAGGGCGUGGCCUCUGCUUACUUCUCCACGCCCCUAACCAAGGCGGCUAGGUGGCUAGGCUACUCUUGGACCUCUCCAGAUCUAGAUGAUAGGGGUAUGUUGUGUUGAGUCGUCGUAGACCUUGUCCGAGAUCUUUCGUAAGGUGCCAUGUCUACUUCCUGAAACAUAAAGUGACAUCAGUUAUUAACAUAACCUAGAUUGGUCGAACUCAAUUAGAGAAAAAAAAAAUUAAUUCAAUUUGGGCAAAAUUUUCAAAAAGGAAUUUCCUUCCGUCUUUUGACUCUACAUUGUUGGUCACCAACGUGACUAUCAGAAGAGGGAAAUAGUAUCAUCUUGUUAAAGAUAUGCCUUCUUUUUUAUUGGUUUGGUUCAUACACCGGGUUUAUGGAAAAAUAGAAAGGAUCCCAUUAGGAUUUAUUUUGGUGGAUCCUAAUUUAAAUUGGAAUCCUAGGUGGACUAGGAUUGGUUUCCAUAUAAUACUCUAUAUUCAAUAAUCAUAUUGAAUUAGAGUAGGAUUGAGCCAAAUCCCUCUCUAUAUAUACAUGCAUAUGCAUGUACGGCUUGGGGAGCCGUGUGGUGGCCAAAAGUAAUUAGAGAGGCUAGAGGGCUGAGGCCAAUUAAAUUAGCAUCAGGUCCAUGGCUAAUUAAUCAAGGCUAUUGGCCCGGUCUUGACGACGUACGGCAGCAGCAAGAAGGUCGCAUGAAGGACUGACUUAAUUAGCAUGCGGAGAGAAGCUAAUUAAUUAAGGUGGCCGGUUCUCUUCAUGUAUAGCGGUACGGUAGCAAGAGAAGGAGAUGCGCGGUAGCACGCAUGUGACGGAUUGACAUUGGCGGCGGAGCGGCGGUUCUCAACCAAUUGCCUGAGCGGUUCGGAUUCUUCGAAGCAACGGCAUAAAGGAAUUUGGUUAGAGUUUCUAUACUUCUCUAAUUUGGUCUUCUCGGUUUUACGAAAAGAUUUUUUCGGUAUUUUCUUGGAGUUUUCGUUGGAACAAGAGAAAGGUGGGAUUCACCGUAAGGCUCUUGGUUUUUAUCCGGAGAAGACAUAAGGUGUAAGCUUGUACUUCUAUUUCUUCAUAUAGUGGAAUACAUCUCUCUCGCUCUCCCCGUGGACGUAGGCAAUUGCCGAACCACGUAAAUCUUGGUUUCUUCUUUCUGCAUUUAUUUCUUUUAGCCGGUCGUUCGUGUUUCUCUAUUUUUCGUGCAUCUUGUUGGUAGUGCAUGACGAAUGAUCAUACCGGUUCCCAACACAUUUUGAUUGGCGCCAGUAAGUUUUCUGGAGAUAUAACAUCCAUUCAUGACUUAAUUCGCCGUACUACCUAUAAAAUUGUUUCUCUACACGUUGUCCAAAGUCCUUAAGCGUCAGUUCAAUGCCUAGUUUUUGUUGGGAUCCGUAUUGCGCGCCGGUACCGAUCUCGUGAAUCGGCAACAGCCUCCGAUACCGACUCUCUAGGAUCCGGUAUCUAAAUUGUUGGGAUAUUCCGCAACGGAACGUCAAAUCGGGUUUUACUCGAUAAACCCGUCUCCUCAGCAAAAAGCUGAUACAAUCAUAAAAGAGAAAUACCAAAACAAAAAUACGGUAAAAUAAGAUUCAUUAAAUAAGUAGAAGAUUACACCUGACUCCUCUUCUGCACAGAGUAACUACAACCCAGCGCAUCUUUCUAAUCUUUUCUACCCUUCUCCUCGUCGUUCUAUAAUCAUAAAGAAGACAAUCAUCCGCCGCACUCAUCACUAGUGCACUAAAUAACUCUCUCCUCUCCCUUUUUUCUUCUCGGUUACGGCACCCAAAGAGCCUUUCUCUCUCCCGUACUCACAUCUCAAAAGCAAACCACAAAAGAGCUAUUUAUAAGGUCGCACAGAAAAAUACCCAAAUCCUAAUAUAUUUAGGAUUUCUAACUCCAAUUAAUAUCUAAAUCUAUCUUAAUAAUCUCUAAUAAUUAAAUUAAUCCUAAUCUAGUUAGAUUUUACCUCUAAUUUAAUAUUUAAAUCUUAAUUUAUCUCCAAUAGAUUUAAAUAUAUAAUUCUUAAUCAACUAGGAUUCAUACAAAUCUAACCAAUCUAAAAUCUCCACCUUGGUUGGAUUUGUAAUACUUCAAACGUCACGUCGAGCUCACCAUGCAAGCUCACCCUUGAGCUUGUCUCCUCCGCUCGAUGUCGCCGCAUCGUCGCUCUCGCCUCGAGCGACUGCACUCCGCGAACUUUUGGAACCAACGUCUUCGCUCCCGUUCGAUUGUGCUCUCGUUCAGAACGUACAAGUUGCCACGCUUGUUCGCCUCGCAACACGACCCAUCUCGUUUUCGAACUCUCAUAGCUCCACCUGAGCCGAAAUAUCGCAACCCUUCGAGUCAAUUGCGCCUAACGAGAUCAAAUUUCGCUUUCAAUCCAGGAACGUACCGCACACUCUGUCAGCGUCCUCACGACCCCAUCGUGCAUUCGGAUCUUCACCGUGCCGACUCCCAAAACUUUGCACGUCGUCCCGUCCCCAUUAGAGCUUUUUCACCUUUUGAUCGCCUUAUAGGUUGCAAAAAGACUCCUUCCCGGCAUACGUGAAAAGAACACGCCGAAUCGAGCACCCACGCGUCAUCCGAAAUUUUUGCAACCGUCCGGUCGCGCAUAUAGCACAUCAGAAUCGAACAUCUUCCGAUCUGCUCGUCUGUGCCGUUUCUGAUACGUCUCGUCCUGGUUCAGCGACAGUUCUCCUUCUGUCUGCUAACUCCUUCAGAUCAUCCUGAAGUUUUCGACAAUUUGCGCUUGAAUAUGCCUUUCCUGUGAGAUAAAAGCACUCUACCCUCAGAUAGCGGCUUCUUCUGUCGAUCUCCGGUCGCUGAUGUGUGCCUCCUUUUCGCUCUGACUACCAAAGCUGAUAUCCCGACUCUGUGUGCGCGACUCCUGAGUCAUCUUCCGCAUCUCGUUCGAGAGAACGCCGCCGUGACCGUCUCCACGCUUAUGGUCUCCUUGCCAUAAAGCAACGUGGUCAGCAGAUGCUCAUAUGUCGCCGUAGCGAAGAUAGUAAAUCAGCGCCUUAUCUUCGUCUAUCCACAUUGACUACGAUGCUGGUCAACUGGCCACCACUUGUUGAAUUCGUUUAGAUGCCAUGUAGGCUUGCCGCUUCUUGCAUCCGCAGCGUAAACAGUCGUGGCUUCAGAUACAAUCUGUCGUCAGGGAAUUUGGUCAUGUACAGUCUUCCAUAUUUCUUCCACAACUGUCGCCGGUGUCGUCUCGCUGGCUACGUUGUAAAGAACCUCAUUGCUAAUGAAUAGAUGAAGCGUACUCAGCGCUUCCGCUUCCAUCUUCGUCCAUGCGCAUCCGUGACCUCCGCCGGGCUUCGCCUCCUCCCGUUCAACGUCUCGUCCAAUUCUUGCUGUACGAGGAUCGCUCGUACUUUAAUUGCCACAAUCCGAAUAUUGUUCUGCCGUCGAACUUUCUCGAUUUCGAAUUCGUAGCAUUUCGUGGAUUCUCCCUCGGAUCGAUAACCUUCAGCUCUGAUACCACUUGUGGGAAUCGGUACGCCCCGGAACCGGAUCUCGUGAAUCCGCAACGCCGCUCCGAUACGACUGCUGUGGAUCAGGUAUCAAUUGUUGGGAUUCCGCACGGAAACGUCAAAUCGGUUUUUACCAUAAACCCGUCUCCUCAGCAAAAGCUAUAACAAUCAUAAAGAGAAAUACCAAAACAGAAAAUAUGCGGGUAAAAUAAAGAUUCAUUAAAUAAGAGAAUAUUACACCUGACUCUUCUUCGACAGAAGUAAUACAACCGAGAGCCCUCUUUCUGAUCUUUUCUACCCUUCUCUCGUCUUCUAUAAUCCCAUAAAGAAGACAAUCAUCCGCGCGCACCCAUGCACUAGGUGCACUAAAUAACUCUCUCUCUCUCUUUUUCUCUCUCUGGUACGGCACCCAAGAGGCCUUUUCUCUCUCCCGUACUCACAUCUCAAAAGCAAACCCACAAAGAGCUAUUUAUAAGGCUCCACAAAAAACGUACCCAAAUCCUAAUAUAUUUAGGAUUUCUACUCCAAUUAAUAUCUAAAUCUAUCUUAAUUAAUCUCUAAUAGAUUUAAAUAUUAAUCCUAAUCUAGUUAGAUUUUAUCCUCUAAUUUAAUAUUUAAAUCUUAAUUUAUCUCCAAUAGAUUUAAAUAUUAAUUCUUAUCUAACUAGGAUUCAAUUACAAAUCUAACCAAAUCCUAACAGGUUUCUUGUCUAUCCAUCAUAUCGCUCUGAUACCAUUCAAUCUAUCAUGCUCCAGUUCGAGCAGCGAAGGCCCCUAUUUAUCGAGGCCGUGGCAGACCCGUUGCACAGGCAGAGCUUCCCCUGCCCGCACGAAGUGGUGAGCUACUAGCUGUACAAUCAAUUCUUCACAAGAAUACAUUGCAGAUAGGAAACUCAUUAAUCACUUUAAACUAUUACAAAUUGUUUAUCUCCAAAUACACCAUCAUCAUACAACUAACAUCUCUUAUAAUUUAAUAAAAUCAAAUGGUCAACUAUGUGUUCCACUUGCUAACUAUGUCAAAAUGAGACAAUGGAUGAGGCCCACCGGCUAAUAUGUGCCGCCCUUGCCGUGAGCACACACCUCGGGAAGACGAAGGGCCUGUGGAAAAACAACAACAAUAGAGGGGUGAGAAUUUGAAAUAAAUUUUCAGUAGGUUCAACUGCCGAAGGAGGUGAUCUAUACUCACUCAGUCCAAAGGAGGCAUAAUAGGAAAAAAGGUAACGAUAUAUGAAAGCUACAAUUAUGUAUGGUGAAAGAGAUAUGAAUAAAUGCCACUACUAUACCUUUGUGAAGUUUUGAAGUUUACCAAGAAGACGUGCAACUUAUCUAUUCAACAUGGAAGAAGCUCUCCAGUGGGAACUAACAAUGUCUUACCCAAUUACCUCUACUGGCUUGUUGGUCUGCCCCUUGCUUGCUUACUAUCAACUCAUGGAAGGCCGAGCAAUAUCGACUACCAUCCCACUUGGUGUAGAUAAGGGCUGAGCAUUAUCGACUACCCAAAGCGACACUUCUGGAAGGUCUUGGCUCGUGGGGUUGCGAUCCCCACGAGCGAUGUGAUCUAGCAUAAUAUUUUGACUAAUACAAGUUUUAGUCACAAUCCACAUCCAUGGAUUUUCAUUUUUAUGUCACCUCAAGGCUUUGUUUGGUUCGGGUAUAAGCAAGAACUGUUUAUUCCAAGGAUAGGUACAAGUUCAGGUAUAAGCAAAAACUUGACCAAUUUUGCGUUUGGAUGAAAAUUGAGUUGUUCCCGAAAAUAAGAAAAAUAGUGUUUUGAUAGAUAAGAUGGAAUAAGAAGAACGAUGAGUAGUUAUAAAAAAAAAUAAUGAUAUUACUCAUUAUAUUUGAAUUUAAAUUUUUAAAUUUUAUAUUUAUAUUUUCUAAAUUUAAAAUUUUAACUUUUAAAUUUCAAAAUUCAAAAAUUAAAAUUCAAAAGUGAAAAUCUCAAAUUUUAAAAUUCAAAUUGAAAAUCUCAAAUUUUAAAUUUCAAAAUUUAAAAUCUCAAAUUUUAAACUGCAAAAUUUGAAAUUUAAAAUGUAAAAUUUGAGAUCAAAUUUAAAUUUGAAAAAUAUAAAAUAUCAAAUAAAUUUUAAAAAUAAAAAUUUAAAAUUUAAAAUUUAAAAUUAAAUUUUUUUUUUGAGAUUACAAAUUAUAAAUUAAAAAAAAUAAAAAUUUAAUUUUUAAGAUUUUAAUUUUUAAAAAUAAUUAAUGAUUUAAAUAUAUUAAUUAGAUUAAUUAAUGAUUUAAUACUAUAAUUAAAAUUAAAUUUAGAGUUUAAUUAAUCUUGUUCCCGUUUAUUCCAGGGAGAAGGGUGGAACAGCAAUUCUAGGCUUGUAUCGGAUUAUACCAGUUUAUUCCAGAUACCAGUUAAUUCAUUAAACAAUCCAUGCAGAAUUUACAGUUUUAGUUAUCAAAUGUUGAAAUGCUCAUUAUGCCCCAAUGUAAUAGUAUGAUCCGGUCUUGUCAACUCGAUCAGUGUUCUCAUCUUGGAUCCCUGAGGAACAGCCCCAGGAUUGACAUACUUUUAAUCUAUCCUCAAGCUGUUCAGCUUAUUUUUUAGUUGCUCCUUUCAUCCGUUCUUUGUAGGCGAACUGAUGAAACUUGGUGCAUCCAUUGUUGUCCUUCAAGCCGUUCCAAAAUUUUUGCUGUGUCCCUUUUUUUUUUAUUUUCUUUUUCAAAUCUUAGUUGGAUCACUAAAAAAACCAGCAAAGCAGCUAAAUUUUGAUCAUGUGCUGCCUGAUAUUGAUGCAACUGUCCUCUUAACCAAUCCUUUCUCUUGAUUUGUGACCCUCUAAUGACUUAUGUUGCCUGAUAAAUGCUGUCCCUUAGUUUUCCUUCACUAUAUGAUAUUUUUAUUGGUUCCUUAUAAUAUCAGUUAACUGUUUCAAGCUGUUUUUGUUUGCUUGGAAAUUGUAUAUUUAAUUAUAGAAAUUUUGAAAUGGAUGACAGAUGGUAUCUCUACUAAUAGUCAUUUUCCUUCGCCUUUGUAAAUUUGUAAGAAUUAUCUGAUCGCAUAUUAUUUGUGCAUAUUUCUGUUUCAUUUGUUUUUUUUUACCUUCUGAUUGCUGAUUUUCUUAUACUGAAGUGUGGGUCUGAGCUUGUCUAACUUUAUGAAAAGUUUAAACGUGUAAAUGUCCUAUGUUGAAUUAUUGAUAGGGGUAAAUUGAUUUCAAUCUGAAACAUUAGAAGAUUAUGUUAUAAAUUAUGACUCAAUCUUGUUCGUUGAGCUUGCAGUCAGCCAUGAGAUGCCGAGUAAUAUUUUUAUUCUUGCAGUUUCCUUCAGUCAUUGCAUUGGACCUUCUCCAUUUUCUUUACCGUAUGCAUUCUACGGUUUGUAAUGAAUGUGGUUACUUUUCCCAUUCGCAUCAGUUGUAGUCUCAUUAUCUUGUAUCACAUUUAUAUUUUAUUGAGUUAAAAUUGCAACUUUAUUUUAUUUUAUUUUAUUUUUUACAAUUUUAUCAUCUAUGAUGGGCAGAAACCUCUUUUUAGGCGUCUUGUCCGCAUUGGGUAUUAAUUCUCGUACGUACAUGCCUGAUACAUAUCAGAUAUUUGUCAUAAAAAUAUCAACCAUUUUAGAAACUUUAGAAAAAUAAUGGAUGCUCAUGGGGAACUUGUGGGACACGGUUGGAUUUCUUUCGGCUCUAACUGGGAAUGAAAAUCAUUCUCAAGAUAACUUGUAUGGCAAGUUAUCGUAGUUAUUACGCUUGGAUGACACUUGCAUCAUGGGCUCAUGUUUGAUGAAACUCGAGAUUAAUGUUGGUCUAGUUAAUUUUGUUUCUUAGUGAGCAAGGUUCGACUUUUUAUAUAUCUUUGCACCAGUUAGUUGGUUUAUUGUUUAUGUUGUCUGAUCACCUAAACCUCUAUUAAUAUAAAUCGUCAUAUGAGGUAAUACUAAUGUAUCAAAAAUUAUGUUUAUUGCCAUGUCCAUUACAUAUCACAUGCAUCCUAACAUUUUGAGAAUUUGUUUUUAUCUCUGAAUUUGUAUCAAAUUGUAUCAGUAUUCUGUAUUGUGCAACAAGUGGGCACGAAUGCCAAAACAAUUAUAAAGAGGCAUCAGAGAAGAGCGAUCACUGGUUAUUUGGUUCUAUCACAUUCUAUCACUAACUUUUUGGUUGGAACAGAGGGCUGAGGUCUAAAACUCUUUUUUGUCACACUAGUAACAAAACUUACUUAGUCGGGUGUGAUUAAAAAGAAAAAGAAUUAAAAGAAAAGAUGAGGGCUUCUGUAGUUUUUAAUUUGUUGUGUUUAUUCUGAAUUUUAGGGUUACUUGCAUAGUAGCAGAAGCUUGCCUUGUGGCGGGAUCAGCUAGGAAUGCGUACCACACAAAAUAUGUGGGUUACUACAUCAAGCGGGACUUGACGUCGUGCGCAGCACUUCGGAAGGGGGUCUUCGCCGCGGCAGCUGCUCUUGUGCUGGUCUCUUUAGUGGCAUCUCUCGUAUAUUAUUGGAACUACUCCAGGGCCGCCACCGGAGGUUGGGUGAAACACCAGAAUGAAGGCGGGGUAGGAAUGACGGAUUAUGGCACGGGUAAGGGUAAGGAUGAAUCCGGGGGUACUGCGACGGUUUGAGCAAACUUACCCAUGAUAGGUAGUCAUGUGCUUUUCCUUACAAUUAUGAGGCUUGUUGCAUGUUCUAUAUUAACUUGAAACUGUAGAGCUCAAAAAAUGUGGUUGCUGCUCUUUGUUGACUUCUCACAUGUGUUUCUUUCCGCUGAUGUCGUGACCGUGGUCGUCCGUUAAAUUUCAGUAAAGAUCAAAGUGUUCAUCAGUCAAACUACCGUUAUUUAUUUGUUGGAAGGUUGCAUCUCCAUCACGGGAAAGGGGCCUCGAUGGCUUUGACUUUCCCCCAGUAACCCAACUCGGCUUGGGGCUUGGGGUAAGACGACAACUCUACCUCAAUUUGCCCUUCUGUGGUGCAACUUUUACUUUUUUUACUUUAUCAUUUCGUGGUUUCAAAAGCAGCACUUAACUAACCAACCUGUAGUUUUAUCUCUAUUUUAUUCAGAAAAUCUCGUCAUAUAGAGUACGUAGCAAAAAGUCUUUGCUACCAUAGGGUAGCUAAGUGUAACUUUCUGAUCCCUAAGGUAGCAGUGUAAAUAAGUCAAAUCAUAGGUGGGGAAGUGCAACUCUUUGAGUAGCAUAAUAGCAGAGGUGAAAAUAAACUAAAACACAGUAGGGCGAAUUGAAGUUUACCCAAACUUCUUAACCAUUCUCUUGUUCAAGAAUGCAAUAGGCUCAAGCAAAGAGUCGCCCUGCGUUAUUAAUAAUUGUUAGUCGCAAAGGUCACAGCUGUAGCAACCCGAUCUUGCUUUUGAGUUAUGAAACAUGAAAUCAAGUGGGCAUUUCGAUUCAACUUGGAAAUCAAAUUUUGUAAGAUGCAACUUACCACCUUGGCUAUAUUGGUAAAAUAUAGGCCAAAAUUCCUUUUGUGUUCAUUACUUCUGGAGGUCCACUGCGGCGCGGUGCAUAUGUAUAUAGGGUUACUUACUAUUUCGUAUACCAAAAGAUUACCACGGCUAACCGCCCGCUCGGUUUGGGGACAAACGUGAUCCGGCAAAUGUUCGACCGUCUGGAAGCUUGAAGCCGGAGAAUCGUGUUUUUAUUGCGCCGCAGGAGCCCAAUCAGGCGCGUGAGUAGAGCCGCCACAGACCGGGUAUUUAUUGCCUGCAUAUGUUUGGCGUCGGAGUACGAAGAAGUAUAUUUUAUGCAAGCAUGAUAUAGUAGUAAUUGAAGGAGACUUAACCCAGGAUUAUAUUUUCUUUCCAUAGGACAUUUACUUGUUUCACAAAAUAUCCGAGUCCGCAGAUACAACCCAUGAAUCGUCUACAGAAGUUUAGUAAUAAAUUUUCAAUAUCCAAACGAAGUAGAAACCCCAAAAUGUGCCUCUCUAUUAGGUGGUGGCAAGUUAUUGCGCAUUCUCACUCCGCGCCAGACUAUAAAGUUCUCCUGUGGGUGCAAUCUACCGACGAGGACAAGCUGUACCGACUGCUCAAUGAAAGAACAAUGACAAUAACAGAGCAUAAUUGAAAGGAACUACAUCUAUAUCUAUCUAUAGUCUAUAUAUAGUAUAUAUGAAUCCUCAGUUUUGAACACCUGGCGAGCGCGGAGGCGCGGGCAGGGGCGAGCGUGGGGCGCGGGCAAGCGGGCGCGCCUGGCGGGGCGCCGUGUGGCGCGGGCGCGCGGGGCGCGGGCAGGCGGGCACGCGGGGAGGGGCUCCGCGUGGCGCGGGCGGGGGCGAGCGCGAGCGCGGGGCGUGGGCAGGCGGGCGCGGGCGCGGCGCGGGGGGCGGGGGCCGCGUGGCGCGGGCGAGCCGGCGGCGCGGGCGAGAGCGGGCGCGCGGGAGAGGAGAGGAGAGGCGGCGAGGGUGGCGGGGCGCCGCGUGGCGCGGAUUGCGCGCGGGGCGCGGCAAGGCGGGCGCGCGGGGCGGUGCCGCGUGGCGCGGGGAGAGGAGCGGGAGAGGAGAGGCGAGGGAGAGGAGAGGAGCGGAGAGGUGGGGCCAGGCGCCCACAGCCGAGGGGACAGGAGAGGAGGGAGGGAUUUUUUUUUUUUUUUUUUUUCGCCUCUUUUUCUCUCUUUAAUUUUUUCCCUUAAUUUUUUUUAUAUAUUUAUUCUCUUAAUAUAUAAUUAAAAAAAUUAUAAUUUUUGUAAUUCAAUCUAAAUUUUUAUUUAUUUUUAUAAAAAUUUAAAAUAUAUAAAUAUUUUUUAAAAAGUUAAAUUAUUUGUAUUAAAUAUAAAUUUUAAUUAAGCCGAAUAAAGAAUUGUUAAAAAUAUAUAAAAAAUAAUGAAGGAAAUUUACAAAUGAAACAAUAAAAAAUAAAAAAAUAAAAGGAUAAGAUAGAUAAAAGAAGAAUAGAGGCAAAAAUAUAAGACAAUAAAUCAUUUUUUCUAAAAAUUUAUAAUAUAUUAUAUAAUAAUUAUAAUAUAUAAUUAUAAAUAUAACUAUAUAUUAAUUUCUUAUUAAUGAUUAUUGCCUUUAUUUUUUUUUAAUCUUUCUUAUAAUUUAUUUUUAUAUUUUUAUUACAGUAAUAAUCUUAUUUUUAGUUAUUUUUAUAUAUUUUUGACCUAGCCCGGGGAGGGGUGAAGAGGAAGUUUUUUUUUCUUCUAUCUCAAUUGUUCCCUCAUUUAUUAUUUUUUUAAAUCCAAUUUGGGAACAGUGCGGAUGGACCCAACGGGGGAGAGAGGAGGGAGGUUUUUUUUUUUUUCCUCUAACUUCAAUUUUUUUUUUUGUUCAUGUACAUAGAAAGAAAAUUAUAUAUAUUUUUAGUCUAAUCUAAUUUUUUAUUUAUACUAUAAAAAUUUAAAAUAUUAAAAAAUUGAUAAAAAUGUUUUUGAAAGAUUGGAUUUACAUUUCCAUCCUUAUAGCUAUAAGACGAAUAAUAAUUUAAUCUCAAAUUUUUAAUGUAUUAUGAUUUAAACAAUGAGGUAUGUGAUAUUUUCAUCCCCAAUCUUUAAUUAGUUACUUAUUUUUCAGUUAUUUAUUUUAUAUAAUUUUUUGACUUUUUAUUUUGUAUUUUGUAAUUUAUUUAUUUAUUUUUAUAAAGUCAUCCCGCCGCAACGUGCAGGUCCUUCACUGGUACAUAUAUGAAACCGCAGUUACUAUACAGUGCAGCGAGGGGCGGGGGCGAGUGCGGGUAGGCGCGGGGGCGCUGUGCGGCAGGCGAGGAGCGGCGGGCGACGCGCGGGCGCGGGCGGGGCGUCCGUGGGUAGGAGGGACGCGGGCAGCGCGUGCGCGCGGGGCGGGCACCUCGGACGUGCGAGGAGCAAGCGCGCGGGGCGCUGCGCGGCGCAUGCGCGCAUGCGGUGGGGCCCAGCCGGGGAGAGAGAGUCGGCCAGGGGCAGGAGGCGGGUGGGGACGGUGGGGAGCGGAAGGAGCAGAAGGGGUGGGCCAAGGCGGGUGGGGCCCACCUCUUUUUUAUAUUUUUUUAAUUUGUUUUAUUUUUAAUUCUUUUUCUAUUAAUUUUGAAAAGCAAACUUUUUAAAAAUUUUAAUAUAAUUUUUCUACCUUAUUAUAACAAUUUAAAAUAUAUGCGUAUUUUUAAAUAGUUUAAAUUAUAUGUAUUAAAUAUAAAUUUUAAUUUUCUAGGAGAGAGAGGAGAAUUAGUUUGAAUUUUUUUUCUUAAAAAAAUCUAAGCCAAACCCUAAAUCACUGGAGGAGAGAGAGAGAGAGAGAGAGAGAGAGAGAGAGAGUAAGUGAGUGUUAAAGUAUUAUUGAUGGACUUAAAUCUCAUAUAUAGAAAAAUUUGAUAAUAAAAGUAAAAUUUGGAAAGAUUAUAUCUAUACUUUUCGUCCUUAAAACUAUAAGACGAGUGAGACUUUAAUCAUCGAACUUUAAUGUGUUAUAAUUUAAACUAUGAGGCAUGUGAUGCUUUCAUCCUCAAACUUUAAUUAAUUGUAAUUUCUGACUUGAAAUAUGAGAUAUAUCAUUUUAGUACUCAAUGUUUAUUGCUGCUAUAAAUAUAAUCUAUUAUUUCUAUGGUUUUACCCUAUUAUUUUUAUAUUUUUAUUGCAGUAAUAGCGGUUUAUCCCUUAGAUUUUUUUUUUUAUAUAAUUCAUUGACUUUUUUUUUACGUUUUAUUUUAUUUUAUUUAUUUAUUUUUACGAAAUCGUUCCGCCGCAACGCGCGGGUCCUUCACUAGUGUAAGCAUGUACGAGUGCAUGAGGUUUAUUAUUGAUAUGGAAGCAACUUUGUCUGAUGGCAUGUAAGUGAUGUACAAUUAUGCAUCUAUCAACACGUGUGAACAUCAAUUCAUGACUUAAUAAUCCUCCGCCCUAGCCUUUCAAUUUACAGUAAAACCUGAACUCUUCAGUCCUGCGUCGCUGACUAAAAGUCCUAACUUUUUAGUCCCGGGUUACUUAUGCUAGGUUGCCCUAACCUUUUGGUCCUCGGCCAAUUGUCAAUCAUGACGACUUUCAAGGAAAGGAUCACCAUACAGGUGGUUGAUCAGACCACUGAGCCGCCACAAGGGAGCAUAGCAUCAGUGUCAUGUCAUCCUGCUAUAUAUGAUCAACAAUGACGAGAGCAAUGAAAAGCCCAAAACAACGAUAAUGACAAUCUUGGCCAAAAUAAGCACCACUGCUGCUGCUACACCCAAUACCAUCAUGAUUAUGUUCAAGUUCAACUAGUGUGCUUUCCAUGGCAAGUAAAUGUAAUGACACGUCUAUGUGACUAAGCAUGCUAUCUAUCAUGAACAAAUCAAUAUAUCUAGUAAGUGUAUGAGACUAGCAAGAAUGUAAUUGCUAGGCAACUAGAUAAAUAUCUAUAAACCAAGAAGAAGGGGAUGAAAGAAAGAACCAAUUCCUUUUUGGGGUUUCACUAACACCUAUCAAGAGUUACAAUGCGUCCACAGCUUGUCAAUCAUUGCCUAGACAUAAAGAGAGCGUUAACAAGUCAUACUUUGUCACGCCCCAAUCCCCGCCAAUUUGGUCCGGUUCGGAUCACGUCAACAGACGCCUGACGGAUAGCAUCUCUCCUGUCCGCCCAAGGCUCAAACAAUAUGUAUAAUUAAACAAACAACAAAAAGAAUUUGCAAUUAUACAAGGCUUGCACGAGGGCAAGCAACAAUGGAAGCGAAAGCUCUAAGCUAAACAUACAACCAUACAUGAUAUUUGAUUAUAUUUAAACCAAAUACAAGUGAACUAAAACUAUUACAUCUUUUUUCAUUCAACCAUAAUUCUUUACCUUUUUUGUCAUUCUCCAAAAUACAUGAUAUGUUCUCAACUUUACAAUCCUAAAUCAACAAAAUAAAAGUUGAUACAUGUAGGCAAAAGGAAUGACUAAUGCAUAAGUUCCGGUGGCCACUAGCUAUGACGCAAUAUCCUUGCCUCGGUCCUCCGCCGCCCCGCUCGCGCUCGGACCUGUAGGGUUAGUGGUGUGAGAGCUGCAACAAAGUUCUCAGUGGGUUCGGCAACUGACCUCGCCGACUUACCCACUAGGUCCAAUUCAAGUAUAAGUAUUUCAAAGGAAAGAAAACUAUAACCAUUGCUAAUGCUAAUGCUAAUACUAUGCCUGCAAGAAAGAUGUUAGUGGAUAUAUAAUCGAAUAAUGAAUGCUUAUGCAUGCAUGCUUGUUCUAUACUUUACUUUAGCUUUUACCCAAUCUUGCCGGUUAACCUUGUUAACAACAAAACUCACCAUCACAAUUCCCGUCUACCGGGGGAGGCUUUAGGCUCAACCACCCGAGUGUUCAUCGACGGGGUACUUUUUCCGUGGUGUCUACACUCCGGAGUACAUCGCUUGAGGAGGAGCUACCUCCCUCAAGCCUAGUUAAUGUGAGUAUCGAUCCAAUCCUCAAUUUGAGGAUACAUAGCCACUAGUCACAAUGCCAUUGUCAUAAUAGGUUUCUACCUAUUUGAUCAUGCUACUUUCCAAGUCAUACCUGUCAUAAUGUCUCUAGGGUUAAACUAUAUUUAACAGCCAAUUUCUCAAUGCCAAUCAUGUCUCUAUUGUCAAUGUCACAUUUGUUUACUAUUGUCCAAGUCCAAAUCUCACAUUCAUACAAGUUUAGGGUUCUACCAUACAUGUCCAUUAUGGUUCUAUCAUUCUCUAUGUUCAACUACGUUAAAAGCAUGUAAAUGAAAUCCAACCAAAGUUCAUAUGUAAUUUAACCCUACUAUGCAUGAAUGACUAUCCAUCAAUAUGCUCAAUGAAAGGUGAAAUAGACAUAAAGGGAAAUCUGAUGAUUCCAGCGUGCACCCCCCACCUUGAAUUGUGUAGAAGGGUUGUAGUUCGACUCUCGCAAUUUUAGGACGCCUCUCCCGCGACCUAACACAAAAAUAAAGCCAAAUUAGGCCCUAUAUACAAGAUCUCAUAUCUAGACUUUUCGUAAUGUUAAACGGAGUUGUCCCACGCGUCGGGAAUACCCCUAAUUAGGUUUCCAAGAGGUCAAUUUAUCUCGGAAAUAACAGAAGGCAAAAGCCCCAAUUUUCAAGCCCUAACAAUGUCAUAUAGGGUUUUCUCCUAGAUUGAUCUUAUCUCUAAGCAAAUGAUAGCUUAGAAUUACCUAGGAAGCUCUCUAAUACUAUUACCAAGCCUUUCCAAACAUCUCUAGGGCAUCUAAUAUGAUCUCUAGGAGUUCACCAUAAGAGCUCUUGAGAAACACAUGGAUUUCAUGUGUUCAAGGCCUCUACAAUGAUCCUAGCCUUGCUAGAGGAUCAAAACUCCAAAUUCUAAGGUAAAAACCCAAAACCCUAGACCUACUUUCCAUAACAACUCACCUUGGCCACGAGCUCACCCAAGUCCACCUUGUUGGAGAGCCCCUAGAACCACCAAAGCCUCCAAAACCCACAUUCUCCAAGCUCCUCUUCUUCAACACUUUGCUCUAGGGUUGAGCUCUAGAGAGAGAAAGGGAAAAAUAAGACAGAAGGGUGAUAGGUGUUGUGUAAACCAGUGGGAGGGAGGUUGGGGACAUGUAUAGUGUGCUACAAUUGCAACUAGGCCCCCCAAAUAUUCUUAUUUGCAGCAGGUCAAUUUGUUGCUGCCAGACCAAAGUGUACUGGUACACGGGAUGCUGUCACCGGUAACACGAUUACGCAGAGGCAAACUCGAGAGCAAUUCUCGCAGAUUUUUUCAAAGUGUACCGGUACACACCAGGGGUGUCAUCGGUAACACAGGCAAAAUUUCUUAAAUCCGAGAGCUUCUCUGUCACGCCCCGGGACCCAGCGGAAGCCCGCCCGGCGCGUGCCCAGACCCGCCAUACGUCUAAAACGUAUAAGGCGUCUAAAAAUAACAAUAAUAAAAUCAAUAAUAAGAGACAUUUAGGAGUAUCAGAGUAUAACAAAUGUCUAAAUGCUACAACCAGGGAUAAGGAUAAAACUGUAAAUCUACUAAAUAAAACAUAAAGUGAUACAAGGAAAUCCCAGAUACAAGUGCUAUAGGUAGAUACAUAGGUGGUCUCUAUACAUGGAUACAAAAACCUCUCACUCUCUCAACUACAAAAGAAAGAGUAAACCACCUGGGCAAAGUAGCGCUCCUCGCUAGCUAGCUAAGCGAUCUCCUUGCCGCGAUCCCGUGCCUCCGCCGGUGCCGAAGGCUCUGAAAAGUAAACCAUAAAACAGGGGCGUGAGAACUAUUAAAAUAGUUCCCAGUGGGUAAUUACUGACUUCAGUGAAUGCGCCACGAGGCCCAAAGCUACAAAAGAUGUCAGUGACUAUAAAAGUGGAAAAGCGAAAGGUAAGUAAAAAUGUAACUUACUACAACAUGAUAUCUCUACUUAGCAUAAUUAGCAUAAGUAUGAAGCAACUAUGCAUGAAGUAAAAGUCUCCAACUAUCAUAAUGAUCACAAUGCGAAAUAGUAAAGUUCCACUGUUUACUAUUCUAGUCAAUGUCCAAGUAGUACACUAAGUCAUCAUCUGUCCACAUGUCGUAAUGAAUACUUAAAGUCAAAUCUGAAGAGACCCACCCGAAGGCUGUCUAUGGCCCUGAGACCCACCCGUAGGCUGUCUGGCCGAUGCUGAGCCUAGUGGCCUCGUGGUAGUCAUCAUCCCCACCCUAGGAAUGAGCCUGGCCCACGGCAAUCCACUUCGGCGCCCAAUCCCGCACGGCGAAUAUAAAUCGCGAUGGCCAUCUCCGGAGUGCCGGCUUGUAGGGAGCGACCCUCACAAGCAUGUGCGAAUGAGCACAAUGGCAAGUAGUCGUAUAUCCUAUCACAAGUACCAAGUCCUCAUGUUUAAUAACAUAGAAUGUAUCGAAUGUCCCAAAGGCCUGUCUCUAUGUCAUCAUGUCUCUAACAUGGAAUAUAUGGCAGAUGUACAAUGGCCUAUCAUCAUGUCUCUAAGUUGCAUUUUCAUAGUUUACUAAUUCCAAGUGCCCCUUUAUGACACUUUUGUUCAACGAGUCCCAAGCAUGGCAUUAAUAUGUUCAUGAUNNNNNNNNNNNNNNNNNNNNNNNNNNNNNNNNNNNNNNNNNNNNNNNNNNNNNNNNNNNNNNNNNNNNNNNNNNNNNNNNNNNNNNNNNNNNNNNNNNNNNNNNNNNNNNNNNNNNNNNNNNNNNNNNNNNNNNNNNNNNNNNNNNNNNNNNNNNNNNNNNNNNNNNNNNNNNNNNNNNNNNNNNNNNNNNNNNNNNNNNNNNNNNNNNNNNNNNNNNNNNNNNNNNNNNNNNNNNNNNNNNNNNNNNNNNNNNNNNNNNNNNNNNNNNNNNNNNNNNNNNNNNNNNNNNNNNNNNNNNNNNNNNNNNNNNNNNACUCAUAGCCACUAGUCACAAUGCCUAUGUCACGAUAGAUCUCUACCUAUUCAUUCUUGCCACUCUCAAGGCUUUACCUUUGACGAUGUCAAAAUGAGUUAAACUAUAUUUAACGGUUCAUCUCUCAAUGCAAAUCUUGUUUCUAUGCCAAUGUCACCCUUGUUUUCUAUUGUCCAAGUCCAAACUCACAUUCACACAACUUGAGGGUCCAAUCACACAUGUCCAUUUUGGUUCUAUCAUCCUCUAUGUUCAACUACGUUAGAAGCAUAUAAAUGAAUUCAAACCAAGUUCCACAUGUAACUACCCUACUAUGCAUGAAUGGGUAUAUAUAUAAAUAUAUAUGCUCAAAAAUAGAAAAAACAGACAUAGAAAGGAAUCCAACGAUUCCGGCGUGCACUCCCCACCUCUAUUGGUUGUGUGGGUGUAGAUUACGAAGGCUCCCGCACUUUACGAAAGCCGAUUCCGAGCCCUAUAAUCAAAAUAGUGCCAUAUUAGGCCCCUUUGUACAUGAGCUAUACUCUAAUAUUUUCGCAACGUUGAACGGAGUUGUCCAACGUGUUUAGGGCACCCCCAAUUAGGUUGCCACGGGGUCAAUUUGUCCCCGAACAAUCCUAGGGCAAAAGCCCCAAAUUCAAGCCCUAAUAUUGUCAUUUAGGGUUUUUCCCAUGAAUCGAUCCCAACCUUAAGCAAACAAUCGCUUAGGAUCAACUAAGAAGCACUCUAGUAAGGUUUCUAGACCUUUGGUACCAACCCUAGGGCUCCAAACACCACUUCCAAGGAUUCACCAUGAGAGCACUUUGAGCUCUCAUGGGAACCAUGGUGUACAUGGCUCAAAAGAGCCUUUAAUGCCUCUAGGGAGCACAAAGCUCCCAUUUUCAAAGCCAAAAUCCAAACCCUAGGCUUAUUUCUACCAAAAACUCACCUUAGCCCAAGCUCCUCCAAGUCCCUCUUGUAGGAGAGCUUGUAGAACCCACCAAAGCCUCCAAAUCCACCUUCCCUUGCUUCUUCUUCUUCUUCCCCAAGCCCUAGAGCAAGAGUUCUAGAGAGAGAAAGAGAGGAAAUGGGAGAGAAGGGUGAAAAUGGCUGUGGGAGAGAGGGGAUGAGUCAUAUAUAGUGUUGUAACAAUUGCACUUAAGCCCCUCCACUUGUUUCCUCUUGAACUGCCCAGAUUGGGCAUUUUUCGCCUUCGGGGAUCGGUCUCCCCCACCAGGGACCGGUUCCCGAACGUGGGUGUUCCAGGACUUAGCCAAAUUUUUGAGUUUUUCAGCUGUUGCGCAGCGAGGGAUCGGUCUGCCCGUCAGGGACCGGUCUCCCGAGGACCGGUCUCACUAUUAGGGACCGGAUACCUCAGGAUUUCCUGGCAGGCUACGCGCACGAGGACCGGUCUCUCCUUCAAGAAUCGGUCCCCGAGAGCUCAAAAUCUGGGACUUAGCCAGAUUUUCGGAUUUGCUCUCCCGGGCCCCUUUAGCCUCAUUUAUGGACUCUAAUACACUUAGGGUCCACUUUAACUCGUCCCACUCCAGGUUUCGCUCGUUUUGACGGAACUCGGCACGUCCUACAAGGGACGUGGUAUGUUACAUUCUCCACCCCUAAAAUUUAGUUUCGUCCGCGAAAUUACUUAUUCAGAGUCCAUACCUCAAUUCGACUCGUCGAAGAGUUGAGGGUGGCGCUCCCGCAUCUCGCUCUCGAGUUCCCAAGUUUCCUCCCGAUCACCGUGCUCACUCCAAUGAAUUUUAACAUAGGGAAUUUCCCGGUUCCUUAACUUUCUCACUUCCCGAUCCACGAUGUAAGCCGGGAACUCCUUAUAAGUCAUAUCAUCUUGGAGCUCUAUAGGUAUAUACGAGAGAAUAUGAUCCGGGUCGUAGACAUACUUGCGGAGUUGGGAUACAUGGAAUACGUCAUGCACUCUCGCAAGCCUGGGUGGUAAUGCCAACUUGUAGGCUACCACGCCAACUCGUUCCAAAAUCUCGAAGGGUCCGAUAUAGCGGGGACUUAGCUUCCCGCGUACACCAAACCGCNNNNNNNNNNNNNNNNNNNNNNNNNNNNNNNNNNNNNNNNNNNNNNNNNNNNNNNNNNNNNNNNNNNNNNNNNNNNNNNNNNNNNNNNNNNNNNNNNNNNGUCUCGAUCUGAUACUAUAGAAGUAGGUACCCCGUGCAAUCGCACAAUCUCGUCCAAAUAUACCUGUGCGAGCUUCUCUCCGGUCCAAGUAGUAUGAAUAGGCACGAAGUGCGCCGACUUCGUCAACCUAUCCACGAUCACCCAAAUAGGGUCAUGCCCGGCCUGUGAGCGAGGCAGUCCCAUCACGAAGUCCAUGGUGAUCUUUUCCCACUUCCACACUGGAAUCGGUAGGCUCUGCAAUUUUCCCGCAGGAACUCGGUGUUCAGCCUUCACUUGUUGGCAAGUUAGGCAUCUGGCAACAAACUCACCAACAUCCUUUUUCAUCCCGGGCCACCAGUAAAGUAACUUCAAGUCCUUGUACAUCUUGGUGCCUCCCGGAUGUAUAGCAUACGGUGCUCGGUGUGCUUCUUGAAGAAUGUCUUCUUUAAUGUCCAAGUCCGCCGGUACACAAAGUCGUCCGCGGAAACGCAUCAAUCCAUACCAUCUAAAGUGAAGUCACCGGUGUAACCAUCAACCAUCUUAGCUCGAAUCUUUUGCAACUCCGAGUCGGAAGCUUGCUUUUCUUUAAUCCUUUCCAAAAGUGUAGGUUGCACCACCAACGUCAUCAGUCUCAAAGGUGUAUCAGGAGCUACCACCUCCAACUCCAACCGCUUCAUCUGCUCGACCAACGGCGGUUGAGUAACCACAAGCAUUGCUAAGUUCUCAGUCGAUUUCCGACUUAGCGCAUCCGCCACCACGUUAGCCUUGCCCGGGUGGUAAAGUAUCGUCAAAUCAUAAUCCUUAAGUAGCUCCAACCAUCUGCGCUGCCUCAAGUUCAACUCCUUCUGAGUGAAAAGAUACUUCAAGCUCUUGUGAUCCGUAUAUACUUCACAACGCUCGCCAUAGAGGUAAUGGCGCCAUAGCUUCAAUGCAAAGACCACGGCCGCCAACUCCAAGUCGUGAGUGGG